AUCUUCAUCGGUUAAGGAUGCUGGAUACAACAGAUUGUGAAGGACUUGAAGAAAUUCCUCAUGGUGUCUUAUCCAAGUUAAGGAGAUUAGAAGAGUUGUACAUGGCAGAAAGCUUUCUCAAUUGGGCUCCAGCAACAGGAAGCAAGGAUGAAACGAGCAUGGCAAGCCUUGAUGAGGUGACGUCUCUAUCUGAUCAUUUAAAUGUCUUAGCCAUAAAAAUCCAUGAUGUUCAGAUGUUGCGGAAUGAUGAGUUUCUUUUAAGAAGUCAGCCUAUAAGAUUUCAUGUAUCUAUCAAUAUUAGUUGGUCAUACAAAAAAGAGAGUUUCAAGAAUCGAAUGCGUGGUUAUCUGUUCGAAAAUAGUUUGAUGCUUCGUGGUGAUGUAAAGGAAUAUUUGGAGAUUGGAGCAGUUAGAUACUUCUUGAAGCAAUCUGAAGACUUAAGCCUACGCCACACAUACAAUUUAAAGUAUGUCAUCGAGAAGUUAGACGAUCAAGGGGGCUUUCAACACUUGAAAGUGUUAUCAAUCAUGUAUGACAACAACAUAGAGUAUCUUAUGAAUGGAACAGAUUGGACUCGUCGUGGUCAACCUGCCUUUCCCAUCUUAAAAUCAGCUACCUUUGAGUAUGUUGACAAACUAAAAGUUUUGUGUUGUGGCAAACUACCAGACAAGCGCUCUUUUAUGAACCUGAAAUCUAUUGUAAUUGACAAUUGUCAUGAGUUAAAAUAUGUCUUUUCACUAUCCGUAGCACAAAACUUGGUACAACUCCAGAAAUUAAUUGUUAAAAACUGUCAGAAAGUGGAAGAUAUCAUAUCAAGGGAAAGAAUGGAAGAUGAUAAUGCAUCUCACAGGAUAAGUUUCCCAAGAUUAACUGUUUUGAAGCUUUAUGAUCUACCCAAGCUCCUUGGUUUCUACACGGGAAACCAACGGGACUCCACCUAUGAGGUAUGUAUGUAUAAACUUUUGAUGCUUGAAUGGUAUAUACUUGUUACUCUUUGGAAUAUGCUACUUUUGUUGUGUUUAAUACUGUCGUUCCAGUUCUAGAAGUUGGUUUGGGUAAAACUUAAUCAUUUUUGGUAUGUUAGAGAUUUUAGAUGCAUUUCAAUUUUUUGCAACUAUUUUAUAGAUAUUUAAUAAAAAAAUAUUUCUGAAAAAAUCACUUGAAUCAUAUAUCAUUUGACCACUCAAUUAAAUUAUUGUGAUUUUAGUACUUUCUUGAAGCAUUGUAUUCAUCAAUUUUGUAGAACAUAAUUAGAUAUCGAAACGGUUUCCGAAUUGUCUAAUUUUUUGUAAGUAUAAUCUAUGAAUAUAGACUUGAGAAAUAGGCGGUUUGGAUAAUUGAAAAACAAUUUGUAGUGUGUUUAGAAUGUCCCUUAAUAGAAGGGGACUAUAUUUCUAAAUCUUCACACCUAUGAUUUUCAUUUGAAAAUUUAAGUUGAGAUGUCCUUAGAGUUAAAAAUGUUUAUUGGUAAAUAGUAAUUGACGGUAGGAAAAGGGGAGUAUUAUUAUUUCUCAAAAUUUAUGACACAGGAUGUGGGAAUAUAAUUAAGGCAAUUUGGAAAUAAGACAAAUUGUGGAAGUUCAUUACUUAUGUAUUUCUUUCUUUUUGGCUCAUGUGUAAGUUCAUUAUUUAUGUAGAAUUAAUUAAUGUACAGAUUAUAAAGCCCAAUGAUGAAAGUGUGAAUAAGACGAAAGAGACUAGGAAUGACAAUCAAGUUGCUGGGUCGACCUCAUCUAGAUCAAAAGUAGCACAAGUGGGAGCAAGUUGUAAUGCUCUAUUUCCUUCAAAUUGCAUUUCAUGGUUACCAAAUCUAGAGAAACUAGUGUUGAUAGAUUCGACAAGUGAGCAAGGCUCAGAAGAACUAGUAUUCAAUGUGGUAUUUGAUUUAGAAGGGCAUAAUUCAGCAUUUUCUCAAUUACAAACAUUCCAAGUGUUUUCUUUAUAUGGAGUUGAACAUUUGUGGAAGAACGUUCAACCUGGAUUCCAAGGUUUUCAAAAUGUAAGAUCUUUAGAUAUUCAAGAAUGUAGGAGUCUAAAAUAUCUAUGCCCUUAUGAAAUUUACAAGCUCCUUGUGAAUCUCGAAGAAGUCCAAAUAUAUGAAUGUGAGAAUAUGGAAACUAUAGUACAUGAAGAAGGGAAAGAGACAGGUGGCAGUGGCUCGAUGACUUUGUUUCCCAAACUAAUUAAUAACAUCAUACUAGACAACUUGCCAAACCUCGAGAGAUUUUGCCCUGAUGCCCAUUCUUUUGCAUGGUCCUCCUCCACGAGAGUUCUGCGUGUGGAAUUUUGCCCCAAAUUAAAGACAUUGGGUUUUGAACUAGUAAGCAAAAAUCUACCUGCAGCAGUUGCAGAGAAUUUGAGUGAUGAUCAUGUAAGAGGUAGAGAAGAAUUAGGAUCUGACUGCGCAUCAUCAACUGGAUCUGGAUUUGGAUUUGGAUGUGCGCCACUAGUCUGCUUACAAAGUCGUCCAUCUACUCGCAACUUUACUCAAAUAUUGCCCCGCCCUGUAAAUAGAGAGGUACAUAUGUCAUUAUUCUAGACUAUGCUUCUCAAUUUAGUGUCUAUAAUUGGUCUUACGUACAGAUGUCAUUGAAAAUAAAAGAAAAAUAAAACAAAAAAGUAGAGUUAAAUGGGCUUGCCCCAAGCACGGGCCAUGACAAUUGUAAACACUUGUUAAUUUUCAUUUGGGAAAUCAUCACCAUUAUUUUCGCAAACAGUCUUAUUAAUAUCUAGAAUGUCAUGGUAAACAACGUUCUUGAUUUCUAGAAUGUGAUAAUAUCCCAUAUGUUUAUGAUUGAAAUACUAACAAAUUAAUAUACAAUUACUUUUCUACCAUUUUUCCAGGUAACGCCGACAAGUGCUACCCACAAUCUAGAAGAUCUCUUUGUAGAAAAGUGCGAUUUAUUGGAAGUGAUAUUUUUGGUUCAGGAAACCCCUUCUACUCAAGCAUUUGAUAAGCUGAGGCAAUUGAAUUUGUGGAGGUUACCAAUGCUGAGCCACAUAUGGGAAAAGGGUUUACAAGUUAGCUCAGGCUUUGGAAACCUGAGAUUACUAAAAGUACAGUCCUGUCACAAUUUGAGAUACUUGUUUUCACCGCACAUAGCCAAACUUCUUACCUACCUUGAGAGAAUAGAAGUUUCCUGGUGUAGUGCGAUGGAGAAAAUUGUUGGAGAGGCAGAAGGAGGAGGAGAAAGUAUUGAGGAUGAAUUGACAUUUCCGCACGUAAAUUCCAUCUUACUUGGGCGUUUACCCGAACUUGAAUCUUUCUGCUCUGAAGCUUAUACUUUGAAGUGGCCAGCCUUGGAGAAAGUCGAAGUUCAAAAUUGUCCAAAAUUAAAAGCGUUUGCUCCUGAGUCUCUAUAUGCAUAAGCAGCCAACAUGUGUCUAUGAAGCGUCCACGUGGAAAGAAAAGAAGGUAUGUUUUCAAUUCAACCAAGCACUCUGGUCGGUCACUAUAAAAUCAGUAGAAGAUAUAUGUAUAGCUUAAUAUAUUUUCAUGAAUUGGCGUUGCUUUUUAUUUUUCUUUGCCUUAUCUUUCUCAUGUCAUUAGUCCAUCUCCACGUGUUUAAGCUAUAUAUAUAUAUAUAUGUCUCGUUAAAAUGCUUAUUUAUAUAUGGCUCGUUAAAAUGCUUCUAAGGAUGGUAUCAUUUUUUGAAGUAGUACUUAACCAUUAAUAUUUUUCCAACAGCAUGCAUUUUCUAUUUUAAUCAUAGAUAAUAAUUUUUUUAUUCUUUAUUUUGCAUAAUCUUUGAGAAGAAUAUCAUCAGAAGCCAAGAAGCUAGGGACAACACUACAUGACAUGUUACGGUGCACAUCUACAUGACAUACCAAUUUCGUUACUGUUGAUAUUUUUGAUUAAUGUUCCUCAUAUCCUGCCAUUGCAUCUCUUUGAUCAGAUAAUUUAGUUAUUAUCUUUAGUUGUAUUAUAAAACUGGAUUUAUUUGGACCUUCCUUUUCGUAUGUAAUAUUACCAUAUUGAAUCUUUGGAUGUUUGGCUCAACUGUUGGUAUCUAGUUAAUCAAAUUACAAGCAUCAUAGUUUUAAAUUAUAUAUAGUUUAAAUUAUAUAUAUGUAUAAAUUAACCAAAGUUGUUAAUAGAAAGAUCCGUGUAACUCAUACUAAACAUUAGGGGUGGGCAUCUUAAACCGAAAUACCGAAACCAUACUCUAACUGCACCGUACCAUACCGAUUUCAUACCGUUUCAUUAGUUAUGGAGAGAUAUUCGGUACCAUACCGUACCGUACCAAUAGGGUAUGGUAUGGUAGCGGUAUCAAGAUUUUGGUACCUGUAUUUUCAAUCAAUUCAAUAAGAUGAUCCAAAGGUUGUAAUUGGCUCCACAAUCAAGAUCCCGCCAAAACUAAGUCCAUAACUAAAUGAAAAAAAAACAAAACAAAACUAGUCAUAACUCAGGAAGACGACAGAGACUUGCAUAAAAUAUAUAGAACUCGUUCCCAAACUGUUCCAAAGCAAUGGGGAGUUAGUCUACUGUACCGAACAUUUGAUAGAAAAUUGUUCACACUAAACAUUUAUAUUCUUCAUUUAUUACCACUUUAAACAUUUAAUUUGAAUUAAGAGAGAAAUUCCCCCCGUAUUUAAGGCAAUUCUGGAGUUGGUCUUUGGCAAGUAGAAUAAUGUCACAAAACACAGAAUUGUAAGCAAGCAAUUAACCCUAUAAGUGAGAGUGGUUGGCAGCAGUGGCGGAUCUAGGAAUUUUCAUUUCGGGGGUCAACGUGUAAAAGGUUAAAAAAAAGUCCAUACAAAAUAGACCUAUUGAAAUGAAACGAUAAUACUCUAAUUCAUAGUUAAUAGAUAAAACCAAACAAAAUACUCGUGUUCAUUAUCAAAGAGAACUACAUCAACUUUAAAAAAUAAACACACAUUGCAAUACACUGGAAAUAUCUCUAAGAAUGUGAUAAUAAACCAAAAAUUAGCAUAAUCCUCUUCGUCUCCCAAAGCGUCUCGACCUAUUCGACAUAAGAACUGGCAUAUAUUAGCGUAAUCCUGCUGAUUUUAGGGCAUUUGCGUCAUUUUUUAGGUCUGUCGUAGGUUUGACUUUGGGCUUUAUCUGCAUUUCUUUUGGGUUCUAGCUCCCAAACUUUGGGUUCUUAUGAGUAUUGUCUUAGGGGGAGCUUACUCAAGCAAAAUAUUUCUUCAAUACGUAAGAGUUAGGUUAUUCUUAUAAAACUCUUUGUGGAUUGAACCUCUAUGGUUUUUUACCUAGAUUGACCUUAGGUCCCUUCAUGCAUUCAUAUCACACAUGAAAAAUUAUUUUAUGUAAAAAUAUUGGCUAAGUAUGAAAAAUGGUUUUUCAGAAGAAUCUUUUUCUCAAGAUAAUUUUUGGCUGCUUUUAUUCCUUACACAUCAAAUAAGAAAACUUGAUUUUAUGGGAUUUCAGUAUGAAGUAUAUAUUGACUUAAUAAGCCAUAAUUUUUAGUCUAAAUCGUAUUUUGCACUAAAAUCAAAUUUUCAUAUUUUGAUUUGGUGGGAAUAUGAUUUCUAGUAUUUUUAUUUGAAUCCAAACGGGGGGUACUUUCUUAUUUACAUUCUUUUUACUUUCAUUUAUUUUAUAUUACUCCAUUUUGAAAAUGAAAAUAAAUAAAUGAAUCACAUCAUCUACCCAUUACUUCAUAAAAAAGAAUAAAAAUAAAUAAAUGCAGAAAAAUUGCUACCUCUUCUCUUUCACGCCAGUAACUUGCCCUCUUUUCCCCUUUCACUUUAUUGUCUUGUGUUGCACAAUUUGCCUCUUUUUUUCCACACCUCUCACAUUUGUCAACAUCUACUACCCUACCUACCAAUAUUCAUCCCUUUAUCUCUCUGUCUAUUUCCUCGUAGACACUCUCUUUGUCAUUGUUUACCUUUUUUUAUCUUUAAUCCCUCUCGGUCAGCGAGUCCACUCCUCUCUUUCGGUGGUCUCCCUUACUUUUGUACUAUCUUCUCAUAGCUGUUAUAAAAUAACUGGGAUAUGUGCGAAUAUUGAGCUGCACGUAAAGUAGAUGAGACACAGUAUUUAACGAGGUUCAGCUAUGCCUACGUCCUCGGAGAGCAGUAACAGUAACUUUUCACUAUGUAAAAUAAUAGGGCUACAACUUUGUGUUUACAAUAUGUAUGGCUCACUCAAUUUUCUCUCUUGGAGAAUUUCUCUCUUGCUCUCUUUCCUCUCAACUCACUCACCCUCAUUCUUCCUUCUCUUCCUCUUCUAUAUGUGUAAACUUCUCUUGAUGGAGGUAUCUAUUUAUAGGCCUAAGACAUUGGUUGUUCACCUCACAAUAUAAUUGGUAGACAACAUCAUUAAUAUUCUUCAAUCAACAACAUCAUUAAUAUUCUUCAAUCAACAACAUCAUUAAUAUUCUUCAAUCAAUUAGGUAGUGGUUUGGUUUGGUGGGUGUGUGGUUAGGUUUAGUGGGUGUUAGUUGGCUAUGUGGGCUUCACCUAUUCUUCUUUACUUAUUCUUCUUUACAACACUCCCCCUUGGAGACCACAUGUCCCUAGAUUGGUUGCCUCAUUAAAACCAUGCUUGGAGAAAAACCCAGUGAGGUAGAAAACUGAUGGAAGGAAGAAAAAAGAGUACAGCAAUCUGUAUAGCAUACUUCUGGAUGCUCCCCCUGAUUAAUAUCUCCCCCUGAUGUCUUCAUGACUAUCUUUUGGAGUGAGAAUCUUUCGGAGUGAGUGGAGGAUAUAGCCAUUAAUAAUUCUCGUAGUUGAGUAAGUAAAUAUAUUUCCAGUGAGCUAUCUCUAUGUAAAUCAUAUAAAUUUUCAGAGUCCGCGUUUCUAACAAAACUUGGGCUAUUUGUAAGUUCACUUGAAAGAAUAUGCCCGUACAUGGUGUUAUGCGGAGAUAGCAUCAAAUAUACCUCACAUCAUCCCAAAAUGAUGGUGAUGGAGUUGAGCCAUAUCUGGAAAAUAUGAUGUCCGGUCCAAUAUACUUCCGGAAAAUCAUUAAAGUGUCCAACGGAUAAUCCUCAUAAAAAUGCUUCAAUACUUUCUUAGUAUAAGCAAGAAUCUCGUUGGCAUAAUGCUCGAUCCUUAAGUCGAGACAAAUAUUUCUUGAACUCUUCAGAAGCUUUAAUGUGUUGCAAACACAUUAUAAUCAAUGUACUCACUGAGGUAAUUUAUGCAUAUUAAUAUUGAGUACAAAUUUUGUGCUUCAAGCACAUGUCCUUUAGGGACUUGCUUUAUGCAAUGUCAAUCCUCUCAACGGAUUUUGUUUAAAAGGGAUUAAACUUUAUGACACAUUAUAUAGCUUUAACCCAGCUAUUUAUACAUCUUUAGGAAAUCGCUUCUGGCGAUAUGCUCCGUGCAUUUAAUAACCCUUAAAGAUAAUAUGUUGGUCUCCGUAAUUGUGUAAUAAGGGGGGCACAAUUGAAUCUGUAAAUAUGGAGAAAACCCAACAUUCUUUGUUUCUGCCAGAAACAGUGUGUCAUACAAAGUAGGUAUAUUCCCUUUUAUUCUGAACACCCAAGUAUAAAUUUCAGUAUUAACAUCUUUUGGGGUUCGUAUUGUGGGUUUGUUCUUUCACGUUCAUUCUCAUCUAUAAUGGAAUUACCUCAUUCCAUUUUGGCCAAGGAUAUUGUCGACAUUUAAUAACUGAACGUGGUUCCAAUCAACACAGCCCAUUGAUGAUUUGAGUAGCUACUCCAAAACUAAAAAUUGUCAUUCAUCAAUUCAUGAUCUCAUCAUUCUCAUUUGCACGUGCAUGCAUCAAUUAUAAGCAUUUCUUUGCUUUUGGGUACCCAAGCCACUUCAUGGGGCUUUUAUUAUGUGAGAAUGUGGAUUAUAACCUCCAAUGGAGCGUUAUUUUACAGUCGGGCGUGGAUAAUCUCUAUUUUAGGGAGUUGGAACAUUUAGAACCCAUAUAUCUGUCAUGCUGCAGGCAUGCCACAGAUUAAUACAUACAUGUCAAUUAAUUUCUGGGACUAACCCAUACAUACGCAUUAGGCGUGCACAAUAUCAAUAUUGACAUGUCAAAGGAUUGUCCUUUCGGGACUUCAAUCCACAUCAUUUGCUACGCAACAGGCGUGCAUCAUAUUGAUCACUGCUAUACCUAUAUCCUGUUCUUAUGGGAAUUUAAUCUGUGUAGUGUAUUAUCAAUGUAUCCAACUUGCAAUCUGUAAAAUUUGCAUUAAUAAUUCAUGGAUACAUACAAGCCAUUCUUUUGGAACAGACUUAUCUCCCCAUUUGGUUACCUUUCAAGAUAAAAUAUCAAAUAAGUAUAUAAGCACAAAUACUGCUUACAUCCUUAGGUGGGAGAAACUUUUCUCAAGUAUCAUUCAAGCUCGUAUCGGCCCAGUAAAUAUAAUGUAGCGCUUGAUGAUCUAGUUAUAUCCUGCAAGAGCAAAAUCACAACUCUUUUCUCUGUCAAAAACAAAUAACCCUCAGAGUUAGGAUCACUCCAUGGAUUCUUUCUUCAGAUGUUCAUUCUAAAGAAAUAAAAUCUCUUAUGAACAGAGAGUUAUAAAAAGAGAAAAAAUGCAAAAAUAAUGUGAUAUUGAUUGCAAGAGAAGGUAAGCAAUCAAGGAAGAAAGCUGGUGGGAGCAGACAACAAGCUCAGCAAUCAAGGAAGGAAGCUGGUGGGAGCAAACAACAAGCUCUCAUUUCUUCUAGUCUAGAAGAACUUCCGGAGAUUAGAGCAUAAGGUUGCCUUCACAGUUCCCUGAUGUGGCGGAAACGUGAUCAGGGAUAGUCUCUCUUCCUGAAUGGAUGAUUAGAGAUAGUCUUGCUUCUCGGGCAUAUUAAGUGCUCACUGAUAAGAAAAACAAGUAGAUAUCGCAUCACUAGGUAUGGAGAAAAACUGGAUGUCUUCUGCAAAGAAAAUUUCGUUAGUAACACAUUUAUACACAAAUAAGAGGAAUAGGUAGAACCGGUGAAUUUCAAAUUAACCAUAGGAAAAUUGCGAGAUUCUCGGGGUGCUUUUGAAAAAAUAGCUCCGUGAAAUCCGCAAAGCAAGAUCGGCUUUUGACGAAAAUAAUACUUUGAAAACGCCGAAAGUGCCGACAAACAUUAAUGGAGGCCACGUGAAGUUUUGGAAUCUGGAAAGAAAAAGAGAAUAUGGGGAUCCGAAAAGAUAUUGGGAUCCUGAAAAACUGUAGCCAUAUUUCCUCCUAUAGAUAUUGCCUUUGCAAAACUUGAUUGGAGCAACUGCGUUUCAACUUAACUUCCUUCAUUUUCUGAAACUUUAGUUUUCUUAAGACUUUCUUCGAAACCUUCUUAAAAAUGGCUUCCUCUUCUUCCUGCCCAAAUUAUUUCAAUUUAAAUGAUACUCCCACAACAACCAGUGACGCCAAAGUUUGGCGUCCAUCCUUUGUAUCCCAAAAUCGUCAUCUCACAGUUAAUGAUUCUGUGAUGAUGAAUGAUGCUACUGCUGUCAUAGUAGCUAGGAAUUUCAUUACUCCAAUGGAUGAAAUGCUGUUAACAGGGAGGUCUGAGGAAGAGGCUAUUGAUGACUCAAUGGCUUUUAGCAUUCAGUGUGCUGCUUCUGUUUCUAACAUGGCUGAUCGUUUGCGUGCUAGAGCAGACGAGGUUGAGAGGCUAACAACUGAAAAUUCGUCUCUCCAAAGAAUGCUUCAUGAGUCUCAACAGGAGGUUGAGAAACUUAAAGGAGAGAAUAAUGCCUUGUUGAAACUGGUGAGUUCGUACUCUGUUGAUACACUGAGAAGGCUAGACAUGCUGCAGGUCUCCAAUGAAAGAAUUUUGGGAGACCACGAGAGGCUCAUGGCUAAGCUUAAGAGGCGUCGUCCUCUUCCUUCAGAAGCUUCCAGAACAUAAUGUAAUUUUAUAGAUUUUACAGGGCCUGCACCUUCAUUGCAGGUGGAAAAAUCUAUCUGUUGUAUGUUCCUUUCAUGUUAUAAUAAUUGCGCACAUUCUUAAACUUGCACUUGUGGUUUUUUUUAUUUUUUUUUUAUACGUCUUUUCAAAAUGACGGUUUGGAACCUUGUGCCUUAUAGGUUCAAAUAACCACAUCGACUCUCCCAAAUUUCAUAUUUCAAUGUAUGGAACUUUUGGCCUGGGCUAAACACAAACUCAGAAUUUAUUCGCCCUUUUCAAAUGGACAUGAAAUAUGAAUAGAGUAAAAGCCAUGCUAAUAUCUCAUAUAUUUGGGUUCAUGAGCUUCCGGCCCAGAUAUAACAAAAUGUGAGGGGAGCCUCAAUUCAUCAUUCUCUUAUGCCAAAGAAAUAUGUGGCGUACCACAAUUUGCAAUAAUACCUCAAGGGUUGUCCAUUUAAUUGUUGGAACUUCAGGUUCUCAACACUGUUAGAUUUUGAACCUCAAGCUAAAAUCACAUGUUCUCAUGGUAUGGACAUUUUUAAAAUUUUCUGUACAUAUUUCUGGACUUCAAGCCCUUACAUAAUUGUCCAUAUCUUGAGGAACUUCUGGCAUCUCAUUUAAUUGCUCAUUCAUGAGUUUAAGGAACUGCAGGUUCCCUUUUUGAAUAGUGAUGGUUUACCCAAAAUGGUUAAUAUUUAUGUAUACGUUACUAUUCAUAUAUCCGGUACUAUUCAUCAAGUCAUGAAUACGUAUCUAUUCAUGUGUACAGUACAUUUGCCAGUACAGUUAUCAUCCAUGUGUACGGCAUUAUGAACCAAUACGGUACUGUUACAUCAUUAAGGAACCCCAGGUCCUUAUUUACAUGUCAGGGAUCAAGGACCCUCAAGUCCAAUCACAUGUUUACAAAUAUAGUACCGGAGAGACUGCCAGCUCUCAUAUCAACGUCAUCAUCAAGGAUCUUCAAGUCCUGAUGUAAUUGUAUGAUGAAGAUCAAGGAACUUCUGGUCCUGAUCUGCAUACUGUAAAAACUCAUCAUACAGCACAAUUAAUCCAUAAAAUAAAUUACAGGUAAAUAAAUUACUGGUAUGGACGAUAAACCCGCACCAUACUUUAAAUAAAUAUAAAUGUGCGGUAAAAUAAAUUUAUAAAUUAAAUUGCUUGCUGUAUGGACGUUAAUCCCGCACCAUACUUUAAAUAAAUGUAAAUGUGCGGUAAAAUAAAUUUAUAAAUUAAAAUAAAUGUAAAUGUGCGGUAAAAUAAAUUUAUAAAUUAAAUUGCUUGCUGUAUGGACGUUAAUCCCGCACCAUACCUUAAAUAAAAUUAAAUGUGCGGUAAAGUAAAUUCAUAAAUUAAAUUGCUUGUUGUAUGGACGUUAAUCCCGCACAAUACCUUAAAUAAAUGUUAAAUGUGCGGUAAAGUAAAUGUGCUUGUAUGGGUAUUAAUUCUGCUCCAUACAUUUAAAUAAAAGUAAAGGCGUGGACGAUAAACCCGCACCACCCUUUUAAAUAGAUAAUGUUGUAUGGGUAAUAAACCUACACCAUACAGUAAAUAAAAUAAAUGUGGGGAUAAAAACCACCACAAAAAAAUAUAGAAGGUGAAACUGUCCAUAUAAUUACCAUAUAUAAGGAUAAAGUAAAGACAAUUAUUUGUGCAUUCAUAUCAACACCACAAUCAAAUAAUAUGAUAUUAUUAUACUAAUAUAUUAGUGGAAAGCAAGACAUAUCAUGUUGGCUUUUCUUCUUUUCACUUGCAAUUAAGUUGAACUUGUUGUGUAGAGAAAUAAUAAAAUAAUAAAAAAAAGUAAGAGGCAUAGAGCUUAUCCUUACAGUUGGUUUGCUCGUAUAUCUCUCUUGCAGACCACAGCUCCUCCACUACUUUUCUUCCUUACAUCGACAUAAGGGUUAGUAGUAUAGAUAAUAGUGCAACACAAAAAUUAUACCUGAGAGCUUCUCGUGUUGAUAACGUGUUAUAAAAUAACUGGGAUAUGUGCGAAUAUUGAGCUGCACGUAAAGUAGAUGAGACACAGUAUUUAACGAGGUUCGGUUAUGCCUACGUCCUCGGAGAGCAGUAACAGUAACUUUUCACUAUGUAAAAUAAUAGGGCUACAACUUUGUGUUUACAAUAUGUAUGGCUCACUCAAUUUUCUCUCUUGGAGAAUUUCUCUCUUGCUCUCUUUCCUCUCAACUCACUCACCCUCAUUCUUCCUUCUCUUCCUCUUCUAUAUGUGUAAACUUCUCUUGAUGGAGGUAUCUAUUUAUAGGCCUAAGACAUUGGUUGUUCACCUCACAAUAUAAUUGGUAGACAACAUCAUUAAUAUUCUUCAAUCAACAACAUCAUUAAUAUUCUUCAAUCAAUUGGGUAGUGGUUUGGUUUGGUGGGUGUGUGGUUAGGUUUGGUGGGUGUUAGUUGGCUAUGUGGGCUUCACCUAUUCUUCUUUACUUAUUCUUCUUUACAACAAUAGCAUUAUUUUCUUUCCUUUUUCGGUUCGCACCUCCUUUUGUUCCGCUAAUCUCAUUUUAAAAUGAGUGCUGUUAUUUCCACCCACAUGUCAUAUUUUUUCACUCACUUUAUCUUCCCACCCACCAUAUAAAUUUGCAAAAGGUAAUCCUAUUUUUCCGCCCACCAUAAAAUAUCCUUUACGGUGCAUCCAGCCAUUGUUUUUGUAAAUCAUCCAUAAUCAAUGUAUGAAUUUAAAUACUGAACACGAGUUUGGGAGUUGUCUGUGUAGAUAGAAACUGAAGAAUUGAAACUAACUUCAAAUUUGGGAAGAGUUGAAAACCAUAAACAUUGCAUCACAAAUCCAAUGGCGGGUAACAAAUUUGUUUUCUUGUAUUUCAGUUUCUUUGUACUUUAGUUUUACAUUUUUUUUUGGGUGUUAGUGCUCAUGUGGUUUUCCUUUCUGGAAACCUAACUUUGUAUGAUCUAUCUGUCCUCUUCGUUAAUAAAGCCUACUUUGAUCAAAACAGAAAAUCCAAUAGCGGGUAACAAGAACUUGCAGAGAGAGAGAGAGAGGCUGAGGUCGGGUCAGUAAGGAGAUGGUGGGGGUGGGUGGCAGUGAGAUGGUGGGGUGCUAGGGUUUGGAGAGGGCUGUUAGGGAUGAGUGGGUUCAUUCAAAGAGAGAGAUGGGAGAAGAGAGAGCGAAAGAGGGAGACGGAUUAGGGAAGAAUGUGAAGUCUGGGGAUGAUUUUUUAUUUUUAUGAAAAGCUAGAGAUGAAUUUUCAAUUUUAAAGCUUUUCCCUUAGUUAAAGUUUUUUUUUUAAAAAAAAAAUAUUUACAUUUUACAUUUUAUAAAGGGGUAAAUUUGUCUUUAAAAUUUUGAAGAUAAGGUGAGUGGGGAAAUAAGAUAAGGGAGUGGAAAUAUCAGCACUCUUUAAAAUUGACCACAUGCCUUUCCUAUGCUUUACCUUUUUUUCUUAUUAUAAAAAAAGUGGCAGGAGUGUCACCUCUCCAAGCCGAGCACGGAUUAAGAGAAAGCUCUACUCAAGAGAUUCGUUACCACCCAUAAUUAAACUUAAUCUGCACAUAUCACCCUUAGCCACACAUUUUGCAAAUACAAUCUAUAAAUCAUACAUGAAAAACAAUAAAACAGAAAUUAAACUAAACUAAAUGACUAUGAAUAUACCGAUAGCGAGUGUAAUCGUCGUGGUGCAACAAACCAUGCUGCAUCUGAGCAGAUCAAGAGAUCCAAUACUGUAAAAAUCAAAUUAAAAAAGAAAGAAGACGACGAAGAUGUAGUGAUUUGAAAAACAAACGGAUCAGAGUGCAAACCGUUAAUGGAGAAUUUAGGGGAAAUCUGAUCGGCACUGUUUGACUAAGGGUAAAAGAAUCAUUUCACAAAGGGAUUAGGUCUUGAAAAUCACUUGAAAAAUAGUCACCGUUGCCAUAAUUGCAACAGCAGCAGUGGAUUUCUGGCCCAGUUUCUUUAUUGAGCUCCUUGAUAAUUCUUAUUGAAUUUACAGUUUCCAACACCUAAUAUGAGAAACAAGCUUCAAAAUCUCCUCAUCACGCUCAUCAAAACCCUCGCACUCCCUCACAUCCAGAAGCACAAGCUCUCUGCACUCCUUCAGCAACAUCACAAGAUCGUUCUUCUCCAGGCAUGAGAGCCUGAAGCACAGGUACUUCAAAUUAAAUUAUUUACAAUCAGAAAUAAAUUAUUAAAAACAAAUGCACAUACAAUUAAAGAUAAGAAUUCCCAUCGUUUAACCCAAAAAAAAAAAAAACAAAACAAGAAGCACCCAAACAAAUAACAUACUAGUUAGUCACAAUAAAAGUGACUUUUUGCCUUUUUUUCGUUUUUGGGUCCAUUCUGCCGACACCUACUUUUUAUUCUUCUUCUGCUCCUUUUCUCUUUCAUUUUCCUAUCACCACCAACGUUCAUCUUUUUCUUCUUCUUCUUCUUCAUAAAACCCAAACUCGAGGGUACUAUUCAUCACUCUAGAAGUCCAAUUUCGAAAGCUCAAAUAAAAAAACUUCAUUCAUCAAAGUUGUUCAUCUGUUCGAAUACUACAACAUACCCAAACAUGAGCAUCAUCAGACCGGUCUAGCUACCUCGAACCGGCUAUGACAUUUUUAUGUUUAUCCAUGGCUGGUGAGUUUUCUGCAGCUCGGUUUUCAACAGUUUUCUUUAAUCUCCAUUGCUUGUUUGACAAAACGUCCUUCUCUAAGGUUGUUCCUCAGUUGGAGAACUUUGACAUCCAAAAAUCAGAGCAAUCCAACUACUCUAACUAUGUCUGUGGUAAGCAUGUUCGUCACUUCCUCGGAUUCUGCUGUUAUCACUGUAAAGUACCUUAUUCACUCUUGUAUGUCACUUUUCCCUUGCUCAGAUGACAAUACUUCCUUCAUGAAGCUUGUUCAGAAUUCUUUUCUCUACAAUAUAUCCAAAAAUAGCGGCAGUCCAACAAGUGUAGCUUUCUCGGCAGUGGUACACCUGAAACAAGCUUUUGGUAGUUUUCAAGUGUUGUUUGAAUUGGUUAUUUCUCUUUGGGAGCUUCACGUAGGAUUUCGCACCAAUAUUAAGGUAAAGUUUUAAGAUGCUUUGAUUCUGGAAAUUUGUGUCUGAGUUGUUGGCCGAAGCCGAAUUUGAAAGUGGAAGUACCAAAAGAUAAUUUAAAAUAAGUAUAUGUAAAGUGAAAAUAAAGGAAAAUGUAAGGACCAAAGUGAAAUUAUGGAUAAGUCUGAAGACUGAAAUGUAUUGGAAAAAGUAUAGGGGCCAAAGUGAAAAUAAAGGAAAGUAUAAGGACAAAAGUGAAAUUAUUGACAAGUGUGAGGACUAAAGUGCAAUUAAAGCUAGUUAUAAUGACUGAAUUGCAAAUGAGGGUUUUUAGUAACAUUUUUAAAAUGUUGGCCUAGGAAUCAGUUACCCAAGCAAGAACAAUUUGAGUUCAAAGGUGUAGAAUUCAAGUGAGGCAUUAGCUUUGGAUUCCAGGUAGGGGGACUCACUCCUGAACUUGUAUUUUUGUGUAUGUAUGACAUUGUAUAUAUUGUUGUGUGCGAAAACGAAAACUGUAAUGUUUGUGAUUGCCUAAAUUAACACUUUAGUUUUUUUUAUUUUCUUUACUUUUUUUUUUGUUGGGUGAGCAAAAUACAAGUGGUUCCUUUACACUUUAGUAGGAAAACUCUUGUUCAUAACUUUGGUAAUAAUCUUUCUUUAUUUUGGGGAUUAAGGUCCUAUUUGUUUACUUUCUCCGGUUCGUUGCUUUUCUUCCUUUGCUUGUUCUAUUUCUCUCAUCUUACAACACAAAUAUAUAUAUAUAUAUUUCAAAAAUAAAGAAAGCUCUAUUUCAAAAAUAGAAGUUCAUUCUUUAUUUUGUUUCUCUUCUAUCUCUGGUGUGUUUAUCCCUCUUCUUGGUAUCAGAGCCAUAAGAGUUACGGUCUUUGUCUAAGUCUGCUACUCAUCCCCGCCCAAGUGGCUGGUUUAAGCUUCUGAGUAGAAGUUCUUCAAUUUCUUCCUUUCCUUCCCUUUUAUUCUUUGAGUUAUUUGUUAAUCUUUCUUUAAGGUCUGACCCGUGAGUCCUUUUUCCAAACAGUAAGUCCCCAGUGUAGAGGACCUGAGCGGUGGGCAGGAGACAAAAUUAAGAGAGGUUAAUAGGUUCCUUGUUGAGUAAACGGUCAGUUUAGGAAGUCUCUGUUUAUCUUCUUCCUCAGAUAGCCAAAUCCAAUCAUUUGAGUAGUCACGAGUCGUUUAUUUAGAACGAAUUCCUGUAGUUCAAACAGUUCUAAAACCAAUAUAAGCCGACUCCCAGAGAUAGUUAAUGAAGAACAAUUUGAAUAUGAUUCUAGUAGUAAAGAACAACUAGACUUUAGAGAUUGGAAUAUACCUAAAGUCCCGAAUCAAAAAAUAUAUAAGAAACAUUGGUUGCCUUCUAGUUUUAAUAGCACAACUCAUGUGAAAACAGUUGAACAAGUGUAUGCUUUAAGUAAAGAACAUGAAACCUGCCAAUUGCUUAAUCUUGAUUCAAUUAAGAAACAUAAGAAUGAUGGUAAUAACUUUCUGCUUAUUGGAUUAGUUCAAGUUGAUGUAAAACCCCUAACAAGAUUAGGUUUGAAAGCCUCAAUUCUUCUUUGUUUGCGUGAUGCUAGAUUUACUGAAUUUAGUGACAGCACCUUAUGAGUCAUUGAGUCCAGUUUAUGUAAUGGCCCAGUACAUUUUAAUUGUUAUCCUGAUUUCACUGUAAGUCUCAGUGAUCCUCAUAUACUAAGAACAUUAACUCUAAACAUUAAGACUGAAGGUUACAAUGUCCUCCCAGGAACCCAACCUUUAGCCUUGGUUUACAGAAUUUAUUACAAAGUCACAAGUACUAAUAUGAAUUUUCAAGCUCUUAAUAAAAGCCCAAAAGACCAAACUGUUUUAAUCCAGAGUCAUACUUCAGAUGCCCAUAUCCAAGUCCCUCAAACCAUUAAGUGGUCAGAAGUUGCCCUUCCAAAAGAUUAGAGUCUAAACAAUUUAGAUUACAUCCAACAAUAUUUAGAUGGCACAGUAAAAAUUAGAUUUGAAAAUCAACCCUUGAAGAAAUCUAAUGUCUAGUUGCAACAGCUACCGAUCCCUGGUCAAUCCCAGAGGCAUGCCCCUGCCAGGCAUUCCUUUGCAGCUUCGUCCUCCACUCUGGAGCGCGAUUUAGAAUUAGAAAAAGCCAUGAUUGAUUUCAAACUUGAGUCCCUGAGAAAAACCUCUCAGGUAAACCAACCUUGCUAUGGCAAGAUACCAGUCCAAGAUGAUAAGUCCGAUUCGCCUAAAUCACCCACACAAUCUGACUUCUUAGUUGAAAACUUUGCAAUAGUCGAUAAUCAACUUAGAACCCUUAAUAAAAAAUUUGAGAUUAAUUGGAAGCGUUUAAAUUACCACCUCAAAGCCCCGGAAAAUCAACCCAGGAGAGACAGUUAUCAUCAAGCCUACCCUGAUAGUGAAAGCCGCCAAAAAAUCUUUAAUGAAUGGAAAUAUUAUAUGCGGUCAGCCAAAGUUGAAAUUUUUUACCUUGAUUUUAUUGAAAGCCGCUAUAUGUCUAAUGAUGAGUUAAAAACUUUAACUAAAGAAAAAUGGAAAAUGAUCGACAGGUCAGAAGUUGAAGCUAGUCAUCCUCCAGUUGAUACCAUAAUCAUCAACCAUAAGAAUACACAUACCUAUACCUGCCACUCCCUUCAAAACCUUUGAAAACGAUGAUGAUAAUAGAAGACUUAUUGAGCAGAAUAAUUAUACCAAUCAGAGUUUAAUCGUCAUAGGAAAAUAAUUAGAUACAAUUGAAACCAAGAUAGACAAAAUAAGUUCCCCUGAGAUUAAGUCCAAAACAAAAGUUGAAAAACCAAUAGUUCAGUUUCAGGAUCUUAAGUCAAGCCCUGCGCUUAAGAUAAAACCCACAAUGAAAAAAAUUGAAGAAAUGUUAGAACAGUUGACCCCAAGUAAAAAUCUGGUCUUAAAACACUAGAUUCUUUUGCAGUCAUAAACUCCUCUGAGUCUGAGACAACAGAAUCUGAAACUAGUAAUAUUUCAAAAAUAGAAGAUGCUUUAAAAAAUUUAGAAGUCCAAGUUGAACCCAAAAUCAAAAGAUUAGAUAGACACAUAAGCCCCACUAGCUUAACCAAAAAUUGGUACCCUAGACCAACACCUCCAGAUAUCCAAUUUGAAGAAAGAAACUUCCAAACCCAGUUUUCAGUUUCUUCUGAAAAAUUGUAUGAAUGGAAUAUUGAUGGUCUAUCUGAGCAAGAAAUCUUGAAUAAGUUACAACAUAUGUCAAUGGUUGCCAACAGUUACAUCACCAAUCACAGUUUCAGACAGUCUGAAAUCGUUCCCCUGUUAGUUACUGGAUUCACUGGUACUCUCAGGUAUUGGUGGGACAAACACUUAACCUCUGAGUCCAAAAAUCUGAUCAUUCAUGCUGUAAAACUUAAUGAAGAUGGUCUCCCUAUAUUUGACGAACAAAUAGGUCAAGGUAUAGAAGACGGAGUCAACACUUUGUUUUACACAAUAAUUGAGCAUUUCAUUGGAACCCCUAGUAACACCAUUGCUAGGAUCCAUGACCAACUACGUAACCUCAAAUGCCCUAAGUUGUCUGAUUUCAGAUGGUACAAAGAUGUCUUUAUCUCUAGAGUUAUGCUUAGGGAUGAUAGUAAUCAACCUUUCUGGAAAGAAAAAUUUGUUAAUGGUCUUCCAAACCUGUUUGCCCAUAAAAUACACACAACUCUGAGUAAUGAACAAGGUCACAUAGAUUGGGAUAGUUUGACGUAUGGAAAUAUCAUAAGUACAAUCAACCAAGUUGGAAUGAAAAUGUGUAUUGACUUUAAAAUUAGUAAACAAAUACAGUCCGAUAGAAAAUCAGCCAAAUACGAAUUAGGUAAUUUCUGUGAACAGUAUGGUCUUACCAGCAUCCCUCCUUCCAGGAAAAAUAAGCCUAGUCACCUUCGAAAAAAUUGUUAUUCUUUCCGAAGAAAACAAUUUUCUCGACAUAAUGAUGAUAAUCAUGAGUUCUAUAAGAAAAGGAAAUUUUUCCCCAAGAAAAAUUGGUCGAAAGCCCCAACAGGUCAAAAGAGUCGUCAUUCCAAGAGAAAUACUGAUAAAACUAAGGUCAAAUGUUUCAAAUGCCAAAAGUCUGGUCAUUAUGCCUCUGAAUGCAAAGUAAAAGAUACUAUUAAACAGUUGAAAAUUGCAGAUGAAGAAAAAGAAAAAUUGCUAAAAGUCUUGGAGUUGCGAGACUUUGAAACAAGCAAUGAUGACACUUUAGUGGCCAACUCUGAGUCUAAUUCUGACCAGUCUUCAAAAUCACAGUUAAGUUCACCCAACAUCCAAAUUGGUUGCACAGAUAAGUGUUGUAACAUAUUAAAAUCUAUUUCUUUUCUUACCAAACAAGAAGAACAAGAGGAAUUACUAAUAGACCUAAUAAGCAAAGUUAAGAAUCCCGAAUUAAAAUCAGAAUAUUUAAAGAAAUUAAGAAAGGUCAUUAGCCAAGAAAGCCCAACUCAUUCUACUCCCCAGUCGAUUAGUAUAAAUACUACUUUAGAGAAAUUUGCUCAAAAGAAAGAAAUUACCUUACAAGACCCCCAAUUAGAAGUAAAAUUGAUUAAAAAAGAGAUCGUUGAAUUAAAACAAAUAAGUCAUAAGUUACAAAGUGAGAAUUACACGAUCAAACAAGAUUUAGCCAAUCUUUUGAAAAAAGAGUCUUUUGAGUCCAAAAGCCAGUCAGAAAGUCCAAAUAACUCUGAUGAUGAACCUUCACCUUCUAAUAGCCAACAAGUUGUAAAUUUAAUUAAACAAGUUAACCUUAGAAAAUGGUACUCGAAAGUGACGAUUUUCGUCCAAGACUUUGAAUUUACCACAGUUGCCCUAUUUGACUCAGGAGCUGAUCUUAACUGUAUUCAGGAAGGUCUAAUUCCUACUAAGUUUUACCAGAAGUCUAGAGAAUCCCUAAGCACUGCUUCGGGAAAAACACUCCAGUUAAAUUUUGAACUGCCUAAAGCCCAUAUCUGCCAGAUUAAAGUCUGUUUCAAAACCUCAUUUGUCUUAGUCAAAAACAUCACUGACGAAGUCAUUUUGGGAUUACCUUUUAUUGCCUUAUUGUAUCCCUUCUAGGUAGACUAUGAUCGUGUCAUCUCUACCCAUUUAGGCGAAAAGGUCAAAUUUGAAUUUCUGUCUAAACCAGAGUUGCAUAAUUUAAAAACCUUGCAAAAACAGUCAGUGUCCAAGUCAAUACAAAUCAUUCGGAAAAAUAACCAGUUGAAUUUUCUUAAAGAAGAAAUUAGAUUUAAAAGAAUUGAACAAUAGAUUGCUGAUAAAUCUCUGCAAUUGCAAAUUCAGCAUUUUGAAAAUAAAUUGAAAAAUGAGAUUUGCUCUGAGUUGCCUAAUGCCUUUUGGUAUAGAAAACAACAUGUUGUUUGUCUUCCUUAUAUCAAAACCUUUAAUGAGAAACACAUUCCUACCAAAGCCAGACCAAUUCAGAUGAGUCAAGACAUAAUGGAGUUUUGUAAAAAAGAAAUUCACGAGUUGCUUCAAAAGAAAAUAAUCUGCAAAAGCAAGUCCCCUUGGUCAUGUCCUGCUUUUUAUGUCCAGAAAAAUGCUGAGCUAGAAAGAGGAGUCCCGAGAUUAGUUAUCAACUACAAGCCACUUAAUUCAGUUUUAGAAUGGAUUAGGUACCCCAUACCUAACAAAAGAGACCACAUUAAUAGAUUAGAAAAGGCAGUUGUUUAUUCUAAAUUUGAUAUGAAGAGUGGUUUCUGGCAAAUCCAAAUCGAAGAGUCAGAUAGAUAUAAGACUGCAUUUGUUACUCCCUUUGGUCAUUAUGAAUGGAAUGUAAUGCCAUUUGGUCUAAAAAAUGCCCCUAGUGAAUUCCAAAAUAUUAUGAAUGAAAUUCUUAAUCCUUACAGCCAUUUCUCAAUUGUUUAUACUGAUGAUGUUCUUAUCUUCUCUGAGUCUAUAGAACAGCAUUGGAAACAUUUGCAUAAAUUCUUCCAAAUAGUCAAACAGAAUGGUCUAGUUGUUUCCACCAAGAAAAUCAAGUUAUUCCAAACCAAUGUCAGGUUUCUUGGUUUCAACAUCUCCCAGUCACAAAUCUCCCCAAUUGAUUGAGUCAUUCAAUUUGCUGACAAAUUUCCUGAUCAAAUCCUUGAUAAAAGUCAACUCCAGAGGUUCCUAAGAUCUUUGAAUUACAUUUCUGACUUUUACCAAAAUCUGAGAAGACAAUGGUAAGCCCUUGUUUGAUAGAUUACAGAGUAAUCCUCCUCCAUGGUCAACCAUCCAUACUGAAGUUGUCAAACAAAUCAAAGCCCAUGUCAAGACACUUCCCUGUCUUGGUAUUCCUUCAGUUGAUUCCUUUAAAAUAGUUGAAAUUGAUGCCUCUGACAUUGGUUAUAGUGGUAUCCUCAAACAAAGAAUUUGUUCAAAAUCUCCAGAACAGAUUGUUCGUUUUCAUUCUGGAACUUGGACUCAGUCGCAAAAUAAUUAUAGUACUAUUAAAAAAGAAAUAUUAGCUAUUGUACUGUGUAUUAGUAAAUUCCAAGAUGAUUUGCUCAAUCAAAAGUUUUUAAUACGAGUUGAUUGUAAAUCUGCAAAACAUGUUUUAGAAAAAGAUGUUCAAAACAUUGCAUCUAAACAGAUUUUUGCACGUUGGCAAAGCAUUUUAAGUAUAUUUGAUUUUGAUAUUGAAUAUUUGAGAGGAAGUGAGAAUUCAGUUCCUGAUUUUCUUACUCGAGAAUUCUUGCAGGAUACACAAUGGAACCCAAAAAAGACAAGCAAAAAGAAUCAGCCAAUCAACCUAAGCCACCCCAGUCGCUUCGAACCCUUCGUCCAUCCAUGAGUCAAAAUAAGCCAGAAAUGCCAGAAAUGCCCAAACAGUUGAUUCCUUUUCCUGGUUGCACUCCCAUUUCAGUUGCCACGCCAAUAUCAGUUGCUAAUAGGUUUUCUACCCUAGGAUCCACAGUUGGCCAAAUCCGCCCCAGUUAUCAGUCAACCCUAGUCUCUAGUUAUGAUCCUUUUUCAGUAGAUACCCCAGCUGGCCCCUCAGUUGCCUUCAAAAAAUCAUCCCCUUAUUUGCCCAAAAGCAAUUCUCACUUAUUUGUUAUUGAGCCUGUUUAUGAUAUUCAUUCUGAUCCCAUUGAAAUAGCCAAACACUAUUUCCCCCCAGGAUUUCAUUAUAUGCCACCCAGUCCAUACAAGUCUCUCAAGUAUUAUAGGGAUAUUACUUGAAACCCAGUCAGUUGAAAUCAAACCAAUAAAGGAUCGAGAUCACCUUGAGAUCAUCCUUUAUCAUUCCCUUUAUAUUCACAAAAUCCUGAGCCAAGAAUCUUUUAGUAGCCGCCCUUAUGAAUUAAAGCUCCUUAAGUCAAAAUUACAAUAUAAAUAUUCUGAUUAUAUUGAAGCCUGGUACUCUAUUUUCCUCCACCAGUCUGAGGAUUUUAGCCAUUCCUGGUUUAUCAAUUUCGACAAUAAGUUCAAAUGCUCUUUUCCCUAUUGGUUCCUCCAUUGGUGGGAAAAACAUGGUCCAGUUGAUGAAAUUUUGCCUGUUUCAGUUCAUGAGUUAAUUCGCCAUUAUACCAAAAAAGCCAAAUUCUCCAAAGUUGAUUUAUUCUUCCCAAAACAGUUGCUCUUUAUUACCAGAUAUAAAGUCCCUUGGAUCCUCAAAUGGUCCUAUAGAAUAACCAAAGAUGCCAGAAUAUUUGCCCGUCAAUUCUCUGUUAAAUGGUGGGACAAAUUUGAAGUUGAAAGAAUUGCCAAGUAUGUCUACAAUGAUCUUCCCCAUGAGCCUAUUCCGCACCCAGUUUCUCCUACUGGUUCAGUUCGAUCUUCUCUCUCAGUCGAAGGGAAAUCAAAGUCUGAACUCCACGAAAUUGCUCGCCAGUUGAUCAUUCAAGCCUCUCAAAUGGAUGAUGAUGAAGAUAAUGAUUCUCCUUCGUCAUUUAGUUGUCAGCCAAUGCAGAGCCCUGCCAAGCAUAAGUCCUGGUAUGAAGAUAGUCAAGACCCCUAUGAUGCCUAUGACUUGCACUCUGAUUAGGCUCCUAGUUGCAGACACAAUAAUUGCCCCAAGUUGCAGACAAAAUAAUUGCCUCGGUUUGAAGCAUCCAUCCGCUUUCUCAUCACUUCACCGAAAGUGGCCUGAGCAAAAGAAUAGUAAAAGUUAUUCCUUUAGAAAAAGACAAGAGUGAAAGUUGAAUCAGUUCUUUCCCGUGCCUCUACAGUAGCAUUAACCAUAGUUGCUUUUUACUAAAUUACUCAAAAUAGAGAUAAUUGAAAAUAACAACUUUUAUUUAUACUCACAAAAUAGCAACUGCAACUUCAAGCUUCACACUCAGUAUUUACAAGGAUGAUUUCUCCAAAAGUGUUUCAGAGAGAAUCUAUAAAACUGAAUUCUGAAAUUUUUUAGUUCUGCUUACAACUGAGGCCAAGGCCAUCUUAAAUAGGUAGAGGCAACUACAGUUUAAGCAACUAUAGUAAAAAGCAACUACGGUUAAUGCUACUGUAGAGGCACGGGAAGGAACUGAUUCAACUUUCACUCUUGUCUUUUUAUGAAGGAAUAACUUUUACUAUUCUUUUGCUCAUGCCACUUUUGGUAAAGUGAUGAGAAAGCGGAUGGAUGCUUCAAACCGAGGCAAUUAUUUUGUCUGCAACUUGGGGCAAUUAUUGUGUCUGCAACUAGGAGCCUAAUCAGAGUGCAAGUCAUAGGCAUCAUAGGGGUCUUGACUAUCUUCAUACCAGGACUUAGGCUUGGUAGGGCUCUGCAUUGGCUGGCAACUAGAUGACGAAGGAGAAUCAUUGUCUUCAUCAUCAUCCAUUUGAGAGGCUUGAAUGAUCAACUGGCGAGCAAUUUCUUGAAGUUCAGACUUUGAUUUCCCUUCGACUGAGAGAGAAGAUCGAACUGAACUAGUGGGAGAAACUGGGUGCCGAAUAGGCUCAUGGGGAAGAUCAUUGUAGACAUACUUGGCAAUUCUUUUAACUUCAAAUUUGUCCCACCAUUUAACAGAGAAUUGAUGGGCAAAUAUUCUGGCAACUUUGGUUAUUCUGUAGGACCAUUUGAGGAUCCAAGGGACUUUAUAUUUGGCAAUAAAGAGCAACUGUUUUGGGAAGAAUAAAUCAACUUUGGAGAAUUUGGCUUUUUUGGUGUAAUGGGGAAUUAACUCAUGAACUGAACAGGCAAAAUUUCAUCAAUUGGACCAUGUUCUUCCCACCAAUGGAGGAACCAGUAGGAAAAAGAGCAUUUGAACUUAUUGUCGAAAUUGAUAAACCAUGAAUGGCUAAAAUCCUCAGAUUGGUGGAGGAAAAUAGAGUACCAGGCUUCAAUAUAAUCAGAAUAAUUAUAUUGUAAUUUUGACUUAAGGAGCUUUAAUUCAUAAGGGCGGCUACUAAAAGAUUCUUGGCUCAGGAUUUUGUGAAUAUAAAGGGAAUGAUAAAGGAUGAUCUCAGGGUGAUCUCGAUCCUUUAUUGGUUUGACUUCAACUGACUAGGUUUCAAGUAAUAUAUCCCUAUAAUACUUGAGAGACUUGUAUGGACUGCGUGGCAUAUAAUGAAAUCCUGGGGGGAAAUAGUGUUUGGCUAUUUCAAUGGGAUCAGUACGGAUAUCAUAAACAGGCUCAAUAACAAACAAGUGAGAAUUGCUUUUGGGCAAAUAAGGGGAUGAUUUUUUGAAGGCAACUGAGGGGCCAACUGGGGUAUCUACUGAAAAAGGAUCAUAACUAGAGACUAGGGUUGACUGAUAACUGGGGCGGAUUUGGCCAACUGUGGAUCCUAGGGUAGAAAACCUAUUAGCAACUGAUAUUGGCGUGGCAACUGAAAUGGGAGUGCAACCAGGAAAAGGAAUCAACUGUUUGGGCAUUUCUGGCAUUUCUGGCUUAUUUUGACUCAUGGAUGGAGGAAGGGUUCGGAGCGACUGGGGUGGCUUAGGUUGAUUGGCUGAUUCUUUUUGCUUGUCUUUUUUGGGUGCCAUUGUGUAUCCUGCAAGAAUUCUCGAGUAAGAAAAUCAGGAAUUGAAUUCUCACUUCCUCUCAAAUAUUCAAUAUCAAAAUCAAAUAUACUUAAAAUGCUUUGCCAACGUGCAAAAAUCUGUUUAGAUGCAAUGUUUUGAACAUCUUUUUCUAAAACAUGUUUUUCUAAGUCACCCUUCCCUUAGAUUGGACCUUAACAAAUGAUAGUCCACCAGUCCCAACUCAACAUAGUCUAAACAAUUUAGAUUAUAUCCAACAAUAUCUAAAUGGCACAGUCAAAAUUAAUUUCGGAAACCAACCACAACAAAAGUCCUCAGUCCAGUUACGACAACUUCCCACACCUGGUCAAUCCCAGAGACACGUCCCUGCUAGACACUCCUUUGCAGCCGCCUCCUCUACUCAAGAACAAGACCUCAUGUUAGAGAAAGCUUUCAUUGAUUUAAAAUUAGAAUCGUUGAGAAAAUCAUCCCAAGUUAGUCAACCCUGUUAUGGUAAAACACUAGUCAAAGAAGAUACUAAAUCUGAGUCCCCUGAGUCACCUACACAAACAGACUUUGAAGCCGGUUUUCAAAUUGAUAACCAAUUAAGAACCCUUAAUAGAAAAUUUGAGAUCAAUUGGAAAAGAUUAGAUAGUCAUACGUGCCCCAGAAAACCAGUCUAGAAAAGAAAAAUACCAUACAGCCUAUCCUGACAAAAUCAAAAGAUAACAAAUUUUUAAUGAAUGGAAACAAUAUAUAAGAACAGCCAAAGUUGAAAUUUAUUAUCUUGAUUUUGUAGAAAGCCGUUACAUGACAAAAGAGUUAAAAACUUUAACCCAAGAAAAAUGGGAAAAAGAAGACAAAACAGAAGUCUUAGCCAGUCGUCCUCCAGUUGAGACAAUAGUUAUUCACCAUAAAAAGUCAAAAAUAGUGGCUAGACCUUACAAAAUCCCUGACGAAGACAAUAAAAUGAUUGUAGAACAAAACAAUUACACCAACCAAAGUCUAGUUGUCAUAGGAAAACAGUUAGACAAAAUAGAAACAAAAGUCGACAAAUUACUACCUAAUAAAGUUGAACCCAAAUUACAAAAAGAAAAACUUUUAGUUAAAUUCCAAGACUUAAAGUCAAGCCAAACCUUUAAGACAAAACCUAUAAUGAGAAAAAUAGAAGAAAUGCUUGAAAAAUUAACCCCUGAGAAAGCCAAGAAAUCCGGUGUUAAAGUCUUAGGAUCCUCUGAGCUACACUUUGCUGUAGUUAAUUCCUCUGAUUCUGAGUUAGUCAUUAGUAUGGAAACAUAAACUAGUAACAUUUCAAAAAUUGAAAAUGCGUUUAAAAAUUUGGAAUUAGAAAAUGAUUUAAAAGUUAAAAGGCUAGCUAAUAGAGUCAACCCCACAAGCUUAACCAAAAAUUGGUAUCCCAGACCAACCCCCCCAGAUAUCCAGUUUGAAAAACGAAACUCCCAGGGCCAGUUUUCCGUUUCUUCAGAUAAAUUAUAUGAAUGGAAUAUUGAUGGUAUAUUUGAGCAAGAAAUCCUUAAUAAACUUCAACAUAUGUCUAUAGUCGCCAAUAGUUACAAUACCAAUCACAGUUUUAGACAGUUUGAAAUUAUGCCUUUGUUAGAGACUAGUUUCACCGGAACCUUACGUUCUUGGUGGGAUAAACAUUUAACUGAUGAGUCUAAGCAACAAAUAAUCCAUGUAGUCAAACUUAAUGAAGAAGGUCUUCCUAUUUUCGACGAACAAGUAGGUUGAGGUAUAGAAGAUGGAGUCAAUACCUUAUUAUACACAAUAAUUGAGCAUUUCAUUGGAACACCUAGUAACACCACUGCUAGAAUUCAUGAUUAGCUUCGUAACCUUAGAUGCCCUAAGUUAUCUGAUUUUCGUUGGUAUAAAGAUGUCUUCAUCUCCAGAGUCAUGAUUAGAGAUGAUAGUAAUCAACCAUUUUGGAAAGAAAAAUUCAUUAAUGGUCUCCCUAAUUUGUUUGCACACAAAAUACGCACAGUCCUUAGUAAUGAUCAAGGUCAUAUAGAUUGGGAUAAUUUAACCUAUGGUAAUAUAAUUAGCACAAUUAAUCAAGUCAGUAUGAAAAUGUGUGUAGAUAUGAAAAUUGGAAAAUAAAUUCAGUCAGAAAAGAAUUCAGCUAAGUAUGAGUUAGGUAAUUUCUGCGAACAGUAUGGUCUAAUAUCUGUUCCCCCAUCUAGAAAAGCCAAGUCUAGUCACCAUGACCGACAGUUUAGUAAGCAUCGUCAUUAUUCAUGAAGAAAUCAAUCUUUCCGAAGAAUAAUGAGAAUAAUGAGUUUUACAGUAAAAAGAGAUUUUACCCGCGUAAAAAUUGAAAAAGAGUCACGAAAAAGAUAUGAAAAGUCACUUUAAGAAAACUACCGACAAAAGAAAAGUUAAAUGUUAUAAAUGUCAAAAGUUUGGUCACUAUGCUAAUGAUUGUAAAGUAAAAGACACAAUCAAACAAUUGAAAAUCAUGGAUGAAGAUAAAGAAAAGUUAGUCAAAGUCUUAGAGUUAAGAAACUCAAAGUCUAGUGAAAAUGAGACCAUGGUUAGUAACAUUGAGUCAAAAGAGUUUAAUUCCUCAGAUUCCCAGAUAAGUUCACCUAGAAUUCAAUUUGGUUGUCAAGAUAAUUGUUGUAAGUCUAAGUCAAUUAAUGUCCUUACUAAACAAGAAGAACAAGAAGAAUUAUUAAUUGAUUUAAUAAAGUAAAGUUAAAAACCCAGAGUUGAAAUCUGAGUACUUAAGAAAUUAAGGAAACACAUCAGUCAGGAAGAACCAAGUCCGUCUACCCCUCAAAGGAUAAGUUUGAACACUACUUUAGAAAGAUUCAACAAAAGAAAAGAAGUUACUUUACAAGAUUUACACCCAGAAGUAAAAUUAGUCAAAAAAGAAAUAGUGGAACUAAAACAGAUAAGUCAAAAGUUACAGGUAGAAAACUAUGAGAUUAAACAAGAUUUAAUUAAUCUAAUCGGAAAAUCUGAGUCUAUGCCAGUAAGCCCUACAAAUUCAUAUGGUGAACCCUCCAAUCAGGAUCAAGUUGAAUUAUGAGAUUCCUAAAGCCCAUAUAUGUCAAGAUAAAAUUUGCUUUAAAACCUCAUUCGUCUUAGUCAAAAAUAUUACUGAUGAAGUCAUCUUAGGAUUACCCUUUAUUGCCCUACUGUAUCUUUUCCAGGUAGAAUACGAUGGAGUCAUUUCUACCCAUUUAAGAGAAAAGGUUAAGUUUGAAUUCCUAAGUAAACCAGAGUUACAUAAUUUAAAAGCCUUGCAAAAGAACGCAGUCACCAAAACAGUUAAAAUAAUUGAAAAUAAAGAUAAGCAAUUAAGAUUCCUCCAGGAAGAAGUCAAAUUCAAAAGAAUUGAGCAACAACUUAGUCUUGAGUCUUUGCAGACACAAAUUCGCCAAUUCGAAGAAAAUUUUAAACAAGAAGUUUAUUCUGAGAUACCCAAUGCUUUCUGGCAUAGGAAACAACAUGUUGUUAGUCUUCCUUAUGUCAAAUCCUUUAGUGAAAAGAAUAUCCCCACUAAAGCCAGACCAAUUCAAAUGAGUCAAGAAUUAAUAUAAUUUUGUAAAAUUGAAAUUUCAGAAUUACUUGAGAAAGGAAUAAUUCGUAAGAGUAAGUCACCCUAGUCCUGCCCUGUUUUCUAUGUCCAAAAAAAUGCUGAGUUAGAACGCGGUGCCCCAAGAUUAAUUAUUAAUUAUAAGCCUCUUAAUACGGUAUUAGAAUGGAUCAGGUACCCAAUACCCAAUAAGAGAGAUCUAAUUAACAUGUUAGAAAAAUCAGUCAUCUUUUCUAAAUUUGAUAUGAAGAGUGGUUUUUGGCAAAUCCAAAUUCAUGAGUCUAAUAGAUAUAAAACUGCUUUUGUCACGCCAUUUGGUCAUUAUGAGUGGAAUGUCAUGCCUUUCGGUCUUAAGAAUGCGCCCAGUGAAUUUCAAAAUAUAAUGAAUGAGAUAUUUAAUCCCUUAAGUCAUUUCUCUAUAGUUUAUAUUGAUGAUGUUCUUAUCUUUUCUCAGUCGAUAGAACAACAUUGGAAACAUUUGCAUAAGUUUCUGCAGAUAGUCAAACAAAAUGGUCUAGUUCUUUCUGCUAAGAAAAUUAAGUUGUUUCAAACUAAUAUCUGAUUCCUUGGUUUUAAUAUCUACCAGUCACAGAUUAGUCUAAUUGAUCGAGUUAUCCAGUUUGCUGAUAAAUUCCCUGAUCAAAUCCUAGACAAAAGUAAACUCUAGAGAUUUCUAGGAUAUCUAAAUUAUGUUUAUGAUUUUUACAAAAAUUUGAGAAAACAAUGUAAGCCUUUAUUUGAUCACCUCCAGAGUAAUCCUCCUCCUUUGUCACCCAUUCAUACAGAAAUAGUCAAACAAAUCAAGGUCCAUGUCAAAACACUCCAUUGUCUUGGCAUUCCUUCAGUUGAUUCCUUCAAAAUAGUUGAAACUGAUGCCUCUAAUAUUGGUUAUGGAGGUAUUCUCAAGCAAAGAGUUUAUUCUAGUCAAAUUGAGCAAAUCAUCCGAUUCCGUUCCGGUAUUUGGACACAGUCACAAAGUAAUUAUAGUACUAUUAAGAAAGAGAUAUUAUCUAUAGUAUUAUGUAUUACUAAAUUUCGAGAUGAUUUAUUAAAUCAAAAUUUUUUAGUCCGAGUUGAUUGUAAGUCUACUAAGCAUGUAUUAGAAAAAGAUGUUCAAAAUAUUGCAUUCAAACAAAUUUUGCACGAUGGCAAGCUAUUUUGAGAAUAUUUGAUUUUAAUAUUGAAUAUUUGAGAGGAAGUGAGAAUUUUGUUCCUGAUUUCCUUACUAGAGAAUUUCUACAGGAAAAACAAUGGCAGACAGAAGAAAACAUAAAUAGAAAGAACAAGCCAGUCAAUCCAGAUCCAUUCAAUUCAGUCAACCCCAAUCACUCAGAGUACUCCCUCCAUCCAUGAAUCCACCUAAAAUAGAGUUACCAUCCCAGAUCAUCCCUUAUCCGGGAUGUUCUCCAAUCCAAAUAAGCAACAGAUUCGCCACUUUAGGAGCCACAAUAGGCCAAAUCCGUCCCAGUUUCCAAUCUGCCCUAGUCUCUAGUCAUGAUCCUUUCCAAGACACCACCGAGUUUACUCCUCCAAUUGCCUCAUACCAAAAGUCAUCCCCCUACAUGCUCAAGAGUAAUAGUCAUCUCUUUAUCAUUGAGUCAAGAGUAAUAAUCACUCCACCGCAUUUUGGGGAUUGGAGUCUUCUGACUGGAUGACAUUCUUGGUUGACAAGUGGAUGACUAGGAUUUUGAGGAAGAAUCACUAUCAUCUUCUUCAUUCAUUUGGGAGGCUUGUAACAUUAAUUGGCGACCAGUUUCCUGCAAUUCAGACUUAGAUUUUCCCUCGAUUGGGAGAGAAGAAUGGGAAGUACCAGGAGAUGACUUUUUGUCUGACUGGGGAUUCCUGACUGGAGGAAUGUCUGAAUAAACAUAAUCUGCAAUUCUCUCAAUUUUGAAUUUAUCCCACUAUUGAAUUGAAAAUUGGCGAGACAGGACUCUCGAUUCCCAAUUGACUUGGUAGGACCAUUUUAAGAUCCAGGGGACUUUAUAUUUAGCAAUGAAAUGGAGUAGAUUAGGGAAGAAUAACUCAGACUCAUUAAACUUGUGUUUAUUGGUGAAAUAAUUGACUAGAUCUUGCAUUUGUGGAGGAAGGAGAUCAAUAACUGAACCAUGUUUUUCCCACCAGUGAAGAAACCAAAAGGGAAAAGGACUCUUGAAUUUAUUGUCAAAAUUAAGGAAUCAGGAGUGACUAAAAUCGACUGUUUGAUGAAGCGAGAUGGAAUACCAAGCUUCAAUGUAAUCAUAGUAACUGUAUUGGAGUUCUGACUGAAGAACUUUUAUAUCACAAGGGUGAUUGCUCCAUUCAUUUUCACUGAGGAUUCGGUGGAUGUAUAAGGAAUGGUAGAGGAUUAUGUGUGGAUUCUCACGGUCUCUGAUUGGUUUGAUUGUGAUGGACUGGGUCUCAUGAAGGAUGUCUUUGUAGAAUUUCAAAUUCUUAAAAGGCGCUUCGGGAAUAAAAUGGCUAUUAUGAGGGAAGUAUGACGUGGCGAUGGUGACUGGAUUGGCAAUAGCAUUGUAUUUUGACUCAAAGAUAAAGAGAUGACUAUUACUCUUGAGCACGUAGGGGGUGACUUUUGGUAUGAGGCAACUAGAGGAAUAAACUGGGUGGUGUCUUAGAAAGAAUCAUGACUAGAGACUACGGCAGACUAGAAACUGGGACGAAUUUGGCCUAUUGUGGCUCCUAAAGUGGCGAAUUUGUUGCUUAUUUAGAUUGGGGAACAUCCCGUGUAAGGGACGAUCUGGGAUGGUGACCCUGUUUUGGGUGGAUUCAUGGAUGGGGGGAGUACUUUGAGUGACUGGGGUUGACUGCAUUGACUGGAUCUGGAUUGACUGGCUUGUUCUUUCUAUUUAUCUUUUCUUCUAUCUGCCAUUGUUUUUCUUGUAGAAAUUCUCUAGUAAGGAAAUCAGGAACAAAAUUCUCACUUCCUCUCAAAUAUUCAAUAUUAAAAUUAAAUAUACUUAUAAUAGCUUGCCAUCGUGCAAAUAUUUGUUUGGAUGCAAUAUUUUGAACAUUUUUUUCUAAUACAUGCUCAGCAGACUUACAAUCAACUCGGACUAAAAAAAUUUGAUUUAAUAAAUCAUCUUGAAAUUUAGUAAUGCAUAAUACUAUAGAUAAUAUCUCUUUCUUAAUAGUACUAUAAUUACUUUGUGACUGUGUCCAAAUACCGGAAUGGAAUCGGAUGAUUUGCUCAAUUUGACUAGAAUCAACUCUUUGCUUGAGAAUACCUCCAUAACCAAUAUUAGAGGCAUCAGUUUCAACUAUUUUGAAGGAAUGCCAAGACAAGGGAGUGUUUUGAUAUGGACCUUGAUUUGUUUGACUAUUUCUGUAUGAAUGGGUGACCAAGGAGGAGGAUUACUCUGGAGGCGAUCAAAUAAAGGCUUACAUUGUUUUCUCAAAUUUUUGUAAAAAUCAUAAACAUAAUUUAGAUAUCCUAGAAAUCUCUAGAGUUUACUUUUGUCUAGGAUUUGAUCUAGGAAUUUAUCAGCAAAUUGGAUAACUCGAUCAAUUAGACUAAUCUGUGACUAGCAGAUAUUAAAACCAAGGAAUCGGAUAUUAGUUUGAAACAACUUAAUUUUAUUAGCAGAAAGAACUACACCAUUUUGUUUGACUAUCUGCAUAAACUUAUGCAAAUGUUUCCAAUGUUGUUCUAUCGACUGAGAAAAGAUAAGAACAUCAUCAAUAUAAUCUAUAGUGAAAUGACUUAAGGGAUUAAAUAUCUCAUUCAUUAUAUUUUGAAACUCACUGGGCGCAUUCUUAAGACCGAAAGGCAUGACAUUCCACUCAUAAUGACCAAAUGGGGUGACAAAAGCAGUUUUAUAUCUAUCAGACUCAUGAAUUUGGAUUUGCCAAAAACCACUCUUCAUAUCAAAUUUAGAAAAAUGACUGAUUUUUCUAACCUGUUAAUUAGAUCUCUCUUAUUGGGUAUUGGGUACUUGAUCCAUUCUAAUACUGUAUUAAGAGGCUUAUAAUUAAUAACUAAUCUUGGGGCUGUUCUAACUCAGUACUUUUCUGGACAUAGAAAGCAGGGCAGGACCAAGGUGACUUACUCUUACGAAUUAUUCCUUUCUCAAGUAAUUCUGAUAUUUUAAUUUUACAAAAUUCCAUUAAUUCUUGACUCAUUUGAAUUGGUCUAGCUUUAGUGAGGAUAUUCUUUUCACUAAAGGAUUUGACAUAAGGAAGACUAACAACGUGUUGUUUCCUAUGCCAUAAAGCAUUGGGUAUCUUAGAACAAACUUCUUGUUUUAAUUUUUCUUUGAAUUGGCGAAUUUGUGUUUGCAAAGACUCAAGACUAAGUUGUUCCUCAAUUCUUUUGAAUUUGACUUCUUCUUGGAGGAAUCUUAAUUGCUUAUCUUUAUUUUCAAUUAUUUUAACUGUUUUGGUGACUGCGUUCUUUUGCAAGGCUUUUAAAUUAUGUAUCUCUGGUUUACUUAGGAAUUCAAACUUAACCUUUUCUCCUAAAUAGGUAGAAAUGACUCCAUUGUAUUCUACCUGGAAAGGAUACAGUAGGGCAAUAAAGGGUAAUCCUAAGAUGACUUCAUCAGUAAUAUUUUUGACUAAGACGAAUAAGGUUUUAAAGCAAAUUUUAUCUUGACAGAUAUGGGCUUUAGGAAUCUCAUAAUUCAACUGGAGUGACUUUCUUGAGGCUGUGCUUAAUGACUCUUUUGAUAUUUUGUAAUACUUAGUAGGAAUUAGACCUUCUUGGAUACAAUUGAGGUCGGCUCCUGAAUAAAAAAGGGCAAUUGUGUUUAACUCAAAAAUUUGGAUAAAUAUGUUGACUUUAGAAUACCAUUUUCUAAAAUUUACUUGUUUGAUUAAAUUGACGGCUUGAUCCUAAUUGGAGGGUUCACCAUCUGAAUUUGUAGGGCUAACUGGCAUAGACUCAGAUUUUUCCAUUAGAUUAAUUAAAUCCUGUUUAAUCUCAUAGUUUUCUACCUGUAACUUUUGACUUAUCUGUUUUAGUUCCACUAUUUCUUUUUUGAGUAAUUUUACUUCUAGGUGUAAAUCUUGUCAAGUAACUUCUUUUCUUUUGUUGAAUCUUUCUAAAGUAGUGUUCAAACUUAUCUUUUGAGGGGUAGACGGACUCGGUUCUUCCUGACUGAUGACUUUUCUUAAUUUCUUUAAGUACUCAGAUUUCAACUCUGGGUUUUCAACUUUACUUAUUAAAUCAAUUAAUAAUUCUUCUUGUUCUUCUUGUUUAGUAAGGACAUUAAUUGACUUAGACUUACAACAAUUAUCUUGACAACCAAAUUGAAUUCUAGGUGAACUUAUCUGGGAAUCUGAGGAAUUAAACUCUGUGACUCAGUGUUCUAACCAUGGUCUCGUUUUCACUAGACUCUGAGUUUCUUAACUCAAAGACUUUGAUUAACUUUUCUUUAUCUUCAUCCGUGAUUUUCAAUUGUUUGAUUGUGUUAUUUACUUUACACUCAUUAGCAUAGUGACCAAACUUUGACAUUUAUAACAUUUAACUUUUCUUUUGUUGGUAGUUUUCUUAAGGUGACUUUUCUUAUAUUUUCCGUGACUCUUUUUCCAAUUUUUAUGGGGGUGAAAUCUCUUUUUACUGUAAAACUCAUUAUUCUGUGAGAAAGAUUGAUUUCUUCAUGAAUAAUGACGACGCUUACUAAACUGUCAGUCAUGGUGACUAGACUUGGCUUUUCUAGAUGGGGGAAUGGACAUUAGACCAUAAUGUUCGCAGAAAUAACCUAACUCAUACUUAGCUGAAUUCUUUUCUGAUUGAAUUUGUUUUUCGAUUUUCAUAUAUACACACAUUUUCAUACUGACUUGAUUAAUUGUGCUAAUUAUAUUACCAUAGGUUAAAUUAUCCCAAUCUAUAUGACCUUGACCAUUACUAAGGACUGUGCGUAUUUUGUGUGCAAACAAAUUAGGGAGACCAUUAAUGAAUUUUUCUUUCCAAAAUGGUUGAUUACUAUCAUCUCUAAUCAUGACUCUGGAGAUGAAGACAUCUUUAUACCAACGGAAAUCAGAUAACUUAGGGCAUCUAAGGUUACUAAGCUGAUCAUGAAUUCUAGCAGUGGUGUUACUAGGUGUUCCAAUGAAAUGCUCAAUUAUUAUGUAUAAUAAGGUAUUGACUCCAUCUUCUAUACCUCGACCUACUUGUUCGUCGAAAAUAGGAAGACCUUCUUCAUUAAGUUUGACUGCAUGGAUUAUUUGUUGCUUAGACUCAUCCGUUAAAUGUUUAUCCCACCAAAAACGUAAGGUUCCGGUGAAACCAAUUUCUAACAAAGGCACAAUUUCAGACUGUCUAAAACUGUGAUUGGUAUUGUAACUAUUGGCAACCAUAGACAUAUGUUGAAGUUUAUUAAGAAUUUCUUGCUCAGAUAGACCAUCUAUAUUCCACUCAUAUAACUUACCUGAAGAAAUGGAAAACUGACUCUGGGAGUUUUGUUCUUCAAAUUGGAUAUCUAGAGGGGUUGGUCUGGGAUACCAAUUUUUGGUUAAACUUGUUGGACUGAUUCUAUUAGUUAAUAUUUUAACCUUCAAAUCAUUUUCUAAUUCCAAAUUCUUAAACGCAUUUUCAAUUUUUGAAAUGUUACUAGUUUCUGUUUCCAUACUAGUGACUGACUCAGAAUCAGAGGAGUUGACUAAAGCGAAGGGUAGCUCAGAGGAUCCUAAGACUUUAACACCGGAUUUCUUGGCUUUCUCAGGGGGUUAAUCGUUCAAGCAUUUCUUCUAUUUUUCUCAUUGUAGGUUUUGUCUUAAAGGUUGGGCUUGACUUUAAGUCUUGAAAUUUGACUAAAGGUUUUUCUUUUUGUAAUUUGGGUUUGACUUCAUUAGGGAGUAAUUUGUCGACUUUUGUUUCUAUUUUAUCUAACUGUUUUCCUAUGACAACUAGACUUUGGUUGGUGUAAUUGUUUUGUUCUACAAUCAUCUUAUUGUCUUCGUCAUGAAUUUUGUAAGGACUGGCCACAAUUUUUGACUUUUUAUGGUGAAAAACUAUUGUCUCAACUGGGGGAUGAUUGGCUAAGACUUCUGUUUUGUCUUCUUUUUCCGAUUUUUCUUGAUUUAAAGUUUUUAACUCUUUUGUCAUGUAACGGCUUUCUACAAAAUCAAGAUAAUAAAUUUCAACUUUAGCUGUUCUCAUAAAUUGUUUCCAUUCAUUAAAAAUUUGUUGUCUUUUGAUUUUGUCAGGAUAGGUUGUAUGGUAUUUUUCUUUUCAAUUAAUCUCAAAUUUUCUAUUAAGGGUUCUUAAUUGUUUAUCAAUUUGAAAACCGCCUUCGAAGUCAGUUUGUGUGGGUGACUCAAUGGACUCGGAUUUAGUAUCUUCUUUGACUAGUGUUUUACCAUAAUAGGGUUGACUAACUUGGGAUGAUUUUCUCAACGAUUCUAAUUUUACAUUAAUUAAAGCUUUCUCUAACUCAAGGUCUCAUUCUUGAGUAAAGGAGGAGGCUGCAAAGGAGUGUCUAGCAGGGACGUGUCUCUGGGAUUGACCAGGUGUGGGAAGUUGUUAUAACUGGACUGAGGACUUUUGUUGUGGUUGGUUUCCGAAAUUAAUUUUGAUUGUGCCAUCUAGAUAUUGUUGGAUAUAAUCUAAAUUGUUUAGACUAUGUUGAAUUGGGACUGGUGGACUUUCAUUUGUUAAGGUCCAAUCUAAGGGAAGGGUGACUUCUGACCAUUUUACCAUUUGAGGGAUAUUCAAAUCUCUAAAAUGUAACUCAUUGCUAGUAUUCUAUUCUAAUUGUUCUUCAUUAACUAUCUCAGGAGGAUGACUGAUACUAGUUCUAGAGCUACUAGAGUUAUAAGAGUUGGUUCUAAAUAAGCGACUCAUUUUUACUCAAGGUACUGAGUUCAGACUUCUAAAGAAGGAAGAUAAACAGAAACUUCUAAUACUAACUCACAACGUAACAGGGAACCUAGUGAUUCUCUCUCUCUCUCUCUCCGCUCAGGCUGCAACCGCUCGUGCCUCUACCUAGGACAUAUCGUUUGGACUCUAGGACUUACUGUUUGGACCAAAGUGAAAAGGACAGGAAACCUGAAAAACAAUGAAUUAAUAGAAAAAGAAACUGAAGACUUCAACUCAAAAAUCUUAAACUAGCCACUUGGGUUGGAUGAAUUGCAGACUUAGACUGACUCUUCAACACUUACGGCUUAAGCAUAGAUAAGUAUAAAGACUCAGAUAAUAAAACAGGUAGAGCUUAUGCAUGAAUGAAAUUAAUGAAUAAAUGAAGAUACUCAAAAUCCUCUAUAUAUAUAUAUAUCGUGAUUCCAAGCAUCCAAUGCUACCAACAGUCUGGUAGCCUUAGUUUUUUUAAGGAGGCUUCGACCUCAUUUGUAAUCAGAAGUAAAUUUUACUUUUCUCAGUUUCAAAGUUCUCUCAGGACUACUACCCUGAUGAACUCUUGUAUAGUUUGAGUGAUCCAUAAAAUCUUUCAAUCUUAUCUAAUUGUUUUUCAAUGACUAUUAAACUCUGGUUUGUAUAUUUAUUUUGCUCAAUUAAUUUUCUAUCAUUUUGGUCGGGGGACUGGCUGCUAUUUUGGGCUUUUUGUGAUUAAUAAUUAUUGUUUCUACAGGGGGUGACAAGCUAAGACUUCAGUAUUAUCUUCUUUUUCCCAUUUUUCUUGUGUUAGGGUUUUCAAAUCUUUGGACAUGUAGCGACUUUCAAUAAAAUCAAGAUAAAAAAUUUCUGACUUAGCGGCUCGCAUAUAAUCUUUCCAUUCAUUAAAGAUUUGUAGUCACUGUUCUUUACUAGGGUACGUUGUAUGAUACUUGUUUCGUCUUUCCAAAUUUUCUGGGGCAUGGAGAUGACUAUCUAAAUUUUUCCAAUUGAUUUUGAAUUUUCUAUUAAGGGUUCGUAAUUGAUUAUCUAUAUUGAAAGAACCGACUUCGAAAUCAGUUUGUGUGGGAGAAUUUUGGGAACCUAAUUUUUCUUCUUCUUUGACUGGUUGUUUACCACAACAAGGUUGGUUGACUUGGGAAGUUUUCCUUAGAGAUUCUAACUUUAGAUCAAUUAGGGUUUUUUCUAGCUCUAGGUCUCGUUUUAGAGUAGAAGAGGAUGCUGUAAAGGAAUGCCUAGUAGGGGCAUGUCUCUGGGAUUUACUAGGUGUAGGAAGUUGAUGUAACUGAACUGGGGAUUUUUGAGGAGGUUGAUUUUCAAAAUUAAUUUUGACUAUGCCAUCUAAGUAUUGCUGGAUAUAAUCUAAAUUAUUUAAACUAUGUUGAAUAGGAGCAGGUUGAUUCUCAGUUGUUAGCGUCCAAUCUAAAGGAAGGGUGACUUCUGACCAUUUAAUUGUGUGGGGAACUCUUAUGUUGGCAUUUGCUUUACUACUUUGAAUUAGCAAAGUUUGAUCUUUGGGACUUUUAUUAAGGGCAUGGAAAUUCAUAUUGGUUCCUGUGACUUUAUAGUAGAUUCUAUCAACUAAGGCAAGAGGCUGGGUUCCUGGUAAGGCUUUGUACCUGGAAGUUUUAAUAUUUAAAGUCAGAGUUUUUAAUAUGUGGGGAUCACUGAGACUUACUGUUAUAUCUAGAUAACAAUCAAAAUGAAUUGGACCAUUAAACAAACUGGACUCAAUUAUUCCUAAUGUAUUGUCACUAAAAUAGGUGAAUCUGGCAUCUCUUAAACAGAGUUAGAUAGAAGCAUUUAAUCCUAAUCUGGUAAGAGGUUUGACUGCAACUUGGACUAGACCAAUGUCAAGGAAAUUGUUUCCGUCAUUUUUAUGUUUCUUUAUUGACUCAAGAUUUAACAAUUGGCAUGUUUCAUGUUCUUUACUUAAGGCAUAGACUUGUUCGACUAUUUUCACAUGGGUGGUUGACUUGAAAGUUGAGUCAAUAAAGAAACAUCACAUGGGUGUUUCAUAUAUAUAUAUAUAUACUCCAUCUUCUAUACCGUCUUCUAGAUCCCUUCUAGUAUCAGAGCCGUCAGUGUUGAGGAGUUAGUCUAAAUUUGCUUCUCUACGUCCAAAGUCACUGGUCAUCUUCUCUGUGUUUGAAGUUUGUUUUCUAUUCUUUAACUUUUUCAGAGUCUUCCUUUUGUCUGAGUCUUCUCUCCCAGUCCAAACAAUAAGUCCUAGACUCCAAACAGUAAGUCCCACGGUGAGGCCUGAGCGGAUGCAGCAUGAGCGGAGAAAGAGAGAACCCUUUGGUCCUUAGGAGGCCUUUGAGUCUAUUCUAGGAUAGUUAGCCUUCUUCUUACCCUUUGUAAGAAAACCCAGUAGCUUUGUCCAGAUGAGUUGCCUAUUUAGAACCAACUCUUGUAACUCCAGUAGCUUUAGAGCCAGUAUUAGUAAACUCCCAGAAAUAGUUAAUGAAGAACAAAUAGAAUAUGAUUCUAGUAAUAAAAUAGAUUGUAAAGAUUGGAAUAUUCCUAGAAUUCCUAGUCAAUCACCCAUGUGAAAACAGUCGAACAAGUUUAUGCCUUAAGUAAAGAACAUGAAACAUGCCAGUUAUUAAAUCUUGAGUCAAUUAAGAAACAUAAAAAUGAUGGAAACAAUUUCCUUCAUAUUGGUUUUAGUCCAAGUAGCAGUCAAACCACUUACCAGAUUAGGAUUAAAUGCUUCUAUUCUACUCUGUCUUCGCGACGCCAGAUUCACCGAAUUUAGAGACAAUACUUUAGGUAUAAUUGAGUCAAACUUGUUUAAUGGUCCGAUCCAUUUUGAUUGUUACCCAGAUUUCACAGUAAGUUUUAGUGAUCCCCAUAUCCUGAAAACUUUAACUUUAAAUAUUAAAACUUCAGGGUAUAAAGUCUUACCAGGUACCCAGCCUUUAGCCCUAGUCUAUCGAAUCUAUUAUAAAGUCACAGGAACUAAAAUGAAUUUCCAAGCCCUUAAUAAAAGUCCAAAAGAUCAGACCUUGUUAAUCUAGAGUAAUAAAGUUGAAGCCAACAUAAAAGUUCCCUCCACAAUUAAAUGGUCAGACGUCACCCUGCCUUUAGAUUGGACAAUAACCACUGAGAACCAACCAGCUCCCAUUCAACAUAGUCUAAAUAAUUUAGAUUAUAUUUAACAAUAUUUAGAUGGCACAGUUAAAAUUAACUUUGGAAGUUAGCCACCUCAGAAAUCUUCAGUUCAGUUACACCAUUUACCCACACCUAGCCAAUCCCAGAGACAUGCUCCUGCAAGACAUUCCUUCAUUGCAUCCUCCUCCACUCUAAAACGAGACCUAGAGUUAGAAAAAACUUUAAUUGAUUUAAAAUUAGAAUCCUUAAGAAAAACUUCCCAAGUCAACCAACCUUGUUAUGGUAAAAAACCAGUUAAAGAAGAAACAAAGUCCGAAUCUCUAGAGUCACCCACACAAACUGAUUUCAAAGCAGGAUUUCACAUUGAUAAUCAAUCGCAAACCCUUAAUAAAAAAUUUAAGAUCAAUUGGAGACAGUUAGAUAGCCAUUUACAUGCCCCGGAGAACCAAUCUAGAAGAGAUAGUUACCAUGCAGCUUAUAGUAAGGAACAAAGACAACGAAUCUUUAAUGAAUGGAAAGAUUACAUGCGCACCGCUAAGUUAGAAAUUUUCUACCUUGAUUAUAUGGAAAGCCGCUAUCUACCCAAAGAGUUAAAAACUUUAACCCAAGAAAAAUAGGAAAAAGAAGAUAAUACUGAAGUCUUAGCUAGUCAUCCUCCUAUAGAGACCAUAAUUAUUAAUCAUAAAAAGUCUAAAGUAGUAGCCAAUCCAUUCAAAAUCCCAGAUCACAAUAAUAAAAAAAUUGUUGAGCAAAAUAAUUACACUAACCAGAGUCUAAUAGUCAUAGGAAAACAGUUAGAUAAAAUAGAAACAAAAUUGACAAAAUAGCUCCUUUAGAAAUAUCCUUAAGUCACAAAAAGAGAAACCUUUAGUCAAAUUCCAAGACCUAGAGUCAGGCCCAACCUAUAAGACAAAACCAACAAUGCAGAAAAUCGAGAAAAUGUUAGAAGAAUUAACCACGAAGAAAGAUAAAGAAAAAAUUGAAACGUCUGGUCUUAAAGUCUUAGGAUCCUCUGCUUUAGUCAAUACCUCUUAUUCUGAGUUUGUUGCUAGUAUGGAUACAGAAACCAAUAAUAUAUCAAAAAUUGAAAAUGCUUUUAAAAAUUUAGAAAUUAAUAAUGAUCUCAAGCUUAAAAGAAUAACAAACAGAGUCAGCCCUACUAGUUUAACCAAAAAUUGGUAUCCUAGACCCACUCCUCCAAACAUCCAAUUGGAGGAAAGAAAUUCACAAAGUCAAUUUUCAGUCUCCUCUGAUAAGUUAUAUGAAUGGAAUAUCGAUGGCCUGUCAGAACAAGAAAUUUUAAACAUAUUACAACACAUGUCCAUGGUUGUCAAUAGUUACAUCACUAAUCACAGUUUUAGACAGUGUAAAAUUGUGCCCUUAUUAGAAACAGGAUUCACCGGAACCUUACGUUCUCGGUGGAAUAAGCAUCUAAGUUCUCUCAGGACUACUACCAUGAUGAACUAUUGUAUAGUCUGAGUGAUCAAUAAAAUCUUUCAGAAUGGAAUUGAACGAUUUGCUCAGACUGACUCGGAUUGAUUCUUUGUUUAAGGAUACCUCCAUAACCAAUUUCAGAAGCAUCAGUUUCAACAAUUUUAAAGGAAUUAACUGCAGGGAUGCCAAGACCAAUAAAAGAAGAAAUUCUUGAGCAACUCACACCAAUAAAAGAGAAAAUCGAGUCCUCCGGUAUCAAAGUUCUUGAGUCAUCUAUUUUAGUCAAUUCUUCUGAUAAUGAGUCUAUUGCCAGUAUGGAAACAAAAUCUAGUAACAUAUCAGAAAUUGAAAAUGCUUUUAAAAAUUUAGAAAUAGAUAAUGAUUUGAAACUUAAAAGAUUAAGAAACAAAGCCAAUCCUACAAGUUUAACUAAAAAUUGGUAUCCCAAACUAACUCCUCCAGAUAUCCAGUUUGAGGAAAGAAAUGCCCAAAGUCAAUUCUCAGUCUCCACUGAUAAACUAACUCAUAUGUCCAUAGUUGCCAAUAGUUACAUAACUAAUCAUAGUUUUAGACAGUCAGAAAUUGUGUCCUUAUUAGAAACAGGAUUCACCGGAACCUUACGUUCUUGGUGGGAUAAACAUUUAACUGAAGAGUCAAAACGAAAAAUUAUUCAUGCAGUCAAACUUAAUGAAGGUCUCCCUAUUUUUUAUGAACAAUUAGGAAGAGGUAUAGAAGACGGAGUCAACACUUUAUUAUAUACAAUAAUUGAACAUUUCAUAGGAACACCCAGUAACACGACAACCAGAAUUCAUGAUCAACUUAGUAAUCUCAGAUGCCCCAAAUUAUCAGAUUUUCAUUGGUAUAAAGAUGUUUUUAUUUUCAGAGUUAUGCUUAGAGAUGAUAGUAAUCAACCCUUUUGGAAAGAAAAAUUCAUUAAUGAUCUCCCCAAUUUAUUUGCUCAUAAAAUAAGAACAGUCCUUAGUAAUGAUCAAGGUCAUAGAUUUCGAUAAUUUAACUUACGGAAAUAUUACAAUUAAUCAAGUCGGAAUGAAAAUGUGUGUCGAUAUGAAAAUUGGUAGACAAAUUCAAUCAGAAAGAAACUCAGCCAAAUAUGAAUUAAGAGAUUUCUAUGAACAAUACAGUUUAGCACCCAUUCCCCCAUCCAGAAAAGCCAAGUCUAGUUAUCAUGACCAACAAACUAGUAAACGUUAUCAUUAUUCACGAAGAAGAUAGUCCUUCAUACAUAAUAAUGAUAAUAAUGAAUUUUACAGUAAAAAGAAAUUUAACCCGCGUAAAAAUUGGUCAAAAGAUCGCAGAAAAGAUAAGAAAAGCAACUUUAAGAAAAGUACCGACAUAAGAAAAGUUAAAUGCUAGAAAUGUCAAAAGAAUGGUCACUAUGCUAAUGAGUGUAAAGCAAAAGACACGAUAAAGCAAUUGAAAAUCACAGAUGAAGAAAAAGACAAAUUGAUUAAAAUUUUAGAGUUAACAAAUUCUGAGUCUAGUGAAACCAAUAUCACCGUAGUAAGCUCAAGCUCAGUAAAUUACAAUUCUUCAUAUUACCAGUCAAGUUCUCCACAAAUCCAAUUUGGUUGCAAAGACAAUUGCUGUAAUGUCCUAACCAAGUCCAUUAGUGUCCUUACAAAACAAGAAGAACAAGAAGAGUUAUUAAAAGAAAUUAAGAAAAGUCAUUAGUCAGGAAGAAACGAGUCAGCAUAUUCCCCAGAAGAUAAGUUCAAACACUACUUUAGAAAAAUCUAAUAAAAAAUAAAAAGAGGUCACCUUACAAGAUUUACAAAUGGAAGUAAAAUUAGUCAAAAAAGAAAUAGUAGAGUUAAGACAAAUAAGUCACAAAUUACAAGCCGAGAAUUUUGAAAUUAAACAAGAUUUGAUUAAUUUGAUGGAAAAAGAAACCUCUGAGUCUAAGAGUCAACCAGAAAGCCCAGCCAAUUCAGAUUGUGAACCCUCUAAUAAUGAUCAGGUUAUUAACUUAAUAAAACAAGUAAAUUUUAGAAAAUGGUAUUCCAAAGUUGUAAAAAAAUUUGAGUUAAACACAGUCGCCCUUUUUGAUUCAGGAGCCGACCUUAAUUGUAUCCAAGAAGGAUUAAUUCCAACUAAAUAUUACAAAAUAUCAAAAGAAUCUUUAAGCACUGCCUCAGGAAAAUCACUCCAGUUAAACUAUGAAAUACCAAAAACCCAUAUCUGUCAAAAUAAGAUUUGUUUUAAAACCUCAUUUGUCUCAGUAAAAAAUAUUACAGAUCAAGUUAUCCUUCAUAGCCCUAUUAUACCCUUUCCAGGGAGAAUACGAUGGAGUCAAAUUCGAAUUCUUAACUAAACUUGAGUUACACAAUUUGAAAGCUUUACAGAAAAAUGAAAUAACAAAAACAAUCCAAGUAAUUCAGAAUAAAAAUAAACAGUUAGAUUUCCUUAAGGAAGAAGUCAAAUUCAAAAGAAUUGAGCAUCAACUUAAUGAUGAGUCUUUACAGUGAAAGAAAUAUCCCCACUAAAGCCAGACUAAUUCAAAUGAGUCAAGAAAUUAUGGAAUUCUGCAAACAAGAAAUAACCGAGUUACUUCACAAGGGAAUAAUUCGUAAGAGUAAUUCACCUUGGUCUUGUCCUGCUUUCUAUAUUCAGAAAAACGCAGAAUUAGAAAGAGGAGCCCCGAGAUUUGUCAUCAAUUAUAAGCCUCUUAAUACAGUCUUAGAAUGGAUUAGAUAUCCAAUUCCUAUUUAAUAAACAGGUUAGAUAAAGCAGUCAUCUUCUCAAAAUUCGAUAUGAAAAGUGGUUUUCGGCAAAUUCAAAUCCAAGAGUCAGAUACGUAUAAAACCGCCUUUGUAACCCCAUUCGGUCACUAUGAGUGGAAUGUAAUGCCUAGGGGUGGGCACUCAAACCGGCGAACAGGAAAUCCGAGCCGAACCACACAGAACCAAACCGGAAAAAACCGAGUUGACCAAAAAGUCAAAAAGCGGUCAAAAACCGAAUCGGACCGGUUUGGACCGGUUCCGAAUCCGGUUCCAUGUCUUCAAAAACCGAACCGGGCCGAACCGAACCGGUGAAACUAAAAAAAUAUAUAAUUUCAAUAUAUUUUUAUAUUUAAUGCUAUAUUUUUAUUUCCACUAAAAAAAACCUAAUACUUAUCCAAGUUCAAUGUCAAAAUAUCUCUCUUUUCUCACUUUAAUAUUUAUUUUUUAUAUGAAAUUGAAUAAUUUGUUAAUUUUUAAAUAAAAAAAUAAUAUUUCAGUUGAGAAUUGUAUUAAAAAAUAAUUUUAAAAAAUAAUUUUUAUAAUCCGGUUCAAAACCAAACCAGAUUGAAACCGGUUCAAACCAAACCGAACAAUUUUUGAAAUUUUGUUAUUAAAACCAAACCAAACCAAACCGAAUAAAUAGUACCGGAUCGGUUCUAAUUUGAGGCAAAAAUCGGUCCAAACCGAACCGUGCCCACCCCUAGUAAUGCCCUUCGAUCUUAAGAAUGCGCCUAGUGAAUUUCAGAAUAUAAUGAAUGAGAUAUUUAAUCCUUUCAGUCAUUUCUCCAUAGUUUAUAUUGAUGAUGUUCUUAUUUUUUUCUCAGUCAAUAGAACAACACUGGAAGCAUUUGCAAAAGUUCCUUCAGAUAGUCAAACAAAAUGGUUUAGUUGUCGCAGCCAAAAAGAUUACGUUAUUCCAAACCAAUAUCCGAUUUCUUGGUUUUAAUAUUUGUCAGUCACAAAUCAGUCCAAUUGAUCGAGUCAUCCAAUUUGCUGAUAAAUUUUCAGACCAAAUUCUUGAUAAGAGUCAACUCCAAAGAUUUUUAGGAUCUCUUAAUUAUGUUUCUGAUUUCUAACAAAAUCUGUGAAAACAAUGUAAGCCCUUAUUUGAUCGACUUCAGAGUAAUCCUCCUCCUUGGUCAUCCAUUCAUACAGAUAUAGUCAAACAAAUCAAAAUCCAUGUCAAAACACUUCCCUGUCUUGGCAUCUCUACAGUUAAUUCUUUCAAAAUAGUUGAAACUAAUGCCUCCGAAAUAGGUUAUGGAGGUAUUCUUAAACAAAGAGUCAAUCCAAGUGAAACAGAGCAAAUCGUUCGAUUUCAUUUUGGAAUCUGGACACAGUCACAACGUAAUUAUAGUACUAUUAAAAAAGAAAUAUUAUCUAUAGUAUUAUGUAUUACAAAAUUCCAAGAUAAUUUAUUAAAUCAAAAAUUUAGUCAGAGUUGAUUGCAAGAGUGCAAAACAUGUUUUAGAAAGAAAAAAAAUGUUCAAAACAUUGCAUCAAAAUAGAUUUUUGCACAAUGGCAAGCUAUUUUAAAUAUAUUUGAUUUUAAUAUUGAAUAUUUGAGAGGCAGUGAGAAUUAUGUUCCUGAUUUUCUUACUAGAGAAUUCUUAUAGGAAAAGCAAUGGCCGGCAAGAUGACCCAAUAAAGGAAAAGAGCAAGCUAGUCAACCUCNNNNNNNNNNNNNNNNNNNNNNNNNNNNNNNNNNNNNNNNNNNNNNNNNNNNNNNNNNNNNNNNNNNNNNNNNNNNNNNNNNNNNNNNNNNNNNNNNNNNCCCCCCGCCUUUCCAUUUUGUUCCUCAAGCUCCCUACAAAUCCCUUAAUACUAUAGAGACAUCGUUCAUAAGACCCAGUCAAUUGAAAUUAAGCCUAUCAAAGAUCGUAAUAAUCCCCACAUUAUUCUCUAUCAUUCCAUGUAUAUUCAUCACAUCCUUAGUGAAGAAGAGUGGAAUAAACACCCUAUGAUCUAAAAGUUCUCUAGUCAUAUGUACAAUAUUGCUAUUAUGAUUACAUCGAAGCCUAGUAUACAAUUUUUCUUGACCAAACAACUGAUUUCAAUCAUUCAUGGUUCAUCAAUUUUGAUAGUAAAUUCAAAAGUCAUUUUCCCUUCUGGUUCCUCCACUGGUGGGAAAAACAUGGCCCAGUCAUUGAUUUUCUUCCUCCUCAAAUGCAAGAAUUAGUCAAUUAUUAAUCCAAUAAAAACAAAUUCAAAGAGUCAGAAUUAUUCUUUCCCAAUCUGCUUAUUUUCAUUGCUAAAUACAAAGUUCCUUGGAUCCUGAAAUGGUCUUACAAUGUCAAUUGGGAUUCUAGAGUCCUGUCCCGUCAAUUUUCAGUCAAAUGGUGGGAUAAGUUCAAAAUAGAAAGAAUUGCCGAUUAUGUCAAUACAGAUUUUCCUCCAGUCAAAAUUCCACAAAAGUCUUCCCAAAUGCCAUCCUCCUCCGGAACGUCUCAUUCUUCCCUCCCAAUUGAAGGAAGAUCAAAGGCAGAGUUACAAGAAAUUGCCCAGCAGUUAAUUCUUCAAGCUUCUCAAAUGGAAGAUGAAGAUGAUGAUGCCUCCCCAAAGUCCCAGACAUCUACCAGUCAGCCUCAACAGUCACCCAGUCAAAAGGAUUCCGCCCAGAAAUUGCGGUGGGCAGAUUAUCAAGAUAGUCAAGAUCCAUAUGAUCUCAAUUCAGACUAGUCAAAAGCAACUUUCCUUAAUAGUCAUCAUGGGCUAGUUAAAGCAAUAGUAAAAGUAAAUUCUCUGACAAAGUUAAAGCACAUAGUAAAAGCAAAAGUUUUCGCGUGCUUCUACAGUCACCCUCUUGAGCAUCCAAUGUUGCCGACACUCCCUUAGUUCGCUCUUUAAAUAGAGGCAUUCGCCUCAGUUGUAAUCAAAAUGUAACUUAGUCUUAAUUUUCAGUUUUCAAAGUUUUCUCUGAUACUUCCUCAAAGAAACUACCACUGUAAACCAUGAGAAGUGAGACUUCCUUAUUGAUUGGCACUCAAAGAGACUACCACUAAAUCACCUCUAAGUAAGACACUAUAUAUAUACACUUUCUUUCAUACACACAUACAUGUAUACACAUGUGCAAAGUGGUGAUUUAGUGAAUAGUUAAGUAAGACACUACAACAAAAUGUUGCUUUAGCGAUGAUUUUGUCAGCGAGGAAUUAUAUUUUCUUGUAUAAGUAGCCUUUCGGCGAGGAAAAUGUUAAAUUCUUGCAAAAUGUGACUUGAAUUUCGUUUUCAAAUUGGACCAAGCUAUAGCGACGACAAGUUAGAUGCAACGACAAACAAUAUGGACGUUGUAGAUUUUCACAGCGACAGACUAUUGUUUUCCUCGCGGAAAGUGUGGCGGAAUUUUUGACAAUUCCCUCCAAACCUAUAGCGACAAACCUUAUAUAAUCCUUGCAAUAGAAGACUUUUAACGAGGAAUUAAUUUCCUCGCAGUAUGUCUCCCACAUUAUUUUCACAAUCCAUUAACGAGGAAAUAGUUGUUUCCUCGCGGAUAGUGUAGUAGGAAUUUUGGACAAUUCCCUUCAAACCUAUAGCAACAAACAAUAUAUAAUCCUCACAAUAGAAGCCUUUUCAAGAGGAAUUAAUUUCUUCGCAAUAUGUAUCCCAAAUUAUUUUCACCAUUUAUGUAUGAGGAAAUAGUGUUUUCCUCGUGGAAAGUGUAGCGGAAAUUUUUGACAAUUCCCUCCAAACCUAUAGUGACAAACAUUAUAUAUUCCUUGCAAUAGAAGACUUUUGAUGAUGAAUUAAUUUCCUUGCAAUAUGUCUCCCACAUUAUUUUCACCAUCCAUUAACGAGGAAAUAGUUUUUUCCUCGCAAAUAGUGUAGUAGAAAUUUUUGAGAAUUCCCUUCAAACCUAUAGCAACAAACAAUAUAUAAUCCUUGCAAUAGAAGCCUUUUAGUGAGGAAUUAAUUGCCUCGCAAUAUGUCUCCCACAUUAUUUUCAUAAUUUAUUAAGGAGGAAAUAAUUUUUUCCUCACUGAAAGUGUUGGCGGGAAUUUUUGACAUUUCCCUCCUAAGCUAUAGCGACAAACAAUAUAUAAUCCUCUCAAUAGAAGCUUUUUAACGAGGAAUUAAUUUCCUCACAGUUUGUCUCCCACAUUAUUUUUCACAUUUUUUAAAGUACCACAAUUUUUCAGCAAAAUUAAAAUAGGAUUGUUAUUUAAAAAAAUAAUAAUAAGUAAAAAAAAAGGUUUAAAUUUUGUUACUACUUUAUUUUUUAAUUCAAAAUUAGAUUUUGUAGAGUUUCAUGGUGAAAAUAAUGUUACAGUGAGUUUAUAGGAUUUUAGCUUGUAUUUUCUUAUUUUUAAUUUAUUUAUUGUCGAUUUUAGAAGUUAAAUCAUAGGGAACUAAUAUGAAAUAGAUGAGAUUGACACAUGUCAGCUUCUUACGGUAUCUCCAUCAGCUUUCAGAAAUUUGGCCCUAUCAUAUUAUGACACGUGUCCCUGUCUGAUUAUCUUUUGUUUUUAUCUUAAAUAAUGCAUAAAAAAUUAAAUAAAAAUUACAAAAAAUACACUGAAAAAUGCUACAAACUCCUUACAAAAUAGUCAUCAUUACGGAGAUCUAAAAUCAUAAUUCCAUGUAUUUUAAUUAAUGGGUGAAAAUUGAAUCAAAGAAACAAUAGUGCAUUGGAUAGAAUGUAUUGAUUUGUCUAUGAAGAAAGUUAAGUUUUUAUUAUUGCUUUGUAUUUUUAUAAUUUAUCAUUAUAUUUUUGGUGCUUUAAAGAGAAGAGAAUAUCACAAGGAGUUUAUAGGAAUUAUCGGUGUAUUUUUGGAAUUAUUUAUUUAUUCAUUAUGUCAUUUUCUUGUAAUUUAUUGUGUUAUAGAAGUAAACAAUUCAUAAGAAAUUAAAUUAAAACCAGAAAAAUACACCAAAAUUGCUACAUACUCCUUACAACAUAGCCUUCGGUAACAGAGAUCUAAAUUCAUGAUUCAAUAUCUGAGUUAAUGGUAAUCAAUGGAUGAAAGAAACAAGAUUAUAAGGUGGUAUAAUGUUUUGAUUUGUCUAUGAAUAAAAUUGAGUUUUUGUUAUUACUUUAUAAGAAAUAUUUGACAUGUGUUAGCUUUUUAAAGGCUCUCUGUCAGUAUAUAUGACAUGUGGCCAUAUAUCAUGGUGACAUGUGUCCUUUUCUUGUUAUUUAUUAUUUUCAUCUUAAACAACUCAUAAAAAUGAUAUUCUAAAAAAAAAUUGUUAUUUAUUAUUUUUAUCUUAAAGAAUUCAUAAAAUUAUUUUCGCGUGAGUGCCUUCUUUUUCACAAAAUUUUCAUUUCGCAGUUUUAUUCCUUUGAAAUUGCCCUCUCUUGUCCCUAACCUAACCACAAACCCGCUCUCUCUCUUCCGCUCUCUCUAGCCCCAAUUCUCUCCCUCUCUCUCCAGCCCAAACCCUCCAUCCUUCUCUUCCAUUUAGCAACCUUUCAGGAUCACAAGACACUCACACUUCUAAGCUCUCAAGGUAAGCCUCUCUCUCCUUGGCCACUUUUAUUCUGGGAGGAAAAAAAACACAAUCUCAAAUUCGUUAAAAACCUAAGGGUCCGUUUGUUAUCCUAUUCAAAAAAGUGAACUUAAAAACUAUGAGUCUUUUCAAAACAUGAGUUUUCAAAUACAAAUUUUAGGGAAAGUCUAGUAAUGUUUUCAGAGAGCAUUUUCAUAGAAUGUUUUCAUAGAAGGAAAACGAAAAAAUGAAAACGCAUUUUCAGAGAACAAAAACGUGUCUGGUAGCUUAGUUGAAAACUGUUUUCAGAGGACAAAAACAGUGAAAACGCGUUUGGCAGUAAUAUAUGAAAAUGACAAAAACAGUGAAUAUGUAUGUAACUUUAAUUAAAAGGAAAUAUGUUUUUUUAAUACAACAUUAUGUAAUCAAUAUGUGAGUUUCAAAAAAAAAAAAAAUAGUAGGUAUAUUAUUUUUAAAAAGUAUUUUUUAAUCAUCUAAAAGAAUAUCAUUUAAAAAAUAGAAUAUCUGUAUUUUCUUAGUUUUUACCCAAAUUGAAUUGGGUUUCUUCAAUUUUUUAGAAUUUCCAUACACAAUUACCGAACUCCAGUUUCAAUUCUAAGUAAGCACGUAUGAACUCGCUUGGUAUUGUAAUAUUUUUUAUUGUCAAAUAAAAGGAAAUAACAGAGUUUUUGGAGUAGGGUUUUUCGUUUAUGUUUGAUUAGAGUUAAAUGUGGUGAGUAGGUUGUACUUAUUAAAAUUACAUUUGUUUCACAAUUCAAAAUAUUCUUUUUGGUCAUUUUAUAUUAGGAUACAUUAGUAAUUCAAUAAAUAGUUUGAUAGUAUGGUGUACUCAGUUAAUUCUAGGGUUCGUUUAGCAGUACUAAAAAAAGAAGAGGAAAAUCUCACUUUUUUUUGUUUUCAAUAAUUUGGGUGUUUUUGAGUUUUUUUGGGUUUAGGUUUUUCAAAAUGGGCCUACCAAACGGGUUUUUGGGGUUUUGGACUUAAAAUCUGUUUUUGAGUUUAUAAAAUUGGAUCCAAGUAGGAUACCAAACAGCCCCUAAGGCCAUCUCCAGUCAUAGGACUAAAUGUAGUCCAGGGCUAAAAAUUUAGCCCCCCAAAAUAUUAAUUUUUUUAAAAAUAGUGCAUGACUAAAUUUUUCCAUCUCCAGCCAUGCAGGGCUAUAUUUUAGGAUCCUUCAUAUUUUAUUAUUUUAAAAAAAACUAUGGUACAACACUCAUACAUUCCACAACUAUAUAUUGUUUAAUUUAAUUAAACUACUAUUUGGAGAUAGUAUUCCAUAUAUGACAUGUAUUAAGAACAAGAUUUCUGAAAUGUGGAAUGAAAUGAGUGGGAGACGUAUUUAUAGACAAAUUUUAGGUUUUUAAAUUUUUAAAAGAAAUAAUAAUAAAGCCAACAAACGCAAUUAAAAAAAAAAUAAAAAACUGGAAGGGUUCAAGGGUCUAACCUCCAACGGUCAUGACCCAGAAUUUUUUAUAAUUUUUUUAAACAACACCAAACAUUUAAAAACGUGAAGACAUAAAAAAAAAACAUUAUAAUUAAAAAUAAAAAUAAAAAGAACAGGAUGGGUUUCAAUGUUUGAGCUCAACGGUUAUGAACAAGAUUUUUUAAUUAUUUUUUUUAAAACAACACUUGAAAAGAUGGCAAAAGCUGACCACAUUUAUUAUUUAUAAAAAAAAUAUAUAAAAACAAAGGGGAAUGGGUAGGUGUGGAUUCCAACAGUCAUUGCCAACAAGAAAUAUUCAAAAACUUUUUAAAAAUAUAUAUAUAUAUAUAUAUCCAGCUUUUAAAAAGAGGAGUGGGGAGUGCUUUAAUGAUUGAUUAUUGAAAAGCACAUGGAUGGGGCCCAUUAUAAAUUUGGCCUAGGCCAAAAUUGGGCUACAUUUGACCCAGUUGGAGGGCUAAGGCCAUCUCCAGUCAUGGGCUAUAUCCCAAAUAUAGCCCUAAAUUAAUGCAAAACUCAUCUCCAGCCAUGGGUUAAAUAAAAUUUUGGUAAAAUUUGAAGGGCCACAUUUGGCCCUUUAGCCCUCCAACCAGGCCAAAUGUAACCCAGCUUUGGCCUAGGCCAAAUUUAUAAUGGGCCCCAUCCAUGUGCUUUUCAACAACCAAUCAUUAAAGCAUUCCUCACUCCCCUUUCAAAAAGCUGGAUAUAUAUAUAUAUAUAUAUAUUUUUAAGAAUAAUGCUACUCUUAUCACAUUUGUAUACCACAUCUUUAUACCAUCUUAUGUGGCAGCUGAGGUGGACAGCCACAUCAAUUAAAAUUAUUUAAUAUUUUCUUUUCUUUUAUGAUUUAUUCCAAUAUUUAUUUUUCUAAUUGUCUUAAUUAAAAUACACUUUAUUGAUUUAAUUGAUGUGGCAUAUAAUAUGGACAUGCCACAUCAUGUGGUAUAGAAAUGUGGGAUAAAAAUGUGGUAAGUGUAGCAUUACUCUUUUUUUAAAGCUUUUUGAAUGUUUCUUGUUGGCAAUGACUGUUGGAAUCCAUACCUACGCACUCCCCCUUCUUCUUCUUUUUCCUUUUUUUUAAAUAAUAACUGUGGUCAACAUUUUUACCAUCUUUUCAAGUGUUGUUUUAAAAAAAAAAAAAUUAAAAAAUCUUGUUCAUAACCGUUGAGCUCAAACAUUGAAACCCAUCCUGUUCUUUUUUAUUUUUUAUUUUUUUAUUUUUAUGUCUUCACGUUUUUAAAUGUUUGGUGUUGUUUAAAAAAAUUAUAAAAAAUUCUGGGUCAUGACCGUUGGAGGUCAGACCCUUGAACCCUUCCAGUUUUUUAUUUUUUUUAAUUGCCUUUGUUGGCUUUAUUAUUAUUUCUUUUAAAAAUUUAAAAACCUAAAAUUUGUCUAUAAAUACCUCUCCCACUCAUUUCAUUCCACAUUUCAGAAAUCUUGUUCUUAAUACGUGUCAUAUAUAGAAUAUUGUCUCUAAAUAGUAGUUUAAUUAAAUUAAACAAUAUAUAGUUGUGCAAUGUAUGAGUGUUGUACCAUAGUUUUUCUCAAAAUAAUAAAACAUGAAGGAUCCUAAAAUAUAGCCCUGCAUGGCUUGAGAUGGAAAAAUUUAGCCAUGCACUAUUCUUUAAAAAAUUAAUAUUUUGGAGGGCUAAAUUUUUAGCCCUAUGACUGGAGAUGGCCUAAAGGGCCAAAUGAGGCACUCCAAAUUUGGCCAAAAUUUUAUUUAGCCCAUGACUUUUGCAUUAAUUUAGGGCUAUAUUUGGGAUAUAGCUCAUGGCUGGAGAUGGCCUAAUGUCCCUCUACUUUCAAUUUCAUAAUGGGUGAUUUUAUUGGCACCCCAUUAUUUGCUCUUUACCCCAUACUAAUUUUAAAUAUGAAUAACAUAUUUUACCCUUGUACACAAUUACCGUUAAGGAUAAAAAAAAAUUUAAAAUUAAAAUUAAAAUUGCUCACUACACCCCACAUAUGUUCCUGCAACCCUAGUUUGACUUGACUUUUUUCUCAAACUAUCAUGUUCCUAAACCCUAAGCCCUAGAUUUAUACGUUUAUAUUGGUGAAAAAAUAUCUUGUAUUUAUUCAUGAAGGGUGAGAUUGAAGUUAGAAAGGCUUCGAAUGAGGUACGAGUUUAUUUUUUGGCGUUUUGCAAGUUUAGUAUUUUAUAAUAGUCGCUGGUUCACAUCAGUACCAAACGCGACAGGUAAAUUCGGUGGGAUGCCACCGAAAUGUUGCACCGUUUUCGAUUGGGUUUGACCGAUCAUGAACUUAAUAUUCGAUGGAGAUCUACCAUAACAUGGAACGUAGUUCAGUGGUUCACUACCGAACUUUUACCUGCGUUUCAGUGGCAUCCAACCGAAAUGUAUUUAUUUUUUCAGUAACUUAUUGCCGACCACAAAUUUAAUGCAAGCUAUUUUGAUCUUACUCUCAUUGAAGGAACAAAAACAAGGUGACGCCCCUGCUGAAGGCAACAAUGUGGGAACAGAAUGUGUAAUUGACUAUAGUGAUCAAUUCACAACUUAUUCGGUAAUUAUUUGUCUGAAAUCCUUUUUAGUAUCAUUAACGUGGCAUUAAUGUUUCAAAUUUUAUGUUUAAAUAAUAUGAGUUUUAUGUAUAGAUAUUCAAUGGUAGAGAUGUAUUACUUAGAUAGGCUCGUGCACAAGAAAAAAUAAAUAAUAUUGUCAUUGUAAUUAAAAGGUCUGAUUAUGGAGGUGAGGGCAAGAGGAGACCUCGUGCAAUACUUGCUUAUGAGAGGAAUAGUAACUAUAAGUCUUGCAAGUCUAGUGAGACAACUGAUAUAAGGUCGAAUGCAAAUAGUGAUACGAAAAAAUGUGGUAGGGACACUGGUACCAAGAAAUGUGGAUGCCCAUUCUUGUUAAAAGGUGUCAAUAUUGGUGAUGAGGAUGAUUGGAAGUUGGAGGUGGUUUGUGGAGUACACAACCAUCCUAUUUCAGAGUAUCUUCAAGAUCAUUCAUUUGUGGGGCGACUUUCUGAAGAGGAGAAUGCCUUGUUGGUGGACAUGUCUAAGAGUUUGGUGAAACCCAAAGAUAUUUUGGUCACCAUUAAAGAUAGAGAUGCAAUGAAUGUUUCAACUAUGAAGAUAAUAUACAAUGCUAGGAUUCGAAAUAGAACCAAAGAAUUUGCUGGGAGAACCCAAAUGCAACAAUUGCUUACUAAGCUAUCCGAACACAAUUAUAUUGAGUGGCAUAGGACAUCUGAUGAUAUUGUAACUGACCUGUUUUGGACACACCACAUUAGUAUUGAUAUUUUGCGUGCAUUUUCACAUGUACUUAUCAUGGAUUGCACCUAUAAGACUAAUAGGUAUCGUUUCCCACUAUUGCAAAAUGUGCAGGUGAUAUCUACUAAUAUGACAUUUUCUGUUGCGUAUGUAUAUAUGAAUGCUGAGAAGGAAAACAAUUACACAUGGGCAUUGACUGCAUUGAGGAGUUUGUUGGAUGAUAAUUGUCUUCCUGGUGUUAUUGUCACCGAUCGAGAGUUAGCACUCAUGAAUUCUAUUACGUCUAUAUUUCCGAAAGUACGACAUUUAUUAUGUAGAUGGCAUAUUAACAAAGGCGUGUUGGCAAACUGCAAAAAGUUAUUUGGGACCCUCAAAUAAUGGAAGCAAUUUAAUGAGGAUUGGAAUACUUUGGUUGGUUCAGAAACGGAGGAGGAAUAUUGGUGUUGUUUGCCACAGAUUGAGUCUAAGUUCAGUGAAUUUCAAAAAGCUCUUGAAUACAUACAUGAAAAUUGGUUAAAUCCAUUUAAGGAUAGGUUUGCGGCUACAUGGACAGACACUUGUAUGCAUCUUGGAUCGACGACCUCAAAUAGAUAAGUAUUAUAGUCAACUUUUGAUAUGUAAAUUUGAACAUUUAUUUUCCUUCAGGAAAAUUUAUUAUUGUUAUCAACAGAACGAAAAGUGCACAUGCAAAGUUGAAGCGACAACUCCGCUCAAGCCAACUUAACUUUGAGAGAUCAUGGGUAACUAUACACUCAUUGUUAGAGCUAGAGCACACAGAGAUUAAGGCAUCUUUUGAAAAUAGUCUAUGUUUUAUUCAACAUAGGUUCAGGCAUCCGGAGUUGAGAGAGUUAGUAGGUUUUGUUUCUAUAAAGGCUUUGAGUGUCAUUGUGUGCGAGUCAGAAAGGUAAAUUCAGUUUACUUAUUACAUGUACAUAUAUGGUUUACAGAGUUAACAUUGUAAUUGUUUUUUGCAAUCAGGUUAGAGACAAAUAGGGUAGAUGCUUUAUCAUGUGGUUGUGCUAUUCGUCGAACCCACCAAUUACCAUGUGCACAUGAAAUUGCGGAGUAUAGAGAGCGUGGUGUACCAAUACCUUUUGAUGUCGUGCAUUCACAUUGAAGAAAAUUAUAUCUCAUCAAUAUAGGAAACAGUAGUCAUGGCAUGAAAUGACUGCUUAUGAUCUUCCUGCUGCAUUCCAGUAUGUGAACAAUCAAACAGGACAGAAAUUACACUAUGUUGGUCAUUCCUUGGUAAAUAUUUGCUGGAUCCAGGUUUUAUUCUUUUCUUUUUUCCUUUUUGUAACACAUAUAAUUAACAAAUAAAUAUGACUGAGACUUGGAAAGUAUUGAAAUUACAGGGAACUUUGACUGCCCUUGCCGCCUUCUCCCAAGAAAAGCUGUUAAACCUGCUAAGAUCAGCUGCUUUGCUUAGUCCAAUUGCUUAUCUUGGUCAGAUAUCGCCGUUUGGAAGAACUGCUGCCGACAUAUUUUUAGCUCAAGUAACAUAACUCUAUGAACUUAUAUUUUAUUUUGAAAUUAUGGGAUUCUUAGUUCAUUCAUGUUAGAAUUCAUUGUACUUUGCAGUUUUGUAAGGUGGUUUUGAGAGGAAAAGAGAAAACACAGAGAAAAUGUGAGAGAGAACGUUGCUGCUUUUGUAACUUUUCUAAUUGAUUCCAAUUGUAUUGCACUCUACAUGUAUGUAAGUGUGUGUGAGAGAGAAUCUAAUUCUCUAACAGAUUUACAAAGCAUAUUCAAUCCUAGCCUUUGAUUCUAGCAUCCUAUGAGAUGAAUCCAUUUGUCAUAAUCCAAUGCUUAGAUCCUAGACUAGCUAAGAGAUCACUUGGACUAUGAUCCAAGGGCUCAAAUUACAUUAAGACAGAAAAGAAAAAAAAUUUAAAAGAAACUAAAGUUCAUAGACUGUAACAUAAAACGACUGAGUAACUUCUGCUCCAAAGGCAUUCAGCUCCAAUGCAUUCAGCCCAAAUGCUUUCAUCUCAAAUGCUUCCAGCUCAAAGGGUUUAGACAUCAACACUCCCUUCUAACCCUUUAGCUGAUUUCACACCAAGUAAGUCUCUUAGAUACACAAAGCGAUCCUUGGACAAAGCUUUGGUUAGAAUGUCAGCAAUCUGAUCUUCUGUUUUGCAGUAGAUUAGUUCAAUCUCCUUUGCUUGAAUAGCUUCACGAAUGAAGUGAAACUUUCUACUGAUAUGUCUGGUUUUCUGGUGGAAAACUGGAUUCUUAGCCAUUGCUAUGGCAGAGGUGUUAUCACACAAGAUUGGUGUACCUUCCACUUGCUCUUCACCAAAGUCUUCAAGAACAAACCUUAGCCACUUAGCCUGUGAUGUUGCUUCAGCAGCACUGACGUAUUCUGCCUCUGCAGUAGACAAAGCUACUGUAUUUUGCUUAAUGGAUGCCCAUGAGAACAUACCAGAUCCUAGUGUAAAUGCAUAGCCUGAGGUGCUUCUUCUAUCAUCUUCACUUCCUGCCCAGUCACUGUCACAAUACCCUAUCAAAGUGGCUGACUUCCCCUUUAUGAACUCAAUUCCAAAAUCCAGUGUGCCUUGGAUGUAUCUCAAUACCCUCUUGGCUGUUCCCAUGUGUUUUUUAGUAGGAUUAUGCAUGAACCUAGCAAGCAAGCUAGAAGCAAACAUUAUGUCUGGUCUUGUAGCUGUCAAGUAGAGCAGACUACCAACAAUCUGUCUAUACUCAUUCUCAUUUGCUGCCUCACUCCCAUCUUCCUUGCACAGCCUCUCACUUGCAACUAGUGGAGUCACCACAGAUUUGCAGUCCUUUAGACCAAACUUCUCAAUUACUUUCAUUGCAUAUUUCUUCUGAUGAAGAAAUGUGUGCUUAUUGGUCUGCACAACUCCCAUGCCAAGGAAAUGAUAGAGCAGGCCGAGAUCAGUCAUCUCAUAGUGCUUCAUCAUGUCAUUUUUGAAUUCUUCAAGCAAUUUCACACAACUUCCAGUAUAAACAAUAUCAUCCACAUAAAGUGAAACAAUAAGAAUACCUGAAGUGUCACUUGUUUUGACAUACAGUGUUGCCUCACUAGGACUUUUCUUGAAUCCUGCCCUGUUGAAAUACGAAUCUAUCUCAUCAUACCAGGCUCUUGGAGCCUGUUUUAGUCCAUACAGAGCUUUGUUCAGCUUGUACACCCUGAUUUCUUCAUUUUCUUUAACAAACCCUUGUGGCUGCUCCACAUAAACUUCUUCUUUUAACACUCCAUUUAGAAAUGCAGACUUGACAUCCAAUUGGUACAAAUUCCAUUCCUUCUGUGCAGCAAGAGCAAUCAAGGUCCUAAUGGUGUCCAACCUUGCUACAGGAGCAAAUGUUUCAUUGUAGUCUAUUCCAGGUUUCUGUGAGUAGCCCUUUGCCACUAAUCUGGCCUUGUUCUUUUUGCACAGAUCCAUCAAGAUUAAGUUUCGUCUUGUAGACCCAUUUGACACCAAUGAUUGGUUUACCAAAUAGUCUGUCCACUAGUGUCCAUGUGUUAUUUUUUUCAAUCAUCUCCAGUUCAGCCUUCAUUGCAUUUCUCCAUGACUCAUCAAGGUUUGCAUCUUCAAAGCUCUCAGGUUCAACAAUGCAAAUGUUGCACUGAGCCAUGAUUUCAUUUACACUUCUCCAUUUCUUUGGUGUGUGGUCAAUGGCUUGUGAGCUUCCACUUAUUCUCUCCUCUUGCAGGAUAGUGUUUUCACUCAUUUGAGUUGAUGCAUCCAAGUCUUGACUUGGUUCAUCUUGCACUGUGGUUCCUGCAUCCAUUUGCAGUGGUGUGUCCAAGUCUAGACUUGGUUCACAGUUCUGAUUUUCUGCAGGCAUAGAAACUGUUAUUUCUCCCUUUUGUUCAUUUUCCCACUUCCAUAAACCAUCCUCAUCAAAGUGCACAUCUCUGGACAGAAUUAUUCCUAGAGCUUGGAUCAAAUAUCCUGUAACCUUUUUCACACAGGCCAUAGCCUACAAGAAUACAUUUGUGACUGUUCUCCUCAAGUUUGUGCCUUAGUGCUGAAGGAAUUAGCACAUGACAGGGUGAUCCAAAGAUCUUUAAGUGAGCAAUUCCUGGUUUUCUCCCAGUGUAGGCUUCAAAAGGUGUUACUUUGGUUAGAGCCUUAGUAGGACAUCUAUUUAAUAGAUAAACUGCAGUGUUUACAGCCUCUGCCCAAAAUUCAUAGGGAAUACUCUUUUAAUGCAGCAUGGACUUUGCCAUUUCAACUACUGUCCUAUUCUUUCUCUCUGCUACUCCAUUCUGCUGAGGAGAGUAUGCCACUGUUAAUUGCUUUUGAAUGCCAACCUCUGCACAGAAACUGUUGAAUUCAUUUGACAGAAACUCCCCACCCCUGUCACUUCUCAAGCCUUUUAUCUUAUAACCACUCUGCAGCUCUGUCAUGGCUUUGAAUUUUCUAAAACACUCCAAUGCACUUGACUUGUUUCUAAUAAAAUACACCCAUGACAUUCUAGUGCAGUCAUCAGUGAAUAGCAGGAAGUAUUUAUUUCCUGAUAUUGAGUCUGUUUUCAUUGGUCCACAGAUAUCUGUGUGGACCAAUUCCAAAGGAUGUGAUGCUCUCCAAGUAGAUUCCAAAGGGAAAGAAUCUCUGUGCUGCUUUCCUAACAUGCAGCCUUCACAAACCACAGAGACUUGCUCCAAAUGAGGCAGGCCAUGAACCAUGCCCUGAUUUUCAAGCAGUUUCAAACUUCUCUCAUUUAAGUGUCCUAGCCUUUUAUGCCAUGUCUGCAGGCAGUGAGAAACACUUGCUUUUAAAACCAACUCACUUGCAGGCAUCAUUGUAAGUGGAAAACAUCUGUUAUUGGUCAUUUGAACCCUCACAAUCAGAUUUCCUAGUGACUGAUCAUCAUAUACAUUCACCAUAUUCUCUCCAAACACAAGAUAAUAACCAUGCUCCAUCAUUUGCCCAACACUAAGUAGAUUUUCUUCCAUACCAGGUACAAGCAUUACUUCUUGUAUGUGCUUCUUUCCCAGUUUGGUUUUGAUCACCAGAGUUCCUUUUCCUGCCACUGGAACUACCUCUCCAGUUCCCAUCUUGACUUUAGAAUUCAAAUUCCUUUGAAUAUCCACUAAGAGCCCCUCAUUUCCUGUCAUGUGGUUACUACAGCCACUAUCAAUAUACCAUGAGUGAUUCUUUUUCACAUCUGUUGCAGCAUUGCACAUGUAGAACAAGGCACCUGUUUCCUCCAUCUGAUUUGCAUAGUUCACCUUAUGUGCAUUUUUAUUUCCAUUGCACUCUCAGAUCAUAUGCCCAAAUUUUCCACAUCCAUGGCAUUUAGGCUUGCCUUCAAACCAGCACUUGCCGUAAUGCAGCUUAUCGCAAUGUUUACAGGCUAUUUUGUUACCAUCACUAGUUUUCCAGUUUUUCUAAGAUUUUUGGUCUCCAGAAAAACUGCCACUCUUCGGAUUCUUCUCCUCAAUAUUCAGGCUAGCAAAUGCCCUUUCUGUAGAAUUUUCAGUAUGGCGAUCCAAUCUGAGCUCAAAGCUCUUCAAGGAGGCAACCACCUCUUGCACUUCCAAAAUUUCUAGAUCCUUAGAAUGUUCAAUAACAGAACAAAUGGGAUCAUAGGAUUUAGGCAGACUAAACAGCAGUUUCUGCACAACCCUCUCCCUGGAUAAUUCCUCUCCAUAACUUUUCAUGUGAUUCAAGAUAUCAAACAAUCUAGCAAGAUACACAGAUAGAGAUUCACUGUCUUUCAUGCGAGUAUAUUCAAACUCCCUACGCAAUCCUUGCAGUUUUACAUUUCGUACCUGCUUAUCUCCUCCAAAUUCCAGCUUCAGAAUGUCCCAAGCUCCCUUUGAGGUCUCCUCAUUCACUAUUCUGGGGAAGAGUUGAUCUGAGACAGCACUUUGGAUUAAUCCAAGUGCUCGAGCAUCCUUCAUCAGAAGCUGAGCCAUAGUAGACUUCUCAGCAUCCUUAGUCUCUUCUAUCUCUCUUUCUUUCUUUGAAUCUGGAUCAUUGCAGCCAUGUUCAACCAGAUCCCAUAGUCCAUGAGAUUUCAGUAUUGUUUUCAUCCGAAUGCUCCAGAAUUCAUAGUUUUCUCCAUUGAACACUGGUGUGCGAAGCUCAGAGGUGCUAGAUCCUGCCAUGUGAGACAUUGGAUUCAAGAAAAACUCAGCUGCACAAUCGAAGGAAGCUCAGAAACAGCUCAAAAAUCAAUUCCUUUUCCUUGUUCACAGAUUUACUCCCAGCUCAAAUGAUCAAACCUGGCUCUGAGGCCAUGUUAGAAUUCAUUGUACUUUGCAGUUUUGUAAGGUGGUUUUGAGAAGAAAAGAGAAAACACAGAGAAAAUGUGAGAGAGAACGUUGCUGCUUUUGUAACUUUUCUAAUUGAUUCCAAUUGUAUUGCACUCUACAUGUAUGUAAGUGUGUGUGAGAGAGAAUCUAAUUCUCUAACAGAUUUACAAAGCAUAUUCAAUCCUAGCCUUUGAUUCUAGCAUCCUAUGAGAUGAAUCCAUUUGUCAUAAUCCAAUGCUUAGAUCCUAGACUAGCUAAGAGAUCACUUGGACUAUGAUCCAAGGGCUCAAAUUACAUUAAGACAGAAAAGAAAAAAAAUUUAAAAGAAACUAAAGUUCAUAGACUGUAACAUAAAACGACUGAGUAACUUCUGCUCCAAAGGCAUUCAGCUCCAAUGCAUUCAGCCCAAAUGCUUUCAGCUCAAAUGCUUCCAGCUCAAAGGGUUUAGACAUCAACAAUUCAUUAUGAAGUAGAUUAACUGACCAACACAGAGAGCAUACUAGGCGCAGCCAUAGCCACCGCACCAGCAAGGUCCCCAUCAGAAUCCCGAACAAUGAUACCAACUCCGUGGGAUCCAUCAUUCAAAUCCACCGCAACAUCAACAUUUAAUUUAAAAUACCUAGUCUGCGGCUGUUGGCACCGGACCACAUUAGACGGCAAAGAAGCCUUCCUAUGACGAUCCAAAAUAUCAGCUUUGUAUUCGACAUCAUAGUUCUUUACCCGACAAAGAAUCUCCUAUACUUGUAGAGCACCAACACCAAAACAGCACAUUAACUAUACAUUGUGAGAAUGUGAAGGUAAAAAGUCCCACAUUAGAAAGUUGAGAAAUCUAGCAAGGGCUUAUAAGGAGUUGUAUUACUCUCCUCAUUGCCAAUUGGUUUUGGGAUGGAACCUCAACUUCCUUCAUGAUAUCAGAGCCUAGUUACCCCACGUGUGAAAGCCCAACGAUUACACGUGCUCCACGUCACCAAUUGAUUUUAAAUUAGUAAUAAAUUCAUUUAAAAUAGUAUUAAAUUAUUAAUCAUUAAUGAUAGAGAGUUAUUAGGAGUUCAUUUCUCUCUUCUCCGAGCUCCUAGAGGUAUCCUUAAUUUAGAUUUUCUGACAUUCCCUAUAAAUUUUAACUUAGGAGCACAUUCAAUUAACUCAUUCGAAUUUAUCAUUCCAAGUGUUAGUUUCAAGUUUGAAGAUGUCAUUUUCUUAACUCUCCCUCCUUUCAUCUUAUUCCCUCAGAAUUCAAAAACCAUAUUUACUUCAUCAAACAAAAUCCAAAGGUUUAUUUUUCAGUUAAGAAAAUUACUUAAAAGGUGAAAACGUUCGAUCCUUUCAACUUAAAUGACGUUGGAAACAAAUAAAAUAAAAUAAAAAUUACAAGAGAUCUUACCACAUAAAGCGACCACCAUUAGAUUUCAUUUAAAUUAGCUUGAGUGGAUGAGAUUCAAUGAAAAUAAGAGAGAAGGAGACAGUAAAAAAAAGAAGAGUAACUUAUUAAAAUUGAAAAUGGUUAGUUGGUUACAUGUAAAGAUGGUUUAAAUUAGUUGGUUAUGUAGAGCUGGUGUAUAACUGAAAAUGAAAAGCUGUACAAAACAGAGAGAAACGUUUAGGGCAGGGCCUUUCACCUAUAUAUAUAUAUAUAUAUAUAUAUAUACAUUUCUCUCUGGUGAAUUUACUUUUCUUUGUAGCUGGGGAAACAAGGGAGGCAUAUGUAAAGGGAAGAAGAAGAAGACGACGUCGUCGUACGAAGGAGGAAUCAAAGAAGUAAAUAGAUAAGAGUAUAUCAAUGAGUCCACCAGGAUCAGGAGAUGCGACAGCGCGGGUAUGUUAUAAUAUGACAGUUUUCAUGAGAGGAGAUUUUUGGCAUGCCGAAACCCCCACCGACAGAUCUCUCCCAUCGCUCAACAGCCAAUUGGUCAUCGUCAUGCUCGUCACUCGCAUUCUCAUGGUUGCCUUCAAGCCCCUGCACCAGCCUCGUAUUGUCGCUGAUAUUCUUGUAAGUAGUCUUAGCUCUUAUGAAUAUUGAAAUGUCAUAUCUUCUUAUAUAAAUGCGAAAAAAAAAAAAACUUAAAUCUACUUUCGUACAAAGUGAGUUCAAUAGGAUUUUCAUCUUAAAAUUGUGUUAUUCAUCCAUAUUCGGAAAGAUAUGCUAACGCAACUGUUCGUUUGUUAUUAUUAUCUGUGUAAGCGUGUUAUAUGUGUUGAUUCUUAUAAAAUAAGAAUAGAGUAUAAUUUGUUGAGUGCAUUUUCAACCGUGACAUGGAAGUUCUAGCCGCAAUAUGCAUCCAUUAAUGAACACCAUUUGAAAUACCAUUUGUUGAGUGAAUUGCACCAUUGUAGUUUGAUUAUCCCAACCAACUUUUUUCUUAAUCUCCAUUAGGAAUUAUUCUUGUAAAAAGAAAAGAAAAAACAUAUCAACCAAAUUGGUCGACAAUCAAAUAACCUCUAUUUGUGAGGAAUUGCUCAAUUAAAGGGGACUGUAUGUUUUUUUUAAUUUUGUGAGGGUGGCGUGCUAGUGGGUCCAUCUGUUAUCGGCGGUAUGAGCUUUGCUCGCGCUUACAUAGCUCCUUUCCACAACUUCUUGACAAUAGAAACAAUUGCAAGCUUGGGCCUCCUUUACUACAUGUUCAUGGUGGGUUUAGAGCUUGAUUUCAAACCAGUAAAACGUGCUGGGAAGAAGGCUCUGAGCAUUGCCCUCGCGGGCCUCAUAGUCACUGUCCCCCUCGGCGCGGCUCUUCAUUACUUUCUUCUUGGCGACGACUCUCGCUGGAAGUACAAGGGCAAAAGGCCCACCAGGUACGGGCCCUUGGUCUGGGGCAUUACCCUCGCCACCACCAGCUUCCUCGACCUAGCUCGAAUCCUCGCCGACCUCAAACUCCUCCAUUCUGAGGUCGGUCGGCUUGCCCUAUCCGCCGCCGUCAUUGCCGAGUUAUGCUCAUGGUUUCUUCUUGUCGUGACCAUGUCGGUAAUGACUGCGGCCGGGUGGCGCGGGUUUGCGACCACCGUGGCCUUUGUAGUUGUCUGUGUUUUUGUUCUUCGGCCUGCUCUCUUGUGGGCAAUCCGCUGCAAAUUUACCGAGAACAAAAAGAAUAAUAAUAACGAUAUGGACCUCAACGUGUGCUUUGUCCUGUUCGGUGUCGUGGUAUUCGGGUUCAUAACGCAAACAUGUGGGUCCCACUUCAUCGUCGGGCCUUUCGUGUUGGGAGCCAUCAUGCCCAAGAAGGGAGAGAUGAAGAAGAUGGUGAUGCAGAGGAUCCAAAACUAUGUGUAUCUGCUCAUGAUGCCCCUUUUCUUCUUGUUCGUCGGGCUAAGGACCGAUUUCAGACAUGUUGUUUAUGAGGACGUUGAGAACCAAGUGCCCUACGGUGCAGCUCACGCGUGCCGUGUCAUGGUGGUUAUCGUUCUGUCUUCCGCUUCUAAGAUUUUCACAACCUUUCUCGUCGCCUUAAUCCACAAAAUUCAACCUUGGGACAGUUUUACUCUUGGGAUACUCAUGAACACUAAAGGAUUAUUGGGACUCAUCAUUCUCAACUCUGCUAAGGACCUACAAGUAAGUACUAUAUUCUAUCUCACUCGUCAUUUCAUAAACUAGUUAAUAAGUUAAUACGACAUCAAACGUUAUUUUUUCAACUGAUGAUAUAUAUGAUUCUAAACAACACAUAUUCAGACAAGAAUUGACUUGAUCAAUCAAUUGUUCGAAUUCAUAAUCUGAUAACAUCCUAGUGUUAAUUAAUUACAUAUCUGUAUGGUGCAUCAUGUCUAUAGGUCUUGGACCACCGAACGUUUGCAGUAAUGAUGAGUGCAAUUUGGCUAAUGACGGUUCCGGUUGGACCCUUCCUAGCCCUGGGUUACAAGACCACGAGGGCUUCCGCACAAUACAAAAUCAGGAACAUACAAAGCUUAGAACCUGAUACCGAGCUUCGAAUCCUCACGUAUACCCACACCUCCAUUAACGUCUCCGGCAUUGUAGACCUCCUCGAGGCUUCAAAUCCAUCCCGACAAUCCUGGAUCUACGUCUUCGCCGUCCAACUCGUGGAGCUCACCGGUCAAGCUUCGGCCAUGCUCAUCGUGCAUGACGCUUGUAAAGCUAACACAAAUCACACCUGGGCCAACACCGAGGCACAACCUGAGCCAUUCACCUCUAGAAAUGCCUUUGAAAGCUACGCCAAGGGAAGAGCAAACGUUUAUGUUCAAGCACUCACGACCGUUUCAGCUUACAACACCAUGCACGAGGACAUAUGCAAUCUGGCCGAGGAGAAGUGCAUCAACCUCAUAAUCAUCCCGUUCCACAUGCAAGCUAAUAUAGAUGGCGCCAUGGAGGAUGCCAACCCUAGUUUGAAGGGCAUCAACAGUAACGUGAUCGAAAAGGCCCCGUGCUCCGUGGCGGUUUUUGUCGACCGCGGGCUUAGUAUGUCCCAUAUGACCGAAUCCUACAAGGACGCCUCCCAGGCCUACCGCCACUUCGCCAUGUUCUUCAUCGGAGGGGCAGAUGACCGCGAGUCGUUAACGUAUGCAUGGAGGAUGGCAGGAAAUCCGAGGGUUAACUUAAAGGUUGUACGGUUUAUCGUUACCCCAAAUAACAACGAAGGCAACAACAAUAAGGAAACUGAUCCAAAGGUAAUGGAAGACAGUGGGAGGGAGAAGCAAAUAGACGAGUUGUACGUGGACGAGUUUAGGCUGAAGUCCAAGCACAACCCCAACAUACAAUUCUUGGAGGAGUCUGUGAAUAGCUGGGAACAAAUUCUGAAUCUCAUAAGGGAGUUGGAGGGUGAAUAUGACUUGUACAUAGUGGGAAGACGGCAUGGAAGCACAUCACCAGCGAAGGCAUUUUCGGAUCAUUAUUUGAGCCAGACUGACGAUCAGCUGGGACCUCUCGGGGAAGCAUUAUUGACUACAAGUUUUGCAAUUAACGCAUCCAUUCUUGUAGUGCAGCAGGGGGCCGCUGUGGAUGAACCAGAGGAUGAAAACGUUUCGGUUAUAUGAAAUUAGCAAAAACCCUUCAAAAUUCUUUGUGAACAUAGAAUAGGAUAACUCGACUUAGAUCCUUUUCCUUUCUUUUUCGCUUCUUGUUUGUUUUGCUAAAUCAGGAAAAGUUACAAAGAAAUUAUUCACCCUUUUCAUUGCAUCUAGUUUUGAACCGUGUCAGUUUUAUAUUCAAGAUAUAUUAGAAUGAUACUGAGAGGAAAGAGCUUGUAACUAAAGUGAUUGCGAGCAGGUGCACUUGAAGUUUUACCACUAAGAAGCGAUGUUAGACCAACAAGUAAAUGGUCGGAGCUUGGAUGAAACAUUGGACAUGCAGCUUUUCUUGCAUAAGUUUGAGCUAUAAAAAAAAAUUCCUGUUUCUUAAUCACAUUUAUGUUAAUACAUAAUUUUAUAAAGAAUGAAGAUGGUACUAAUAAUGCAACUUAAUUUGUUUAUGCAUUGAAUUGUGAACAAAAUCUUCAUAUAGAGUUUCAACGUCUAUAAUGAAAUAUCUGUAGAAUUUCAAUGUAUAUAACAUUUGCCAAAAAGCUAGACUUGUCACAUGAGAAUCUUCUGUCUGACUAAUAAAAAAUUAAACAAGAAUAAUUACAGCUAUAUUUGAAACUUACCUAUUAACCUGUCCAUUCACACUAUGAAGAAGAAGAAGAAGAAGAAGCAAUCACACUAAGAGACCUUAUUACACUCGUACACUGAGAUGGUUGUCAUCCAUUCCGGGUGGCGACAAUGGUGGAACAGCAGCUUCUUCAAAUUCAGCUGCGUCAACUUCCAAGGCCUUCCUGAUAGUAGCCUUACUCUCUCCAAUUCUGCCAAUCUUCCUCGAUGGGAGAGAUUGGGAGGCAGUAGCUCUAGAAGAGUUACUACUAUCAAUUGUCAACAAAAACUUUUCUUUUGAGAGGGCUGUUGGGGCAGAUGCAAUAACAGAGCUGAACACUCCCGACUCCCGUAGUCCUUGUAUUAUGGCCUGAGAUGUACAACAAGGGAUAUCUUUUAAAAUGAUUCAGAUAUAUAUCUACACUAAUAAAUAAAACCAACUCAAUUGUGUUCGUGGACCUUAAGUUUUGAAGCUUUGUCAAAUAUUUUCAUCAGAAUUUAAUUACACUAUUAACAUGAGUUGAUCAUUUUCAAUUAUAAAUAAGCAGCUAAAAAUUAAUAUGAAUUAUUUGAAGCUCAUAGAUAAAGAUAACCCACUUCCCACUAUCAAAUUAACUUCCUCCUUUACUUUCGUUCCUCUCUUUCCCUCUGAUUAUUAACCACUUACGCCCUAUCUAUUGUAAUAUACAUUAUUUUCAGCAAAUUAAAUUAUAAAAGGUCUAGUACAACUGCAUGAUAUAAACACUUGAUAUGACAGUCUUUCAUUACUAGCCAAAAGAAAAGUUAAAUAUAUGUCUACUUAUACCUUUUCCAGACUUCAUCCAUCACAUUAAAUAAAAAUACAACUACAAUGUAUCACAUUAUGCAAAAAUACAAUUACAGUAAAUUUUUCAUUACUAGUCAACUUCAAAUGUGUCUUCUGCACUAGAUAUAUCAGCUAUGAAAAAAAAAUUGUGACCACUAGUUAGAUUCUUUUGUAUCUCUUUUGAAUUAAAUUUUUUGUGGCGAAGAAUAUUGGUAAACAUGCUUACCAUGGGAGCAUAUAUUCGAGUCAAAAUGCCUUUUCUCAAAAGUUUCAAUUUUAUGUCUUUGUCAUCCCAUACAAUGUGUUCAUGGUACCUAGAAUAGAAGCCAAGCUCAAACAUUAAUUCACAAUAAAGGAUUAUCAAUAAUGAAGAGUAAGCUAAUUCCAACAGUUCUCUCCAAAAUAUAAAGCAUUUGAAUUAAUACAACUCAAAUUUUAAAAGAGGAUGAAAAUAAGCAAAAUAACUUGCGCAGAAGAUUUUACCAUUUCAGCAUUUCGUCCUUGGUUGCAGUCGAAGCAACUAUGAAUGCCUGAAAUGCUAAUUGUUAGUUAGUAUAUGAAAGAGUUAGCAUAAUGAAAUGCAACGAAAAAGCACUCAAGAGCUGGCAGCUAUUUUAAUUGUUACCAAAAGAAAGGGGAAAUAGAAGGGAAAAGACAAGUCCAAAUUCUAUUUACAAAUUCGUAGAAUAUUAGCCAAAUCUGCUAAAUGAUUUCAGUAGAAAGUCACUAUGCCAUAUAUGCCUCGCUGUAAGAUUACGCUUGAAGUCAGAAAAUAACAAAACUAUAUUGCUUUUUAAUUAUCCAAAAAACAGCUCAAUCAAUAAGAAUGUGCUUCAAAUUUUCAAGAAUUCUAUUUCUAUAAACAACUAAACUUGACAGUCACCACUAGAUCCCAAGUUAAUCCAAAUAGCCUCCUUGACUGCUUUGAAUGAAAACGACCACAUACAAGAAGUAAAUUGCCAUGACUGACAAACUUUUUCCGAACUUAUCAGAUUAAUAACAGCAACUCAUCUUAUUGCCACAUUACCCUCUCCUAGGCCUCAAAUUUCUUCCAACCAGUUGUAUAAGUAUCCCUUGUGAACUUUCCCUUUCUAUAUUGGACCCUUUAUAGUUAGUGCCUAUCAUGGUCACAUUAUACAACUCUUCCGUAUGGAACAACUAGUUAGUUUUAUAAACUUAACCAGUUAUAUCAUGUGCUUGAUGAUACUGUAAUGCAAGUGGAAGAGUUUAACAAGAUCUAAACAAAGCAUUGAACUCACAGAUCUGUCAAAUUCCAACAUAAAGCAUCUUUUCACAUCUUCCUUUGUUGGCUUGCAGCCACACCGAUCACGUCUAGAAGUCAAGUCUGAAAAUCGGGCAUAUGUGUAGUGUAGAACAGCAGCCUCUUCAAAUUUGACCUCACUAAAAGGAAUUACAAGAAAUAUGAUUACUGGGAUGAAUAAGUUCAAUAAAAAAAACACUACUCUUUCCAUAUAAAAUUACAGUACUUCGGGGUUUUCAUAUAAUUGUGCCAUCUGUGUGCACCAUUAGGACGGAGAUGGUCUUGGAUUCGAGCAGCUGACUUCCCAUUUCCAUAAGUCAAAAAAUAGUUUGGGUUGCCACGAGUUGAUUCUUUGUACAUGCCAAAGUAUGUAUCUUUUGGUACAUGGUCAUAAUUCCUCUUAAACAUGGAUACCUGCUUGUGUAGAUACAAGAGCAAGACAUAGAUCAAAGACCAUAUAUGAAUGCUAAUUGAAAAGUAAAAUAGAGAUGAUGUGCAGCAUUUUCAAAAAUCAACCAGGAUAGAUUUAUUUGUAGUAAGGUUCGUGACUACCGCUUCAUUAUGCAGCACACUCCAUAUCCUAUAUAUUACUUCUCCUAAUCCCACAGUUGCCUACUUCUCUACAAACACUAUGCCAUUAUUGAACUAAUAACAAGUUAACUUCAAAGCUUUCUGUCUAGAUUUGAAAACAAGGCAGAUCAAGGUAAUAGCAAGUUUACUAAAAAGUUGGAAUCAUUUCACGUUCUUGGGUAAACAUUUAAAACAACAUAGCUGAUAUCAGAUCCAUUAAUUCGGAUUAUAUAAAGGCCUAAUUUGGUUUUGGUAAAAAAGUAUUUUCGAUAUUAGGAAAUGAUCAGAAAUGGUUUUUUGCAUUUAGUUUUAGAUCAAAGUUGAAAAGUCAAACUAAAGUUAAACUAAAACACCAAAAAGGAUUAUAAAAUAAUACAAAAUGCCACAAUUUUGACUUUCCAAAAGUCAAAAUUUGGUUGACUUGUGAUCUAAAACUAAAAUAACAUAAACCACUAUUGGUUAGACUCAGAAAAGAAAAUAGGAUCCUUGCAUUUCCAAAUUUAAAAACUAUUUGUGACCUAAACCAAAUUUCCUAUUAUAUAAAUUGGCACCAAGUGUGCAUGUGUGUGUUUAACAACUUUGUCCUUGCAAAGUUUAACUGGGCAACAAUAUACUGUUUCCCAGCAUGGUAAGUCUAAGAGUAAGGAUAAGGUUAGGAACUCAUCACAAAUUCAAAGUUAUGGUACGCAUGAUGAAGGAACAGGCAGCAACAUAUGCUAUAUACCAUAUUUUACUAUCUAAAGACCCAUAUAGAAUAACAAAUAUCACUCUAUUGAUUGUUGAACUCUAGAGAUAUAGUGAAGUCUAUUUAACCAAAUAAAAAAGGCAAGAAUGAUGGACGAUAGAGGAAAUUCACCUCAGUAAAAGGUUCCUUAAUAUCAUCGCGUUCAACACUGCUCUCCUACUCAAUAAAAAUAAGCACAGUUAGUUAAAUCACUGAGUAAAAGCACCAGGGCUGAAACAGGAGCCAAUACAAGAAAUUAACAAGAGUAGCAUGCUUGAUCAUCUUUACAUGUCCCAAAGUAUCUAAACAAUUUCACAUACAUAGUUCGGGAAAAUAACCAUAUCCACAUUCCUAGGCACAUCAAGCAGCAACUGCCUCAAAGAAUACUCCUUGGCACCAGCUGGGUGCAGUAACUCAUCCGUGUCAAGAUGAAUUAUCCAGUCUAUUCCAGCAUCCUGAUAUUUUUGUAUGCACGAGAAAGUUCCAAGCAGAUAAAAAAGAAAUAAAUCAACAAAACCUAUUAUCAUAAGAUAAAACUAACAACAUAGGAACCAGUAAUAUGAGAAAAAUCUUUCAUACCCUUGCCAUGACAAUAGCCAUCUCCAUAUUGAGAGAUUGCUUCACAAAUAGCUCAUAAUUGCAAGGUUUGUAAAAGAAACUGGACAGCCAAGUCUCAUUCCAAAUUCGGCUGAUGGUACCAAAAACAAGAAGCAUAAAAUACAAGUGAUUUCAGCGAAAAUGAAAAUAGAAUUCUUCUUAGAAGCAGAUAACCACACUGCUGAUAUGACCUCCACUUGGACAGCUGUGCUUGCUGUUCAAAAAGCACCGCAAUGUUUCACUUAUCUAUUUUUUAGUUUUUUAUCCAUUUCCCGCCAAGGUUUAUUGGUGUAGAAUCAAUUUUCAGGUUAGGUUUUAAAUUUUAACUCUCAACUUUAAGGACUCUUUAGUAGCCCAAAACUCGGGAGUCAAAACUUAAAAGCUAAGCCCUAAACAGGCAUGUUUUGCUCUUUUUUUCAGUGCAAUUUGAACGGCCAGAGGGGCCAUCUGAAUUAUGUGGGUCUCCACAGAGCGGUUAUCCAUCCCAAAGGCGGAUUGUGUGUGUGUGUGUGUGUGUGUGUGCGUGCAUCUACCAAACAACAAAAGAGAUAGAUAUACAGAAGAUUAAUCACAACCGACAGGAAUCGUAAUAAUAACAGAAGAUUACAUUAACAGUAAGCAUAAAGUCCAAGAAGAAUGGCGGCAAAAUCAACUAACCUGUUAGCUUGUUGCUCCUCAAGCUGUUUUGUUCUGUAUAUCACUUUUACUCCCUGAAAGUACCACAAAAUUUAUCCUCGACAAAUUUCACAACAUUAAGCACAGUAGAACUAACAGUAGAAAUGCAUUUGAAGAAGAUAAGCAGUCAGAGUGAAGUAUAUUUUAACUCACAGGAAUGGACUCCAGAAUUUUAGCUACUUCGGGAGAUGCAGCCUUUCCUUCCACAAAAAGGAAAAAGGUAGUAGCUCCAAUGACCUUGUGAUAAAACAUCCAUGGUAAAAUCUGAUCUAAGCCAGCUGAAGUACUCGUAGUAAUACAUAUCUGCACACAAAACUAACUUGUUAAGAGAGGAAAACUUCAUUCCACCAAAAUGUUUGCUUUCCUGAUAUUAAUAAUAAGUACUCAUAAAUAACUAGAACAGGAAAGUCCUAAUGAUACCUGAUUCAUAAAAUCAAAUUCUACUACCCAACCAUUCACCCUAUAUACUGGUACCAUAUAAAGUCUAAUAUGUAAACGGCAACGUUAUCAUAUGUUCUCACUGCAAGUCUGCAGAACAGGUUGUCAAUGAAACAAAGAAUCGCAUUACCUUUAUCUAUUUGAAUACCCAAGUUGCUCAUGAUUAUACAUCGAACGACAUUUAACACUCAUUAAAUGGCUGUAGCUAAUUCUUCAUUACAUUCCAUGAUUUGAAGAACUAUGAUAUUUCCUAUAUUCUUAGGCUGUGCAGAAUCACUUGACAUGCCAUUGUCAAUGUUUGAUCUCUAGAGCAGGGCCUGCACAGUGGGUUCAAUUUGGGGGAAAAAAAGAAGAAAAGGAAAACCCAUCUUUGCAAGUCUUAAGCAUAUAUAAUAGUGUCUUCUAUUAACAAGUCAGGCAAGUCUAUUUGGAAAGCAAGGUUAAGUUGAGGUUUCCAGAAUACGGAUGAAGUUGGUUCACAUUGCACGGCAUUUGAACAGAAAGUGCUUCACGAUUGAGAUGAUGAUAUGGAAACUCAAGCACCAUAUAUAAUCUCCAGUGAAGAGCAGCUACUACGCUGCAACAAUAUUCACUUCUAUUGUAAGCUUUUGGUUUUUUAUUUAUUUUCGGUUACCUCUGUUCUAGCUUUAGCUGAUCUGUGUUUGCUUCGCCUCAAAUUAUUGAAGCAACUUACUGCAUUAACUAGCUCUGAAAAACAAUUUAACAAUCCAAGGGUCCAUGGUUCAAGUGAAAAAUCAAAAGCUCUGGUCUGACAAGAGAGAAUUCAAAAUCCAUAACAAAAACUUGCUAGUUCCUAGAUUCUCCGCAACAAAACUAUUGCUUGACCAAUGCACCACCAACAAAUCACAUCUAGUGUUGGGAUAGCGGCUCAAAUUAGUUGUCAAAGGCAUGGAGGAUAACCGACGACUGGUCGGAGACAAAAGGCGACCAGUCGGUAUUAAAGUUAGGUAACUUUCGGUGCAAACCAACUGGCGACAGGUCGGCUCUGCACAUGAUUAUGUUUCCUUUUUCGAUUUUGAGUCCUAUUAGGGUAUGUUUUUGGAUUCCUAGUUCUAUUGAGCUAGGGUAACUUGCUCUAGUGAAACUAGGGUUUUGAAAGGGAGACUAUAAGUAUAUCCUUAUGGUGUUAGUCUCCGUGGUGUGUGAUCAAAGGGCGUGAUCAAUAUAUGUCUAGUGGCUUUGAAGAUUUCACCUAUAGGGUUGUGGCAUACCGAGUGAGAGAAAAAACUUUGAGAGUGUGAGAGUCAGUUUCUUGGGUGUACUGGGGUUGAGAUGAGUGAAAUUACUUGUGAGUGUGAGGGAAGAGGCUAUCUCCCCUACAUUGUAAUUUUACCAUCUUUCUGCUGGAUCGUCUUCAUUAGCCCAAACCAGGGUGAACCUCGUAAUUUGUGUGUUGUGUGAUUGAUUGCUUUCUUCAUUUUAUUCUCUUGGUUGUUUUUGCGAUCUUUGGGCUAGGAAUUGUGUGUGAAUUCUCAACACCUAGUACACACCAAAAACUGUUCAACCAAUCAAUGAAAAAAAACACAAAAAACAAAAAAAGAAACAAAAAACUAUAAAGAAAACAUCUAUGACCCAUGAACUGAGAACAUUAGCACCAAUUGGGCAGACGAUCCAUUUUCAAACAUGAGCAUACCAGCAUGAGAAAAAGGAUCUAUUAGCCAAACAGCAUUGCACCAAAAAAUAUCUAAAAGAGCUAAACUUAUAGCAAAAAGUGAAAUGCAAGAUUGGCACAACUCCUUUAUCCUUUCUUAAAAAAAAGGCUCACUACAUAUAAACAGCCUCAAAACAAAUCUAGAACCCGUAAUCUUAAACCCAGAUACAGAUCAGACGUCGCCAAUUUCACAAAGUAACAAAGCUUUUGGCAUCAAACUGUACGACCACUCAGAAUUUUCGAAUACAGCAGCAAAAACCCACUAAACCCAAAUCUAUAGCAAGCAAAACCCAUUACCAGAUCAACCUCAAAUCCAAAAAGAAAGAAGAAGAAAGAACACACCUUUGGUCUCAAAUUGGACACAGAAUCAAACUUCCAAUUCUGAUAGUAGGGAAACGAAGGCGAGGCUGAACGGCCAAGGCUGAGGCAAUCGGACGGCGUGGAGUGAACGACGGCGGAGGAGAGAGGAGAGGCGUCCAUGCCGGGGAAGAGGUGAUGGGAACCAGGUGGGGACCACCGAGUGGUGGGAUCGGGGAUGCCACCGCGCCAUUGGAGAAUGAAGGCUAAGGCUGCGAGCGAAAGAGGGAGGAGAGUGAGGAGAAGGAGGAGCUUCGAUGUGAAAGUCUGAGAUGACGAGGAGGAAGAAGACUGCGGAGUUGAGCGGAGCGGGGCGUGGAGGUGGUGGUGGUGGUGGUGGUGGUUAGUCAUGAUGGUCGUUUUACUUUUACGUCAUGUGAGACUUUACAGCUUCACUGGGAUUUUAGCAAACAAGUUCUUCUUUUCUUUUAAAUAAAGUUUGAAAAACAGCUCCUGUUACAGUCUCAUCACGCUGCCUUUUCAAGAAUUGAAAAAUAAAUAAAUAAAAAUAACACAAAAUUAGAAAAAGGGUAAACUGUUGAAAUGCCCCUUGAACUUUUACCUAAUUAUCAAUUUAUCCCCUGACUUUUUUUUUAAGAAAAUUAAGGAUUCGAACUAAAUUUUAUUCUCAAUUUCCCUCCUGUCGUCUAAAUUCUCAACAUUUCAUCUAAUUUGUCGUUAAAUAAGAGAGUAAUUAGGCAUUUCAUAUGUUAAAAAUAAUUCACUACUAUAAAAUAAAAUAGUAUGACAUAUAAAAUGAAAAAAAAAAAAUCAUUUUAAUAAACAGAGGGGUGGGACCCAUCCAUCAUUUCUUCUCUCUCUCAGCGACUAAAACCCCUUCUUCCCUCUCUCUCUCUCUCUCUCUCUGCGACCAAAACCAUCGGGCCCCACCCUCCAAACAACCCCAUUUAUUCAGAUCUUGAAUCCAUUGAUAUGUUGUGCGAUUUGGGGUCGAGAUUUUGGGUGAAGGGGCAAUGAACUUGUAAGGUGAAGAGGUAUGGACCUUUAAGACUAAGGGGGAAAAAAUCAUAGGGGAAAGGGCGCGAAUGGGUUGGGUUUGUGGGUAGGGAUAGGUUUUUCUUUUAUAUUUUUUGGAUGUAGGGUGGGUUGCAGGUGGGGAAGAGGCUAGGUCACUGGUUGCUGUAAUUUCAAUCGAGGAUUGGAUUGGCAUUGGAGUGGCUAAGCUGGGGGAUGGGGAGGAGUUGUUUUGGGUUGGUGAGAUGAGGGGCUAGCUGUGGUGAUGAGGAGAGGUUUGAUGGCGAUGGUGGAGAAGAAAGGUGAUGGUUGUGGGGAGGGCUUUUUUUUGUUUUUUUCCUCUUUUCUUUAAUUUUUACAAAAAAAAUUUAAUCAUUUAACUGAAAUUGGAUGAAAUGUUGAAAAUUUGGACGGUAGGGGGAAAAUUGAGAAUAAAAUUUAGUUCAAGUCCUUAAUUUUGUAACAAAAAUGUCAGGGGGUAAAUUGAUAAUUAGGUACAAGUUCAGGGGUGGGGGGGCAUUUUGGCAAUUUACCCUAGAAAAAAGCGAAAUUAAAAUACAAGGUUUUUUUUUGUUCAGUUCCUCAAGGAAUACAAAUCCAUCCCGGAUUACAUUAUAUAAUCACGGCCGUUCACGUAGAUUAUGAAGCCUAUAAUGAAUUUGGGUUUUUGAUCCAAAUGAUUACUUUAAUCCAAGGUAUACUCUCACCACUAUUCUAAACACUUAAUACGUGUACAUGAACAUAAUCAUAGUUCCAUAAAUAUGAAGCAAAUAGUUAAUUAUGAUUAUGUCAAUAGACAAGUGUCAAGUGGUGAGAAGGAUUAUGAGGGUACACCUUAGGUUAAAGUGGUGAACAAAAAAAUUUCCAUGAACCUAUGCCCGAAUUCUCUUUUAGUCCUCCAACCAAAUUUUUCACUCUAAUGGUCCUCAAACUCUUUCUUUCAUGUCAUAUAACUUUGGGGUAAAUUAAACUUUGAACCAAAAAAAUAAAAAUAAAACACCACUUUGAGAUGCCCUAAUAACCCUAGACCCCAGCACCCACCGCAAUCUAGACCAAACAAUAUUGUAUAUGAUCCAUUAACAUGACAUGAAUUCGCAAUCCUAAAUCAAUAUUCAGGUCGGGGCUUAUCGGGCUGUGUUGAAAAUGGUGGACCCAUUAGCCACCAAUCAAGUUAACGGGUUGUGUCAUGUGAAUUCUCGAAUAUUUGUUAUCACCCAUUAAGAGUAUAGUUAUUUUGUAGUUUUAUAUGUCUUUCUUUUUUUCUUCCCUUCCUUCUCCCCUCCCCAACUCUUCUUUGGUUGAAUUUUUAUUUCUUAUUUUUCAGCUCUCUUUUUAUUUUUUAAUAUUUUUUUAGUUUCUUUUUAUUAUUAAUGGGUGAAACGAGUCGUGUCAUGUCGUUCGUUAUUUUAAAGGGUCGUGUUCGUGUUUGGUAUUUUCUACCCAUUUACUUAAUGAAUUGUGUUGUGUCAGCUCGUUAAAAAAAGUGGGUUGACACGAACACAAUAAACACAACUUGUUUGCCAUGUCUAUCGGAGUUGCACCUCCACUUGCAUCUGCCCUAUGACCACACAUCUACCUCCCUCUCGCUCCAUGGCACCCACCUCCCCUAAAAAUAAAGGGGCAUAAGAAAACUUGCAACAACUAUGCAAACUCAAAAAAUACGGGAGAACCCAGUUAAUCAAUUUGAGAAUAAGAUUAAUUCAACAAAGGAAAGUGGGGAAUACAAUUAUAGAUGCUCUAAGUUGUGUUUGAUGUCUAGUUUUAUGUUGUUUAUAAUUUAAGUCAUGCGGUACUCACUUUUAAUUUCAGUAUUGUUGUACUUGUUUUUAUUUUCUAUGUUGUUAUACUCGUUUUUUUUUUUUAGACAAUAUUUGUUUUAGCAAUUUUAAUUUUUGAGGUUAAAAUAUUUGUACAUAAUUUAAGAUAAUAUAAAUAAAAUUAACUAAAAGAAGUUAUGAAAAAAGAGGUUUAAAUAAUGGUUAAACAACAACUAUUAAAGCUUGGGUCUCAUAUUUUGAUAGUGUAAGAUGUAUGAAAAGAAAACUAUUUGAGGCUUUGCAUGUCAAUUUUUUGGAGCUGAUUUUUCCACUUUCCUCUUUUCUACUUACACUCUUUUUUACUUUUUAAUCCUUUUUAAUUAAUUUUUUCCUUUCGCUUUCCUACUCUACUCUUAUUCUACGUUAAUUUCUUUUUACUUCACUUUUUUCUUUUUCUUUAUACUUAAAUUUCCAACUUGCACUCCAUUUUAUUUUUCUUUAUAUAUUUAUAUUUUUUCUUUUUCUUUAUGCCGUUAGAUGAACAUGAUAAUAUAUAUAUAUAUUUUUAGAAAACCGAUAAUGCUUUAUGAAGUUAAUAAAAAAAUUGAAUUAAACAUUAGAAAAAAGAAAAGAAUAGUGUAAUCGGGGAGGGGAGGAUCUGCAUAGCGAUUGUAGAAUUGGGAACAACUCAGCAACCUUGUCAAUCUCUACCCCUAGCUACUUUCCCCACCGACACCCAAAGGCCCAAACCCUCCAAGCCACGCUUACCUCCCUAACUCCAAUCCACCCACUUUUAAUAUAUAUAUAUAUAUACUAAAAGCCCUUGCAGCCUUACCACUCCGCAAUUGUCCUUCCCACUUCUCCACUAGUUGAGCAGCUCCUUCUUUUCCUAACUAGACUACGCCCUUAUUUUCUUUUUCUUUCCAAGUUUUUUUUUCUUUUUUUAAUGAUAUAUUUUAGUUUAAUUCAAUUUUUAAUGUAUUUUUAAACUAAUUCAACUUUUUAUUAACUUUAAAAAGCUUUAUAGGUUUUCAAACUAAAAUGAAAAAAAUAUUAUGAUAUUUGGGGAAGCAAAUGUUUUGCAAACCCUAGGUCGAAUAAUUAAUUCUAUCUAUUUGGGGAUUGUUUGAUUGAAUUAGGGAUUCUUGCCAUAAUUGGAGAUUUGAUUCUAAAUUAAAUCCCUAAUUUGAUUCGAUCUCUCCAAGUUAUGGAAAAUAACUCAUUUCCAUGUGAGGAAUUAUUCUUCCAAAACCCUAGCCACCAAGGCUCCUAUUAAUACAUAGCCCCGCACAAGGCAUGAGGUAUGUUCUAAACUUUGCAAAAUUCUCCUCUCACAAACCCUAGCCGCCACUUUCUCCCUCUCUCACACAAGGCUCCGCCCACCACACACGACUCGGACCACUCGGUUCUCCCAAUGAGAAAAAGACCUCCUACCUUUCAUUAGUUUCUAUAUUCUUCUCAAAAUCAUUUAAUUGACUUAGGCAUCAGAAGACCUUUAGCCAAUACUCCUUCCUCCCUCUUUCCCCCCCCCCCAAAACCCGGGUGUGGUCUUUUCACUCCAUGUUGUUUUGUAGGGAGAAAGAGAAGCAAAAAGGAAGAAGGAAUCCCAAGAUGAAUAUUCUCUAGGGAGGAAAAUCACUCUCACAAAUUGGUGCUUUUAUUAAGAGUGCGAGUUAAUACUCAAUGCGUGCUCCAAAACCAUUUCUACACUUUGUUCUAGUCAAUCAUGGUUGAAAAUAGACUUACGAGGAGUAUGGCCGCCACAAUGACACAAUCCGAAACGGAUCCGUGCCUCCCACAUCACGACUACCUAGCCGAGUGCCUAGUGGCUCACGCCAUUGCACCAUAGCAAGGUUUCAUGGCUGAAACCUCCUCACAGCCACCAAGCCGAGUGGUUGAAACUGAAGCCCUCCUCUCCCCCUGGGUUUUGUUUUCCUCCUCAUGGAAAAGUUUAGAACAAUGAGCCAAACAUUAAAUGCACAUUUUUCAUGACCAUUUUGUCCUCAUGAAUAAUUUAAAAUUACAAUAUAGUAUUAAAUGCAUUCUUUUUUUAUUUGAUUUCAUAUUAGUAUAAUUGGAAAAUAAAACAAACUUUGUUUUACAAUCCUAUACAAAUCAAACACGUGAAAGAAAAUAAAGUGGUAUUUCCUGGUUACUUUCCAAGGAUUACCGAAUAUGGAAAAUGAAUCUUCAGUUUCCUAUCCCUUGGGAAAGACAUGAGAAAUUAUUUCCCAUCAAAUCUUUUUCGCAAACUAAACUGGGCUACAAGUCCACAAAGAGGAAUGAGUUUUCUCACACAUUCACUAUCAAGGUGUCAUGAGGGUUCGAACUAGGGAUGACAACAGGUCGGUUAGGGGCUGGGUAUGGCAAUACAAUCCCCAUCCUUGCUUUCUAUCCCCUCCCCUGUCCCUGUCCUCGUCUCCGUCCCCGUCGGGGGACUCUCUCCCAAACCCGCCUCAAAUCCCCUAUUUAUUUGUUGAACAACUAAUCCAUAUAUACAACACUAAAUAUUUUCUUAAUGUUGGUUGAAUAAUUAGAAACCUGCAUCUAUGCAAAUAAAAUGUAGCCUAAUUAAAAAUAGUUUAAAAAAAGCCGGUUAUAUCCCAUACAACUUGCAAACCUGUACAUUUUUAUUUGGAAAAUCGAGAGAUAGACAUGCAAUUGAAAUGAAUGCCAUAUGCAAAAACGACUCCAUAAUAGUUAAUUGAAAUGAAUGCAUUAAUUUUCUAAACUUAUUUGAAAAGAAGUUAAUUAUUGUUUUAGAGUGUUGCAUUAAUUUUAAUUAUUGUUUUAAAAUUAAUUGAGUACACCCUACUGUUGUAGGGGUCUUUUUAUUCCAGUAGCCUGACGAAUGGGCUUGGGCUGUCGAAAAGAAAAACAUGUAUGAAAUUGCCCCUUGAGUCUGAGUUCAAGGAUCAGACCCCAAGAGUGUUUCAAAAAAGUAGCUGAGCCUUAAGAAACACCUUGGUCUUCUUCACUAAUGAAACCAACAAUCGCUUACAGAUAAAUUCUUGGCUUGACAUGAGAAGCUUGGGGCAUGUGAGCUGAGCAUUCAUGAGUUUAGCAUGAGAGAGAGAAGGCUUGGGUUUCCUAUGAGGAAUAGAGGCUUGAAGUAAUGAUUUCGUGAGGAUUUGCUAAGGAGAGAGAGAGAGAGAGAGAGAGAGAGAGAGAGAGAGAGAGAGAGAGACAUAGAUUAUGGGAGAUGAACAGGUGCUUUGGGUAAUUUUUCAGCAGCUUGAGAAGGGCUCUGUCAAACUCUGGAAUGGCAUGCCAGAGGAGAAAAUGGGAAGUAAUAGAAGAACAAGGCUUGAAAUUGAAGGGUUCCAGAGAUGAGAGGUGAUGCUUGCUCUCUCUGGAUAUGGUUGCUUGCCUUCGAUUGGAAAGAGAGGAAGAAGAUAGAACCAUGGGUAACUUUGGCAUAUUUCCAGUAGCUUGACGAAAAGGUUCGCCAGGCUCCUGGGUUACUCAACAGAAGAGAACAUGGGAAGAGAUGGAAGAACAAGGCUUGAAAUCAAAGGGUUCCAAAGAUGAGAGAUGAUGCUUGCUCUCUCAAAUGUGGGUUUUGAGAGAGAGACAGGAAGAAGAUGGAAGAACAAAGCAUGAAAUUGAAGGAUUCCAGAGGGGAUGCUUGCCUUCGAUCAGUUUGUUGUGUGUUGUUUUGCUGGGUAGAAAGUGUCUCCUUUUAUAGGCUCUGAAAACCUUAAUUUGUCAAGCCACCCUGUCCUAUUUUCCUCACUUUCUUCCAUUUCCUCUUAUUUAGUGAAAUUUCCCUAACCUGAACCCAUAGGCACGGGGUUCCAAGGUCAUCAGGCAGCUGGACUUCUCCAUGUGGGUGAGGAGCCACCCACUUUUGUUUCUUGUUUUCUCACCAAAACUUGAAGAGGAAAGAAUGGGUAAGGGUGCUUAGUCAAAAAGGUGAUCAGUACAUGAGUUUGCUUGGUUUUGGUGGUUUGGUUGCGAUCUGGUUUGAACAGAGAUGCACAAUGUUGGAUAUUUUAUAAGGUGCUAGGCUGGGCUGGGCUAUUUUGUUUUUCCAGCGACUUGUGAGUUUACUUCAAGCUGCUGGAGGUUUUAGCUGAUAUGGGCCUUUUCCUAAGGUGAUGGGCUAUUGUGUUUUCUCUCAUGCUUACCCAUAUGUUUGGACUCAAGGAAUGGACUUGAGUUUUGGUGCUCCCAAGUAGCCCAAAACUUCCACUCCUUGGACUAUCAAUGGGCCUCGUGAACGCUCGUAACCAUCCAUAUCACAACUCACUCAGCAAGCCUCAGGUAUUCGCGUGGCUUGGGCCCACUUAAACUUGUAGCGUGGCAUGUUGUUUAAAUAAGGAUUUUCCGCUUGGUGUUGUAUUGGGCCGAAAAUAUAUUUGGGCCUAACCUUGGACUUUUUGGGCCUCAACAACUGUCAAACUAUUUAUUAAAUUACUAAUUUAUCCUAUUAUAAAAUGACCAAAAAAGAUAUAUUGAAUUGUGAAACAAAUAUGAUUUUAAUAAGUACACCCUAUUUAAAGAUUCCGAGCAUCUGCAUUUAGCAUAAGUGCAUUUAUACGCAUUUAAGCCAAUACUAACCAUUAGAUUAAUCUAAUCAAUUCUAAUAAGUCCACAUAGCAAAUUGUACUAACAUAAAACUCAAAAUUUGCAUUGUAUCCAAUACUUUUGAAAUAUAAAAAAAUAAAAAAAUAAAAAAUAUCUCAUCAAACAUAAACACCUUCCCUACCUAGCCCACUUACCCCACUUCUAGCCAGCCAUGUGGUUCUAUCUUUCUCUCUCUUUGAAUUUUGGAUGAUGGACUCUCAACAAGGCUUACGAAUUGAAGUCCUCCAUCGUUAGGAAUCUCUCCUAACUCCAAAACCACCCUCUAGUGAUAAUCCAAUUUCGAUUUCUAUGGGAUAAAGCUUAUCAUUUCUGCAAUAGGGAAUAAUUUAAUCAAAUUCUAAUCACUAAUAAUUUGCCACAAGUACUGUAAUUAGUUAUCAACUGUAGGUACAUAAGGAGGAAGGUCUGUGUGAGAGAAGAAAAGAGUGAGAGGUGGGGACCAUGGUUGAUAGUGGAGAGAGUGAGCGGUGUCAGCCAUGGUUGGCAGUGAGGAGGCUAGGUUGGGAAGGAGGUAGUUAUUGCUGGAACAUUUUAUUUUAUUUAUUUUUUAUUUCAUAAGUAUUGGCUAAGAAUGUGCAAAUGGUGUCGUGAACUUAUUAGAAUUCAUUAGAUUAAUUUAAUGGUUAAUAUUUGUUUAAAAAGGUAUAUGUGAUAGUAUAUUAGGGUGUACCGGAGGUAUUUUUGGUAGUUAAAUAUGGUGUUCUUCGUUAAUUUUACAUUUGAAUUAAAAUAUUAGGGUGUACUUAGAUCAAGGAGUGUACUCAGUUAAUUUUAGGGUUCGUUUAGCAGCACUCUUGUUUUAUAAUACAUAUUUAUUAAUAAAAAAUAAAUAUCCCUUGUCGGGCCGGAUUCGGAGAUGGGGAUAACAAUACCAUCCCCGACCCAUCUUUGAUCGAGAAUUUAAAAUUCGGGGAUCCCCGUAUCCGUCCCCAAAUUUCCCCUAAAUCUCCCCCCGUUAGGGUUGGGGACCUGCUCCCACCGGAAUUUCUGUCAUCCCUAGUUCGAACAGGAGACCGGUCUACAAGUCAAGGUCCUUUUUCACUAGGCUAGACUUCGUUGGCAUGAAUAAUUGUAUUUAGAAAAAGAAAAUUUUGGUCUAAAUAUGCUCAAUUUUUUUUUGAUUCAAACGACAUUCUACUUUAUUUUAAUUUAACUAUAAAGAGAGAGAUUCGAACUUAAAAAUGAAAGAGUUGUUUAUGUUUUUGUAUUUUUUUUUUUCCUGAAAACAGUUCUGUUUUUAGCUUUUUAUUAAAAGCCUCUACAAAAUUUCCUUUAAAAAUAUCCAUCCUAAAUCUAAAGAACCAUAACAAAGAAACCUAUUCCUGUACCGACCCAUAAACCUAAGCAGCACUCUCUCUCUCUCUCUCUCUCUCUCUCUGCAGUCGAUGUUAGGGUUUGUUGAGGGGGUUCUUGAAGGUGAAAGAGAGGGUUUCUUCGUUAAAUGCUCUCUCCCUUCAACAAUCUCUCAGUUCCCUCUCUUUUCAUGUCUUCAAUCGACGUCUUUCUCUUCUCCUCUGCUCCUUCAGGGCCUUACAAAACCCUAAUUCUUGGUUUCGGUUCCGACGUUUUUCACAUACUUCUUCCUCAUUCUCAAUCCUCUCACAGGCAAAAUUCGUGCUUUUCGUUAGGUGUUUCUGGGAUUUCCAAUUCUGUUCUGUGCGCAAAAUGAGUGAUUCUAAGGUGGGUUUUGUAUUUGUUAUUGACUAGUUUGUCUUUUUGUAUGGUUUUCAUUUGAGGAGGAUAAUUUCACUAAUCUGUGACUGGUUUUGUGAAGUUUAGUAAUUAGAGAUAUUGGAAAUUUCGGUAUUGUAACUUUGAAUUACUUCAUGCUUGGAUGAAACUUCUGUUGGUCUGAUUGAUUUUGCUCUAUGGAUGACGAAGUGCCUCAAUUUGCUAUUUGUCAUCGUGGAUUGGUUCGUUUGUGCUGCGUGUUUUCAGUUCCAUUUUAUGAUGGAUAUUUGGUGUGGGAAUUUAUUGUGGUGGCAAUGGCUAUUCGAUUAUAACACUGCUUUACCUCACUAGGCCCUAAAUUAGCUGUUGAGUAAUAAUGCAGAAGUAGAUUUGUUGUUAUCAUUGCUGUUUCAGCAUCUAGUAGGAUAUUUUGCACCGUUCUAGUCUUAUGGUUUAUUAUGUGAUUUACUAAUGUUAAUUGGCGUGGGAUUUUUCUCUUCCUUGUGCUAUAAAACCUGCUAAAUUUUGUUGUUAUUCCUUGUUUGCAGCUAUUCGUUUUUGGGUCAUUCUCUGAAGACGAGACCAGGUCAUUGCUGCAAAAACAAUCACCUGGGAAGGCUGAAAAGCCUGUGGAAAAGAAUGUAUUGCAGUUUGGGUCUAUAAAUUUUGUUACUAAAAUAUCUUCGGGUGAAUGUAAUGGUGAAUCAAGCAGACCACAAAAUUCUGUGAAAGGGCUCAGCAAAGUUCAGCCUUUAAGUUCACUUAAUAAGCAGAAUGAAGUGGAGGCUGUAAAAGCAGCAAAUGAUAGUUUACCAGCAUCUUUAACUACUCCUACAGAGAAUGGAUGUACUGAUAAUUAUAAAAAUGGUUCUGCCCAUAGUAAUGGUGUGAAAGAGGCGACAAAGGAUAAUAUUGAUGUAGCUUCAUUACCUUUAUCCAAUAACGAAGGUGGUCUCUCCAAUAAAUUUUCAAGUCUGGAAUUGCAGAACAGAGAGCAGAAUGGUUGGGUUGAUGAUUUAUCAGCUUCUAAGGUAAAGGGGGAACUACAGAAGUGUUUGAAUGGGCCUGUUACAGUUUCUACAGUCUUGUUGCCUCGUGGUUUAAUUAAUUCAGGGAAUCUGUGCUUUCUCAAUGCAACGCUACAGGCUCUUCUAUCCUGUUCUCCUUUUGUUCAGCUUCUGCAGGAAUUGAGAACUCGCAAAGUGCCUAAGGUUUCUUUUGUUUGUUCGAUUACUUUGCAUUUACGUGGUUUUAGUAGAAUUGCUAUUUGCAAAUAACAAAAUUUAUAUGGACUGCUGAUCUCAGAAAAUGGGAAGCUACCUUGCCUAAUGCUUGUUCUUUUUCUGGCUAAUCACUUAACUAAUAUGUUGUCCAUUUGAAUUUGAAUUUAUUAGGUUGGCUAUCCAACAUUGGGUGCAUUUGCAGAGUUCGUCUCUGAAUUUGACAUGCCUAGUGGUUCAAGUUCAAAGAACAAAGAUGCAAGUGUUCUUGAGACUGGUAGGCCUUUUAGCCCUGCCAUGUUUGAAGGUGUUCUUAAAAUUUUUACUCCAGAUGUACCAACUAGCAUCUCGGGCAGGCCAAGGUUUGUAUCUGAUCUGGGUCAAUAAUUUUCUGUUCUAGUUUGUCUUUUUUUUUUUUAUUUCUAUGUUGAGCCUUCUUAUUGCAAGUUUAAUCCUUGAUGGUAUUGCUGGCUGAAAUUUUAAGGCACAAUCAUUGCAAAAAGAUUUAGACACAUGCAUCUAUUUGUAGUCACAAAAGUUGCCCUUUUCUGCCACUUUUUUUCUUUUAAAUCCCUAUUGCACUGUUUCCUUUCUUUCCUUAUAUUAAUAUCUUUUCACUAUUUCCAAAUAAACAAGAAAGGUCAGACAUGUAGUGCAAUUUUGUUACUUUGUGAUUCUCAUAAAUCUUGUAUUGAUCGGUAAUGGUUUUCCGUCAGUAUUAUUAGGCUUGAUUGAUAAUUCUCAUGCUUUACAAUUUGUCUGAUGGCUUGAAAAAGUGCCACUGCCUGACAUAGCUCAUGUCUAAAAUCCCUGCAGUUACAGUGUCUCCACUUAAAUUGUUUAGUUUCUGAAAACACGUUACACUUUUUUCCUAUUUAUCUGUUUGUGGUUUAUUACACCGGUUGCAACCCAUUUAAUGUGAAAUAAUGGGUUAGACUGGGAUAUUUUAGAAGUUAACUAGUGAUUGGUAAAAUGUUGUAACAAAUAGGUUAACAAUCUUCUGUAUUAUUCUGAGUUCGCCAAUAUUUUCAUGGACCAAGGAAAGAAGAAACCUAGAACACCUCAAGAGUAAUUACCAAAGGGUUAAAUUUGCAUUAGAAAUAAGUAGCUUGUUUAGUUUCUUCUCUGUCUAGUGUAAAUAUCUAUGUCAGUGUGUCUAUAUUCUACUUUCUAUUUUAAUUUGUCUAGUGAAACUAUUUUUGUUUUUCAGACAAGAAGAUGCUCAGGAGUUCCUUAGCUUCAUUAUGGAUCAGAUGCAUGAUGAAUUACUUAAGCUUGAAGGACAGCCCUCGAGUAUUAAUGGGCGCAAAUCAUCUCUAGUAUCUUCUGCAGAAGAAGAUGAAUGGGAGACGGUUGGCCCUAAGAAUACAUCUGCAGUAACCAGGACACAGAGUUUUGUUCCUUCAGAAUUAAGCGAUAUUUUUGGAGGACAAUUGAGAAGUGUGGUGAAGGCAAGAGGUGUGGGGAUUGCAUUAUUCUUAUGGCUGUUUAAGUUUUUAAAAUUUCUAACAGUUUUGUUAGAUAUAUCUUUGUACUUCCAAAUUCUUGCUGUUCACACUUGCAUUUUGAGGCUGUGAGGUUCUUCAUUUUUUUCUUCAUAAUUCAAAGAGGUAGACAAUUUUACAGUUGAUUCACAUUUUAUUUUUUGAAAAUUUGAAAUUUAGAUACAGUUUGACCAUAUGAUGUUCCCUUAUUGUCAGCUUCUUAAUGUCAUAUGGACUUUUAGCUCCUUUUCCUGUGUGCAUGUGAAUUGAUAAAAAGAUUUAAUUAUAUACGAUUCUUGAGUUUUAGCAAGAAUUCAUGGUUCUUGUGUUGUCGUAAGUUAGAUGCAGUAUUUGGCAUUCUAGAGGAUGUGCUUAAGCGUAAAGGAAUUCCACAUCAGAAAAUUUUAAUUAUAUUUGUAGACAAAUAUAAUCUUAAUCUACUCGAGGGACUUGACCUUUGCUCGUUAAUAAAUAUAUUUGGAUGAAUAACCAGAACUUCUGUUUGCUAGUGCAUUCGGAGAAACUGCUGGGAUCAUUUGUCAGCAUAUGGUUAUUAGAAGAUAUUUAAAAAAUAAGUAAUUGCAGAUUAGUUUGCUAGUAUAGUUGAGCUACUUUUAUUUUGGUGCAGUCUGCUUUUUUUUUUUUUCUUUUUUUUGGCCUCAGUAGUGAUUCUAUCAUGAGUUUUAUGUGUUAGUUUGGUUUUUGUUAAGCAGGAAAUAAAGCUUCUGCUACUGUUCAACCAUUUUUAUUGCUUCACCUUGAUAUUUACCCUGAAGCUGUUCGUACUAUCGAGGAUGCACUCAAGUUGUUUUCUGCACCAGAAACUCUUGAGGGGUAUCGAACAUCAGCAGCUGGGAAGGUAUACUCUCUCUCUCUCUCUCUCUCUCUCUCUCUCUCUCUCUCUUGGUGACUUAUUGUUGUCGCCUAGUUUUGGGUGUAGUUGUAAUGUCUCACCCUUUCUGUCCUUGUAUUCUGUUUAACCAAAUUUGAACAGAUUGCUUGGUCAUGGUUAUUUUUUAAUUUUUGAUGCAUACUUCUACCCAGAAUAAAAUUGUUUGAAUUUAAAGGUAGUACGUCCGAAAUACUUAUGUGCCACAGCUUAGGUUUUAUAAUAGUUUUAUUUUUUUUUAAAUUAAUAUCAACCUCAAGCAUAGUUUGUUUUCUCACAAAUAAUGUUAACUGUUGUUUGACUUUUAUGUAUAUCAUCGCUUUUCAGGCUGGUGUUGUAAGUGCUAGUAAAUCAAUAAAGAUACAGACACUUUCGAAGAUAAUGAUCUUGCACUUGAUGCGUUUUGGUUAUGGAAGCCAAGGAAGCACUAAGUUGCAUAAGCCCGUGCAUUUUCCACUUGAGUUGGUGUUGGGUCGUGAAUUGCUUGUUUCUCCAACUACUGAGGUGAUGCUCUUUUAUAUCUAAUUUAUUAUUUUAAACUUUUAUCUAGUGACCCAUAUUUCUUCUAUUAUGUGGAAAUAAUGACACGCCUUUCCUACUCCUUUCUGUUACCAAUUCCAUGUUUAUGUGUUUGUUCUUUAUUAUUUUUUUCUUUCCGGUUUACACGUUUGUUCUUGAGCUGUAUUUGGCUGUUAGACAACUUAUAAUUUUUGCUUUCAGAAAUUGCAGGUGUGUUAUCAAUCAGUUGCUUUACUGGGAAAAAAAAUUCUAAUGUAUAAAUCAAGUUAUAUAAGAUUUAUAUGUGAGUGCAGCAAAGACUUUAAUGAGUGAAGGAUAUAAGGAACUGAGAAUGGCACGUAACUACUCUCAAAAUGAAACACGUUCCAUUUUAAAAAAAAAAACUAGAUUAUUAUGAAAGUAUAAGAACUCUAGAUAUAAUUUAAAACUACUAGUACAAACUAUAAUAUUUUUGAAAUGACUAGGUUCAGUGAGUCAUUUGAAAUUAAGAGCAUUCUAAUGAAUAGUUUGAAACUGUAUGAUAUGAGCUGAAAGUUCCUAGAUUUGAAAUCUUUUAUCUAGAUGGAUCUUUAAUUAUAUUUGAAAUCAUAAGUUCAUAUUAUAUAGUAGUUUAACCUUGUACUGUGGGUUUUGAUUGAUAAUUUCUUGGAUUUGUCUGUUGUCAUAGUGUGUUUAUACAUUAUUUCACCUCUUGACAUCUUGUGAUCGGAGUUGGUACAAAAAAUCUGUGUUACAUCUCUAUGUAGUAUCACUGUGGAACUUGGCCAUUUUGUUAAAACUGGUAUGGAUCUAUAAACAUUAGUGAUUGUGCAGACCCAGAAAUACUCAACUCUUUACCAAAAAAGAAGAAAAUAAAGAUAUUCUUUAUUGUCUUCGUGUAACUCAUAAGUCUUGAAGUUAACAAUUAUGGUUUGACUACGUUGUGGUAGUCAGAGCCAGAUUUUCAAGAUUACUUUUGCCUUUUAUAUAAUUUCUCUUUUUCUUGUUUAUUUUCUUCACUUUGCCUCUGCAGGGUCGAAAAUACAAACUUGUUGCUACAAUAACUCAUCACGGGAGAGAGCCCUCAAAGGGGCAUUAUACAACUGAUGCUCUUUAUACCAAUGGUCAGUGGCUACGCUUUGAUGAUGCAUCUGUCACUGCAAUCGGAACCGGCAAAGUAUUGCAUGACCAGGCAUAUGUCCUCAUCUACAAACAAUUGUAAAAGGGCAGUUCGGGACAAGUAAUGUGUUGCAUUACCAGGCUUUUGUCUACAAGCAAUUGUGGAAUAUAACCGAGCAGUACGGACUUCCCAUUGAGAGAGACCUAUUCCGUUCAUGUAAUGUGUUGCCCUCACUUGGAAUCAUAUCUCGUUCCGUGGGUCGAUGCUAUAAACUUGCCUACGGUUCCCAUACGAGGGUGGUGGCUAGAGAAAAUGGCUGUAACAAUUCUUUUUAACUUAUGCCUAGUGCAACGGUUUUCAGUUGUUUUAUGAUGUAAUAUAUAUGGAAGAUGCUGAUAUGUUAUAUUUAGUGAAUGCUUUCAUAUUAUACUUAUUUGGGUCGCGUUCAUAUUAUCCAGUAACAUCCUAUGCUGCCACAAGUAAUAUCGCACAAAUGAGUUUUACAAGUUUUGUUUGGAUACUUUACUGCCACAAGUAAUAUCUGAAGAAAUUUCCAAUUCAAAAUCACAAAUUGCAGUCUUCAGUGGCACAUUUGAGUUUAUAACAAAACAAAAUACUUAUGCAUAUGCGCUAGCACAAUGUUCGAAGCCUAUUUGGGAGGACAGGCGCCAUGAAUCAUGCAAAAAUGUCCGAGUAAAGCAGGUUUGCAGCUUCGUAAGCGUUGCCCUCUCAAUCAAGAAGCUAAAAUUUGGACGACAGAUUGCCUCUUGAAAUACCCAAAUGAAAAUUUCUUUGGUAAAAUAGACAUGGAUAACAGAGUUUAUUUGAUAAAUCCUGAUUUCUAUGAAAAUACCCAGUUUCUUUCUUAUGCUCGUGACUUGUUCACCCAAUUAUGUUUAAAAGCUUCUAGUGGACCGUUGUAUGCUCAAGGGAAGCAAAAAAAUUUAAACGGGCAGACAUUUUUUGGUUCUGUUGAAGGCACCAAAGACCUUUCUGGCACACAUUGUAAGAGUUGUCUCGAUGUUGCAACAAAUGAAUUUCUAAGUCGUGUUCAUGAAAUAAGAGGUGGACGUGCUAUUUUUGGAAAUUGUUACAUUAGACUCAAACUUUACAGAUAUUUUUAGGCAAUCAUUCUUGUUUUGUUGAGAAUGGAUUGUUUGAGGAAUCUGAAUCCCAAGGUUAAACUUUUCCAAUCGUAGUAUUUGGAUUUGAUCGUGUAAUUUGAGGAAUAAUUAUUGUGAAAUGUAAUGGCAAGAUCUUUCCUUUAUUUUUGUAGCUUGACUUAUGUAAAUUCAUCUUUAAUCAGCUUUGGUUUUUGUUUUGGAUCCGAUAUAUUAUUAUUGCACUCUUGCAAACUACACUAAAAUAUUUUAAUCCCUAAGCAUACCUAUUUCCCUUCCAUAAUGAGGAUAGGUAAAGUCCGUUCGCAUUUUCAACCGAGCACGCCCCUAAGGUAUUUUUUUUGGUUUGCAAUAUUUCUUUUUUUUUUCUUUUUUUUUUUCCCCUGUAUUUUGAUGCUAAGAUGGUUAGACAGAGAUUUUAUGGUAAAGUUGAAUUUUUUUUUUUCUUGGGUCUGAUUAUGGUAAAGUUGAUUAGUCAUAGAAUUUCAUGAAAGCCCACUCAUUCUUCAUAUCUGAAGAGAAAACAACACAACAAAAUCUAAUUAUCUUUUCUCCUAUUUUUAUAUAUAUUCUCUACAUACAAGGUGCAGGUUACAUGUACCCUUGGAGAACUCACCUAAGUGAGAGACGUCGGGAGGUCACGACUAUGAGACUUGGGCUAUUCUCUAGUAACUCUAAUGAGAAUCAGGAGUAGUGCAUGACCAUAAUUAACAUUACCUCGCAUCCAAGUAUCAACCAAUAUUAUGCAUGAGAUAUGUUGAAGUUUGGUCAAAUGUGCUGAGUUCAAUACUUUGUACACUAAGGUUCCUUAAAUGGAGACUAUCAUUAAGUGAAGGUUCACCAUAUAUAUAUAUAUAUAUAUAUAUAUAUAUACAGAGAACUUCAGUUGAGGGAUCUCUCAAAUAAGCUUAUUUGAGGGACACCCUUGUAGGGGCCAAUCCGUAUUGUUUUUUACUAAUUCAAACCACCUAUUUUGUAGAAAAUCAUUCAAAGAUCAUCUCUAUAAAAAAAUCACUUGAAUCCGAUAUCAUUUGACCACUCAAUUGAAUUAUUGAAAUUUUAGUGCUUUCUUGAAGCACCUUGUUCAUUGAUUUUGUAGGACACAAUUGGAUGUCGAAAUGGUUUUCGAUUUAUCUAAUUUUUUGUAAGGAUGAUCUAUGAACAUAGACUUAAAAAAUAGAUAGUUUGAAUCAUUGAAAAAAAUUUCGUAAGGGACCCUAAAGGGUAUCCCUCAAAUAAAAUUAUUUGGGGGAUCCCUCAAUAGAAGGGGACUGUGUAUAUAUCCGUCUGUGAAUGCUGCUUUAAGAGAACGUCUUUGACGUGCUUCACCAUACCAAGCUCGCCUUCUUAUUUAUAAUUUAUUUUGCUUUUACUUACCUAUUAGUUUGUUUUUCUUUUGUUUCAUUGUAACUUAAAAGCUUUCCAGUUUGUUUAUAUAUUAUUUAUAUUAUAAAAAGUUUUGCUUUUGGCUUAUACGGAAAAAGAAAAACUAUAAUUUCGAUAACGCAACCCUCAUCCUUUAGCACGUGCAAAAUGCGUUCAGCUACAAACCCUAAAAUUUAUCGGCCAUAGCUUAAAGCACCAUGAACCCAGCUAAAACUAAGCAAAUCAGACCAAGUUUAGCAUUGGCUUGAGUAUUGGGAAUUUGAGAUGUUAUGGCGUUUGCUUUUGAAUAUAAUGCUAUUUCUAAAACACUUAAAGAUUGUUUCUUUGGUUGGGUUUGAGGGAGAUUGGAAUGAGGUUAAGGGGUUUAAACAUAGAGAGGAAUGGGUGGCUUAGUUUGAUGUGGAAGGAUGAGCAUUUCUCCCCGCCCCUCUAUCUCUCUGAUCCUCUAGAUUAAUGGUUGGGUUUGAUUGAUUUUUGAGGUUUGGGAAGAUGAUGACCUUGUUAGCUAUGGAAGAUGGUGGUUGGCCGACGAUGAGGAUGGGCGUUGAUGAGAAUGGAUGAUUUUACCCCUACUUUUGACGACAACAUUGUCAGAAUGUAACUGUGGGACUAAUAGUAAAGAGUAUGUGGACCAUUUGAAAGAAUAAUUUAGUUGAGGGACCAAAAUACAAAUUGUGUAUAAAUUUGGGGACCAUUUGAGUUAAAAACCCUGAAUUCUUAUAUAAAGAAUUUGUCAGAAGAAGUUAAGUUUAUUGAAAAUUUAUAAUUUUAGCCAAUAUAUGAUAUUCCAAAAAAUAUCAAUGUUAUUCCUAUCACUUUUUUUUUUAGUGAUUAUUGGUAUUAGCUGAGGUUUUUUUAAAAUUUUUUUUAAAUAUAUAUAUUUUUAAAUAAUUUUAAUUAAAAAAAUCAAAAUAGUCCUUGAAGUUAUGCUCGAGUUUUAUUUUAGUUCUUCAACUAAUUUUUUUCAUUUUCAUGGUCUUCAAACUUUCCAUUUAGUGUCAAAUUGGUCCCAUCGUCAAAGUUAGUCAAUUUUACGGUUAAAUUGAAAGGUUAAACCGUCCAUAUGACAAUCCCAAUCCACAUAGUGACAUACAACCUCUCUCUCUCUCUCUCUCUCUCUCUCUGCGACUCCCACCUCCUCUCCGACGGUAAGCUUCUCAAGGCACCCACUGCCUAUCUCUCCUCCCUCAGCCCCCGUCUUCUCCACCACCUCCACCUGCCCUUAGUCCUAGAAAAAUAAUAUAAUUUUUUAAAAUAUAAAAAUGGUAUCAACAACAAACAUAUACAAGAACCACAAAAGUAAUUGACUAAUUAAAAUUUAGGAUAAUAUGCAGUUUUGCCCUUGAAUUAUAGCAUAAUUGUUAAUUUACCACCUAAGCAUUUUCUUUUGGGUCAGUUAAGGAAAUUUUUUUUUUUUUUUGGAGUUUUUCUAUUUAAACCCCGCACUUCUCUUUAUUCACCUUAUUUUCUAAGUUCACUCCAAUCUCUAUUUCAAAAUUUCAAAAUUUCUAUGAAAACCCCACUAUCUUCCCAACCUACCCUCAAAUACACACCUAGUAGAAAAAAAAAUAAUUUAAAAACUCAUCAACCACACACCUCACACUACGCUAUCUUGCCCCUCGCCACUCUAAAUUCACCUCAACCUCACAUUACUUAAAGAGAUAAAAACAUUGAAAUUCUUUUUUUUUUUUUUUUAAUAGAAGAAAUGAAAUUCCAUUGCAAUCACUCAAUCAAUUAUAUAACUGAUAUGCGAGAAGUUGCCACAUUGAAAUUCAUUUAUUAAUUUGAUGCUAGAUUUCAUGAUUUAGAUUUGAUUUCAAACGAAACUAAAGUACUAGACUAAAAUUGUCAAAAUUAAAAGGAAAGAGAACAAACUAGGUCAAAUUAUAGGGACUAAAAAUCCAAUUCAACCUUAUAUUCUCCCAUUUUCUUUUCUUUUUCAGAUCCAACAGUGAAAACGAAUUCAUGCCCCGAAAAAAAUUCUUUCUUUUUCCUUUUAAAAUUUGGUACCGUACAACGGUGGGGAAAAACGCCCACAAGCAAACAUUCAAUUAUGGACAUGGCCCUAGAAACGCCUACAGUAUUCUCAGUAACUAUACUUUAUAUAUAUUUUUUUCUUUUUAAUUUUUAAUUUUGAGCGAAAACUAUCAGUCAUGAUCUUUUGGAUUACAGGAGUCUAAGAGAUUUGUGGUCACUCAUCGUUGGAUGUAAAUUCAACGGUUCACUCACUCUUGCACUCCUUUUAAAAAACUUUUUUGAACCAUUGAAUUUACAUCCAACAGUGGGUGACCACAAAUCUNNNNNNNNNNNNNNNNNNNNNNNNNNNNNNNNNNNNNNNNNNNNNNNNNNNNNNNNNNNNNNNNNNNNNNNNNNNNNNNNNNNNNNNNNNNNNNNNNNNNAGCUAUGCCCAGGAUUCUUAUUCUAUCUCCGGUCUCACAGGGCAACUAGCUAGGUUGAGGCACUUUUAAAGAAUUAUUAGAAAACUUUCAGAAAUUAUUACUGCUUUUGGAAUUGCUAUUGGCUGAUGGCUAGUGCUAUAUUUUUAUUUUAUUUGGCAUGAUAAAUAAGGGAGAAAGUGAGAAUACAAAGCAAACAGCAGCAUGCACAAACACUUUGACUGCUUUUUUCGAGCAAGAAAUAUUAUUCCAAGUACCAACCAACCAACCAAAUGCCCUAUUGCUUCCCUUCAAGUUUAACCUAGAAAGUGUAUAUAGUUUUUGUAGUCCCGAUCUCUUAGACUCCUGUGGUCUAAGAGAUCGGGACUACAAAAACUAUAUACACUUUCUAGGUUAAACUUGAAGGGAAGCAAUAGGGCAUUUGGUUGGUUGGUUGGUACUUGGAAUAAUAUUUCUUGCUCGAAAAAAGCAGUCAAAGUGUUUGUGCAUGCUGCUGUUUGCUUUGUAUUCUCACUUUCUCCCUUAUUUAUCAUGCCAAAUAAAAUAAAAAUAUAGCACUAGCCAUCAGCCAAUAGCAAUUCCAAAAGCAGUAAUAAUUUCUGAAAGUUUUCUAAUAAUUCUUUCCCAAAAGUGCUCAACCUAGCUAGUUGCUCUGGUUUGCUAAAAAAGGUGCUUCUGCUAUGAAAUAUAGGUUGGCUGAAAGGAAAUAAAUAGCCUACAUUUGCUUUCAACUUUUGUUGUCUUCCUGAUUUACACUAUGCUUUCUAGGUUGGAAAUAUUUUUGCUCGCAACUUGUACUCAAAGUAUAUUUUUAUCAUCUUCUCAAUAUUUGACACGUGUUUAUUGACAUAACUAUAAUUAAAUUUUUACUUUAUAUUUAUAGAACUAUGAUUAUGUCAAUAAACACGUGUCAAAUAUUGAGAAAUAUGAUAAGAAUACACGUUAGGUUAAAGUGGCGAACAAACUCCAUUCUAGGAUGGUCCAAAUUAAAAGGACAAAAUCAAAAGUGACGAAAACAACACCUUGAUUAAUAAAUAGUUAAUACAAAAUCGAGCUAUACAACUACUUGAUCCCACCAUAAUCAUAGUGUUUGGGGGAACAUAAUCAAAGCUCUAAUUUUUUAAUUUUUGUUAUUUUAUGUUUGUAGCUUUAGCUGGUACCUUCCUUUCACCUGAAUAAAUUAAACAACUUAUUUAUAUAUUUCAAUAUGUAAUUUUAAUUAAUUAAUUAUUUAUUUAUUUAUAAAGGUGUCCAUUGUGCUCUUGGUACUGUAGCAACGGAGGCAGAAUAUAAAAUUAUGGAGUGGCGUUACGAAGCCCCGACUGGUGGUCGUUGAACCAAUAAAUUUGGUGGUUCGUGCUUGCGGCUUCGACAAGUGGAGUAGCUGCUAUUAGAUGAGCCAAAAUAAUUCGUUUAUUUAUUUUAUUUGUAGGGUUGAACUUGUAAACCAAUAAUUUAAAACAAAAUUUCUGACAAAAAUUUUUUUUUUAAAAUUUUUUAUAAAAAGUUUUUAAUUCCCAUUUUAUUUUUAAAGUAUGAAAACGUGAAAUGAAAAAAUAAAAAAAUUUCCUCCACCCUUCACCCUCCCAUUUUGAUCAUUCUCAACCCUUGAUCGUGAGGCAGAAUCAUAUAAGUAGGGGUUAUGGAGUUUUGUGUCACUCACUCUCCUGAACUCCUUUUUGUCCACCUUCAACAACAUUCACUUCUUUGUGUUGGACAAUAAUUGCUAUACAUUCAUGUUAGUUUUAGAAUAAUUGAUUAGAUUAAGACUAGCAGAUGUGAUUAACAAAGAAAUAAUAAUCAAGUGGGAGACAAAAAGAAUCUAUAUAAUGCAAAUCUAGAAAACACGAGCUUGAGAAAUGCUUAAAUACAUAUUUUCUCUCGCCAUAUAAUCUGACACCACUAAAAAAAAAAUAAAUAAAUAAAAAAAGUGGCAAUAAUUAUUAUUAUUUGGUGAUAUUUGGUGACUAAGGCGGGGUGAUUAAAAACUUUAUAUUCUCAGCCUUUAGUCAUCCACGCAUUAGUCACCAAAUAAUAAUAACUGUUGCCACGUAUUUUUUGAAUUGCACGUUAUGUUCUCAGCACAUUCUAUCCGUUCCUUCAAGUGACUUCUUUUUCUUGUAAAUGAGAGACAAAUAGCUGGAGAGCUUUGACUUAAACUACUGUCCUGUAGACAGGGCAUGUGCUUUUCUCCACUAAUUAAGAGAAGAAUAUGUGUAAGGUUGGAAAAUACCCAAAAAGGGAAAUUUAACUAAAGAAAAGAUUCUUUAGCUCUUAUACUAAGCAAACUGUUUGUUUAUUCUGUUUAUUUGGUGGGGUUUGGGAAUUAAGGAACAUCUUUAAUUUUCUGUCUUAAAAUGCUGGUGAGCCACUUCUGCCUGCCAUAUUCAGACUGUCCAUGUCUCCAGAUUCAUCUGAUUAGCUUUAAGUCUGUCUUUAGCAAAGACAAGAUUGUGAUGAGAAAUGACUUUUUAUUCAGAAACACAAUCAUGCAACUACAAGAAAAUAUUAUUGACUCUUUAAUUUGUUGAAUCCAUCAAAACCCUAAAUACAAUUGACAAUUUGACAGCAAAUGUAAUGACUAUACUGACAAACAAAAAACCACACCACUUUCCCUAGUAUUCCUAGAAAUUUACACCCAAUUCUUUGAAAUGAAGUUAAGAAAGAAAGAUAUAUGUUACAAGUUACAACAAAAACCAAAUUUGAGGCUUCAAAAAUUGCCCCUUUCUCUGUCCUUGAACCUCAGUGAACUCUUCAAUCUUUCUGCAACAGCUACAAACAAGACCCUGUAUUGUAAGGCACUGCAAACACCAUUUGAAAAAAGAAGGGUGCUUCAAUGGAUCAAUACUCACCAACUUGAAACAUUUCCUAGCAUAAGAUGAUGGACUUUUCCUCUGUGGUUUCCUCUGCUCUAUUAUUAGAGGGCUUGGGAACCCACCAAACCCUUAAGCUCUUGUCAAGGCCUCCACUAUACAACAUGAAACCUCCACCAACAUUAUUUGGUGAUGCCUGCAAGCACUUAACUGGCCCCUCAUGGCCACUAAUGAUCCCAACUUUACAAAGCUUGCCAAAAGCCUCUCUCUUCCAUAUGCCAAUGCUCUUAUCAGCUGAGCCACUGCACAACAUCUCCCCCAUCAAACACAUAGACAAAACAGCCAUUUGAUGUGCUUUUGUUUCACAAACCAACUUCCAGCUCUCAAUUUGAUUUUGAACAUCACCACAACUCCCUUGCCAUCCCAUCACAAACCCAUCCGAACAGCCUCCAUAAACCCAUCUACCAUCCUCAGAAACGAUCACAGAAUUAAGUGAAACAUCCUUAUGACCCUCCAAAAUACCCUUCAAACAAUGUGAGCUCUUCCCCUCUUUUCCCCAAGCUUUAAUUUUUCCAUCUGCAGAAGCAGAAUACACAAUCCCAUUACAUGCCACCAGCCCAUUAAUAGCAUCAUCAUGAGCCUUGAUGGAUUCUAUGCACUUCAAAUCCGAGAUCCUCCACACCUUAAGAGUCUUAUCCCAUGAUCCAGAGUAAAUCAAGCCGUUAUAGAAGGCCAAACAAGAUAUACUAUCGGCGUGUUCGAUCCACAAUCGCUUGUGAUGUCUCCGAAUUUGGACAUAAUUGCUCUGCUUCAUGAACUUCCCCAAAUAAUCUUUAGUUGUGGGAAGUGUAUCAACAAGCCUAAACACAUUCUCCGAUCGCCGUGAAACCUUCCAAACUCUAAUCCUGCUAUCCUGGUGAGCUGUAAAGACCUUGUUCCCAACGGUGACAAGUGCCUUGACAGAGCCAUCACCUUGUCCAAACUUGGUGAAAGGCCUCAAAUCAGGCUGUUGCCACACUAUGAUGUCUUUGCCUUGUGAAGCACUGAGAAUGAAUUCCCCACAUAAGGCCAAGCAUGAAACUGAGCCUACAUGGCCAGAGAGCACCGCCAAUGAUCGAUACGAGAAAGACCCCGAAAAGGGUACACAUGGAGAUUGACACUUGACAUGAUCUUGGAGCUCGAAAUGGCCUGAAUCCCGCGGGCUUUCAUCUACCUCGCUGCUUGUGCUUCUGCUGUUGCUGCUAAUGCUGCUAGUAGGGCUUCUUGCUGAGGCAGAGAGCAAAGGAAUUGAGAGGCGUUUGUUUUCCAAUAGAGUGGAGCUGAUUUGAUGAAACAUGUUUUAUUGUCUGACCUUGAUUUGAUGAGAGAAGGGUCAGAGUGAGUGAGCGAGGAGAGAGAGAUGGUGAUCAGAAAUAGAGAGAGAGAGAGAGAGAGAGAGAGAGAGAGAGAGAGAGGAGCGGAAAUGGAGACACGGAUUUCUUGGUUGAAAAGAGAAUUGGUAAUUAGGGACAUAUUUAAAUGGGAAGACAGGGAGAGGUGCAACGGCUACUUUGACAUGGGGAAGAAUUAGUCGUGCAAUUAAAAGUAGGUUGCCAUAGAGAGAGAAGGGGACCACUUAAAACGCAUACUAGCCAGCCCCGUCCCUUUUAUUUGUUAAUGGGGAUUGAGCUGUAGAGCUUUUAUUUCUGUUUUAUUUAUACAAUUUAUUCUGUUUUAUUUAUAUAUUUUAUUCUGUUUAGAGGGUUGUCCGUUGAACAAUUAUAGCAUUCCAAAAAAAAAAAAAAAGAGACGAAGGGGAAGAUUUGUCAUGAAAGCUAUUGUGAAAUAACAUUCCCAAAAUCCAUUAUGUUUUAAGAAAGGAACGAACUGGAAUAUGUUCCUCAUAGUUGUAUUUUUUUUUCUUUCGAAAAUGUUCCUCCUUAUAGUUUAUACAUGCUUUAAAGUUAAACUGACAGUAAUCGCCACAAGUUCUCAGAUUUUUCUUUUGAAACUCAGAAAAUUACUUUUCAAUUCUUUGUUGUGAUAUAAUGUUUUUGGGAUAUCUUUUCCACAAUAUUGUAUGAUUAAUAUUUAAUUAAAGGCAAAUUUGAUGUCAAUAAACCUAUAGAGGAAGGCCUAAUAGAUGAAUCUUCUUCUAUAGAAAAAACUCCACUCCGGAGAAGAUAAUCACCUAUAUAUAGUAAUUUUAUCCGUUGAGUAAAAGUGGCAUUUUUUUGAGUUGAAGGCUUAAAGAAAUAUUUAUUUCUUUGUUGGGGUUUUUUUUUUCUCGCAAAUGGUCUCUUAACUUUUUCAACUCAUUUUAGUCCGUAGAACUUUCAUUAAAACUAGGGUGGACAUCAACCCAGCCAAACUAUCUAAAUCGGCGGAUCCAAACCGUGGUCAGUUUGGUUUGAAUUUGACAAAGAAAAAAGUUAAAUGAUUUAAAACUGCAGCAGACCGUAAUAGUUUGGUUCGAUUGCACAAAUCGGCUUAAAUAAAUCAUACAAUAUAUUAGUUGCGUUCAUAACGUAACAAGCUUUAAAGAAGUAUUUUCAACAAAAUAUAGCUCAGGAGCCCAAGUGACAAAAUAUAACUCACGUCCUUUGCUCAACAAGGCCAUCUACUCUCUAUUUACGAUUUCACUGGAGUUCCAUCACGGAUGGCAAAUGACCUUGUUGACUAAAAGACGUUAUCUGUUGUUGAAUUUAGUGUUUAUAUAGUUUUGAUGAAUUUAGUGUACAAAAUACAACGUUGGAUUGGACCAAUAUCCUCUGAUUUUUGUGGUAGCUUUACCACCAACAACAAAUAUAUUUGAUAUUUGACACGUUCCCCCUUAAAAUUGGUUUAAUAUCUUUGUUUCUACCAUAAGCCACUAUUUUAUUAGUUUAAUUUGCUAGAAAAUUAAAUUGAUCCUGCUUCGCAAGCUUUGACAAUGUGACAAAAAGAAGAAAAACACAAGGCGUGCGGUGCAUCAUAGUUGAAAGUGAUUUGGUUAAGCUCUAAACAAAUACUAAUUAUCAUUAUUAGCUCACAUGAAUCACAAUCACACGCCAAUUAACAACUUAAUUAAUUCAAUUACUUAAUUGUAUUAUUCUCUGACUAAGUGGAAAUUACACAAAAGAGGAAGAGAGAGAGAGAAAGAUUAGGAGCAUGCAUUUCAACCUAAACCUUAAGGUCUAAGUAUAUCAUAUGGUCUACCAGCUCAAUAAUAAUAGCCAGAAUAUUACUACUUUUUCAUAGGCCAAAUAUUAAACGCAUUGCAGGCCAAAUGGUCGGUUCAAGCUCUUAACUUUUGAGUUAUAAUAACAUGAAAAUUGACAUAUGUAAGCUCCCUCUCUUUUGGCUUUCAUUUUAAUUCAUGGGUCAUGCUAGGGAGACCAACUUUAGAUACCAACUUGUGUACCAACUCUCUAAUAGAGGUGGAGCCCACCAAUACAAUGGGUCCCACACUCUAUUAGAGAGUUGGUACACAAGUUGAUAUUUAAAGUUGGUCUCCCUAGCAUUUUCCUUAAUUCAUUCCAAAACUUUUUCACGUGUGGAACAAUGUGUUCCCCAAGAAACUGGGGGCCAAGCCACCAGGAAAACAUACAUUAAAAACAAAAUAAAAAAAGAUAAAGGAAAAAAGUGCAUUCAAUAACAAAUAAAAAUAAUCGAUUAAUUAUGUUGGGCAGGUUGUUUUGUUUAAAGUUAAACGCGUACUCAUAAACUAUUCAAAAGUUACGUGCUCUUAAAUUAUUUUAGUAAAGAUAAAGAAGGAUCAGCGAACCUACCAUGUAUUGAGGUGCAAUACAAAGCAAAGAUUAAUAGAAACAUUGGGGCAUAUAGUUUUAUAUUGGGGGCUUUAUCUAACGCCCUUAGAUGAGAUUUUAUCUUUUAACCGUUGAAUCAAAUUGGUUAGUCGUUAGAUGAAAUUGUUUAGUUUAAUUUAACGAUUAAGAUAUAGGACCUCAUCUAAGGACAGUAAAUAAUGCACUCACAAACUCUAUGCCCCAAUGUUUCUAUUAUUCUUUGCUUUGUAUUGCACCUCAAUACAUGGUAGGUAACAACCUAAUGUCUUCAACCAGCAGCUUGAUACUCCAAGGAACAUAGACUCAAGGAAAUCCAUUGCAAUCCAUGUCAUGUGCCACAUCAUUCAUUUUAAUUUUGUAUAAACCAUUUUAAUUGAUUUAACUAAUACGUUCACUAGCAGAUCCAGGAAUUUUUUAACGGAGGUACAAUUUUGAAAGGCUAAAUUUUUUUAAAAAAAUUGACGAUCAAAUAUCCUUAUAAUUUAAAUCAUACCAAUGUCAUUCAUAAGUCAUAGAAAAAAAAAGCAUUACAAUUUUCUUUUUUUAAUCUGCUUUAAAAAAUCUCCCCAGAGCCCAAGAUUGAGAGUGAAACCUAAAUCGUAAAGCCCUGGGUUGAGUUAUGUGAUUAUCCAACCCUAAUCGAGUCCGAAGUACCCUACAAUAGGUUUACAGUUAGGGUUCCAAGCUCGCGAACGAUUUUGGACCAAGUUCGGAUAAGUUCGAAAGUUAUGAUUUUUGUUUCGAGACUUGGAUUUUUGGUUUGGAGACUAAAAUAAUUUUCUAGAAUUUUUGAAGAAUUGAAACUAUUUUAAAAAUAAUUUUACAUUCCACAAAAUUCUUUAAGAUCAUUAAAUAUAAUUUAUUAAUUUUUAUUAAGUAAUUUUUAUGAAAUUACUUCAAAUAUUUAAAUACUAAUUCUUCACUAAAUAAAUAAAAGUAAUUAAACCAUAAUAUAUUCAACGGAUAUACCUUUAAAAUAUUCUAUUUACUAUUCUAUACCUUUAAAUAGUAUAGCCGCGCGGCUAUACACCUUAAACAGUAUAGCCGCCCGGCUAUACUCCAAAAUAUUAUAUUUAGAAUAUUUUUAAGCACAGCCCGUCGGCUAUACUCUAAAAAUAUAAGUCUAGCCGGUCAGCUAUAUACCAAUAUUUUAAAGUAUAGCCGCCCGGCUAUAUACCAAAAAAAGAAUAUUUUAAAGUAUAGCCGCCUGGCUAUACCCUGUAAACAGCAAACUACAAAAACACCUCCCCCGACGAAUUUCCGUUGGCACAGGUCUAUGCCGACAAAUGUUUGUCGGAUUAGACUUCUGUCGACACCUCUACCGACGAAAUUUAGUCGACAGAGGUUUUUUUUUUAUUUUAAAAUUUUAAAAAUAUUAAAAAUAUUAAAUUAGUUUCUUUACUUUUGUUUUUUGGCCAACUGCUUUAAUUUAAUAUAUGUGAUUAAGUAAUAUUUUAGCCUUUUUGAAUCAUUUUAAUUAGUAAUUACAUAUUAAUUAUUAUUUUUUUAAUGAAUAUUUAAAUAUGUUACUGAUUUAAUUUUACUGUGCAAAAACGAAAAAAUAAAUUACUCAUUUUCAUUUGGUGUUUUAACUAUAAAAAAAAAAUGAAAAAAAGCCUUAUCAGCCCACGAAUUGCAACCCUUUUUAAUAUGUUUAUAAUACAAUCAUGUUUAAAGCCUUUGCAUUGCAGCCCACGAAUUGCAGCCCACGUUUCCUUUAUUUAUUUGUUUCUCUCCUGGUCAUAUGAACAAAAUAUAAUGCCUAAUAUUAAAUAUUUACAAAUGCUAUAUAAAACAGGCAGAGGGUAUGCUGUUAUAAAUAAAUGAUGUUCAAAGUAAGACUAAAUAUUUAUUAAUUUUUUUAAAAUGCAAUAUUCAAACAUUAUUAUUAAUCGCCAAAUAAUAUAUCAUCGAUUAUUUAUAAUACCUGAGACGCUAUUAUGCUAAAAUGUUUUUCGAAAUUUGAGAGGGGAUGAAAUGGUGGCAUGUUAGUCUUUGCAUUAAGUGAUAAUUACAAAGAAAUUAUACACUGUCAUAUGAUAAUCACAAAGAAUGAAAAGUUUUUCAAAUUUUAGUUUUUACAAAAUAAUUAGUAAUGUGAAAGAUGAUAGCUUCAUAAAUGACUUGACAUGACAAUAUGUUAGUUGUUAAAAAUAAAUGAUGUUUAAAAUGAGACCACAUAUAAAGAAAGAAUUAUUUACAUUGACACUAUGAGGAUUUUUGUGCUUUCGUAAAACUCGAGGUUACACCCCUAAGGUUUCAAAUUGUUGUUACAAAACCCCUCGUAUUAAUUUUCUUUUCUUCAAUUGUUGAUGCCAUAAAAGAAUUUCUCCAAAUGACAACGUUAACUUCAAAUAUUAGAUUGCAAGUACACCCAUUAUGUCUAAGGGAACGAGAAAAUAAUAUAAAAUUUUCUUCUACGAUAUUAGUUUUAACACUCUUUAUCCUUAAUAAGCAUCUCCAAAACUCAAAACAAGAUAUUCCUUAAAACAAGGAUUUUCCUUACAAGCAAUGUAAAGUUAGAAACAGAUUGCUGGCUUUGUCCUUUGAAUACCAAUAUAAACAUGUUGAAAGGGAAGUGUUUGAGGGCAAUACUUUAUUGGGGUGAAUUAAAUUAGCUAGCAUAUAUAAUAUAUGGUUGUUGGGUUUGGUACAUGCUGAUUUACCAGCAUCCAACAAGAACAAGGCAUGCAAAUUAAAACUUAGGUUUUAAGUUUAACUGAAGUCCUAGCUUAUGCUAAGGUCAAACAUGCAUAACUAAAGUAACGUGUAACUGAGAAACCUACCAUUUUCAGGUAUUGUGUCUUGAAGCGAGCUCCACUUGCUUGGGCUACCCUCACAACCAACCAAUAGUUUGUGUAAAUUUGAAAAGUCUGAAAAGUUGUGACAGAAAAGAAACUUAAAAGAAGUUGUGAUAUGAAGUUUUUGAUUUUCAGUGUGUCUAUCGGGAAGCAAACUUUAUAGCAGGUGCUUAGGCGACGCUAGGCCAUGAUCAGACCUAACCUUUCAUUUGGUUCUCUAAUUUUUGGAGUUUAAGAAUUCGACGAUGAUUGUCGUCGUAAUUUCUUUUGACUUUAAAAAAAAAAUUAAAAAAAUUUGGUGGACUGAGGAGAGGGUUGAAGGCCUAAAUCAAGAAACCACCCACUACAAUUUGGGCGCAUAAAGGACACUCCAAGCCCCUUUUUCUAGUUGCCAUCAUCAAAGCUCUUUCAACAUAUCUCUACAUAAAAACCAAACUCUAGCUUGGAUGCUAGGAGCAAUAAAAAUUGGUUCAAGGUUCUUUAUACAAACAAACUACCGAAAAGUAGUGAAACAUAAACGAACCUAAUGCAACGUAAAAUGCUUCAGAAUAACCAAAGUCCCCAAUGAUGGGAGGUCACUCUCAAUCUGGCAUGUCGAUCGAGCAGGGUAGCAUGGCCUUCAUCAACAAGACUUAGCUGAUGAAGGAUGAAGCUAAUCGACCUCCAUACCAAUCUUACUGGAAGUGCCUGCAUAUAUAAUCAUCUGAAGCUCCCUCACUGUUUUCCUAGUCCUGCAACCACAAAGAGUCCCCUCAUAAGCAUCUGGAUCGCAGACUGAUCACUAGAUAAAUCAAAUUAAGAAGAAAACACUUACAAACAUAAACCACAAUUAACCAUAUAGUCUCUACUUUAUCACUUAAUAAAAUAAAAUAAAAGAAAAAAAAUCAUGCAUGGGUUAGGCCAAUUGACCAAGGUAGCGUGCACGCCCCUUUUGAUCCCCCUCCCCCGUAAACUAGACCACCUUUAGAGUAGUUUAGACUAUUUCUUGUAAUUUUUUUUUUUAUAAAAAAAAGGACAAUAUACAAACCAAAAUUAACCAAAGCUAAAAGGAAAAGAAAUAAAACCAAACAAAAUAUGAUCGAUUAUAUAACCAGAUACCAAAAUAAUAAUAAUAAAUUAAAAAAAACAACUUCAAACCAAUAUACAAAGUAAAGGAUUUUUUUAAAAUAAUUUAGAUUCAAUUUUGCAGACAUAACCUCAAACAAAUUAACUAAGAAAACAUAAAGAAUUUAGAGUACACAACCAAAAAUUAUAAAGUAGAAAUGCACAUAAAGGAAAUGAGAAAACAAAUAGAGUCACAGAGUACAAACCCAAAAAAUUGUAGAGUAGAAACUUUGACAGCAUCAAAAUUGCAUAGAGAUGUAAAUCAAAACAGAAUCAACUGAAGUUAAAUUUAUCAUUCAAUAAGAUGUUGAAUAAUACACCGCAGAACAAAACAAAAAACAAGUAGCAGAGCAUCUCAUAGAUAAUUGAGGAAGCUUACUAUUAGUGUCAGGCUUAAGUUCAUGGUUGACAAGGUGCUGCAUCAUAUUGUCCCUUGGCUUUCUUCAUCUCUCAUAAACUAAGAGCAUAAGACACAAUUAGUUCACACAACGGUAUUAAAUAGAUAUGCAGUUAAAGCAAAUGACAUUAUUUAUGUUGUCUCAAAAUGGAAAUACCUUGAGAGGGGGCACGAGAAUGCGAGGCAUGUGUUCUCAGCUUCCAACUGCUCUCUUGUAUUACUUAAUCAGGGUGUUGUUACCUUCCGGCCUCCAAUCCAUACGUAAGGGAUGUGGCUUAUGGAGGGCCAGUACUGCCCUUUACCUGGUUUGCAUUUCUCUUCUAGCACAGGACACUCACGGAUACUAAGCUGUGUAAGCGAAAGAGCCAGACCUUCCUCUGGAAUGGAUGUCAGCUUUGGACAGCUCCAGAUUUUAAGAGAUUCAAGAGAGUUGAGGAACUGCAAGCCUAGGUACUUCAGAUUGGGGAAGCCUAUAAUGUCAAGUUGAACUAGCGAUUCAGGGAGCAGCAUCUCCUUCUCCGGUGGAAAGGACACCAAAUCUGGAUCUUCACCACUGAUCCAUAACACUCUAAGAGAUGUGAGUCUGUGCAAACCCCACUCCAACAGUGGCCUACAAAUCUUGAGAUUCAUUAUGCUAAGUGAUGUUAGAUAGGGAGGGAAUCCCCCUUCUGGAAAGUGAGGAAUCCUCAAUAUCUGAAGAGAGUUGAGGAAGUUAAUGCCUUCUGGUAGAGCCUCCAGUUUAUCACAAUUGAUAAUGCUGAUCUCUGUCAGGUUGGAGGCGCUUCUUGGCAACCCUCCGAUUGGGAAGGAAACGAGAUUUCCACAGCCAUAAAUCAAUAACGACUGAAUUUUGGAGAGGUUACAUAGGCCUUCUGGUAAGAAUUUAAGAUUUUGACACAAAUAGAUGCAAAGAUAUUCAAGACAUGUGUUUUCCUCGAACCUCUCUGUUAUUGACUCCAGCUGUUUACAAGUAUCUAUGAGAAGGUGUUUAAGCGUCUUGGGUAGAUGGCCUCUGGAUGAUAAGGACGUCAGAGAUGGACAGAUAUCAAUGCUCAAGUACUCAAGACAAGAUGUCUCCUCUUGCAUCAGAGAAGGAAAAGAAGACAAAGAACCCUCCAUCACAACCUCCACUAAGGAUUUCAAAUUUUGGCAUCUUCGUAUAAUUAUUCUUCUUAGACUUGGGGGUAUCUGGUCUCUGGCAAGAUACAUCAAAGAAGGGCACGACUCAAUUGUUAGAACUUUAAGAGAAUGUGGCAAACUAGCCUCUGUAAAAGAAACCAGAUUUGAGCAUUCAUCUAUGUGAAGUUCUUGAAGUGAUGUCAAGUGAUGCAAUUGAACAAGGUUGGAGUUGCCUUUAAUGAGCAAACGACGAAGAGAAACUAGGUGUUGCAGUAAUCUAUCCUCAUUUUGCCAUGAAGACGUCAGCUCCUCACAACCGGUGAUCUUUAAAUCUUUAACCAUUGAUAAUCCUCUCAUGAAUCUCUCUGCUCGGAGUGUCAACUUCAAAAUAUCUGAAAGAUGCAUGGACUCUAGUAACCGAAAUUCAACUGCACUUGAAUGCACCAUCCCUUUGCAACCGUGGAUGUCUAUAUUACGAAGUUGUUUGUAGUUGGCAAUUGAAACCAUCAAAUUUUCACACUCAUCAAUUUCAAGCUUUUCUAAUGAAUCAAGGUCCUCGGGUAGCCUACCCUCCAAUGCCGGGCAUCGUUUAAUAGUCAGCUUUGUCAUACAAGGGAAAACUCCAAUUCCUUGAUAUGAUUCACAAGGAGACCACUCCUUCCAAUGUUGCAUGUCUUGAAACAAAAGGGUAUGUAACAGUGGAAAAGGCAAGCAUCCCUCUCCAUAAAACUCAAGACCCACGCUUUCCACUCCAGGCAUUCCUAUUAUAUGAAGUUCUUUGAGACAAGGCAAUUUCCCAAGUGGUGGCAAGAACUGACAAUUAUUACAAUUGUAUAAUCUUAUGAGCACCAUAUUAGAGAAUAAAGGAUCUCCCAGCCAUGUUGCAAAUUCUAAACCGCCAUAACCUAUGAUCGUAAGUUGUUUGAGCUUUCUAGAAGGUCGUAACAUGUCAAGCACAUCUGAUUUCGGUUCUCGCAUGUAUUUCCAUUUAAGUGCCAAAACAUCAAGCCCGUCCUUGCUAAUUAAGUCAGCCCUCCUUGCAUCCUCAGCAUCAAUCACAUUCUCCAAUCCUGAGAGGUGCAAUGUCCAUUUGAGAUGCCGAAGUGGCCCUAUCUCUCUGAUUUUUGACUCAUGACUUUCGCCCACAACAAAAUUAGUCAAGGUUUGCAGAUUAGCCAAUUGACCUAAUUGCGGUGGCAUGCCUUCUAACAAGGGUACAUCAGAAAUGUUGAGAUGCCGCAGAUUAAUUAGAUUACUCAAGUUUGUCGGUAGCGCCUUCAAACGAGAACAAUUUUCUAGUAUCAACGUCUGUAGGUUGUAAAGAGUGCUUAAUGAUUCAGGCAAACUCAGUAUUAGAGUGUGAGAAAGAUCAAGGUAUCGUAGAAACUUCAAUUCACCAAUUGAAUUUGAGAGCUCAGUUAUUGUAUAGCCAUUCAAAGAGAGCACUCUCAAGUAUUGCAAUUUUGGCAAUAAAUCAUGAUUAACCUUGCUAGUCAGGCUAUUCCUCCGAGCAUCUGAAAGUUGAAGUGGUAGGAAAGUUCGCAGAUGAGUGGCCUCAAAAAAGGCCUUCAAUUUUUUAACUCCAUCAAACUCACCGGAGAUGUAUGACAUAUGACGAACCUUUGGAGAAAAUCUGCGUUGCAUGCUAUCAUCCAAUCUAAAACAUGUUUCUCCUGCAGCCCACCGUGCCAAUUCACUAACGAGGUCAUGCAUUACAUAUUGUGAAUUGUUUUUACUUGACUUUUGAAAUAAUGACCUAGAUAUUAGCUCACGAAAAUACUCACCGCCUAUAUCUUCCAUUUGUUUAUUUUCUUCAGAUUGCUGAAUCAAACCCUCUGCCAUCCAGAGAAGAAUCAACUGCUUCUCUCCAAACUCAUAGUCAUUUGGAAGUAUUGAGCAAUAGGCAAAACACCUUUUCAAACUUGAUGCGAGAUAAUGGUAGCUCACGUUUAAUACUGGCAGAAUGUUUAUUUUAUCUGAUAGCUUCCACAAAUUGCUAUUCAGUAUUUCUUCCCAUUCAUCUAUUUCUUUACAACCCAAAAGGCCACCAAGAGUCCUUGCGGCCAAAGGCAAUCCACCACAUUUUAUAGCAAUUUUCUCCCUAUAUAACUCAAUAUUUGGUGGCUGUACAUUCAAGAAUGCAUGCUGCUCAAACACUCUCCAACAAUCGUCAUUUGAUAUGCACUCCAAAUUAUGAACUUCAAUGGCUCUCAUCAUUUUUGCAACUUCUCCAUCACGUGUUGUCACAAUUACCUUACUUCCUAAUGCUCCAACACGAAAAGGCGACUGAAGUUUGAUCCAUAGAUCAUAGUCACAUGUAUUCCAAACAUCAUCUAAAACAAUUAAAAACUUUUUACCUGCUAAUUCCUUGCUCAGAUUAUCCUGAAUGUUGCUGAAUUCCUCCAAAUCACAGUGCCGGGACGUGAUUGAUUCAAGAAUUGCCCUUGUUACUCUAACAAUGUUAAAAUCAUCAGACACGGACACCCAUGCCUUAGGACUGAAUUUCAUGGAAACAUCGUUGUCGUUGAAUACAAGCUGAGCAAGCGUUGUCUUCCCAACUCCAGCCAUGCCAACAAUAGAAACUACAUGAAAAUUGGCAGAACUAGGCUCAUCUCUUGACAGCAAUUCCAGAAUCUUCGCUUUAUCACCAUCUCUUCCAACAACUGGUCCAUCUAACACACUUGAACUUGGUGACCUCUGGCGUGCCUUACUAGAAGUUGUGCCAAUAUAAUUUAAACCUAGCUUGUCUUUUCGUUCAGAUAUCUCAUGUAAUCGAUCAGUAAUCACCUUUAUUUCUGAGUUCAUACUACUGUUAAAUUUAACUCUUGGAAUUAAGCUUCGUACCUUACUUGUGGUAGCCCCAUGUAGCUUAUGUGCCUUGCGCCGAAACAUCUCAGUGGAAAACUUGUCUAACAUGUCUUCCACAUCAUAAGCCAAAUCUUUGAGAUCAUCCAGCCACAGUUUCACAGCCUCGCUCAUUAGUUGCUUUUCCUCCGCAUCAUGCAGCACCGCUCCAAUUGCAGAUAACAUUGUAGUCCAUUUCUUCAUCUUCUUGCCAACACCCUCUUUCUGUGCAAAGUUGAGAAAGUUGCGAGGAGUCAACCGGUCGAGCAGCAGUUGAAGGAAUGCAGCAAGAAAGAUCUCUCCAAGUGCCAUAGUUUCUUUUUGCAUAAGCGAAGCAAUGUCACAGUGAAAAUGAAUAGAACUAAGCAAUCAAAUAAGUAACAACAAUAUAUAAGAUUCAAGACUUUGUGAUGCAGAAAGUCAAACUAGGAAGAGGUACAUCUGGCCAUUUGCAAAUUAUCCUUAGUUUGGCGGGGUCGAUAUGUCCAACAGCUGGCACACAAGAAAAUGCUAGGAAAUUGAAUAGAAGUGUAAAAUCUAAAUCAAUCAUUUCCAGGAAUGUCAAACUAAUUUGGUCAUUAUCUACAAUUGCUCAAGCAUUCCUUUUCUGUAUGUCAUCCAAACUUGUUAGUUUCUGCAUUUAACAAAAUCAUGACCACCCAAUUAAUCUAAUGUCUUUAAAGUUGAGGAACUGGGUUUUUUUUCUUUAAAUGUGUAACAAAAAAAAUAAACAAAAAAAAGGUUUACUGAAUGCUUUGUAGUUUCUGAAGAAGAACAUCCUACCAAUCAACCAAUCGAUGUGCAAGACAUUCCCCACAAGCCACGGCAAUCACUUUCAAAUACUCUAGCUAUUUCUCUACAGUUUCUAGUAUAAAAAAUAAAAAUAACAAGGGCCUAUGAAUUGCUCUAUAAUUUUCAUCACUUAUUCACGAUGCUCUGAACAAAAAGUUAAAAUUCAGAAGAAACUACCUGGUCUUGUGUGCUUUCCUGGCCUUUUAUACCAUUUGCUUUGCAGUCGCCUUUUGCAAUUUUAAUUUCCGAGCUUUUCCUCUUCUCUUCUUCCACUUUCUUCAUGUUCUCUUCAUGUUCACAGGUACCAAUGAACCUAUAUAGAAAAGAAAAUUCUUCAAUAUUCUUAGGCAUUGCUUAUUUGGAGUGAUAAGUGAUUUUUUAAAAAUUUUGAGAAGCCCAACCCGUUUGGUAAACUGUGAGAAAAUCACUUAUUGUUAAAAAUUGGUGUGAGAGAAAACUAUAAGGGAAAGCAAUUAAUGAGGUGCUUUCAUUUUCUGAUUAUGCAGGAAUCAGUUUUGAAGAGGCGCUAAGUUUAAUGAUUAUGCGGCAAUCAUUUUUUGAUUAUACAUAAAAUCAAUACCAACAACACUUUUAACAAAAAUUUUACCAAACGCCAAAUUGCUUUCUCUCACAGCAAAUCUGACAGCGAUUAUUUUCACAGCACAUCAAUGCCAAACUGACCCUUAGUCUGACAAGUUUGCAACUUUUUUUUUUUUUUUUUUCAUUUUUGUGAUUGGUUAGCUGAUCGAAUUUAUGUUAAUCUAAUUAGACCAUUAUUUAUUUAUUUAUGGCAAAACCACACUUGUAGUCCCAAUGAUUUCCAACUUUUACCACUAAAGUUUCUAUGGUUUCAAUUUCAUCACUUUUGCCACAAUGGUUUAGAAUUCCAAGCAAUUUGAGGACACUUCUCAAUUUUCGUAAGAUUCUUUUUAGUUCCGUUAAGGCCUCAGCUCCUGCCAGUUAUUGAAUAAGUGGAGGGGCAUUAAGGUAAAAUUCCUCGCAAUUCAUAGCACAUGUGCCCCUAAAAUAACCCAGCAUAUUCAUUGUUCUUACUCCAGAGAAAGAGAACACAAAGGCUCGAAUCCACAAACACAAAUUAAGGAUUUCUUUUGGGUCUUUUAGGGUUUAAUUGAAAAUUCUCAUAUGUGCGUAAAAGUUAAUCGAUUGAAGGAGCUGGUUACACAACCAAAAUGACGAAGAGCACAAGAGAAGGCAGUGGAAGCUUGAACAAACUAGGUUUGAAAGAGCUUGAUUAUUUAACUUAGUUUCGGUUUGAUAUAGGGGCUUUCAAUGGUUAAAAGUGUUUGCUGCUUGCAAUGCUUUUUUUUUUUUUUCCGAUUGUCUGCAUGUGUUAUUUCUGGAGAAUUACAUGAUUUGUAGACUUUUAUAUUGGAUUGAGUUUAUCUCUUCGCUUAGUGGGAUAGUUGGUGGGAAAUUAAAGGCUUUUUUUUGGUUGGAAUAUGAAGUAAAGGCAGUGGUCCCGUGCAUGUUUUGACUACUAAAAGCUAAAGUGUAGUGUCCCUAUUUAUUUGCAUAAAGUAUUCAAUAUGCAUGCUUUCCAUUUUUGUUCUUAUUUGGUUAUGCCAAAAUUUUCCAAAUGUUGGGCCACCCCAAUAAAUUAUAAUGCAGCAUUGGAUGACGUUUUAGAUGCCUUUUUAAAUUAGGGUUUUAAUUAUUAGUCACAAUUGAACCAAGAAUAUGUAGAACAAGUGCCUAAUAUAGGAACAUAAUUUAUAUUCAACAUAAAUAACCCCUUCUGUUUAAGAAAAUAAUGUCAUGCAAUAAAAUCCUUUGUUUACGUACAUAUAUACCAACCGAUACUCAUAAACAUUUCAAUUCAGUAAAAUUCAUAUCAUAACAUACGAUAAGGAAAACUAUGUAAUUAAUACUUCUCAAAUUCUAGGAAAACAAUGUAAAUUUGUUCAUGUAAUCCUUAUUGUAAAACCGUAUAUUCAAACACCAAAGUAAACCCGUUAAUAUAAAAUUUAAUCAUCAAAACCCAAAAUCCUUUUUCCCAUAACUAUACCCUUGCAAAAAUAUAACAUGCCCAGUAAUUUUCAAAUAUCCAAUCUCAAUCCCAAACUUCAUUUCAAAUGUUCAUACAUAUACAGAGUACUCUCAAUGCACAUACUCAAGAAACCUCAACCUGGAAAGUAAAUCCACAUAUAUACCCGUAUACAUAUACAUAUACACACACAUUCACCACACCAUAUGCCAAUAAAGUAGAAUUAUUUUGAUGAUCUUGAGGGCGACCCUUCAAAGCAUGUGACAGUGAUUCCCCAGAUAUGAAUACUCCGCUCCAUUUGGUUAACCCGAGAAUUGAACUCUUGAUUUGAUACAUUGGCCACCUCAACAACUUCAUGGCACUAUGAAAUCUGCAAUAGAUCCAUAAACGGUAGAGUGAGAUAAAGGCACUGUGAAUCUUUCACAAUACCAAAAAGUGCAUCUUGGAUAAAAACUUGUACUAUAUAGUACAGAGACUGCCUCUUGGAUAAAAACUGCUUACCACGUUUUUUCUUUGUAAUUUCUGGUUGAACGACAUGCUGUGAUGAAGUAGCUGGGAAUUGUGAUAAUUCAUGAGAUAUUGCUUCAACUCCCAACUACUAACCCUCUUUUCUUUUUUCUUUUUUUUUUCUUUUUUUUAGAGGAAGAUCAAAAUAUCAUUUCCACCAAACAAACAGUUACAUCAAGCACAGCAUAUUUUGAGUGGUUCGUUAAAACCUUCCCAAGAAAAUCCAAUAAGAUAAAACUUCGUAGUAAAAAAGACUACCACACGUACCAAAACACAACUCAAAGAAUACAAAGACAAGGAGGCUAAUCUCUAAGACAGUCAUCCCAACCCAACUACUAACCUUAAAUGCAAUUACAUGUGCUUGCUUUUCCGAAUGAUAUUUAUUCUAUGUAAAAUUUUCAACUAUUUCUAUGAAGUAGUUGUCUAGUAUACCUGCUGGGUUAGUAAAGUUAGUAGCUAGAAAAAAAAAAAAAGGAAAUUGUAUUUUUUUAAUAAUAAAAAUAUGUGGAAGCCAAUAUACCUCUUUUUUUUUUCUUUUUUUUAAUUUUUAAGAAAGCAACAGUGCCUUUGUUGGGGAGAGUAGAUAUUCUUUGUCUACUCCUUUGCCUAUUCUCUUGCAGGACGAAAAAGCUUAUGUGGCACAUCAACAUGAUUUGUCUACUCUUUUGCCUAUAUGCUCUGCAUAUGCUCUUAGUUAUCACUACAAAAUCUGGAGUCAAAGUACCCUUUACUCAUACCCUUGUCAUUAUAUGUAGGUGUUAAAAGGCACAUGUGCCAAUAGGCUAGUAAAUAAAUAAUUUAAAAUAUCCUUAUUAUUCUUGUUUUAUUAACCAUUUUUAUUACAUGUAGGUGUUAAAAGGUUCGAUUAAGUAAGGCCUGCCAUGACAUGACCUGUAUCUUUGGGUGGGUCAGAAUAAGGUAAUUCAGUUCAAUGAUCGGGCAGACUCAAGGCCUGUCAUGGACCAUGCCGGCCUGAAUCCCAAUGGGCCGGAACGUUUAAAGCCCAUUUAAUAAAUUAUAUUUGUUUCAAAGAAAAAUAAUAUAUAAUAUUAUUAUACUUAUAUCUUAAAUAAAAGUCUUAUGUCUUUUCUCUAAUAAUAUAUACUAAAAUUUAAUGUUUUCUUUAUAAAUAAAAUAAUGAUUUUAUUUUUAAAGUUUCAAUUUUUAAAACCCGAUCAAUAAUCUAGCCAUUUUCAUUUUUAAUGUACUUCAAAUAAAGUUAUUAGCCGCUUUAUAAAUAAUUGUUAAAAAAAAUAAAAUAAAAACCGAAAUGAAGUUGUAAAAAAAUGUAAUACAUAAAACAAACUUGGCAUGGCCCAUAUUGGCCCAGCCCAACCCUAUUUGGGUUAGGGCCGGACUUGAUGAUUUUUAUAAAUGGACUAGUCCAUAUGGCCUAGCGCCAUUUGACACCUCGUAACUACAAAGUUUUUGCCUCAACAAAUCUAAUUAUAUUAUAAAUAUGUACUUGCCAAAUAUAUGACCUUAAGUUUGUUUUCUAUAAAUUGCAUAUUUCAAUAAGAAAUUCAAAUUGUUAAUGUAAAGUCUCUGAAGAGACAGAGAAAUGAGAGAGAGUAUCAUAUAUUGUGCAGAGGUUUUAGUAGGGUUUUCUUACUCCCACAUUGUGUCCCAUGUGCAAGAGGCUUGCCGCAGGACUCUGCAACAGAAACAAUCUUGGCCGUGUCGAUGAUCGUCUGCUCAAGCUGACCAGAAAUGCCAUGGCACGGGCAUGGAAUGUCAGCUGUGUUCAAAGCAUUGCAACAUGCCUUGGAUGCAUUCAUGUUUGGCAAUGGCAAGACCUUCUGGACAUACAUCAUGCAGUUUGUGACCAAGCCCAUCAUGUCUCCUUGGCAGCCCUGCAGCUCCAUCAAGUUAUUGCUCAUGGAACAUAGAAGUCCAAUGACUGCAAAGAUGGUUGAAACCAUGGCGGUCACGUUGUAUGUUGUCAUAUCUUUCAUUUAAUUGCCUGCGUCUCUCUCUUUACAAUGUGUUGGGAGAUUGAAUUUAUAGAGUUUUGAAGAUGCGGGUUAGAUAAGUUGGCCAAGGCAGUGUAUUUCCCUUUGAAUACGUACAAAAAUUAAACAAGAGGGAUCUCAAAAGCUUGACAGCCAAAAGCCAAUCUCCGUGCCCAUGGCAGCAAGUCCAUGAGCAACACAAUUCGUUUCUCUUUUGGCUAACAAAUAAAAUUGUUCACUGAUGCAAGUCAUGCAGUCUUGAAAGUCAAUAGAUGAAUUCAAUAAACGAAACUGGUUCCCAAACAGCCACAAUUUCUACUCGUCUGAAAUUUGUGGAAAUGGGAUUUUGGUUUAAUUGAUUGCAAUACUUUUAUGGGAAUGUAAAUUUAUUGGACGUAUGUUUGUUCAUCCGGCAAGAGAAGACACAUAUAUGAAGAAAAUGAACGCAUACCAUCUAGAUUCCAAGCCAACAAUUUUUCCUUCUUCCCUGUUCAACCAAAUUGUGUACUAUGCCUAUGUGUAUAUGACCCUUUUUGUUUUAAUACAAACGAACUAUAUGUAUAUGACCCUCUUUGUCCUCCAUGUAGUUCCUUUAUAUAUCUGUAAAUGGUUGAUCCACAACCAUUUAACAUUAAUAUACUGUAUCAAACUUUAUUCUGUAAUAUUCUAGAAUUGUGUACAGAAUGAAUCAGCCACAAAAUGCAGUUAUAUAUCAUUUUAAUGGUGUUGAAACAAGGAUAUUCAUUGUGGAGGAGGAAUAAGAAGACUUGGGUUCAGGCUACUAUUUGUACAAUAUUCUGCAUACCAAUAUUGAACGACAUUUGCUCUGCUACAUAAAUUGGAAUACUUUUUCGGUGUAAGCAGUAAAUAACAUAGGUUUGAUCAAUAUGCAAAUGAGUUCAUCAUACCAAGAUCAAAUACAUAUUAAUUGUUUGAAGUCAUAUUUCUAAACUUAAAUGAUACUGGAAGUGUAAUUCGUCCAUCCGAAUGCUACUGGUUUGUUUACAACUAAAAGCAAGAUUGCCUUAACAACUUCCUGGAACUGUAAAUUCUGCAGUAGAUUGUAAACUUAUUAGAACAAUUAUCUAAAAUAGACCAAACUCGGCAGAAAAACAUAUUUAUCAUCAGUGAUACUAUCUAUAACACAUUGAGCAAGGAGAAUUACAAUCUUCAAAGACGACAUCCAGAAUAAAAUCUGGAGGAACCUCAUUCCAAGACAAGAACCUAUCAAUACAAAGCAAACCGAGCUACACAAUGGGCAGCCCCAUUAGUUCUACGCUGAAUAUGAAAGACGCGAACACCAUGAAGGUGAGUCAAAAGAGUUGAAAGUCAAAAGAAAGAAAAAACCAUCUUUAAGCUAAAAAUAUUAAAGCACAAUAAGGACGGAGCCAGAAAACUUUUCACAGAGGAGGCACUGCAUGUAUUGAUAUAUAUUUUUAUUUAGGGUGACAACCGAAUAAUUUUUUACUUUAUACAAAAUCCCUAAUUUUAAUUUCUAUACUUUAUUAUUUUAUAUGUUACAUUAACUAUCUACUCAUCAUCAAUAUUAACAAAAAAUCAAUUGAAAUGUUCUUUACUAAAGAUAGACACCAAUAAAAUUGGGACAAUAAUUUAUCACUACAAAAUCUAGAGUCAAAGUACGACAAUGAGAAUUUUGAAAGGGCUAACAAUGAUAGUGAGAAAGGAAAAGAAGAAAAACAUAAGGAAAGGAAUGGACACUUUAAAAUUUAAUUUAAAAAAUAUGAUUGUAUUAAUAAGACCACUGCCUCAAAGAAAAUUUGAGAGGGGGCACAUGCCAGUGGAUGUGUAAAACACUAUUGUUUGUAGAAAGAAGUACAAACCCUUUUUUUUUUUUUUUUUGGUGACAAGAACCCAGCACAAAGUUCAAGUUCCUUCAGAAUUAAUAAAAUUAGCAUGAACGUAAGCUCGAUUGAUAUAUGACCUACGAGUUCUAAUCAUGAAAAGAAAAUAACCUUUUUGGAUAUAAGACAUACAGAACUUUAUUUUCUCCCUAGACAGAACUAGGCUAAAAUUAAGCCCAAAUGGUAUGAGUUAUAAGUUCCAAUCAUGAAAAAAGAACCCCUCUGGAUAUGCAUGCAAAAUAUACACAGAGGAUUAUACUUCUCACAAAGAAAAAAGUGUUAGGAAUAAAAAAAUAUAUAUAUUUUUAGGCAAAGAAUUAGGUAAUCAAACUCUCGUAUAGCAAAAUCAAACAUAUUCUCAAAUUGAGUAAACAUAUUCUCAGAGAGAGCUCAGUUGGGGAUCUUACUUCCACAUUUCGUUCCAUGAGGAAGAGGUCUACUGCAGUAGGAAACAACAUGAACCACCUUUCUCAUGUCAAUCGGCUGCUGCACCUCCUUGUGCUCACACGUACAUGGAAUGCCCACCUUAAUCAUCACAUCACAGCAUUCUUGAGAUGGAUGUCAUGGAGAAACCCCUUUGCACAUAACUGAACAUUACGUUAUAAGACCCUAGAGGUCACCUAAUUGGCAACCAUGCCCAACAACCACAUUGAUUUCACCAGAGAACAAAACUUCUAUGACGGCAAAGAUGGCCAAAACCAUGAAACUAAGAUUAAGCAUUUCCAUCUCUCUUUUCAAUUCUAUUGAUCUCUUUUGGAUAUGAAUGUUGUGGGGGGUGAGUUGCAUGGUUUAUGUAGUUUGAGUAAGGCAUUUCAUGACACUUUGCCUUGUGGACCUGGUUUGUGUACCUCUGUAUUUUUGGAUGCAGGAUCAGCAAAAGUGUGCCCUCUUAAUGGGGGCAACAGAGUAUGCAAUCUCUGUAUCAUCUGCUUGAGCUUCCUCAGCUUGUCCAUCUCACCUGCCCGAACCAGAAAGCUCUCUAAUAUCCGCAACGCAGGUUCACUCAUAUCUCUCCCUCUCUCCAACAUUUGUUUGGAGCACUCAAAAGCUUCUAUUACCCUACUGCGGGAGCACAAUCCCGUUAACAGAAGGUCCAAAGCAUGACCAUGAGGACAACAUCCUUUCUCCACCAGGUAUCGCCAUAAAUGCAAUCCCAAAUCAAGCUGCUGGUUUACACAGAAAUAUUUCAUUAACAUCACCACUGUUCGUGUUUUGGGCACAAAACUUCUGUCAACCAUUUUGUGAUAUAGUCCAGAAACACCGUCAAUAUCAGAUGUCCUCAUCAAGCAAGAGAACAUUGUGUGAUAAGUCAUAUUAUCAUGUUCAAUAUGCUUCACUUCCAUCUCAUCCAUCAAUGCGACUGCCGACUUCACAUCCCUUGAUCUAAUAAGUGAGCUCAUCAAAGCAUUAUACACCCCAGUAUCAGGAAGCAAAUUUCUCAAACGAAUCUCAUCAAAUAAUUGCUGUGCCUUAAUUGGAUUUCGAGCAACCCCUGCUCCGUGGAUCAAUGUAGUGAUUGUUUCCAAAGUGGGCGACAAAUUUUCCCGUUCCAUUCCUUCAAAAAGUCUCAAACCAUCAGCAAAGCAACCUUUCUUACAGUAAGCAUCGAUUCUAAUAUUGUAAGUUAUAAUAUUUGGCUCAAAGCCUCUUUUAACCAGUUCAUGGUAAAAGAGUUCUACUGCAGUAAUAUCUCCAGAUUCCUUGAAUCCCAAGAGCAAGAUAUUCAUGGUCUUGGUGUUGGGUGAAAACCGAAAAUGCAUCUUUAGGAACACCGAACGUGCCUCCUUCAUCUGCCUCUCUGUGCAAAAUGCUCUAAGGAGUACAUUAAACUCUUCAGUACCAAACUUCCUCCCAACAAAAAUAUCAUUCUCCAUCUUGCCAAAUGCUUCAAGGACAUCUUCAUAUGACUGAAAUUUUGCAAUUUUUGACAGCAUGAUGCUCAUUGACUUAAGGGUCAGCAAGGAAGGGUGCAUGCUGCUUAUUUUUUCCAUCAAGUCCCAAGCUUUAUCAAAAUACCGCAUCCUGGCAAGGAUGUGCAGUGUCUUUUCAAAAGCAUCUGAGCUUGGACAUAACUGGGAAUGAUGGAGGGAAUAAUUGAAGAAUUCAAGGGCUUUAAGACCAUUGGAAUGGGCUGCGAAAAGGUAACCCAAAACAUUCUCCACAAAGCUGGUGGAAAGAGCAUGGGGUGGGAUGUGCUGGAGAAGAGUUGGUAGAAGUGGUUGAUCAGGAUACGGAUGGUUAUUAAUUAUUCUGGUGAUCCUGUCAACUUCAAUAUUAGUUUCUGAAGACGGUAGAAAUUGGCUGGAUAUUUUAAGAGCGUGAAUGACAGAAAAAUUUAGCUUCGGAGGAAUUUGAGUAAGUUGAUUGGAUCUCUUUAAUCUUGUCAUAAGGAGCAUUCUCUCCUUGGUUGCACUUAGCAACAAGUGAAACUCUGUACACAAUUUGGAAUUUCCAUUUUGCAAUGCCUAACUGAUGUCAACACCCUGGAUAUCCAAGCAAACAAAAGUUAAUAGUCCAUUAAUUCAAAAAACAAAACAGUAAUUAGAUUCAUGAUUCGUCACAAAUAAACCCAGUCCACAUUAAUGUACAUGUAACACAUUGUGAGAAAAACCAGACAGACCGAACCCACCCAAGCACCCACCUCAAUCACUGGCAAGCUGCUAUCAUACUUCACAUAUUGUCAAAAGAAAACAAAGAAAGCAACUCAGACUGAACCCAGGCUCAGAAAAGUUAUAAACAUUUCUACUUCUUUCCUAAAAUACAUAUCUACUCUUCUCUUUAGGACAAAUGUAAAUAAUCACCACGGUCACAAUACAUCAUGCAUAUGCAGGCACAACAAAUAUUUUAUGCAAAAGUGUUGGUUCUUGAACAUAGUUGCCUAAUUCGCUCACCCCCUACGAAUUUCAAUCUGGAUUGAGCGUACCCAAUCGCGGUACGGUAUCGAUCUGGAACGAAAGAUUUAACGACUCAGUUCCAGAGGCGAGAACAGUACCUGAUAGACGACGUCGCUGCUACAGAACAGUAACUGACCGCCGACGGCAGAAGAGCAAUCGAGGACACAUGAGGGACUAGGGAGAGUGCUAUGGCUGAUGAGCUCACGUUUGACUCCUGGUCUCUAGACAUAAGGGGAAGGAAGAUUUGGGUUUGGAGAGGAUUUUUUUAGAAGAAUGGAUUACAAGAGCCCAGCCCAGGCAAAAGCCCCCUUGCUCUCCCAAAAUCAGCUGCAGCAGUAACAUCCAGCACGGGCAAGAGCUGGCAAGGCCCAAGGCAAGAUAGCCCCAGCUGUUGUCUGAAAUCGCUGAUGUAAACAAAGAAAAAAAUUAAAAACAAUUUUAAAAAUUACCAAAAAAUUCAUAUUUCUUUUAACAUACAUACCUAGCAAAUUUUUAUUUAUUAAUGUCAUAUAUAUAAUCUUAUGUGAACAGUAAUUUCUCUUGAGUUGCGAUGAUAAUUGAUGAAAAAGUACAAAAACAAUUGCUAGAGCAUAUAUUAUUCAUGUGAACAGUAACUGCCCUUACUUUUCCUUAGAGCAUCUCCACCCAUAAGGGCUAAGGCAAAGGCAAGGACAAGUAAGGGCUGCCACUAUUCAUGUGAAUAGUAGCAGCCUUGCCUUUUUUAGUUCCACCCCAAAAGGCUAGGGCAAGGGCAAGGAAAAAAAAAGAAUAUGCAACAAAAUAUAAAUUUGUUAUGUAUUUAUAGGGAAAGUGAAUAAAAUUGUUAUGUAUUUAUAGGGAAAACAUUCAUAAUUUUUUGGUAUUUUUUUAAAAAAAAAUUUUGAUUUUUUUUCCCUUUUUUUCAAUUUUUUUGACUCGCUGACGUCAGCGUGACAUCACCACUGACAUCAGCGCCCUAGGACUGAAGCUCAGGCAAAAUCUGCCCCUGGGCUUGCCCAGGCUGGUGGGACCCAGGGCUUGCCCGGGCUGCAGGUGCUGCGCUGGAGAUCCAAAAUUGAGGGAAUGGGCCUCUUGCCCUGGCUAAAGUCCCUGCGGUGGACAUGCUCUUACCAUUUGCCAUGACAAAUGGGUGGAAGUGCUAUAAAGAGGAAACGUACUAAAGGUUGGGGUGGGUGGGUGUGUCAAUAUAAUAAAAGUACUGUUUCUGGUUUCAAAAAUUUAGUCAUGUUCUCCUGGACCCUAUGAUCCAAGAAAGCUGUGGUUACUUACUCUUUGAUCAAAUCUAAGGGUUGAGAAAAAACUGGUUUAAAUAUCAAUAUGUCAUUUUUUUAUUUUACUUUUACUACACUGAAAUACUAUUUUGGUUAUUAAAAACUAAUAUUUUUUUAAAAAAUAAGUUUAAUAUCAAAGAUGAUACAAUAUAAUUGUAGAAACACAAGUCUAUGUUCAUGAACUGGAAGGAAAACAAAAAAGAGCCCAAAAUUUGUUUAUAAAAAAUUGUAGUUUUCCCAAACUUGGUAAUGAAUCAUUCAAAUCUAAAUUUUAUAAACAUAAAAUUGAACACAAAGGUAGAGAACAAUAGGAAAAUGACUUGGUUGUGGGUCCUUUAAAUUCAAUCACGUUAAAGUAUAAAGGGAUAGCUUGAUGGCUCCGAAUUUGGAUCAAUAAAUUUUCUUUUGUUUAUGAAAAAAUUGAAUAUUUGAAUCUAAAUCAAGAGAUGAAAUAGAUAACCAAUAAUAAUUAGAGUGAAUCUUAAACGACACAUGUUCUUGAUUUUCGUAUGCAACGUCGAAGUUGAAGGUAGUUGUGAACGACAAUGGAUGAAGAACAUGCUCUUGGUUUUCUGAGAGAGAGCGUCCUUUGGUUGCAAUGAUUUUUUCUUUUUAAAAGUUUUUGUUUUUGUUUAAGUUAAAUUAAUAUUUUGUACAGUAAAAGUAAUAAAAUAAUGACAUAUUAAUAUUUAAAUCAAUUUUUUUUCUCAAUCCUUAGAUUAGAUCCAAAGUGAGUGAUCAAAACUUCCUUGGACUUCUAGGGUCCAGGAGAAUGGGACUAUUCAAGAAUUGCUAAGGAAGAAGAAAAGUCACGAUUCUUUCAAUACAUUGAACAAAUAAAAUACAUAACUUAUUGAAUAAAUAAAAAAACCACUUAUUCAUAAAAUAAACAAAUUCAUAAUUAAAAUUUACAUGCAAAAACAAAAAUUAAAGUUUAUUGUUGAAACUUCAAAACAAACAAAACAGAAAUUGAAAAGACUUAAAAUUAAAAAUAGCAAAUUUAGCCAACUGGUUGUUUUCCCUUCGCUUUUGCACUAGUCCUUGUUCUUGAGCUCCCUCAAGAAAAAAAAUUGACUAGGCAUAGGGUACGGUAUGCUUAGCCGUGAACACCUGCAUAAUCACCCUCCAACCCUUUCCAUCUCAUUUCCUCCAAUUUCUGAGCAAAAUCAUCUAAAAAGAGGAUUCCGAAUUAAUAUUGGUCAUACAGUUUUGAGCACAAACACAUCUAAUCAUUGUCCACUAGCCCAUAAAUGGUAUAUGUUCCAAUAUAAUGAUUAGAUGUAUAUGAUGAUUCAUCUAAUCAUUAUCCACUAGUCCAUCCAUAUAUGGUACAUAUUUCGAUAUAAUGAUACCAUGUAAUCAUUAUUGUACUACAUAUGUGCAAUAUAAGAUGCAUUAAUAUAUGAAUUUUUGUGAAGUUAUACAUCGAUACAUGAUACAUUAAUACAUGUAUCAUUAACAUAUGUGCAAUAUAUGAUACAUUAAUAAAUGAAUUGUUGUUAAUUGUACUAAUAUAUCGUUCCGAGUUAAUACAAUACGUCAUUCCGAAUUAAUACAAUAUAUUGUUCCAAAUAUGAUACCAUUAAUCAUAUUUAUGAUCUGUACAUAUGUUUGGAUUAAACGAUUCAUUUGACUUUGAGAUUGAAAUUUAAGAUUUUAUAUUUUAAAAGGUAUUAAAUGAAAAUAUAAACCAUUUUCUUUUAUAAAAAAUUUAACUUUAGCCAAAAUUACUUGAACCCAAUUUGAGUCUUGCUGAAAAAUGCUAUUUAUUCUUGGUAUCAGUAUUGAAGAAUAAAAUAUGAAAUUAUUUUUUGGUUUAAAUAGUAAAUACCAAAGGUUUGGUCAUUCAAAUAAGUUCAAUAAACCAAUCAUCAAGUACAUAUAAUAUAAUUGUCUAAUGUCAUAUUUCAAUAGUUCACAUCAUACGGUUUUAGUUUUUAUUAAUUCUUCCAUCUGAAUCGCAUACGACUACAAGCAGGCAAGAUCGCUUCAACCACUCCCUGGAACUGUAAAACCUGUAAUAUAUAUAAUAUAGAUGGUUAAACAACAUUGGGCAGAAAAAAUAUAUUUAUUGUACGUGUAGUUUGCCAGAAUUUCCACUUUUGAUUUCAAUUUUGGUCAUUUGAUUCUUAUAGUUUGAUAUCCAAUGCAAUGCAAAGAUACGUCCAAAUUUCCAUCUAAUUCCGUCUGAAAUACCUCUAUGUGUGAAGGACACACGUGCUUAUUCCAUCACGAAAUUGAAUAUCAACUAAUUACAUGGGUCAAAUUGCCAAAAUUGAAACCAUGUAAAUCAAUGUGGAAGAUCCGACAAACUAUAAGGAUCAAUCUUUAGUUAAAACAAUAAAAACAAAAAUAAAGAGAAAAGGGAAAGUAAGCCUAAAUUAUAUUUUUGAAUUACAACCAUGAAUAGGAACAUGUUUGGAUAAAUUAAUAAGCACACAAAUAUAAGUAGAGAAAUUUAGAUUAAAAAAUAUGAACAAUUGUGAUAAUAAUUGAAGUACAUAUUAGUUCAAUUCUAUGAGAGAGAGAGAGAGAGAGAGAGAGAGCAUAGGGUUAGGGAUAUCUUACUUCCACACUUCAUUCCAUGAGGAACAGGUAUGCCACAGUAGGAGACGACAUGAACCACCUUGUUCAUGUCAACCAACUCCUCUAGCUCCUUGGUCACGUGCUUGCAGGCACAUAGAAUGUCCACCUUCUUUAUCAAAUCACAGCAUGCUUGAGAUGGAUUUGUCAUCGGCUUACCCUUUUCCACAUAAGUUGAGCAUUGCCUUAUAAGAGCUCCAACGUCACCGCCACAUAGCUGCCCUACGGCCACAUGGAUUUCACCGGAGAAUACAACUCCUAUGAUGGCAAAGACGGCGAAAACCGGGAAGCAAAGACGAAGCAUUUGCUUCUCUCUUUCUGUUACUUUUAUUUUUCUCUGACAGUCUCUUUUGGAUGUGGAUGUUGUGGGGAGGGGUGGUGAGUUACAUGGUUUAUAUAAGGACUUUGAGGGAGGCAUUUCAUGACACCUUGCAUUUUGAAGCUGGAGUUGGCUCCAUCUGUGAACAACUUACGUUACAAAUUUUGUUUGAUUUUGAAGGGGGAUUGUAUCUUGCAUGUGAAGACUUUGGUUUUCACAUUGUACAAAAUGGAAGAUGAUCCUCUCUCUUCUUUUCCGCCUCACUUUCUCCAUAAAAUCCUAUCCAAUCAUUCAUUACACAAUUAAUAACUCAAUCAAGAAAAAUUGACUAUCGGAUUCUAUUUAAAUGUGAAAGAAAUUUAAGAAAAAAAGAAGUACAAAGAUUCUCGUAAGCAUAAUGCAAGCAUCAAAUUAUAAGGGGAGAGAAAUGAUUAGUAAUGACUAUUAUAUUGCAUGAAUGGAGCAGACCUAUAAGUUAUAGACUCAACUCUCCAUAAAUGGAGAUAAGUUGAAAACUCAAGUCGUAUUCAAACUCACUCUCCAUAGGAGGUUAUGAUCCAUAUCCAAUGAUUAUUUUGGUUUUAUAAUAGCCACUAAAAUUAUUAAGGGCUAUGAUAAUAUUAACCACACUUCAUAAAUAUCGACAAGUUAAGUGAUUGGCCAAAAUAAAAAGACAAUUUCUUUUAACAUUACCCUCUGACAAAGGAAUUGAAAAGUGCAUAGAAUUCUUAAAUGACCCGAUUUAAAUUUUCAUAGUUUAAAUUUUUGGUAAUUCGUAGUUUCAGUGUUUGGUUUUAUGUAUGUUGAAUUUCGUAAAUGACAUAAAUUAUGGGGAAAACGAAUUCAUGCUCACUAGAAAUUGCGAAAUGACACAUCUUUUAGCAUAAAUUAAUCUUGGAAAUCUCGAUCCCCAAUUUCCAUGAUUUUUUCCUUGCAUCAUUUAAUGGGUUCCCUGUUUAAGUUGCCAAACAAUGGAAACAUCAAUUUCUCCUCUUUAAUUCUUGACUUUUAGCUAAAUUCCGAGUUAUUUCCUCCACCCAAAUGGAGGGUUAAGCAUUUUAAUCAUUAUUGGGUUGUGCGUAGUUCUCUCUAGUUUAAUUCAACAUGUUGUUGCAUUUGGUCACUAGAUAAGAUUUAUCCAUAUUCAGCAUAUAGUUACUUUUGUACUUUGUUUUAUUUAUCAAUAAAAAUUAUUGCUUAUUCUUAAAGAGAGAGAGAGAGAGAGAGAACUGUGAGAUAUUGAACCUUUAUCUCAAAUAUCAUAUUAUAAGGGCUCGUUUGGUUCAAUGUUUAGGAGCUUAGGAAUGGGUUUCAAAUUGCAUACCCAUAUUUGGCACUCUUGGGAAUGCACUUUUGGACUCAUGGGUAUAUGGACUUCCCAUGUAGGGGGAAUUUCAUACCCUUGGCUUACCUUGAGCAACGUUUUCUCCUCACUUGGGAAAGCAUUUAAUGCAAUUUUUUGGAUUAACUAACCCAUGUUAUUAUUUUUAAAUACCACUUUUGACCCUUAAAAACUCUUCAUAUUAAUAACUUUUAAUAAUAAAAAAAAAAUCAAGAGUGUUGUUGGAAGACUGGACAACUUUUCAUUCCUAAUACUACACAAACAAUAUAUGGGAAUGGGAGAAAAUGACAUUUUCUAAUCCUCAUUUCCUAGUGUUCCCAAACGAGGAAAUGAAUUUCCUACAUUCUCAUCUUGUGGGACUAGACAUAUGAAGUUUAUUCCUAAGAAGUUCAAUUUAUGAAUCAAACAGGCCCUAAAUGUUAACAUAAAGUAUUGAUAUACCCUAGUCAUGUAGUUCCUAGCUUGAAUUCCUAUUGUUUAUGUUUAUAUAUACAAGAAUCAACGACCAAUAAUAGCCGGACACGUGGACAAAACAUGGCUUCGGCGGGAAGCCCUCGGCACCCAGACCUGCCGACCAUGUUCUUGAAACGUAAAUCACCUACUAGAUACAUAGGGCAUCCACAGUGAUUGUCAACAGUCCCACAUCGAAAUUCUACACAACUUGCACACCUCCUCAGGUUUAUAAAAAUGGGCAGAAGUCCCAAAAUGGAGGUAAUCUGAACUUUCGGCAUACAGCCUCUAGAUCUAUUCAAUUCACUUACUAAAUCUGUACUUACUUAAGCAUCGGAGAGCCUUCGGCCGGUACCACACUGGUGCCCUAGGGCUUACCUAGUAGACCCUUGUUUUGCAGAAUCACACUCGGUCGAGGCCCAGGACGUCCCGAAAGCCCAGACAUUACUAAGUUGAGCCCAAAAAGUGCCGAACCACUUUUUCGCAUCAACAGUUUGGUGUCGUCUGUGGGAAGCGAUCUAAAUCGAUCCAUUAUCCCUAAACAUAUGGGGACCACUUCAGUGCCCGUAUUUUUGCUAGAAGAAGGAUUGCCGUUUGGAAGGCAGAGUGGAGCUAGCCCAGCGAUACCCCCAUGCACCCCCCUUCGGCAAUUUGCCCGUGAUGCAAACCACAGCUGAAGCUGAGCUUCUGACCCAAAUCACUUCUCUUCAGCAGGAUAUGGCUAAGCUACAAGAACACAACAACCUCUUUUCAUCCAAAGUAGAUGAAACCCAACAACUGCUGAAUCAGCAGCAAACGCAAAAUAUCCAGACCACUCAGUCAUCCCAGAGCCUGCAGAUGCUGAGUCGGCAAAAGAAAGGUAAGAAGGGGGCAAAGGCAACGCCUGUGCCCUCCAAGCAACUAGUAGUUCCGGCUCCCCAAAACAAGCCCUACCUACCGAAGAAGGUUUACUCUGAUUGUCUCCAUCGGAUUAAUGAUAGGGAAGCCGAAAGGCGGAGAUCUCCGAUCAGGAUCAAUGCGCACCUCAGAGAUUCCCGAAUAAGGGUUCUAGGAAAUAAAUCCCCUAUUCGGAAAGUGCAAGGUUUGGAAUCCACGGCAGAAUCCAAUCACGAGUAUGUCCCAUCAAAAACUCGAGAGUCAACCUACCGUUCGACAACGCCGACAUGGUAUUCCGAAGUCAACCCAAGGAGGUCACAAAGGCAUUUGGAGGAUUUCGAAUCCGAAGAGGUCCCUAGUUAGGACCCAGUCAUCCGACUCCUUUUCCAUAAAGUUCAGAAGUUGGAAGAUAACCGAACUCGCUCUCAGGAGCCCGACUGAGGAAGCUUCAACCGGGACCAUUCACCAAGCAUAUCAGAUAUUCCAGGCAAGACAGGGAUGUGCAGCCACUGCGCAUACCGUUCUACACCAGGGUAGAAGACCCCUUGACACAUCUCCAUUCUUUCCAGUCUGUCGUGGGAUGUAAAGGUCUCAGCGACGAAGGGCAGUGCCUGCUAUUCUCAUCUGCACUUACCGGAGCGGCUUUAAAUUGGUUCUACCGAUUGGAACCGAAAACGGUGGACUCCUUCGACGACUUAAAAUAGAUUUUUCUCAAUCACUUCAUGAUCCAGAUAGACCGUCUGUAUUCUGCCAAUGAUCUGUACACGAUUCGACAGAGGGAAGAUGAGCCCUUGAGAGAAUACACUGCGCGCUUCAGUCAUGAGUACUCUAGGUGUCUCGAAACAGAUGAUAGGGCAGCUUACGACACCUUCAAGAGUGGUCUUCAGUCCUCACACUUUCGGUACCUGGUGCACAUCAGCAACUGGUGUACCUAUGAUGAAUUGAUAAAGCAAGCAGCAAUCCACGUAAAGGCCAAAUACUUCAACUUGAAAUCUGGGCCUUCGGCUCGACAAGAUGAGUUGGUGCUGAAGAAUUAUUCGGCGCUGGGAUCACCAUACGCCUCUGAUAAUGGAGCUGAUGAGUAUCCGGCAGGCCAAAAAUGGAAAGACAAUCCUGACGCUCGGCAAGGGCACUCGAAGAAAGGAAAGGGGAAAUACAGUUGCAACGACUACCGGGAGCCACUACAGAACUGUGACCGCGGUUAGGAAGUCUUCACCUCACUAAACACCACUUACGAGGCCGUUCUCAUAAACGAGCACGAAAUAAUACCAAAGAGGUCAAUCGAAAACCCAAUCAGCAGGACAAUCGAGAUACUGGCAAGUUCUGCCGGUACCAUCAGCACAAUAGCCAUAAUACCGAAAAGUGCAUAAGUCUGAGGAAAAUCGUCGAACGUUAGCUAGAUCAGUACAUUGCUAGACCACCACAAGCGCCAGUUCCCAACGCAAAUUGGCAUAUUAACAUAAUCAGCACCAUUAGUGGAGGCCCCACUCUGGCUGGUGUCUCCAACCGUUUGAGGAAGCAAUACGUCCGAGCCGCACAAUACCCACAAGUUUUCGUAAUAAAAGUCAACUGGCACCGUAAGAUGCCGAAGGAUUGGUGGGAACCCAUCACAUUCAGCAAAGAGGACGAAGAGGGAAUCCUCUACCCCCAUGACGAUCCAAUGAUCAUCUGAGCAGAAGUUGUCGACUUUGACGUAGGCCAGGUGCUGAUCGACACUAGGAGUUCGGUAAAUGUAAUCUUCGCCAAUGCAUUUGGGGAGUUGGGGAUAGACGGUAGCCACGUCAACCGGUAGCUAACGCCCCUACUCAGCUUUUCUGGGGACUUGGUUCAACCGGUCGGCAGCGUCAAUCUACCCAUCGCCCCACGAAAAAAGAUGAUAUAUGACCAAUUCCUCAUUGUCGACUGCCUAACGACAUACAACGUCAUAAUAGGACGAACAACACUCACCGGAAUCAAGGGGCACCUAUCCCCCCACAUGUUGCUGAUGAAAUUCCCAACCAGCUACAGCACGGGAACAAUCCGAGGGAAUCAGCUCAGUGCACGAACUUGCUAUGCUACUGCUCUCAAAUCGGUAGCCUUUAAAUCUCAAAGUGUGACUUUGUCUGUUCAAGAGGCGCCGAAUGGUAUAUGGCCAAUCGACGACCCAAGGGAUGAAAUGCCAACGCCUCAAGCACAACCCGCCGAAGACUUAGAAACGGUAGUCUUGAACGAAGAGCAGUUCGAUCGGUGUGUCAAAAUCGGCACCAUGCUCACCCCGUCCCUCUGAGCAGAAUUUAUCGAGUUCUUACGGCAUUACUCGGAAGUGUUUGCCAGGUAUUAUGACGAUAUGCCAGGCAUUUCCCCCAAUGUCAUCAGCCAUAGGCUCAGCAUCUUCCCCUCUUAUAAACCUGUGCGUCAAAAGCGCCGCUAGUAUGAUGCCGAACGAUACAAGGCCAUGAGAACCGAAGUUGACAAGCUCCAAGAUAUCGGCUUUAUCAGAGAAGCUACGUACCUUGUAUGGCUGGCGAACUCUGUCAUGGUUCGGAAAACGAAAUGUGGGUGACGAAUGUGCCAAGACUAUACCAAUUUGAAUAAGGCUUGUCCGAAAGAUAGCUUUCUGUUGCCCCGAAUCGACCAGCUUCUAGAAGCCACUACCAGCCAUGAUCUUCUCAGCUUCAUGGAUGCUUAUUCGGGGUACAACCAGAUUUUCAUGCACCCUGCCGACAGUGAGCAUACAGCAUUUAUCACAGACAGGGGACUAUAUUGCUAUAAUGUCAUGUCGUUCGGCUUAAAGAAUGCAGGGGCAACGUAUCAGAGGCUAGUCAACCGAAUCUUCGCCAGACACAUCGGUAGCACCAUGAAAGUGUAUGUCGACGACAUGUUGGUAAAGAGUAAGACUGCAAAAGAGCAUAUGUACAACUUGUCCCUCAUGUUCGAAAUACUAAAAGACUAUCGAAUGAGACUAAACCCAACAAAGUGCGUCUUCGGUGUAUCUUCGAGUAAAUUUCUCGAUUUUAUGAUCAGUCAGAGAGGGAUCGAGGCAAACCCUGAGAAAAUCAAGGUCAUAAUCUCCAUGGAGAGACCGAAGACACAGAAGGACAUUAACAGCCUUAUCAGACGUGCCGCUUCUUUAACCCGCUUCAUCUCUAAGGCCACCGAUAAGUGUGUACCAUUUUUUAAAGCCUUGAAAGGGGGCAAACAACACAUCACAUGGAUUGCCGAAUGCGACAAGGCAUUUCAAGACUUAAAGAACUACAUGAGCAAAACACCUUUGUUGUCAAAGCCACUCCCAGGGGAGGUUAUGUUCCUCUACCUUUCAGUAUCCAGCAAUGCCGUAAGCACGGUGCUAAUACGCAAACCAGAGAAGGCAGAGCUACCGACCUUUUACGUCAGUAAAGUACUACAAAGUGCAGAACUCCAGUAUCCUCCCUUAGAACAGUUAGCCCUAGCCCUCGUCAUCUCAGCCCGAAGGCUCCAUCCGUACUUACAGGGGCACGAAAUCACAAUCUUAACCAAUCAACCGCUUCGGCAGAUGUUCCAGAAACCUGAAACAUCCGACCGAUUGGUCAAGUGGGCAAUUGAACUGGGAGAGUUUGACAUACAAUUCAGGCCAAGACCUGCGAAGAAAGGCCAGGCCGUCGCCGACUUCAUCUCCGAGCUAACAUAUUCGAUAAACCCCGAGCCAACAAAUCCAUGUACUAAUGCCGAAGAAUAUGGCGCACCGAAUCCCAAGUGUUUCAAUCCAUCAAUCCCUGUAUGGAUCCUGCACGUCGACGGCUCGGCAAAUCAACAGGGAUGUGGAGCUGCCUUUGUGUUAACUACGCCAGGUGGAGUCAAAAUUGAGUACGCCCUCCAUUUCAGUUUCAGAACAUCCAACAACGAGGUCGAAUACGAAGCUCUUUUGGCCGGCCUUCGACUAGCCAAAAGCAUGAGUGCAAAACAGAUCAGCAUUUACAAAGACUCUCAGCUCAUUGUAAAUCAGAUAACGGCAGACUUUGCAGCUAAAGACGCCUCCAUGUCAGCCUGCCUGUCAACCACGCACCAAUUGCUUCAAAAAUUCCAGGCUUACGAGAUUCGGCAGAUACCCAGGAUAGAAAACAGUCACACCAAUGCACUUGCCAGAUUAGUUAGGCCAUCAAUGAUAAGGUUGGCAAAAAGGUGUCGGUAUAGAUUCUAGCUCACCUAAGGACGGCGACUUCCGAAAUAUGCACCGUACAGUAUGAAAACACAUGGAUGUCUCUAAUUUACGCUUACCUAACAAAUGGUACGUUGCCUAAUGACAAGUCCCAGGCACGAAAGCUAUGAUACCGAUCGGCAAGAUAUACAAUCAUCAAUGAUAUCCUCUACAAACGUGGUUAUACCACGCCUUAUCUCAAAUGCAUCACUACCGAACAGGGGGCACUAUGUCCUUCGGGAGAUCCACGGCGGAGUGUGUAGUGACCAUUCUGGAUCCCGAUCGCUGGCACACAAGGCCUUUCGACAGGGGUAUUAUUGGCCGACCAUGCAUCAAGAUGCAAUCACACUCGCAAAGAAGUGCGACAAAUGCCAACGAUUCGGUAACUUUACCCACUUCCCUACCGAACCGUUAACACCAAUCGUAAGCCCAUGACUGUUUGCCUAGUGAGGACUGGAUCUAAUUGGCCCAAUGUCGCAGGAAAAAGGCCAGGUUAAGUACGCCGUAGUGGUUGUGGACUACUUCACCAAAUGGGUAGAAGCCGAAGCUCUGGCAACCAUUACUUCGUCUGGACUCACAUUAGCUGCUGAUUCGAUAUCCCCUACGCAAUUAUCACUGAUAACAGCAGGUAGUUUGAUUCGGAUAUCUUUAGGCAGUUCUGCACUCACCUGAAAAUCAAUAUGUUUUUUCUCUUCGCCAGCUCACCCCCAAUCAAAUGGCCAAGUCGAAGCGAUAAAUAAGAUUAUCAAGAAACUGCUGAAAUGGCAGCUCAACAAUGCCAAGAGUGCUUGGCUGGAGAAGCUUCCCGAAGCACUAUGGGUCAUCCAGACAUCCUUCCGAACUUCUACUGGUGAAACCUCUUUUUUCUCUAGCUUUUGGAUCGGAAGUCGUCGUCCCCGUCGAGAUCGGCGAGCCUUCUUAUAGAAUGAAGAGCUUUGCACCAAAGGCAAAUGAGGAAGCCCUUGCAUUAAACCUCGACCUGAUCGAAGAACGCCAAGCGCAAGCCAACAAUCAGAACAAGGCCUACAAGCAGUGCGUCUCUCGGUACUAUGACUCGAGGGUCAGAUCGUGUUCUUUCCGAAUCGGGGACUGGGUCAUGCGCAAGGUCUCUUUGGCUACCAAAAAUCCCAUAGAAGGAACCUUUGGGCCUUCCUGGGAGGGACCCUAUGAAGUCAUCGACAUCCUUUGAUCUGGAACAUAUCGAUUGAGAGAUUCCAAUGGUAAGACCCUCGGUCAUCCAUGGAACGUCGAACAUCUAAAGUAUUACUUCAAGUGAAGUUCCCUAGUCAACGGUAGGUUAAAAUUGUAACACAAAGAGCUGUAUGUAUUCUUGCCUUCGGUAGUAUUUAAUGAAAAAGCCUUCGGCACUAUUGCGCCUCAAAACCUUCCGACUAAUUCUUAUUCAGCCUUCGGCGAAGAUACGGUAGGGACCAUCACAAAGAUAUUGCCGAUGAUCCUUAUACUUGUGUAAAAAAAAUGAAGCACUUCCAAAGUUUUUAUUUAACCCUUGGUAGAUAAAGGAACGUUUGGGAUCUAAUGCUUAUUACCGUUGGGAAACUCCUACCGAUUAAAUGAUCACAUCAAGUCUUAUCUUUAUAUUAGCUUUCGGCAGUAUAGUUUUUAUCAGCCCUUGGCGAUAAAAUGGUUAAAAAUUAAAUCAUGCCGAUCGCAUCUUCACUUGUAACCUUUUCCUUAAAAGACUAUCCCGAUUAUUUAUUUUCAUUAGACAUGUUAGCCAUCGGCAACAGUUAUCAAAUCGGUAGUACACUCCCUAUUAGCCUUCGGCAAUAACAAAAAGGGAUUCAGAAACAUGAAAUAAAUAGCAAGAAGCAUACAUAUGCGGAAUACCGAAUAAAUUAGAAAGAUGCCCUCGACAUCAAGGUGUUCAAAAUCAAGUCACCUUAGGGCGAGUACCAAACAAUAGUAAAAGUACAUAGAUACAAAAGGAUGAAGCCUAGGCAGUAGCCCUAUCAUCAGCAGCGGCACCAUCGGCAGGAGCAGCAUUCUCUGUUGAGUCGGCACCCUCGGCAGUAGCAAAGGCAUCAUCACCUUCAUAGUCCUCGAUUAUCUCCUUCGUAACGCCUUCCAGCAGAGGAGGGGGAUCGACCGCAAAAUUAAGGUUGAGCUUCGCCGAGGGGUUGAACCGUUUGAAACGGUAGAUGAGAUCCGCCAUCUCCAAGCCCACCUCCUGCUGGACAGCUGCCUCAAUCUUGGCAGCCUUUAACCACUCCGACUCCUCUAGGGCCACCUAUACUGCUCAUUUGGCAGCCUCGGCAUCUCUGGUAGCCUGUAUCACCGCCUCCAAGGUUGCCCUCAUCACAGACAAUUUGCCCUUGGCAGCCUUUACUUGUCAUUCGAGAGCUUCCUUGUCCUUGACUAAGUUGGCAUAGUUCAGAAGAGCCUUGCCAGCUUGGGCAAUCUUGGAAUGGCCAUCCUUGUAGGCUUUCUUGGCAUGCUCGGCAGCCGUGAUGACGUGCUUCAUGCACAGCCACAUGUCCAUAGAAGCCUGCAAAAGAGAAAAGAAUAAUCAUCGUCAGCCGAAGCAAAUUAACAAGUAAACUAACGCAAAGAAAAAAAGGUACACCAGCUUACUGAGGCUUGGAGUCAGAAAGCACGACCAGCCUCCUCCCGAAUGAGCCUCUUAAGGAGCUCUUCAAUCUCUGACAGCUCCAUCUGCGAACUCAGAAUCUUGUGGUUCACAAAUUGAAUCGUCUUCGACAGGCAUGCGAUAGUGAUAGGCUCGGCAGGGCCAUCUUCGUCCUCAAUAGAAGAAACAGCCCUCGGCUGUUCGGAAGUCUGGCAACGCUUGGGUACUGGUUCGACUCCCAGAUCUACAAGCAGCGACUGUUUCCCAGCGGACUUGGAAGCAACCCCAGUAUCCAACCCUGGCUUGGAUACUGAUUCGGCACCCAACCCGCGCUCGGGUAUUGGUUCGGCUUCGAGCUGCUUCAAAUGGUCGGCCAACGUCUAGUUAUCCAAAUCAGCCUCUGUCAUUUGGGGGGAGGCCAACAGUAGUGGUUGCCGUUGCUUCUUCCCCUUCAUCCCCAACAAGAGGUGUCUCUUUGAAGAUUCCGACAUUUUCUUAGCAUCGAUAGAUGACCUGGCGUCCGUCACUAAAUAAUAAAAAAGAGAAAAAGAGGUCAGUAAGGCAACAAAUUCUUACCGAACAAAAUCGCAUCGUCGAUAAGGAACUUACUUUUGGCAGGAUCGGCGAGGUGCACUUUAACCAGAUUCUUCGUGAAAAGGAAGCUGGGAUAAAUCCUGUCAAUGGCAAGAACCUUCAGCUUCACCCGCUCGACCUUCCAAACGUCGGACUUAUAAGAGGUCGGUUGCUUCAACUUACCUACAAGAAAGACAGAAAAGAAUAUUAGGCGAAUGUAAAGACAAAACACUUACCGAAUGGCUCACUAGCGACUUACCGGCUAUUUGAAAUGUCGUGGGGAUGUGAUGCCAAACGGGCCUGUCCGAAGGCGACACCCAGUCACUGGAGAGUAGGACCUGCCGAUUCCUCGAUGACUUUUUAGAGGUCGACAUGGCCCUGAUGAAGUGACCAGGCUCGGAAGCUCGAAGGCAAUUAGCCUGAACCCAACCGCAGUGCCCAACGCACUUAGACUUGGUGACGCUGUAUAGAUAUGAGAACUGCUCGUUGGUUGGCUCCCCCUCCUCGGCAAGGCCGAAGACAAUAAUUACCCCCAUCAAGAACACCCAAAAGUUGAGGUUGUACUGGUCUGGGGCAUAACCCAACUGGGCUAGAAUCCUUUGAACAGGAGGCAGCAGCAGCAGCCGAACCCCGUGUUAAAGCAUGUCGGUAAAAAAGACGACUUCUCCGUCCUCGGGAUUGCUCAACGAUUCGGUAGCCCAGGAAUUCUUCAUUUCACCAAAUCUGGUAUCAAAUAUUCGGCACGGUACUUAGCCAGCUCUUGUUCGGUUACUUUGUUUGGCUCAAUGUAGUCAACACCAAACAAAUGCUCCUUCGGCUGCCCUAAAGGAAUCCGAGGGUUACCCCGGUGAACUAUGGUGACAACCGGCUGACUUGAGGAUUAGGCAGCAGCAUACCCACGGCCAGACGUGGACGUCUCCGAUUGAUAACUAGCAUGGUGUUCCGGUGCCCGAGUAUCACUCAUCAGGAACUCACAGUACUGGCUGGCACUGGCACUUUAGGCGUUGUACGACACCAUGGCCAACGGCACCGGUUGCCCUGUUAUAAGCCUUUUCCCUCUGGCAUGGGUGGGAACAGGGCCCACUCUCUCACCGACAACCUCGAUUUCGGUAUCUUCACUAUCGGCACUAUCAAAACUCAGCCUCAUUAUUGGUACGCUGCUAAUCGUCCGAUGACUCUCCAUUGAACGCGUUGGGUUCACUACGGUAUCUGGACUCGUUAUCGAACAUCUACAAGUAAAAGGAAAAGAAACUAAAUGUCAUGCGCGAAAUUAAACUACUGAUGCCUACAGUCGACACUACCUACGGCAACUAGACUACUGAACGCAAUUCAUGACAUGCAAAUAGUCUAGUGCUUGCCAAAGGAGUACGAUAAAUCGAAAAGGGAGAUAUAAGGACUGAAGUACCUUGUUUUCUAUACCGAACGUGAUCAUCGGAAAUCUCCUAAAUUGUCGAAUGUGAUCGCUGAAAAUCGCCUAUCAUAGAGCUCUCAAAAUCUCUUUCACAACACAAGUGACUCUUUUCUUCGGAGUCACCUCUAUUUAUAGGUGAAGGAACUCAACGGUACACCUCGAAAAACCAAACGGCGCCAUUAAUACCCUGUUCUGCUUGCACGUUUCGACACGUGGCAUCAACCAGGAGGACGACCUCUUGCACGCAAGGCAUAGAAAACUAGACACUGCCCGCGCCAGACGAUCUCGCUUCCCCAUGAAGCAUGCUACCCGCAAACUCCCGAAGGGUUACCACACGGGAAAUUGCCGAAAGAAUCGAGCUGGUGCCGAAAGGCUUGGUGAGACCAGGUGACCUUUGGGCUACCCACAUCUCAUAGAAUCCAAGGAUUGUGCCUCUCCAAAAAACGCACUUAGCUCCACUACUCCACAAAGCAUACAGAAUAGUAACAUUCCCCCAGCGGCAGCCCACUAUCAUCGAGGGAUUAAGCAAGUCCUAAUUGAGAAGCUCUCUCACUUAGAGACUUGGGGGACUCCUGUUUGUAAAAGAAUCAGCGACCAAUAAUAGCCAGACACGUGGAUAAAACAUGGCUUCGGCGGGAAGCCCUCGGCACCCAGACCUGCCGACCACGUUCUUGAAGCGCAAAUCACCUACUAGAUACGUGGAGCAUCCACAGUGAUUGUCAACAGUCCCACAUCGAAAUUCUACACAACUUGCACACCUUCCCAGGUUUACAAAAAGGGGCACAAGUCCCAAAAUAGAGGUAAUCUGAACUUUCUACAUACAACCUCUAGAUCUGUUCAAUUCUCUUACUAAAUCCGUACUUACUUAAGUAUCGGAGAGCCUUCGGCCGAUAUCACACUGGUGCCCUAAGACUUACCAAGCGGACCCUUGUUUUGCAAAUUCACACUCGGUCGAGGCCCAGGACGUCUCAAAGGCCCAAACAUCACUAAAUUGAACCCAAAAAGUAUUGAACCAUUUUUUCGCAUCAACAGUUUAAUUUCAACAAUUAGUUGUCAUUGUAAACUUUAGCGACUUAAGUGGAUUAUGAUCCAUAUAAAACAAAUGACCAUCCAUAUUGCCUAUUGCCUUUGAUCUACUAUUGGCUGGCGCGGGUAACCUUUUGCAUCACAUUUGCUUAAUUUAUGUGCAUAAUUUGGCUAUUUAGAAUUGUUUGGCUGGAUAUGUGUGAUUAUGUUGUGGACCUGUGGAUUGAGAAAAAAACUGAUUUAAAUAUCAGUAUGUCAUUGUUUUAUUAUUUUUACUGUAAAAAAUAUUAAUUACAAAAACAAAAAACUUUAAAAAAGAAAAAAUCAAUCCAACCAAAAGACGCUUUUGGAAUCCAUUCGUCUAAAAAUAUCCUCUCCGAACCCAAAAUCUUCCUUCCCCUUAUGCCAAGAGACCAAGAAUCAAACGUGGGCUCAUCAGCUAUAGCACUCUUCCUAGUCCCUCAUGUGCCCUCGAUUGCUCGUCUGCUGUCGGCGGUCAGUUACUGUUCUGUAGCAGCGACGUCGUCUAUCAGGUACUGUUCUCGCCCCUGGAACUGAGUCGUUAAAUCUUUCGUUCCAGAUCGAUACCGUACCGCGAUUGGGUACGCUCAAUCCUGAUCGAAAUUCGUAGGGGGUGAGCGAAUUAGGCAACUAUGAUUUGAAAUCUAUCUUGGAUUCUUCUGCAGAAUAAUUGUUUUGCAUUUUCUCAUGUUUCCUUCUCUAAUGGGUUUUGGGUGUUAAAAGAGUAGCAUAUUCUCCUUUUGCAGAGUGAAAUGUGCAAAAGAAUAGGAAGUUGAUGGCAGCAGCAGAAGCAAGGGCUGUGUGGCAGAGAACAGCUAAUCGUUGUUUUGUUCAAUAAGAUGCCAAAAGAGCUCCCAAAUUAGCUUGCUGCCAAUCCUCAUCUUCAACAACUAAGCAGGUUGAUGCAGGGCCUGCACUGUAGCAAAAGGGCCAGAUCAUCCUGCUGCUGGCUUCAUGCCUCUUAAUAGGAAUCCUUCAUUGUUGCGCUUCAUCUCUUUGGCGCUCAGAGAAUGCAGGCUUCUGGCGUAGUGCAAGAUCACAGAGUGACAGUGAUCAAUAUUGGAUCACCAUGAGUAUAAGAUGGCCGAGGCUUCUAACACCCACGCACCUCUCUCAGAUUAUACGAAAGCAGAAAAACCCAUUAACAGCUCUCCAAAUUUUCAGUGAAGCUAAAUGCAAAUACCCCAAUUACCGUCACAACGGUCCAGUUUAUGCCAACAUGAUCAGCAUACUCGGAAACUCAGGCCGAAUCAAUGAGAUGAAGGAAGUAAUUAAUGAGAUGAAAAACGACUCCUGUGAAUGCAAAGAUUCAGUUUUUGUUUCUGUAAUUAAGACCUAUGCAAGAGCUGGGUUGCUGGACGAGGCAGUGUCUCUUUUCAAGAACAUUUCACAGUUCAACUGUGUGAAUUGGACGCAGUCUUUCAAUACCCUUUUGGAGAUUAUGGUAAAAGAGUCCAAGCUUGAAGCAGCUCAUCGUAUUUUCAUGGAGCAUUGUUGUGGAUGGGAAGUGAGCUCUCGGGUUCCGUCCUUGAAUUUGCUUAUGCUUGCUUUGUGCCAAAAGGGUCGUUCAGAUAUUGCACUGCAAGUUUUCCAAGAGAUGGAUUAUCAAAGUUGCAAUCCGGAUAGGGAAAGUUACCGGAUACUAAUGAGAGGGUUGUGUGAAGAUAAGAGGCUGAACGAGGCAACCCAUUUGUUGUAUUCAAUGUUUUGGAGGAUUUCUCAGAAGGGUUGUGGUGAAGAUGUUGUGAUUUACAGAACCUUGUUAGAUGCCUUGUGUGAUAAUGGGCAGGUUGAAGAUGCUGUGGAGAUUCUUGGUAAGAUAUUAAGGAAGGGGCUCAAGGCCCCUAAGCGGUUUCGCCACAAUCUUGAUCUCAGCCAUUAUGGUAAUGGCGAAGACACGGAAGGCAUUAAGCGUUUGAUCAAUGAAGCUCUGGUCAGAGGUGGGAUACCCAGUUUGGCUAGUUACAGUGCUAUGGCAAUCGAUCUCUAUGAUGAAAAUAAGGUUGGUGAGGCUGACAGAGUACUGAAAGAAAUGCAAGACAGAGGCUUUAGGCCAACAGCUUUGGUCUUUGAAGCAAAGGCAGCCGCAUUGUGUAGGGAAAGGAAAGUUGUUGAAGCAGUGGAGGUGAUUGAAAAGGAGAUGGUGGAGGCAAACUGUGUUCCAACUGUAAGAGUGUAUAGUGUUGUGGUAAGAGGCCUUUGUAGCGAAGGGCAGUCUGUUUUGGCCAUUUUGUAUCUGAAGAAGAUGGAAAAGCAGGUGGGUUGUGUUGCAGACAAGAAAACGUAUGGCAUUUUGGUCGAUGGGCUUUGUGGGGAGAGUAGAUUUCUUGAAGCAAGCAGAGUAUUGCAGGAGAUGUUGAUCAAGUCACAUUGGCCUUGUGCUGAGACUUACAAUAGAGUUAUUACUGGCCUUUGCUCAGUGGGAAAGCAAUAUGAAGCUGUUAUGUGGUUGGAGGAGAUGACAAGUCGGGCUAUGCUACCGGAAUAUUCUGUAUGGAGCUCAUUGGUGGCAUCUGUGUGUUGUAACAUGGCCAACAUUGAGGUUUGCUCCGACGCCUAUAAGAGGCUAAAGAGUUCUUGAUUUCUGUGCAGUUAGACCAGUUGAAAAUGGUUAACAUGCUUUGUACACUUUUUGCCCCCUCUUAUUUAUGCAUUUUUCAUCAUUUGGGUAUAAAAAAUUUCAUAUUUAAAUAGUUGAGUACACCAAAAUUUAUAACGAAAACCAUGUCACUUUUUCAAUUGAAGUGUCCAUAUUUUUGGGUAGCAUUGUAAGGGUUCAUUUCAUUUCAUUCAAUUAGCUUUCCUACUAUCCUCCCCAAAUUUGUUAGGUGUCUUUCUAUCUUUUUCUUCUUCUUUUUUUAAUGUAAAUUUAUCCCUCCAUUUCAUUGAAGCCAAACGUACAAGCAAAAGCCCAAAAGUAAAUAAAGCAGAAUAUCAGGUUUGUUCACACUUGAGCCUUUCUAAAGAAAACCAAAUGAGAUCAGUAUACAGUAUACUGUUGCCUUUUUUUCUUUUCGGAUGAGGUUAUACUGUUGCCUUUCUUUUUUCCAUUUGGCUUAUUUAUGUACAUGCCCUCUGUGCUUUCAAAGUUGUCUCAGAUUACUACAUGCUCUUUGAAACAUCUCAAAAUACCACAUACACUUUUAAUAAUUGUCUCAUGUUACUUAUUCCAUCAGUAUUAGAGACAUUCCGUUACGUGAUGCGGCCCCCACUUCUUGGGGCAUGCGUUUGCUUCUAGUCUUCUUUCCAGAAGACAACGGCACAUCCAUUGUUGACAAAAGUAACAAGCUUUUCUCUUCUUCAUCCUCCUCUUCCCCAUCUCCUUCCUCUUCUUCUUCUUCUUCAUAAAAAACAUGCACAAUUUUCAGACGAACCAAUUCUAAUAAUCUCCUUCUGUCCAAAGCCCAAUCCACAAUUUCCAUCUGUGCCCUUUUGGUCUUCAUCACCCUCCUCCUCUUCACCCUCUCAACCUUUGAACCCACAACCAAGCCUCACCCACUCAUCACAACAGCCUCCAAAAGAUUUGUCUCUCAAAAAUCUCCACCCACCACCAACAUAGGCCCCAAAUUACUCACUAAACCCAUCAUGUAACGGAACGUCUUUUAAUACUGACGGAAUAGGUAACGCGAGACAGUUAUUGAAAGUAUAUGUGGUAUUUUGAGACAUUUCAAAAAACAUGUGGUAAUCUGAGACAACUUUGAAAGCACAAAGGACAUAUACAUAAAUAAGCCUUUUCAUUUUAGUAACUUUACAAAAAAGAUAAAAUUAUAAUAAUUAUUUUUCUUUUACCAAACAAACGCAUUUUAUUAGAUCAAUUGAAAAAGUACAUAGAGAGCCAUAGCUUCCCAGUGACUAGAGUCAGCUCUAGAGCUGAAACAAUCUUGAGAGAAUAAAUCGCAAAGAACUUGUCUAAAAACUCCUAUGUACCAUCUAAGUUGUCCUAGAUCAAGUCAGUUACAUCAAGGACAAAAAAAAUAGAUGAAUCGGAAACCGUUUCGACAUCUAAUUGUGUCCUACAAAAUCAAUAAAUACGGUACUUCAAUAAAGUACUAAAAUUUCAAUAAUUCAAUUGAAUGGUCAAAUGAUAUCGGAUUCAAAUGAAUUUUUGUAGAGAUGAUCUUUGAAUGAAUAUCUACAAAAUAGAAGGUUUAGAUUAGUGAAAUACAAUACAUAGUGGGCCCAAUAGGGGUGUCCCUCAAAUAACUUAUUUGAGGGAUCUCUUAACUGAAGCUCUCUGUAUAUAUAGAAUUUAUAUAUAUAAAUUCUUCUAUGCAGACGUUCGGACAUUAUUAUCAUGCGAAGGACAUGAAUUUUCUACUACCCACUCUGCUUUCCUCCCUAUUUAAAAUGACGUACACGAUAAUAACGAACGAACAUUUGAAUGAGAGAAUAACUAUAUAUAUAUAUAUAUACUCAAAGAGUAUAGUUGCGCAGCUAUACUAUUUAAUUAAAAAAAUUAAUAAAAAAAACAACCCUUCUAUUUGCAUUAGUUUAUACUUUAUAGAUAUUAAUUUGCUAGUUUCAAUAUUUAUACUUUAUAGAUUUAAAUUUGUUUUUAAAACUAAGUGUAUUAAAUAUGAAAAAUACAUAUGUACGUGUACAAUACAAGUAUUAAAUGUGAAAUGCUAAAUUCUUUAUACGGGUAAUAACUCUGGAAAAGUAAAAACUCAAAAGUAAUGGAUAAUGCUCUAAAACUAUCGAUAAACAAAAAUUGAGAAAAAAUAAUUUUUUUUUAAAAGAUCACAAUAUCUAAUGUAAAGAGUAUAGCCACGCGGCUAUACUAGUAAAAAAACAAAAUUUUAAAACGACCCCAAUACAGCCAAGCAGCUAUACUCUUUUUUUUAAAUAAUAAAAAAUCCUAAAUAUAGCCGCGAGUCUAUAAUAUUUGUAUUUAAAAAAAUAAAAAAGGGACCCGCCUAGCGCCUAGCACACAACUAGCGAUUCAGAGCCACGUUUCAGAAACGUAUAGUCAAGGGGCUAUACUUUUUUAUAAUAAAAAAAACUAUAGUAUAGCUGCGCGGCUAUACCCGUUAAACAUAUUAUAUUUAAAAGGCGUAUAGCUACGCGAAUAUACUAUUUAUUCAAAAAAUUUAUAAAAAUAAAAAGGACCCUUCUAUUUGCAUGAGUUUAUACUUUAUAGAUAUUAAUUUGCUAGUUUCUAUAUAUAUAUAUAAUUUAUAGAUUUAAAUUUUUAAUAUAUAUUAUUUUUAUUCAAUACUAUGCAAAAAUUAUGUGUAUAAUACGUGAAUUUUGUGUGUAUUAUUGAAAAUUUUGUAAAAAAUCAAGUGUAUUAAAUGUGAAAAAUACAUAUGUACAUGUACAAUACGAGUAUUAAACAUGAAAAUUCUAAAUUCUUGAUACAGGUAAUAACUUUGAAAAAGUAAAAACUUAAAAGGGGACAAUAGAGACUCGGAAAAUGGCCUAAUAGUAAUGAAUAAUGCUCUAAACUAUCUAUAAACAAAAAUCAGGAAAAAACAAUUUUAAAAAAAAAUCACAAUAUCUAUAGCAGCACGGCUAUUUUAUUUGUUAAAAAAAUUAAAAAAAAAACCGACCCUAGUAAAGCCGCUCAGCUAUACUUUUUUAUUUAGUAAAAAUCCUGCAUAUAGCUUGACGGCUAUACUAUUUGUAAAAAAAUAAAAAUAAUAAAAAGAGGACCCACCUAGCGCUUAGCGCCCAACUAGCGAUUCGGCACCACAUGUCAAACAAGUAUAGUUGGGCAACUAUACUUUUUAAGCAUAUGAUAUUUAAAAGGCGUAUAGCCGCUCAGCCAUACUAUUUAUAAAAAUUUAUUUUAAAAAAACUACAACAGUAAAGCCGGUCGGCUAUACUGUUUUUAAUUUUUAAAUUCCAUGUACAGCCGCUUGGCUAUACUAAAGGAACCAACCAGUGAUUUGGAGCCACAUGUCAAACACAUAUAGCCAAGCGGCUAUAUUAUUUUUUUACUAAAAAAUCGUAGUAUAGCUGAGCAGUUGUGCUCUUUAAGCAUAUUAUAUUUAAAAGGAGUAUCGCCUCGCAACUAUACUGUUUAUUUUUAAAAAUUAUAAAUAAAGGAUCCUUCUAUUUACAUUAGUUUAUACUUUUUGUAGAUAUUAAUUUGCUAGUUUUGGUAUAUAUACUUUAUAGAUUUAAAUUUUUUUUAGUAUAUAUUAAUUUUAUUCAAUACUAUUUAAAUGUAUAGUACGCGAAUUUUUUGUGUAUUAUUAAAACUUUUGUAAAAAACCAAGUGUAUUAAACAUGAAAAAUACGUACGUUAGUGUACAAUAUGAGUAUUAAACAUGAAAAUGCUAAAUUCUUUAUAUGGGUAAUAAAUCUGGAAAAGUGAAAACUUAAAAGGGGACAAUAAAGACUUGGGUAUUGACCUAGUAGUAAUAGAUAAUGCUCUAAACUAUCGAUAAACAAAAUUUGGGAAAAACAAUUUUAAAAAAAGAUCACAUGAUCUAUGCAAAGAGUAUCGCCCAACAGCUAUACUAUUUAUUAAAAAAAUUGAUAAUUAAAAAAAAAAAAAGACCUAGUAAAGCCACUCGGCUAUACCAUUUGUUUUAUUUUAAAAAAAACCAGCCUAGGAGCCAGCAGCCAACUAACAUGUGGGAGUCACGUGUCAAGCCGUAUAGCUGCGCGGCUAUACGAUUUAUUUAAAAAACCGCAGUACAGCCGCAUGGCUAUAUGCUCUAAGCAUAUUAUAUUUAAAAGGCAUAUCGCCGCCUGGCUAUACUAUUUGUUUAAAAAAAAUUAUUAAAAAAAAUACCCGUCUAUUUGCAUUAGUUUAUAUUUUAUAGAUAUUAAUUAUUUAAAUAAAAAAAAAAAAAGAAGAACCCUUCUAUUUGCUAGUUUCGAUAUAUAUACUCUUUAAAUAUAUUAUAUUUAAAAACUAUAGCCACGAGGCUAUACUAUUUAUUUUCAAAAAAAUUAAAAAAGGCCCAAGUAUAGCCGCGCGGCUUAAUCUUUAAAUUAUUUGAAAAACAUAUAGCCGCUCGGUUAUACUAUUUAUUUAAAAAUUCAAAAGGGCCAAAGUAUAGCCGCUAUACUAUUUAUUUACAAAAAUUAGAAAAGGACCAAGUAUAGCCGCGCGGCUAUACUAUUUUCUUUAAAUAUAUUAUAUUUGACAAGUAUAGCCUCGCGGCUAUACUAUUUAUUUACAGAAACUAUUUGUUUAAAAAAACCCCAAGUAUAGCCGCGCGGCGAUACUAUUGUUUAUAUAAAAAAUUAAAUAACAAAACCUCACAGUAUAGAUUGCAUCUUUCUUCUUCCAUGGCAUUGGCCUAGAACAUCAAACCCACUAUUUCCUUGUCCCCCUCAAGUAAGAAGUGAUCUUAACCUCUCAUAUUCUUUCAUAGUUAGUAAAAUAUGGAACGGUAAAAAUAUAAAAUAAAAUACGGAUGUGUUUUAUUUGUCAAAAUUUUGACAAGUUACAAAUGAAAAGUUUGGUCAUUAUAUAAUAUUGAAAUAUAUAUUAUUUUUAUUCAAUAAUAUGUCAAAAUUAUGUGUAUAAUACGUUAAUUUUGUUUGUAUUUAUGAAAAUUUUGUAAUAAAACACGUGUAUCAAACAUGAAAAACACAAACACACGUGUAUAGUUUGUUUGCUUUUUAAAAAAUGUGUAUUUUACAGAGUCUUUAAGGCGUGUACGAAAAAUGGAAGUAUUAUGAAAAAAGACGUACAUACGUGUAUAAUACGAGUAUUAAAAGGGAAAACGCAAAAUUCUUUAUACGGGUAAUAACUCUGGAAAAGGAAAAAGAUCAAAAAGGGACAAUAGAGACUCGGGUAAUGGCCUAAUAGUAAUGGAUAAUAUUCUAAACUACUCUUAUCGAUAAACAAAAAUCAGGGAAAACAUUUUUUUUAUUUUUUAUUUUAAGGAUUUUUAGCCGUUUUACCCCUUGAAUUAUGGCCCUUGUAGAAAUUAACCCUCUAAACUAAAAAAUCAACCAAUUUAGUCUCUAAACAAAAAAAAAUAUAGCCAAUUUCAUCCAUACCGUUAGAUUUUUUCACAUUUCAUCCACAGUUCUGCAUAUCACGUAAGGCGUACGUGGAACUAAAGUAUAGGGCAAUUUCGACCUUCAAGAUGUGGAUCCAAGUUGGACCUACCACCAGCCUCCUCCCUUAAAGCAUUAUUUUAUGAAAUGAGUUCUAUUUUUUGGACUAAUAUAUAUAGUCCCUUUCUAUUGACUCGAGCCAACUUUAGGGAACAACAUAACCUACAAAAGAUGAAACGAGAAACAAGUCAAGUUCAAAUAAAGUAUGUAAUUGCAUAGAAAUUCAUAAAACCAAAUAUUCAUGGAUGCAUGAUAUAUAUUGGUAGUGUGUACAUGUCGGGUUUCUACCGUCUAUCCCUCCUAGGGACGAAGCCACACUGGGACCAGUGUGGUCCUAGGCCCCCACUCAAGUUUUUUGUUAUUUUAAAAGUAAUAUACUGUCAUGUAUUUCUAGAUGUAUAUUAUUUCAAAUACUUUGCGUUUCGAUAUGCACCCACAAGUGUUGUGGCAAACCUAUUAAGGCACAACGAGGUGCUUCAAAUUGCUCAUUUGCUCAGCUGGUGGUCGUGCACUCCACGUGUACAGAUGACCUUAUUUUUAUUUUGAGUAUUUAAGUAAAUGUCUUUGUCCUUGUCCUUUCAUUUAUUUUUAUAUUACUCCAUUUACUUAAGUUUACAAUGUAAAUAAGGAAGUACCCCCUAUUUGGAUUCAAAUAAAAAUACUAGAAAAUCAAAUUCCCACCAAAUCAAAAUAUGAAAAAUCGGUUUUAGUGCAAAGUACGAUUUAGGCUAAAAAUGAUGGCUCAUUAAGUCAAUAUAUACUUCAUACUAAUCCCAUAAAAUUAAGUUUUCUUAUUUGAUGUGUAAGGAAUGAAAGCCGGCAAAAAUUAUCUUGAGAAAAUGAUUAUUCCGUAAAAUCAUUUUUCAUACUUAGUCAAUAUUUUUACAUAAAACAUUUUUUCAUGUAUGAUAUGAAUGCAUAAAGGGACCUAAAGUUUUUUUUUUUUAGUUUGUGAAAUUUUAUUUCUUUUCUUUCUAUUGGGUUUAAUGGGGGAAAAAGCUUUAAAGAUAUUUGCUAAAUCGCUACUUUUGUCUAUAUAUAUAUAUAUACUAUUUUUUGUAUGUAUUGUGAGUUCAAAUUUUUGAUUCUUUAUAAUUUGUAAGAGACCCCCACACACAUGAAAUCCUGACUUCACCACUUAUCCCUCCCAUACCAUUUGAGUUGGCUAUAUAUAGCUAGUUAAUGAUGUUCAUGUCACUUUGAUUAUCAAUUUCUAGUAGUUAUUCCAACUUGUAGAAAUUUGAAAAAUAUAUUUAUAAUUUUUAAGUUAUUCUUCAAGAGUUAUACUUGCAAAACAAAAUCAUCUAAACUCGAAGUUGUUUGAUCAUUUAAUAUAUGCAACAACAAAAAAACAGAUUUUGUUAAAAAAUUAAAACAAAAAUGUGGACAAUCAAAUCGCUAAAAUUUUUUGAAUUCAACUGAUUUUUUCUGUGAAUAAUCCAAGAAAGAAAAUGUCAAACCUGAACGAUUCUGAUAAUUAGUUUAUAAUCUAGAAAUAAGAUGCCCUUAGACUAGACAUCAUGGUUACUAUAGAAAGCCUCAACCUAUAUAAAUAUACAUAUAUAUUAUAUAUAUAUAUACUAAAAAAUAAAAUAAAAUAAAAUAAAAAGGUGACGAAGGCAGGCUAGACUGAUGGUACGUAGGACUAGUAGUAAUGAUAUUGGGAACAAGGUUGCAGUGGAGGCGGCAAGGAGGUAGCGGUUGGGUGAUAAUGGUGUUCCUGGUGCUGGUGGUUGUGAUUUGGGAUUCUUUUUGUUUUUAAAAAAAAUGUUUUUAUUUUAUAUAAGUGAUAUUUUACUUUAAACUAAUCUAAAUUACGGGAAGAGGGAUUUGAACUCUGGUGCAAAGUGGGGAGCACAUCCGCUCUGCCCAACUUGGUUGAAGGUUGCUAGUUUGUUAAGAAAACAUAUAGGUCUAACAUAUCCCAAGCAUAAUAACUCUCGUGAAUUCUUAACGGCGUAACAUCCUCCAGGAAACGGAACGGUAGUGAGGCUCCCCGACAGGAGCUGAACGGUAUUUCAAUAAGAGAUGAACAUUAGCCAAAUACGCCCAAACACAAGCCCAUGUCUGCGUUUUGUCGUUGUUAUGUGUUGCAAUUUUUUUUUUUUUUUUAUAGUUGUAAUAAGUGCAUCAAUUCUUUUUGAGUUUCUUACGUGGUUUUAAUAUCUAAUUUUAGAUUUUAUUUGUGACAGUUUAAAGGUUGUAGUUGCAGUUAUAGUUUUGUGCGCUAAGAUCUCUGUGUAGUUGUCUCUAGGCUUGUGGCUUUUAUUCGAAAUUUCUUUGGUCAUGUAUGGUUAUGAGUGGAGAUACACAUUGUGCACUUGUUGAUACUGGUGGAUUCCUCCAUAUUUGGACUAACCCUUUUGUGGUUACAGUACUUCCAUAUUUGUAUUAACCUUAUGUGGCUAUUUGUAUUGGCCCUUGCAAAUGACAAUCUUGAUGCCUAAAUUAUGAAUGCAAUAUAUCACAUUUUUCUAAAUAUUUUUAUUUAAAAAAACCUUGAAAUAAUAAAGACAUUUAUUUUAGGAGUUUCAAUAUUCUAAUAUCUGUAUAAAUUAAUCCAAAUUAUUUUUCUCCACUAGAACAAUCAAUUGGAGAAUGGCUCAAUAAUUAAAAAAAAAUAAUUUCAACAAUGUAUAUCAAAUUGACAUGUUUUUAAUCAAACAUUAUGAUUUUGUUUGGUUCAUGAAAAUUUGAGCUUAUAAAUGAGAAAUUAUAUUUCGUGAAUCCAAACAUGGGAAAUAGUUCACGACACAUGCGAAAAUAACGGUGAAAAUGGAACCUUACACCGCCCUUGAAUUUCAUUUUCGGGUUAAUGACUUAAAUGGUCCCUCAACUAUCGCUCCAGUAUCAUUUUGGUCUGUCAACUAAAAUUUUCAAUUCAAACGUCCUUAAACUUUUUAUUUUGUACCAAAAUCGUUAUUCCGUCAAAGUCUGUGUAUUAUUCCGUUAAAUCGAGGGACAAAACCGUAUUUUUAGGUGAGUAUCCUAUUCUAAAACGACCAAGCCACUGUAGUAUCGCAUUCCCUUCCAUUUCUGUUAGAAGCUCCACUAAAACCCCCAAAUUAGAACCCUAGGUUUGCAAUGUCGGAGAUUUCAACGUCAGAGAUUUUAACGACAUCAAGUGGGACGAGUCGGUACUGCGCCUGUGGGACGAAGAUAAUUCUUCGGACUUCAUGGACAGAUUUGAACCUAGGAAGAAGGUUCGAUGCUUGUGAUAAAAAUUAGGUAAGUUAUUAUUUGGGUUGCAAAAGUUGUUCUUUUCCAUUUGUAAUUGCUUGAUGAGGUCUGAAAUUGGGUAAGAUUUGAUUUGCCAGAAUAGCAGAAGAGGUGUGCAUUAUUUCGAAUGGGUGGAUAAUGAAACUUGUCCAAGAGGAAAACAAGUGGUCCCUGGUUUGCUUAGAAGACUUAGAGCAAUGGAGGAGGAAGGUAGAGCAAAGGAAGAACAAUUCAGAGCUGUGGAAGCAAAAAAGAAAGAACUGUAGCAGAAAUUGAAAGAAAUGGUUCUCAGGAAAAAAAGGUUUUGGAAUGGGGUCAUGGGCAAAGACAAUUGAUAAUGUGGGUUUCCUUGAUUUUGUCUUGGGAUUUGUUUAUAACAUUUCUGAUGAUUGGGAAGUUGUAAUUGUUAUGGGGUUUGUUCCUUUUGAAUGUAAUGGUUCUAAAAUGUGCAUUACUGUUUUGAAAUGUGCAUUAGUGUUCUGAAAUGUUCUUGAAUUGAGGUUAUUUGAAUAUCUAGGAGAUGCCAUUCCAUUGAGUACAACAAAGUAAAAGCCAUUCCAUUGUUGACCACACAGGCAAUUUACAAAAUAAACAUCCAUAUAAACAUUCAAAUUUCAAUUACAGAGUUUGAUCUCAUGAAACUAAAAACCAGUUAGACCAAUUACAGAAUUCCAAUUACAAAAUGCACCUGCCUAGCAAAGUACAUAAGCCAAAACAGACAACCAAUUACACAGUUUGAGCUGUUCUAGCUCAAAACCAAUUACACAAAGUACACAAAAUCCUCCUGCCCAAAAAAGUACCUAACCUAAAAUAGCCAAGCAAUUACAGAGUUUUAGCCCUUCAAACUCAAAACCAAUUACACAGUCAAAAGUCAAAAUCAGUCCUUUUUGUCAGAAAAUCCCUCUGGCCAGAAAAUUACAUAUCCCAAAAUACACAAAAUAGGACAACUUUAGCAAUAAUUUCCCCUAUAUUGAGGCCAUGUUAUUAUCAUAGGAAAUGUUGUCCAAAGCUGGUCCUCCUUGUCCCUUUCCUCUUGCCACCUAAACAAUGUAGUAAUGUCAGGUGUAUAACAGUUGAAAAAUUGGCAAUUAGUGAAAUGAGUAAGAAAUGAACCAAAUGACAAAAACCUACAGUUGAUCGUGAAGAUGGUAAGCCUCUUCCUCCACUUAUGCCUCUUCCUCUAAUUGCACUUAGCUUUAAAGAUGGUAAACCUCUUCCUAAGCCAAUAUGUAAAGAUGGUAAGACUCAUUGUCCAUUACCUCUUGUCACCUGGAAAAGUUACUGAUCUUUAUUGUUUUUCAAUGACAUAAGCAAUAAAAAAUUGAAAAAAAAUGAGAAAAUAAAGCUUACACAUUCUUGUGAAUUUGGGUAAACAGGGGCUUGAGCAAUAUUGCCUAUUCCUCUACUUAUGCCUCUGCCUCAUUCUCCAUUACCUCUUGCCAUCUUAAAAAAAUUAAAGAUUUCAGCUUCCUAAUGACUUUUGCAAUUUAAAACCACAAGAACAACUAAAGCUUACACUUUGUAGAGAAUUAAGGUCAGCAGUAGUUUGAGCAACAUUUCCUCUUCCUCUACUUAUGCCUCUCCCUCUACUUAUGCCUCUCCCUCUUACUGUGUUAGAAGAAGAACCUUACUCCAUUUGGGUUGAAGAUGCAUGAACCGGCAAAUGUAUAACAAAAUUAUUAAUGUAAGUAUGCCAUAACAUAGAACUAAACAAGGUGUCUAACAGUCAUACCUGUUGGGUUUCAUUGUUUUGUCUGUCACAUGUUGCUCUAUUAUGUCCUUUUUGACUGCAUCCAAGACAUCUUAUUUGAAUGAAAACCCUUCUAAGCUUGGCUGGUGGGGCAAUAUAAUUUGAAGGCAUAGGGUUUGGUGGGAUGGGGGCUGGUAUUUCAACCUCACCAGGCUCCUUCGUCCUAACUCUUUUAGGCCUACCCGGUUGUUGCUUAUAAAGUGGAGGUUUAAUUGGAGGAAGGCCACAUUUACUCCAUUGAUCCAUUGAAGGGAUUGGGUGAAUCAUUGGUUCAUAAGCCUUUAUAUAAGUCUCCAGCUUAUAACAAUCAUCCACAUAAGCAAUUGGGUUUUCACAUCUUUGAAAUAUUGCUGAGAUUGCAUGGGUACAUGGUAUUCCACAUAAAUUCCACCUCCUACAAGAGCAUGUCUUUGCUCUAAGGUCUACAACAAAUUCUCCACCAUAAAUAUGACUCACUUGAUACAAUUUCUCACCAGCCAAUCUAGGAAUGCAUUGUGAUGAACCUAGCUUGUUCUUCUCAAUUAUCUUGAAGAUCCUAGGCCCAACAGAGUAUCUCCAAUUUUGACAUGCAGACCUCCUACUAGCCAUCCUAAGCAUCACAUACACCCUUAUCCUUUCCAAGCAACUCAAAAUUGUCUUAUCCCUUGCAUCUAGUGUGGCUGCAUUGAAACUUUCACAUAGAUUAUUCAACAAAAGAUCACAUUUAAAAUGUGAUUCGAAAUAAGAUAUGCUCCAAUUUUUUGCAGGUCUCUUCUUCAACCACUUCCAUGCUUCCUCAUCCUUAUUUUUCAUCUUCUCCAUUUCUGCCUCCCACCAAGGCACAGUUGUAGCUCUUGCUGCAACCCAUAAUAUAUGUUUCAGAGCAAGACCAAUAUGUGAUGCCCUAAAGUUACUGUGCAGGUGUCUCACACACAUCCUGUGCUCUGCAGUUGGAAAUACUCUCUCAAUGACAGGUACAAGUCCCUUUUGUUUGUCACUAAUCACUACCCAAGCUUUUCCAUUUGUAAUCCCUAAAAUCUUCAAUAAGAAGAUUGAAAAACCAAAUUCAAGAGUCUUUACUCUCAAUAUCAACCACUGCAUAAGCUACUGGGAAAUAACCAUUAUUCCCAUCCACCCCAACAGCCGUCAAGAUUUGUCCAGGAUAAGGCCCUUUCAAAUGGCAGCCAUCAAAACCAAUAACAGGUCUGCAACCUUCUAAAAAUCCCUUCUUACAGGCAGCCAAUCACACAUAUAUCAUUUGAAACACUGUUUCACCCUUCACAAUCUGAGUUUUAAUCUUCACUGUACUACCCUUGUUUGCAGUUUUCAAUUCUUUUGUAUAAUCCCACAAUCUAGCAUAUUGUUCUUUGAAAGUACCUUCAUUUAAAUCUCUAGCUAGCCUCUUUGCCCUAUAGACUUGAAGUUUGGUGACAUUUAUUUUGUAAUCUUCCAACACAUCUUGUUGAAAUGAUUUCAGAUCGAAGUCUGAGUUGCGCUUCAUCUUGUUUGCAUAUCUGUGACAAAGCCAUUUUGAUGUAGUAUGCCUAAGCUUGUCCACUCUUCCACACUGAUGUUCUAGGCUCAAAGUUUUUAUAGCAAAUGUCCCUUCCUUUAUAUUAAUCUUUGAUCCAUAUACCUGGAAAGAACACCCUUUCACACAUUUAGCCUGAACUCGUAUGUUGUCGUUUUUUUUUCAAUUUCACUUCCCUACCCUCUAUAAUUGCAAGCUCUUUGAUAGCCUAUGUCAGUAGUUUUUUAUUUGCAAACUUCGUUCCCAAUAUAAACUCAGGAUUUUUCAAAUCCACAUCUCUUCUAUAUUGCUUAAACUUUGGCAGUUUUAUCUUUUUUCUACCAUUACCCUCAGAAUCAGUCUCAAUGCCACUGUCAAAUUCUGACGUGUCAGCACCAUCUGAUGACACCUCUCCUGGAGCACCAUGACUAGUCCUCUCACCUGCUAUAUUCUCUCCCACAGUUGGCCUAUCCUCUGCCUCAUUUUCACUGAACUCAUAAUCACUGUCUUUAAUUUCUGAAUCUGCAUCCUCAUCUUCAUUUGGCAAUUCUGCCCCUUCAUUAUCAAUAGUGAAAUGUGCCCCUAUAUCUUCAUUUGGUAAUUCUGCCCUUGCAUCUUCAUUUGGUACCUCUUUGACAGCAUUUUCAUUUGCCACUUUUGUCCCAACAUUCUCAAAAGUCUCCUCAUCUUCAACUUCAAUAUAAUCCACCUCGUUCACUUGGUAAUUCUGAGUCAAAUCCCCAUCACAAUUCUCUGCAUUUGCAUCAUACUCAUAGUCUUCAAUCUUACUAUAGUAUAACACAAUAACCUUAUUGGAUGAUAUUUGACCAAUCAUUUCAACCACUGUAGCAUCUGAUGUAACAAGCUCCAGCCCACCCUCAGGAUUUUUACACAUAAUUUCCAAAUGUUGCUCAACUUGAGAAAUGUCAACCUCAUACCCAAGACCUCUCCCAAUUUUCAGUAAAUCUAACAAGGACAGAAAAUCCUCUAUAAUAUCGUCCAAAUAACAGACCUUACCCUUCUUAUAAACCCCAUUUUCAAACCAGCCCCCAUGAUGUAAUUCUAGAGUGCACAUUCCAUUGUUAGCUGCAAAAUUGAAACAACAAUAUGUUAUUCUAAAGUCAUAGUUUUGUUGUUAAUGCUAACGACAACAAGGGCAACAAUUACUGAGUUGGGUGUGAACCAGACAACCAAGGGACCACAGUCGUUUAAAAAAAACACCAUAUUCAACAUACAGGAACCACAACCAAGGGACCACAGACAUAAAGCUUACACUCUACAGUAAAUGUAGCAAAAGCCAAAUCCACAUCCAUAUACAAGAAAACGAUUCCUUUACCUUUACUUUAAACAUAAAACAACCAAAAGCCAAACACAAACACAGAAAAAGGAAUCUUUAUAAAGAAACCAUAGUUCCAGACAAGGACAACUUAUCCAUUUCCAAACAAAAACAACAUAAAAUGCAUUAUAGAAGCCCUUACCGUAUUUGGGAGUCUUUCCACCCGAACGGAAUUCGUACUCCAUUAUCAGCAACUAGUGAAUUUCCCAAAAUCUCUAAAAUCCCCAAAAUCAAACCCUAACCCAAACUCCCAAAUUCGAACUCCAAAACUAACACUGAAAUUACACACUAACUUCACCAAUUCAAUGACUCACACACUACUACAGCAUCGACCAAUUCAGCAACUCGCAUUAGAAUCCCUUUCACUCGAUGGUAAUCUCGGGUAAUGAGAGGGCUUCUCAAAAAGUUGAGGUAUUUUGGAGGGAUUUUGGUUCUGAACGAUAGGGCUUCUCAAAAAGUCGUAUAUACCCUUCAAAACUCAGUCACGUGGCCAUCGCAUGAUCGAAAGUGAUAGACUCUAUCACGGAAGGACCAACUUGAUACAAAAUAAAAAGUUUAAGGACGUUUGAAUUGAAAAUUUUAGUUGAUGGACCAAAAUGAUACUGGAGCGAUAGUUGGAGGACCAUUUAGGUUAUUAGUGGGUCAAAAAGAGGAGAAAAUGUGAUUUAACCCAAUUUUGAAACCAAAACAAUUAAGUUACAUCGCGCCACCGCCACGCCGUUUGGUAAAGAGGACACAUCGGUCUUUUCACAAGAAUGCCACAAUUUCAAUUUCAAGCUCCCUCCUCAGUCCUCCUUCCACCCUCAACGCCCAUCCUUCUCUCCGAAAACCCCAAAAUCCCAAUUCAAUGGAGCAGCAGAAGCGCAUGGUGAGCAAGUGCCCGGAGAACGAAGAGCUCGCAGCGUACAUGCUACGCAAGUGGCAGGAAAUGGCCGAGCAAAAGCCUAAAGGCAUCUCCGAGAACAUCGAAAUGACUCUUUCUAAGGCUUACUCCAAUGUCUGCAACUCCAAGAACCCUAUUAAAACCCUUAAAGAGUUUUCCCAUAUCAAGUGAGUUUUAUAAGCUCUGUUUUGAUUUCUCAAGAAAGUUUGCAUUUAUAUUUAAUCAGGGUUUAAUUUUGGUCAUUCUUGGAAUGGAAGAUUGUCAAUUGUGAGGUUUAUAAUCUUAACCAAUUAAAGAAUUUUUAUUUAGUUUUAUGGACAAUUUAUGAUGCUGAAGUUAUAAUCUUGGUUUUAGUGGUUUUGAUCAUAUAUUUUGUUUAAUUUUGUUCACUCUGCCAAGGUAUAGUGAUUGAAGUUGAACUGUAAUUUUUUUUUUCACAGGAGCUUAUGUACUUUUGUGGAAUAAGAUAUCCUUGAGAUUAUGUAACUUCAGCUUAUUGUUAAUUUCUUGAUUUUAAAAAAUAUUUUAUUGAGAGUUUAUUGUUGAUAUGCCAAACAAGUCUUACCCAAGAAUUUUUUUGUUUUGUUUUGGUUACAGCAGUAUAAUCAAUGUGAAGUUUCCUCUGUUUGGCUGUGGAAAAAUUGUGGUUAAGACAAAAUUUCAUUCUUUUCUCUUACCCAGGGAUGGAUCCAGGAUUUUAAAAUUGACAGGGCUGGACUUACAUUAGGAACUAAUAUUUUUUUUCCAAAGUGAAAAAUUGUGGAAAUUUCAGUGAAGUCUAGUUUAUUUCUUUGAAAUUAUACGUUCCUAAAAAAAGUUCAAACAAUAUGAUGAAUUUCAUUUAAAAGCAGAAAUUAUAUACUCUAAAAACUAACUAUACCUAUUCUAUGCAUUUUACAUAACACUAUAAAAUCUUAGGUCCAUUUUGUAAUAUUCUUCGCGUCCAGGUUUUAGUUUUCUUAAUUACUUAAAAAUAGAAGUGACAGUGGGGAAAUGAAUGAAAAAGGGGGUAGAAUGGAUGAGAGGAGGGUGGGAAGAGCAAGAAAUUAAGGGACCUUUAAAAAAUAGAAACGUUUGCAUUGUUUGCAAGACGGCUAAUGUCACUGCAGCAAAUUUAGAAAAUGUGUUUAAUUUAUUUUAAGAUAAAAUUUUUGGCCAUAUUUUUUUUACAUGUAUAUUAGCAAGUUGGCAUUGCCUUGCUCUUGGAGAAAACUUUUCGGACAAAAAAUAAAGCAUGAUUAUUAUUAGUAUGUAAAACAGAGUAGAUAUGUGUAUGCGAUGAUAAUGUACUCCAUUUUUCCUGUCAACAAUAAUUUUGAAUUUCUCUGGGUGUAAGAAACUGCAAUAGAAAUAGAGAUUUCUACUGCAUUUACAAAAAUUUAGAAUGGGCUAUAGCCCGUACAUCCUUGCAUUUCUGUCUCCGUGCUUAUUCAUACCUUGUAGGGAGCUGAAAUAAUAAGAAUGGAAUGAGAAAAUUGAAUCUAAUUCAUAUCAUUUUCAGGAAGAGGUCUUCACAUUGGAAACUCAAAAAAUGAUAUCGAGUUAUUAUUACUUGUCUAGAAGAAUAAAAAAUGUCUUGAUUAUUUUGGAAGCUGUUUAGGGGUUUGCAAUUUCAUGAUUUAUUUUAUUGGAAUGACAUGCACCAUUCAUAUGUUGGUGCAGGGGUGUGGGGAAGUGGAUUCUGCGGCUUAUGCAAGGGUUUUUUGAGACCGGUUCAAGCAGUUCUGAACCAGAAGACUUAACAAAAAAGGGUACUUUUAAUAAUUCAUUAGCUUUACAUUCUCUGUACUUGAUUUAAUGUUAAAUUGAUUCGUUUUGCUGUCAAAUAUGCAUGUGUUUUAGGUAAGAGAAACAAAGGAAGCAGGCGCUAUCUUCCACAAAAGAAUUCUGUGGCAUAUGCAUUAUUGAUCACACUUUACAGGUAAACUGGAAUGUUAUUUAACUAAGCAAGCACUCACUCACAGCUUUAAUUGAAUGUGCUUUAUCAAAUUUUUGGAAGUUGGAGUUAAUGAUAAGCUUUUCAGGGGAACUGAAAAUGGGAAUGAAUUUAUGCGUAAACAGGAGCUUAUUGAUGCAGCUGAAGCAAGUGGACUUUCUCGUGUGCCAAUUAUGUAUGUUGUGAUUCAUUAUAUCAGUUCCGCAAAUUUCUGUCAUUUGUGUUUAAUUGUGAUGUUCUGAGACCUGGUUUUUUCUUAGGCCAGAGAAGGGAAAGGGAAAACUUGGACACUUUGCGAGUUCUGCAAAGGAAUGGUAUAGUGGAUGGUCCUGCAUGACAACAUUGAUAACCAAGGGACUGGCUGUGAAAUCAAGUUGCCCCGCAAAGUAUGGCUUUUUUCUUCUUCUUCAUUUAUAUUUAUUUGGUUUUACUUUAUGCUAACAAGGAACUAUUUAAGUAUCUUAUAUUGUUUUUCUUCCUCAAAACUUGUAAAUUUGAAUGGCAAAAUCUCUAGCCUUAUGCACUUUUUACAAUUUUACGUGGAAAUGUUUCGAUUGUUUCAGGAGUAAUAAAUAAAUCAAAGUGUCUUUAUGAAAGUUGAAUUGCUUACAAAAUCAUUCCCCAUUAAGAAAAUACAGUAGGAAAGGUAUACUUUGAUGUGAAUGAUGAUUCACAAGUAGACUAUGAUGUGGAAUUUAUUAGAAUCAUUGAUGAGUUGUAGUACUUAAUUCUUGCCAUUUAAUAGAAGAAUGUCUUGUCCAUUGGCACAUGGGCAAAUAUUUUCUUUUUAGGUAAAUAACAUUUGAUAAGUGGCUUUAGCUAAUAUAUGAAUGCCAGCUCUGGAACCUUGUUUGUGAUAUGGUUAGUUUCAAUAUGAGUUUGUACUUGUCUGUACCAAAUUCUGCGAAAUCAAGUAUUACAUCAAGCAGUUCCUGGAAGUUGUCAAGUUUCACUUUGAUUGCAUUUGCACAUUAACAGAUGUGUAAUGCAUGCCGACACUGUAGGUACAUGCUUACUGAAGAAGGUAAGGAAGCUGCACGUGAAUGUCUCAUGAGGUCUGGUUUGGCAGAGCCUAUAGAACAAUCUGCUAAUGCCAAAGGGCCUUCUGUUCUGAAUGUGGACAAUAUUUCACAUCAGGGACUUGCUCAUCCGGGCUCAGCCACAGAGGUGACAUUGUUGCCCACUAAUCUAAGUAGGCAGGAGAAACCGUUUGAUAUUCCACGGGAAUACCUUGACAAGGUACAUAUCUAGCUAGCUUUUAAUGUUUAUCUUGAAUUGUGGACUGGGAACAAUAAUCAGUUGAUUUUUAUAUUAUUUUCUGAACACACUCCUUUCCAAGGUUAAGCAUAUUAAUUAAAGUGUGUGGUCUUAGUUGCUCAGUUCAGCUGAUACCAACCCUUUAAUAUGAGUUUUCUUUCUCCCUCAAUAUCCAGUCAUGCCAUGGGCUGUGGUUCGCACUUGAUUAUAAAUUGAUAUUGAUAUUGGAUUUGAAAGAGGAGAUUUUGUUCUGGUCAUCUACAUCCUGGAUGGAGUUUUAUUUUUACGUUGUUUGCCUAUCUUUCAGAUUGUCAAUCAAAUGAAUAUUUUGUUGCAGAAAAACAAAGUUAAUAAGACACACCCCUCUCCCUCCCCCCCCCGAUGUUCUUGUGUAUUUGUUCUUAGUGGAUGCCUUUUAUUUCUAUAUUUCUAUAUGUUCAUCUUUUAACCAUCUAAUUUCAUAGACAUCUUUGUGGGAAUAUUUUCAGUUGAAUUACGAAUAAACAUAAACAACUUAUUUCUAGGGGUGGGAAUAAUAUUAAUGAGACCGAAAAUUGUCUGCCUGACUCGACCUACCCGAGUUGGCUUCCUUUAUCUUUGUUAACAGGGUUCAGGGCUGGGGUUCCAUAACCAUUUUUGUGAAAUUGUGGAAGUCGACCCUAUUUUUUUAUUUCUCAAAAAAGGUUUUUCUAUGUGUUGUCAUCUUAUUUGAUGUCUCUAGACUUGCUGCGGAACCGAAGCCAACCAAAUAUGGUUUUCACCUGAGCCAACCAACCUAGGGGCCCCAAACAUUGCUCAUCCACAUCUGAGGGGUUUCCACCUGAGCCAACCAACCUAGGGGCCCCAGACAUUGCUCAUCCACAUCUGAGGGGUUUCCACCUAAUGCUUAGGAAAAUAAAAGGAUAGGAUUAGGGUUAAGGGUAUAGUAAGAACAUUGGUGAGUUGGUUAAGCAAAAUGUCACUCUACCAGAAACAAGAGUCAAUAGGUUCAAACAGUAGAAUUGAUUGACAUAUAAACCCAUCAUUUUAGGUAAUAGUUGAUCUCAAAAGCUUAAUCAUCCAUGUAGAAACAAGCCCAAUGAUGUAUUUCAAGCUCAAUAACCUCAACUUAAUAAAACAGGCACAUUAUUGAGGCCCUGUUCUGUAAGUUUUUGUUUCUGGUUUCCAGUUUUUAUAUUUUAUAUUCUCAUAUUUAUAUUUACAUUUUAAAAAAAUUUAUUUAAAACUCUGUUUUGUAAAAGAGAUAGUGAAGAAAAGCAUGGAAGAAAGGAGAUAGAUGAGAAAUGAGAGAGGUCAUGACAAAACGAAGAAGUGUACAUAAUUCUAUAUAUUUCUCCCCUCUCCUUCACAUCUUUCGCAUCCAUCAUCUCUCUUCUCACUUUUCUUCACUUCUCCUUCCCAAUUUUUGUUUAAAACUUAAAAAACAAUAACAAAUAGAAAAUGUUACAGAAUGAGCCCUGAAGUUUUGUUUUAAAUUUAUCUUUUUGGGGAAAUAUCAUGUCCGGUUUCUAUUCAACUUCAUAACCAAGUAUUUUUGAGACGAUAUCCAUAAGCUUCAGUUGAUAUCUCUCUUGCUUUUCCUUUCAUUUAAAUUUUUUUCAUUGAGCGUGAACUAUAUAGAAAUACAUGAAAUGUUACAUUGUUUUGCUUCUUGUGCACCUGGUCAUAGCACUUUGAAGUGCAUGCAUGUUAUAAUUAUUUGCUCUUUUCUAGGUCAAUAUUUUGUCUUGAUUCAUUUUCUCUUUUCUAUAGUUUAUGCCCAUGGGGUAUUCUAAGGAACAGAUUGUUCAGGCUUUUACUGAAGUUUCAGAAAGUUCCCUUGGCAAGGAAAUGUCUUCACUAUGGCCAUCCGUUCUGUGUCGUCUUCGCGAAGAAGAAGUUUAUGGUUUGCAUUUGAAGUCUCAGACUUUAAGGAAAGAUCUUUGUGCAGAACCAAUCACUUACACGGUUGCAGAUGGUAAGCUUUCUCUGUAAAGAUGCUAAGUCAUAGUGAGAUGCUCCAAUUCUCCAAAACCAUCUAAACCCCCUUUCUUAUAAAGCUCAUUAUAAUUGCUCAGGUCAUAGAGAUUGUGUAAUGAGUGAGAAUAGGCUGACCACCUCUUCUUGCGAUGGUGGACAUGUGGCGAAGAUUAAUUCUGACGAGCCAGUAUCAAAGUCUUUUACGUUCAGAGCUUGUUCAUCCUCUGUAUGUGAUGUGUCAAUUCGGUUUAAAUACGAUGAUAACACUAUUCCAGGGGCAUAUCUUGCAUAUUUGACUGAUACAUAUGUCAUGUACCAAGUACUGCAUAAUGGGGAUAGAAUCAUGGAAUUUGAACCAUCUACCCCCAUUUUUUUUCCAGCCUUUGAAGCUGAAAGAGGAGUCAUUAAGUAAAACGAAUAAGUUGUGAAAAUAAGUAACCAUUCACUUACAUAGAUGAAACAGAUAUAUUUACUAAAAUUUGAUAGACAAUUAUUUUGUUAAAAUAUAAUAUAAAACAUUUGAAAAUGACUCUUGGGGAAAAUUUGUACAGAGAAAAUUGAUGGUUUGGCUUUUCCUUUUCUUGUUAACAAAAAUGUGAUGUUCUUCUCAGUUUAAAGUACACCAGAUCUUAUUUUCCAAAUGUUAUAAUAAAUAGUGCAUUAAAAAAAAAAAAAACUAAGGUUAAUUUUAUUUGACUGCUUUCUUUUUGUUUGUGUUUUCUUUUUUUCAUAGAAUAUUUUAGUGAGGCUACCUCAGUGCUUCUGCCAAAAUCUGCCUAUAGUGCAGAACCUCAAAUUUACAUGAGGCUUAGAUUCGUCGGGUAAUUGUUUUUAAAUAUUGUGGCUUUCGUUGAAUGGAUUUAGCUCUGAAAAUAUCAUGUCAAAUUGAACGCAUUAAAAUUGUGUUUAUAUGAGACUUUUACUACAAAUAAUACUUUAGGGGGCAGAUGGUUGUAGACAUUUUUUCUUACAAUCAAAUUCAUCUUUUCCAGUAUACUGUUAUAUGUUGCUCAUUGACUUGUUGGCUUUCCUAGAGUCAUCCUGUGCCAAAGCCUACUUCGGAAAAUUAUGAAGCAAGUUCGAGUGUUUUAUCCAUACCACCUCUAAGCUUUGGGGAGAGAUUUGAGGAUGCAUAUGAAGUAAUCUUGGUAUUGGAUGAUCGAGAACAAUUUGCUACUCAGGGGUCAGUAACUUAUGAUUUUUACAUCUGCCAUACUUUUUUAAAUGAUGAAGCUAGUUAAAGAUAGUCGUUAUUCUGUCUUGACACCGAAACAGCUUUGUGGUUAUGCCAAUAAUUAUCUGGGAAAUUCUCUAUGAAUCCUAUUGUUUGCUCAAUAGGCUUUGUCCCCAAACUCCCCAUUUGACCCCUUACAAAACUGGAAAAAAAUAGCCUGACCCCCCAACCCGACAGCAAGCUCAUCCCCACCUUUGGUGGCUCCUCACUUUGACUCUGGCUAGUCCCAGACAGGACUCAGCAGUUGCCACUCCCCUCCUUUCUGUUUCUCUUAUUCUCACUAUCCCCUACUGCAUUGGUUGCUAGGGUGGCUGGCGACCUUGCCGCCUUCAGAUCUGAAAUCGGUGGCAAGGUUGAAAGAGAGAGGAGGGGGAGUGGCGGCUGGCUAUUCGCCGUCAUCAGAGGGAGGAGCUGCGGCUGCUGUUGGUUUUGGGGCUCUUUUGAUUUUUAUGAUUUUUUGUUUUUAGUUUUAUACAAAGAAUUGGUAAUAUGACAAUUAUUACUACAAUUUUUUUUUUUUUUUUUCCAUGUCCUUGAGAAUGCAGUGUAGGACUAGUUUGUUAUACAUUGAGCUUUUGCUGGUGUUUUUAACUACUGUGAUUAAUUGUAUAUGCAUUGUGAUUUUAGAUCGCGGUCUAGGAGAAUUAUUGAGAAUGUUCGUUCUCAAUUCAAAAUCAAAAUAGAGGUGAGUUCUUGUAGUCUUUUAUAUGUUAGUUCUUCUAGUGGUUUACAUUGAACAUUAACUAGAAUUUGUACUGUUGUAUAUCAUUUGUCUGUAUUGGUUUCACAUAUCAAUGGCAGUUUGUGGUGCUUUCUUUUAUUACCUUUUUGUUUGUUUGUAUAGUGUUUGGCAUAUUUUGCUUCUUCAUGAUUGAGUAGGCUUGAACUUUUAAAUAAAAUGAGGAAACCUUUGUUGUAUCCCUAUUAUUUUACGGGUUAAAUAAUUUUUUUAAAUGUACUGGUUCUGUGGAUUUUGUUCUUCUCUUGUAGAUUAUAUACCUGUAGAGAACUGUCAAUAAUAUUAUUGCCUCUGAGUUAUUUACAGGCAUUUGUCGUUCUUAUGCUUGAAACCUUUUGGUUUGGGGACUACCUGCAUCUAUGCUACCCUGGGGUUAGACUUUAGAGUAUGUUGUUUUAGAAACGUGUGAGUCUAGCAAUUGGGGUACUUUGGUCUCUUCCACUAUCCUCUACUGAGCAAGAAUCCACCUUGGGAUUUCAGUUUCCUCUAUGUAGCACUUUACUCAAUGUCUCUUCAUAUUGUUCUGUUGCAAUGCAUGAUGUGAUAGUGAUAGACUUGAGAACAUUUGCUUCCCAUCUUAUAGUCCAUUAUACAUAUUGGUUUUACUUUUUGCUAAAUAAUUCAAUUGCAUUAAUUCCGAGCUCAAGUUGGGGUUUUUUUGGCUGAUAUUCAUAAAAUUCAGCUGGGAUUUUAAGAACUCUUUUUAAAGUAUUUGGCUCCAAGAACAUUUUCACUCUUCGGUUCAUUAUGUUUUGGGUUUGUUGUAGUCUUCUUUAAGUAUGGUUGCUGCUUUGAAUCUCAAAUUGUUGUGAUUAUUGACCUAAAUGACAUCAUACGUAGAAGUCUAGAAUAAUGUGGUGAGUUUUCUAAUUGUUACUUUACAUUGUAAUUAAUUUUGGCUUACUAGCUUGAGAGGUACUUGUCCAAAUUGUUGCUUUAAUAUCUUCUCCAUUUACUGCAAACUAUCUGCAAACUAUAAUUAACGAACUGACUCUUCUACAGGUUAGGAGGUUACCAGUUGGAGAUGGAAUCUGGAUAGCUCGCCAUAAGCAUCUUGAGAGCGAAUAUGUACUUGAUUUUAUUGUUGAGAGGAAGAAUGUCGAUGACUUACGCAGUUCAAUUAGAGACAACCGUUACAGGGAUCAGAAAUUGAGACUCUUGGUAUUGAUUCGUAUUGGAAAGACUAUAUGUUUUAUUUGUAUCAGUUAUACGAAGUUUGCUAUUAUAUCUUUCAUCUGUUGUUUGUAUGCUUAUUAUUUGACAGUUUUAUUGUGAAAACUUGGCGUUUCUCCUGCUUUACCUUUACCUUUACCUUUUAAUAUCAAUCUGCCUGUAGUGCAUUUUGUUGCUAAAUAUUAAAUUACUAAUUUUACAUGUUAUACUAUGAAAUGAAGAAUAUCAGAAUAAAAGACUGAAAUCUUUUCUUGCGAAGAAGACGGAAAAGUGAAAACAUUUUGUUAUUGGUGAUUGCUCUUAUUCUUUUCUCCCUUCAUGUAUGGAUAUUAUUAUAUUCAACGUGACAUGAUUAUCCCUUGUUGGGGAUUUUUGUAACAUUUUUGUUUGCUCCUGUCAUAAGUUAAGUAUAUGCAACCCAAGAAUGAAGAAUUGAUAAACCUAACCAUAUAUCUUCGAUAGAUGUACUUAGGCCAGCCAUUUGGUGUCUGAAAUUUAAGGCCAGAUGUACUUGCAGAAUUCGUUGUUUGCAUCUAAUUUAGUUUUUUAGGGAAUCAGCCAUAUAUGUCUUUAUACAUGUACUCGGGCAAGCAAUUUGGUGCCUGAAAGGUUUAGGCCAGAUCCACUUGCCUAUUCUUGGUACCCAUCUAUGUUACUUUUAUUUUCCCAGUCUUUGUAGAUGAUGUUGUUUGGUAGGUGUUGAAAAUAAUCGUAUGUUUUCUUUUCUUGUUUAAAGUAAAUGGAUUAAAAGGUUUUAUGCAUAUUGAUAGCAUCAUAUUGGGUAUGAAGAAAAAAAGUGAAAUGAUGGGAAGCAUUCCUAGUUUAAAGAAAACGCAUGAGAUAGAGUUUUGAGCAAGAACUAUUGAAAAGUAGUAUUUUCUGGGGCAAUGUUUGUUAUGACCUCCCAUGCUGGGUUCAUGUCUUACUGGAGCAUCAGUUUCCUUUUUAACAUGAAUUUAUUGCUGCAAACUGGGAUUACUAUUUAGUUUAGCUUUGCUUAUGAAUGCUAAAUUUGCUGAUUGGUUUAGUUACUUGGUAGGGUACAUUAAUUGAGAUUGAAUUUAUCUGUUUUGCAGACUUUGUUGCAAUGCAUUGAUGCCUUAUAUCACGUUAUGUUAAUACACUUAAAGAAAAUCAUGCUUUUAAUGUUUGAAUAUUCUGGAAUUUAUAGGGUUUUUCAUGUGCUUGAAUGAGAAUAAAGUAUCAUCCUGUGCGAGGAUGGCAUGAUUCACUCCAUAGCUUUUGUUUGAAUCAUUAUAACUGAUUGAGAGAUGCAUUCAUUACAUUCUUCUUUAUGUGCAAUAUAAUGAAAAAGAACAAUUGUUGAUUUGUGUUUCUCUGUUGUUGGGUUGCUUCUGCCUACUCAUGUUAGGCUCUUUUGUCUCAUGUCUACUAAAGAAAUUUAUUUCUUCAAGUGAGCCUUUAAAUGCAUUUGAUGUUCUGGUUGCCUGAGAAUUUUGGAUUUACUGUUAAAAUAUAUCACUUUGCACAUUAUUCUGACAUGUUUGGUCCUUCAAUUGCAUAUUGUUAGAGGUGCGGGCUGAAGAAACUGAUAUAUCUUGUGGAAGGUGAUCCAAAUACUUCAGAAGCAGCAGAAAGCAUUAAAACAGCGUAAGCAUUUCUGUGAAUAUUCUUUAAAGCUACAUUUACUACUACUUACCAUAAACAAUUUUAAAUCAAAUCAUCCUGGUUAAACUAGGAAAUGAACCUUGCAAUAUGUAUAUCAGUCAUAAGUAUUUUCAGUGAUGAUUUUUUCCUAACCAUCUGUUUCAGUACAACCUGCAUCAGUGUAGUAAUAGUUUGCUUUUAAGACCAUAAGUCAUCCAGAGUUUGGUACUGUUCAAGGGCACACAUCUCUUAUAACAGUCCCUUUCCAUCCAAACAAAACCACUUUGCUAUACUUUUGGAACCCUAAUUUCCAACCUUUAGGCAUCAAAUAGCCUUCAAAAAGAAUAUUCAACAUAAAACCUUGCUCACUGCCCUAUGUGGUGCAAGUAAGAUCACCUUUGCCCCUUGGCAGAUAUUCCAUGCUCUGUAAGCUUGUGUAAGGGUGCUGUAACAAUUUAGUUAUUCAAUAGGUUUUAGAUGUGAAACUUUUAUAAGAAAGUGUCAUAUAUUUGCACCUUCUUUGUAGAUGUUAGUUUUAAACAUCAUUUGACAUCCUAAGAUCCUUUCGUUUCCAGUUUCAAUUUGCCUUUCAAGUUUUUUAAGAUUACCAUCCAUGAUGUUGCACAUCUCAAAUUCCUUUGGGUGAUAACGGAAAAUAAAUAAUAGAAUAAUCCUAAUACUGAUGUCCUAACGAUUUGCGAAGAGUGAUUAUUAUUAUUAUUAUUUGAAUCCAUCUUCAACAGUUAUAAAUCUCAUAUUGUGCAGCUGUUUCACAACUGAGAUUUUGGAGGGAUUUGAUGUUCAGAGAACUAUUGGCUUGGCUGAUACAUUGAAGAAGUAUGUCUAUCUUACUCAAGCAAUAACUCAGUAUUACAAUUCAGAAUUCUCUGAGGAACAAUGUAUACGUGCUGGGGUUUGUCCUCCUUUUGAUGAAUUUGUUAAAAGGUGCCAAGACCUGGAUAAAAUGACAGUCAGUGACGUUUUUGCCACUCAGCUCAUGCAGGUAUGUAAUGUUUUUGAGAGAAAGGAUUACCAUCCCUCAUUUGACAAGCAGUCUUGGGUCUACUAUUGGUAUGUAACAAACUAUGUUCCAUUAAAAAAAGAAUUAUGGAUAAAAUUAAUUUCUAUGGGUCAUGCAUUGUUUUUUUUCUCCUUUUGGAUAUAUGUGUAUAUAUAUGGAUUUAUAGAACCUAGUAAAUUAAAAGGUGCAUUUCUAUGAAGGUAAGUGAAAAAAUUUCCCCUUCUGCAUGUCCUUUUUAGCAUAAAAACUCCAUUUAACAUAGUACGUGAAUGGCAUUUUGGAUGAAAAAUUGGGUAAAUGGUUCCUGAUCUCUUUUGAAACAGUAUAUAUGACAUAGCUGAGUUAUUGCUUAAUCUUGAGAACUAGGAUAGUGAGAAAAUGGUGAACAAACUUUACACACUUCUUCAAUCAUGUAUGCAGGUCCCCCAGGUAACUGAGGACGUUGCCAUAGCUGUUCUGGAUUUGUACCCAACGCUUUUAUCUCUUGCCCGUGCCUACUCUCUACUUGUAAGUCCUUCCCUUGGGUUGGAAUUUUAAAUGUGUUAGGCAAUAUCUGUUUUAACCAACUGUGGGUGCCCCACCCUUGGGGAAUGUGAAAAAAUCAACCCUAAUGUCUUGGACAUCCAACAUGGUCACUGAUCUAUAGAUAAACAUGAAAACAAGAAAAGAAGAAAUUUCUAGGUAUUAUAAUUUUCCAUUUUACCUUCAUUAAUUUUCUAUUUUUAAGAUUUCUUUAAACUUUAGUUUUUAAAAAAAAGAGUCAACACUGCCUAUGCCAUGGUCACAGGGAAGGGAGGAAAAAUAUAAUAUUUUCAUUUUUUUAAAACUAAAUGAAAAGGAAAAAAAUAUGGGAUUUUUGAAAUUUGGGGAGUGAUUAAAGGCGGGUGCAAAUAGGGUCAACUGUUUUUUAUUGUUCUAUCUUGUUGUGCCACAGAGUGAUUCAAAAGCAUUGGUUAUAUUGCAUAAAAUGUAAGCGAAAUAACUAUAUUUGAUGAGUCUUCAAACGAAGAUACUCUCUGAAAGUGGUUAAAGAUAUAGGGUUUGUUUGAAGAAUUCUGAGAUCUCAUACAAAAUUAUUCAGUCCAUCAUGUUUUGUGUAGUGUUUGAAAUUAUAUGUUGGUAUUGUAUGGUUAAGAUUAUCCCAAUCUUUUCAUUUGGAAUCAUAAUUGUCAUAUGGAUGGAUAAAAUGUUUGACUUUCUAGGGGUGAGAGUUGCAAGUAGCCAUUAGAUGCAACGCAGGAGCUGUUAUAUUCUUUUUUUGUUUAUUGUUUAUUGUUUAUUGUUUUUUUAAGUGUGCUGCUAUGCCUUUUUAUGUGUUACAAGUGGGAUGUUAAAACAGGAAAAGUAAAAUAUUUUUCACACAUGCGCAAUGUCCUGGGAUGCAUGACUCAUGAGAUUCUAUUGAUGUUGGAAUCUAUUGUUGAUUUUUCUUUUCUCCUUAUUGUUGAAUAGAAAAUCUUGAAAUGUUCCUUGAGACCUGUUUGGGUAUGUCACCAUUCUUAUAUAACAAUGAUUUAAUGAUAUAAUGGCAUUGAUCUAUUUACCUAUACAAUCUUCUUUUUAAAAUUUUAUUUUUUAAAAACUUGUUAAAAUAAUUUAUGCUGUAUAAUGGGUGGUGAAAUGAGCCGAGCCGUUUUUGGCACUUUGGUUGUACUCAAGUUUAAUCAUAUGUUAUUGACUAGGAGGGUGAUGUCCGUGCACAAGAAGAGAUGCUUAGAACCCAGAGUAACAAUGCCGUCAAUGUGGGUGCUAGUAAGAAUAUAUUUCACUUGGUUUGGGGCAACUGAUUGUUUCGUAUCUCCUAUUUCAAUUUUUUGUUAAUUUGUUAAUUUUUUAAUGGAAGAGUGCUCUUGUAAGCUACCAAUCUUUCAAUGUAAAUAACAUGUCCAGUUCAUUGUUAUAAAAAAUAGCUUGCUGUACAACGUUUCUGAACUGAAUGUCGUUUGACUUCAAUUGCACUCUUAGGAAAGGCACAAUCUUCUGCUUGUUCUGCACAAUCUGUGCAAUCUUGUAUAUUCAACUAUGGUGGGUGAGUUGCAUUUUGGCUCUAUAGUAUAGAACGGGUUGGGUUUUAGAUUUAAAUUUUUCCAAGCAAAAAAUAUAAAGAAAGUGUAUCAGUCCCGCUCGCCUAAGGACCUAAAAAUGAGGACUUUGGAGGAACUCUUUAAUAAAAGCCAUUGGAUAUAAUGUAAGGGCACAUGUUAUUAGUAGUUUACACCCUCACCCAUACUCCUUGUUUUACCAAAAACAACCCUUUUGAGUCCUAAUCUACAAACCCAUACUCCUUGUUUUACCAAAAACAACCCUUUUGAGUCCUAAUCUACAAAAUAAUAAGGGUAAUAAUAGUAAAUAAAAAUGAAAACCUAGGGAUACAAGUUGACCCCUGUCUUCCUCCUCAGUCAUCUUUUUCCCCCUCCUCCCUUUUCGCCAUUGUUCUAUCUGAACAAAGGUACACAAGAAAGCAUUAUUCUUGUAGGACCAAGGCUUAUAAAAGUUUCUCGCUAGGCAAUUCCCUUUGCCUGUCAACUAAAAGGCACACACGAGAAAUAAAUAUCAGAAGAAGUUGAAGUGUUUUUAUUAGGGUGGAGAGAAGAAUCGUCUCUUGAUUCUCACAUGUUUUCCUUUCUGUGUGUUUUUUUAGUGGAAAUAGGAAUUAAAGCUUCAAUUUUUUUUUUAAAAUUUAUCAUAAGCUAGUUAUGAUAUUCCAAAUUCGUAAGCUUUGGGAAAAAUGGGACAAUACGCAAAAUAGAUGUGAAGGAAGAUGAUGAUAACUUAAUCUCAGAGCCGGAAGAAUGGCAUCCUCAUCUUGCAAGUCCCAUAUUUCACUCUUCAGUAUGUUAUCACACUCAUCAUAAUUUCUUUUACCAUGCAACAAAACCCCAAGUGAAUUUGCAGCUAAGGGAAGACCCUUACACCUUCUAAUAAUUUCGCUACUGAUUUCUUCCGGAAUUGGAUGAAGGGAAAAUUAGGUGUAGGGAUUUCUAUCUAGAAGCUAUAAGAGAAUAAAUUAUUUAGCCCAUGCGUAUCAAAUAUGAAAUCAAAUAAAGGCGGAAGCAAGAAAAAGCUAGAGAUUCAUGCAAGUUUCAACCUAGGUCCCAAUCUUUGUAGGUUUAUGAAAGUUUGCACCUUUGACACUAAUAUCACAUAUUAGAGAGAAUGUCGAAAGUGAGGUUAUCUUUGGAGCGUAUCUUGAAUCCCAAAAUGGUAUUCAAGUAGAGGGAGUUGUCCCUUAGUUGUUGAUUCUCCACCUUGUUCUCCAAUAGGCACAAUAUGAUUAUGCCUCCCCAAAGUAUCUUCACUGAGGUAGAAUGAGAAUGAGACAAUAAGGAACCAAGAGAAGAAGAGGUGCUAGCGUUUCUUCUCUAUGGGGUGGCCAAGGUAGUGAUUGGGAGGGAGGUUUGAUGUUUCCUCUCUUACUAAAUGGCCAACUUGAAAACCUGAAGAAGGUGUUGUGCUAUGACUAUAAUUAUAUAGAGACAUAUUGUCACACAUGUGCCCCUAAAGAGAACACAUGUGUUGCACCCCCAUCUCUUGGCCUUUUUGGGCUUCUUUGGUCUACCACAUUAAUCUUAUAAUGUGUCACACUUUGCCUAAUUCUAUAAGGUCCAUUUUUCUUUAAUGUUUAAGUCAUAUAGAACCAAAACUAAAGUUUCAUAACUUUAAUUAAUUCAUUAAAUUAAUCUAAUUAGUUUAAUUGAUUGAAUGCCUUAAUAAAUUAAAUCACUAACUUGUCUAACAAGCAUUGGUUCUAGUCAACCUUGUGUUGACCGCGUCAAGUCUCGGGUCAAUGGUUUGACCUUUGACUUAGACCAAGCCGCAAAAUCAUUUAUUCUCUUUUCAAUUCUCGAUCCAUACCUUUUCCGUGUGUGAUUUUAUAAAUUCUAAUUAACAAAGCCGUGGGUAAGAAUGAUUACUUCUAAACUAAAUGUCAAUUGUAUACCUUUAUACAAUUCUCCCUAUUGGCGAAGGCUAAUUGUGAUUAGUCCUUCAUGUUUUCAUUGCGGCAAAGAUGGACAUUGGAAGAGGAACUGCCAGGCUUAUCACUUUGCUGUUUAACUCUAAACAAUUGUUUAUACAUUACUUGAGUUUGAUAACAAUAUUUGAUCUAUUGUAGCUGAUGUUGCUCUAGAGAUUGGGAACAAGUAGGAUGCUCAUGAAGGAUGAUCGUGCUGAGAUUUGGAUCAUUUAUCAUGUUUAUUUUGUUCACCUCAUGGAGGUCUUAAUAGUACUUAUGAACUUAUUUAGUAUAUUUGGUAAUGUAUAAAGUACUUAUUUACUAUCUUCAUGUUUUAGAAUAUAGUCGUAUAGUUUGUAUGAUAAAACCACUUGGUUGCUUAUAUAUAUAUAUAUAUAUAUAUAUAUGACUAUUCGUAUUAUGGUAAUAUGAUGUUUGACCUCUUUAUGUUUUAUGAGAUAAAUGUGUGGUAGUUUUACUCAUAAGUGUCAAACAAGUAAUUCUAAGUUGUGAUAAUGCAAAUUAGUCCUCAGACCUAAGACAUCACAGUUGUAUUGUGGACGAGUCAUUUAUCUUUGAGAACACUAUACAAUCACAUUAAAAGAUAUGACUUAAAGGUGCUCAUCGGGAUAUCCGGCAAGUUCACAGAGGCAUGUGAAUGUACAAUAAGGAAUCUCUACUCUUAGUAAAAAGGGAGAAUACUCUAGAGAUACGAUUCGUUGAAUCUUUGGCCAAAAUAUAGGAUGAGAAUUGAAACAAGAAUGUUUGCAAUCAGAUCCAAGUGAAUCAUAUAACCUGGAAAUGUCACAUUAGGGAUUUGGCACGAGUUAACCUUAUCACAAUAAUGUGACAUAAAGUAUUGUUUUAGACAAGGGCUGAAUUGCAUUGCAAUCACAAACUAACUAGGUUCUCCAAUGAAUUCUAUUUAGCUUGGGUAGCCAUGACAUAUUCCUCAGUGUCAACCAUAGUUUGUGAAAGUCCUUAAGGCAUAAUUACAAUUAGCCUUCACCAAUAGCGAAGAAUUGUAUGGAGAAAUAUAAUUCGUAAUUGAUUUAGAAGAAGUCGGACUUACCCACUGCCUAGCUAAUCAGAACCUAUAAGAACGUACAUCGAAAAGGAUUGGAUUAAGAAUUAGACGAGAAAAAGGGAUUUUGUGGCCUGGUCAAAGUCAAAGUCAAAGUCAAAGGUCAAUCGUUGACCCAACACUUGACAGGUCAAGAAUGGUUGACUGGUACCAAUACUUGUGAGACAAGUUAAUGACUUAAUUAAUUAUGUCAUUAAACAAAUUAAACAAAUUAAAAUGGUUUAAUUUAAUCAAUUAAAGUUAUUGAGCAUUAAUUGGAUCCCACAUAACUUAAGGAAUAAAGAAUUGGAGCAUAGGACUUUAGACACAUGUGACGCAUUGAAGCAUAAAUGUGUAGGACCAAGAAGGCCCAAAAUUAGGCCACCAUAGGAGACAUGCAAUUUUUUAUUUUAUUUUAAAGAAAAGAGAAGGUAAUCAACUAACAUUGUCAAGGUUAAAACGUAAAACUACCAUUUACCUCUUGAUUGCUUACAGAUAGAAGUAACUCAUCUAUAUAUUGAAAUUACAUGUUUCUAAUUAGAUGAGCUUGCUUUUGUAAUGCGGAACCUGUCCUCAACUUUUCUUGUAUCUGCGUUCACGAACUGCAAAAUGAAAGAAAUUUAGAGAACAUCAAGGUCUGCCGAAGUUCAAGCUAAGCUAAGUGUUUCUGAUGAACACGAACUAAGUAUAAUAUGUAUAUGAAAAAAUUCUCUCCAUAUAUAUGUUCUGUAUUAUGAAAAUCAAAGGUCAUAUACUGUCAUACUGACCUCUAAUUUCAUCUCCUUCUUUGUGGCAUAUCCUCUGAGAUAACCAAAUUGGGAAAUCCUCGAUAAGCUCCAAGGAUUAUUUACCUGAACGAUCAAAAUGCAAUUCCAUGUAAAGAACAAUGAAAGAACUACUUUUUUUUCUGUUUCAUUUUUGUCUGAAAAAGAGGGAUGCAACAUCUCAGGAGCUUCGCUUAAGUGCAUGUGUACGUAUAUAGUUGUAGAGAGAGAUACUUACACCAGUUGGAAACUUGUCCAAGGUAAAGCCAGCCAUACCAAUUACUGCAUGCACUGGGGCACUGUAGUUGCUAUGAUCGUAUGUGUCGAUCCCAUUUUCAUCUUUAACAGGCAAUCCCUUGCAUUGACUCCUAUAAACCGUGCAGGUUCGCUCGUAGUUAUGGACAUGACCAAAUAGGACCAAAUCAACCUAGUUCAAUUUUCCAAAGCAAUGUUAGAAAGAAACAAGAAAACACCAAUUUGACACAUAACGAAUCCAAGAGCUAUUAUUUUUUUUUUUUUGGAAGAGAAACUCUUCUAUUUUCUCCACGUCGAAAUAAGUAAAAGACACAGAGAAGAUGAACAAUGAAAAAAAAAACAGAAAAAAUAAUCAAACUAGCUAGCGAGGGAUGUUAAUUACUUUGCUUUGAACCAGUAAUGGUUCCACUUCAAAAACAAAUUUUGGAUCAACACUGAAGAGUCCAUCUGCGGAGGUAUACAUGGGUCUAUGCCUGCAACAUUUGAAGAAGUCACAAGCAUUUAAUACAACAUAAAAAGAUGGGGUGGAAAUCAUGGGCUUAUUUAAUAGCUAGAAUCAAAUUGAAAUUAUUAUAAUCUUGUACAUAAUAAUCGGAUUAACAUAAUUUAAACUGUAAAUUGUGUAUAAUUUACCAUAGUCCACUUCUUAAUCACUGCAAUGUAGAAUGAAACAGAAGCACACAAACACACAAAAAUAACGGUUACAAAUACUACAAAAACCUGAAGGUAUUUCAGUUACACUUACCCCAUAAAAAUCAACCAAGGAGUUUUGGAUCGAUCAACAGAGGCCAUGUCCCUUCUCAUCCAUUGAUACUGUAUAGUGUAUCCAUCGCAUAGAGUAACAAAGCGAAAAACAUCAAAUAAGCUGAGAAUACCAUAUGCUAGAUUGGAUAAAUACAAGGCACUACAGAAGUGAUUAAUUAUCUUUACCUGCUCAGAGUUUUGGGACCAGUCAUGCUCUGUAGAUAUCACCGUGAUGUGAACACUUGCUUGUUCUAUGGAAUACCAUGGCUUAUCCUUUGCCGGGGUUGGCAUCGGAAAGUAGGUCUCAUAAGGAACACCAGAUUCUCCACCUGAAUCUGGGGUUAUGUAAACUGAUCCAGUGUCUAUAUAGUCCCUGAAAAAUGCAUGGUCAAGCAUAUUGUUGAUGCAUGCAUAGAUUUGGAUAAACAUCAUUAGGGAUGGAAAACACAAUCACACACAAGUACACGAUUUUGAAUGGUUCACCCAUAAUUAGGUUACAUCCACUGUGGAGCUUCGAAUAUGUAUUUGACUACGAGAGAGCUUUUACAUUGUACAGUUGAGAGGAAUAAAGCCUUAGUAAAAGAAGAGAGCCUUAGAGUGGGAGAGGCAAAGCCGGCCUUCUCUGCUUGCUGGUUGCCUCUUGCUUAUGUACGCCUUACAAGUAGGCAAGUCAUCAUGAUUUUUGGGAUUUAGGUAUAUGGCUCCCCUUGAUUUGGGAUUUUAGGCAUGGAGGAGGUAUGGAGAAGGCAUAUGAGAGGGCAUGGGACUUCCUUAAUUGGUGGGAUUUCAUUGUGGGGUUUAGGUGAGGUCAACUUGGUGUCAACAUAUGUCUUAAGGAAAAUCUUCUGAAAGUUUAGUGUGUUAUGUGGUUAGCCGCCUGCUGGUUCAUUUAUAGAGUUGAUUCUUUAUUCAAAUGUAUAUGGCCUAGAUUAAGCUUUACAACAUAACAUGUGAGAUGUCUAGUAAGAGAACAUUACCCUUCUUCAAUAUGCAUUGCCACUAUGGUAGUAAAGAGCAUACCUCUCAUGGUUUCCAAUAGCUGUCAUGUAAGAAACUCGAGAAGCUACGGGACUUAUUUGGUGCAGGAAAAAAUCCCAUUCAACUAAAAAUCCAGUGGCGUAGCUAAUGUCUCCAAUGUGGAAGAUAGAGUCUACAUGCCCUGAAUUUAUUUCUUCAGCCAUGGCUUGAAUUACUGAGAGGGAUCCUGGCUAUUCAUACCACACAAGUAUUAUUUAGGUGUGGAUGAAUGAUGAGCAUAUAGUUAUUGCAUUGCAGUACUAAAUGUAUCAUAUAUACCUGAAUGUAAUGCUCUGUCGAACCAUCACGAGGAGCCUUUCCCAUGUCACCAAAUGCGAGAAAUUUGAGCUCAUCAGAUCCUCCUGCUGGGGGAGUCCGGAAUUGGAUUUCAUUGCUCCAACCAACUGAAUCACUGCAAUUUAUUUUCCGUUCCCACAUACAUAAGGUCACUUUGUGUUCAAGAAUUGGUAAGAAAGAUGAAAAGGCUCUUUAUAACUAAUGCAAAAAAUACACUUUUAGCACUUCCAUCUUGCACCACAUCUCAUUGAAAUUUUGGAAUGGUGUUUUCUGUUCCUUUUUCUUUUUUCAAAUAUUUGUUUUGUGGUGGAAAUUAGAUAUAGGGGGUUUAUACAUACCUUCCAUAUCUAUAAGAGAAAUUAGAUAAAGGCUUAAGUCCUGUCAUUACUGCUGUAUGAAUGAAGCCUGGGUCAUGCCAUCCGAAGUCCUUGGCUGGACUUGGUAGAACUGAACCUACAAUUUACAAAAGAGGUACCAAAAAAAAAAAAAACUAGAGAUCAAGGAGACCUUCAACGUUAAAACCAUAUCAUAGGGUAAUAAGCUAGUGUAACUUUUAGAAUUUGUAUUUUGCAUGAUCACAUUGUUGAUCACAUCUUUUAUAGAGGUAUCGAGAUAUAUAUUAAUGAGAAACGUAUAUAUGGAUAUAGGAUGUUGAGGAACUGACUUUGCAUGUCAUCUUGUGAAAAUGUAGUAACUUGUGACGUCUGUUUUUUUCCGUCACCAUAUUGUACUUGCUGAGGUUUCUGAUCACCACUGACCCAUGUUAAUCGUAUCUGCACCCAUAAUUCAUGGUCCAUUGUGUUAGAACUAUGAUCUCACAAGUUGAUAGAACCAUCUCAGCGAUAUUUUUUUUAUGGGAAAAAUAUACGAAAACAGACAUUUCAAUCAACUUGCUUCAAUUUGUUAAUUAAAUUAAGCUGUUCUUAAAGCUCAAAACCACUUUGCAGCCUUCAUAAGUGACUUCACGCUAAACUUAAUUAGUUCAAGACGAGAAUCACAUAAAAGGGAAAAUUUUAUUUUUCAAUUUUUCAUAUUGUGUUGCGAGACUAUGAAUAUACAUAAGUUAUUGCUAUGUCAAAAUUAAUAGUGAAAAUAAUAUAGAGUGUUACCGAUGUUCCCGUCGAAUCUGUGCUCGAUAGAUGUCCAUAUAAUGGCUUAUUUGGAGUGGCAAAUCUCACAGGGCUUGACCUUUUCAAAAUGCAAGGGGCCUCGAAUCCACCAGAAAACAACACAAAUUCAAUGUCCGUUCUGAUGUUAACAACAUGAAAUGAUAAUGCACCACCACAAGUGGACACCAAGCAUCGACCAUUCCGAUACUUUUUGCAUUCCUUCUUCUUGCAACUCAGAUAGUCAGGAUCAUUGCUCAUGUAUGCUGCCUGCAGCAAUUUCAAAAAAUGUCAACGUACUACAUAUUAUAUAUUACAGGUCAGUCUAUUUUGUUGUUAUUCUUAUCAAUGUGAGAUAGAGGGACUCGGAACCUCUUCCGACCUUUAAGAAAAAAAUCACUAAAUUAAGAGUUAGUUGAUUCUUGUUUUAAUUAUAUUGAUAUUGUUCACGUACUUUCUAAUCAGGUUAUUUAGGGCUUGUUUGAGAAUCACUUUAAAGUGGUUGUAAGUGAUUUUAUGAAGAAGAUAGUGGCGGCGCCAGGAUUUCACAUUAGAGGGGACCCUUCACAAAAUUUUUAAAAAUAAUUUGAAGAGAGGAGUGUUAAAUGCUAACUACUUAAUAAGUUAAUUUGACACUAACCACACGUUUUGGCCUACUUCAUAAUAUCAGUUGAUAUAAAUUAAUAAUAUUAUAUACAUUCUUUACAAUCAUAAUUGUAAUGAAUUUCUUAUUUAUUUUUAGAAACAUGAAUUUCAUAUUUUUAAUAAUUUGUCUACACUAUUAAAGACUGAACUUAUAAUAAUUUAUAUUCCAACAUAGAGAAGAAUAAAAAAAAGUUCAUAAAUCCCAACACUAAGGUACCCAACUCAAUGAACUCAUACAUGAAAAAAGGACGGAAAAAAAAAUAUAAAGCUUAAGUUAAAUAAAAGAAAAAAGAAAGAAAUGUUGUAAAUUUAGAGUUUUUAGUGCAAAUAUCAUAAAUUAAUUAAAAAAGUUUAAGGAAGAUAAGUAGAUAAGAGGUCAAGAAGUUUUAUGGUUAAUUUAUAGACAAUGAGAACCUAAUAUGUUGUUUAUUUUAGAAUAAAUAUCCUACAACUAAUCUAAUGUAUAGUAGUUACAUAAAAUUGGAAAAAAUGGAGUGGGGGCCUGGGACCACACUGGUCCCUUAAUGGCUCUGCCACUGUGCACAUAGCAGGCGCUUCUCCUUAGAAUCGUUUAAAAACACAUAUUAAGAAGCACGAGAGGUACUUCUCCCCAUACUUGAUUUUGUCUCUCCCAAAAUCACUUUAAAAUUAAAGAGACAAUUAUACUAAAAAGGAUAACAAUAUCUAACUAUGGUGAAAUCUAAACAUACGUAUAUAUUUUUGUUAAAGCCAACUAAUAUUUUCCCAAGACUCUCACCCUACAUGCACAAUGUUUUGUUUAUCAAGUUGCUGAGAAAAUCACCACCAUCUAACAAACAAAUAUAAUGAGGAAAACACAAUCCAAACAGUUGUAUUGAAAAUGGACACAGAACUUAUCCAACUAACUCAUGCUCAUCCACAUGUUUGGUUCAUCAUUAUCCGCUCAACAAAAUAUACGGGAAAUUGAUAUGGAUAUUAAAAUCAAAUGGAAUAAACUGUUAGGCCCAUAGGAUUAUGCUUUGUCAAACGUCAAAGCAAGUGCUUCGUUGGCUUUGUACGUAAAUGUUUAUGGUUUUCUUAACGCCACAUUGUUAGUAACGUCGUACAUUAAAGACAACAUGGGCUGCCCCAUGCCCAGCCACUUUUUCCAACUAUGUGGCUCUUAAAUUUUUUUAUUUUUGAUAUAUUUUUUUUCUCUUUAGCUUUUAUUCAUUACAAUUUAAAAACUUCUGUUACUACCGAAGAGCAAUUCUUUUGUGACCUAACUAUUAAUUAGGACUACACUACACUCUUGAAACCUAAUAUAUAUCAUGAGUUCUGAUCUCUUGGACCACAGGAGUCCAAGAGAUUGUGGUCACCCACCGUUGGAUAUUAAUCCAAUGGUUCAAAAAAGUUUCUUCAAAGAAGUGCAAGAGUGAGUGAACUGAAUUUACAUCCAACGGUGAGUGACCACAAAUUUCUUGGACCCCUGUAGUCCAAGAGAUCAGGACUGUAUAUAUCAUUACUGUUAUAGGAAUAGGAAUAUGAUCACUGGUAUAACUCGUCCAUUUGUAGAAUCUAGAACUUUUUUUUAUGCUGGGUUUUCGCUAAUACGGGUUUCGCAUGCCAAAAAUAAUUGAAAAAAAGAAAAGUUGGACAGAGAAGUUGACGAUGAACUUCUAAAACGAAUCCGAUAUCGCCAUAAAAGGAGGAGAGUGAGUGGUGUGUAUCAGUCGGGUGCCAAUUUCACAUUAUUUGGCAUCGAUAUCUACCAAAUCAAAGCUGAUAUUCACAUUAAUUCAUUACCAUAUAUCUAACUUUUCUGUUUUUUUUUUUCUUUAUAUAAAAAAAGGACCACAUGCAAAGAGAAAAAAAAGAUAUAUAUUUGUUUCUUUCUUUAAAAAGAAAAAGAAAAAAAAGGACAUGAGUAAUAUGAAAACGAUAAUUUUGUUUACCUUAACAGGAUAAUGGCAGAGAAGAGGAAGUUUGCUGAGAUCGCCAGUCUGUGCAUAGAGAAUCCCAUUUAAAGGACAGCUUGAGACACUGCAUAUCAUGUGAUAGCCAAAAAUAUAUAACAAAUUGAAAUAAUAUGAAGGAAAAAAAAAAAAGCAUGAAUAAAUUCGUAGAUAAUUAACGUGUACAAUUAUAUAUAUUGAAUUCAUACUCAGAAUGAGAAGGUGAAAUCAUGGCGACCCAAUCGUCUUUGGAAGGAUUGAGGACACCACUAACAUUGACACUCAAGAACUCUUCAUCUCCAAGGCCAGAAGAAGUUGAGUUAAUACUAAUUUGCAGAUAAGGGCUCGGAUGAGGACACUCAGCCAGAAAUCUUCUAUUCACAACCCUAAACUCAGAUAUUGCUGUGUAGUUAAGGUGUUGAACUUUGGAGUUGAAAACUAAAGGGUGCAAGGAUGACGACGACGAUGAAAAAGAAGCAAACGAAGAACCCAGAAAAAAGAUGAACACAAGGAAUGACAAGUUGAGAACAACACAAUAAGUGCUUGAGGAUCCCAUUUGAAAAUCAAAGUGGAAUUUUGUGAUUAUUUUCUAAGGCAAGAAACAAGGUUUAUAUAUAGAGAGAUGGUUCUUCUUCUUGCCUUGGUGGUCAUGGCGCUGUCCUUCUGAUUAUCUUCCUUAUUUAUUAGUUUCCCAUUUGAGUACGCAUGAGUUCAAUUUGGAAACUGGCUUCAUAUCAGAAUUUAGGGUAUGACAAGAACGUGGCUUUUUGUUUCCAUUGUAGAUAUCUUUUGAACAGAGAAAGACAGGUCAUAGGUGUGUACAUGGGCGAACAUUACGUUUUAAAACUGUUGUUUCUUCACGCAACGUUGUUUGGUUAUGUUGAUACCACGCAGGUGCGGCUGGGCCGGUAACAACCAAUUGCGGCUUUAAUUUUGUUUGUUUUUUCGGUUGGUCUCUCUUUUUUGUGCGAAAGCACAACGCUAUUUUCAAUCUACCCAUAUUAUACAUGUGCAUAUUUAUUAGGGGUGGAAUUUGGACCCCAAAAACCCACCACUUGACACAGUUGGUUUUGUUUGGGAACGGAUCCGCUGUCUCCAAUUUGGUUUCCCCUUCAUGUCUAUUCUCUAGUUAUUUGACAUGUGUCAUAUAACUUAACAGAGAGUUAACUCUGUUAACUUCCUUUUAUUUUUGACAUUAAAAAAAAUAAAAAACUCAACAAAUACCAAGUAAAGGAGCGUACGCAUCCCAACAGUAACCCUAGGCCAUUGCCUUCAAGGGCCAAAGUCAAUGCCCCUUCGAUCCCAUAGAGCAAGUGCGAGUUGAUCGUGAGGUGCCUUUGGCUGUUUCUACGUGGACAUGAAUCUUGGUUGUGGAGAGCUUCUUGUUGUUAAAGAUGUCCAAAUUUUCUAUUUGUUUUCUACUGUUUUGUGAGUUAUCUUUGGGUUUUGGAGUUUGCUUCUGUUCUUUCAGACUGUCGAUUCCUUCUCGGUUUUAUUUCAUUUUGGUUUCGGAGUGUCCCUUUAGUUCUGGCUUGUUAUUUGUUUUGGGUUUUGGUUGAUUUGUUUCUUUGGAUUUCAAUUUCAUUUGAUUUUGUGAACUGAGAGGUUGAAUAGGAGUUAUCUCCUCCAAAUCGAUUUCUUGUUUUUUUUUUUUUCUUUUUUUGCUCAGAAUCCUCCAAAUUGAUUUCAACACUCACGUAUCUUCCCUUUGUUUUCUCAUAAAUCAAACAAUCUCUUCAUCGUUCUAGCAUUUGUGUGACGUAAAAGAUGAGUGGGUUUCAUUUUGUGAUUCAGAUGUCUUCUUCUUAGGGAUUGUGAUUCCUCAUGUCUCAUAUCUCUUCCAUUUUGUGAUGUAUUGGUUUUAAGUUCACUGCACUUUCAUCUCGGGCAUUUUUUAUAUAAUUUUUAAAGGAUUUUUCUUAAUGAUAAAAUAAAACAAGUUAACAAAGUUAAUUUUCUGUUAAGUUAUAUGACAUGCUUCGAAUAAUUAGAGAAGGGACACAAAGGGGACACCAAAUUGGAGACAGCGGAUUCGUUCCCGUUUUGUCUAGGGUUGGGUAUAGGUUGGGUUGGUUCAAUUUUGGUCCCAAUCCGAUAUAUAGCGGUUUAUGAUUUUUUAAACUCAGACUCGCAUAUUAUUAGGCCAACUCAACCCAACUCGACCCUCUAAUGAUCGGAUUGGACGAUUCAAUUGAGUUGACCUGCAAUUGUAGUUAUUUUUUGGACUGAACCGAGGUGGCGUUGUAAAAACGGUAUUGGAGAUCUGAAUUGAAACCAUCAAUAACCGCAACCAAAAUAUAUAUACAGUCCCCUUUUAUUAAGGGAUCCCUCAAAUAAUUUAGGCUCCCCUAUGAAUUUUGUUUCAACGAUCCAAACCAUCUAUUUUUUCAAUCUACAUUCAUAGAUCAUCCUUACAAAAAAUUAGACAAAUCGGAAACCGUUUCGACAUCCAAUUGUGUCCUACAAAAUCAAUAAAUAUGGUGCUUCAAGAAAGUACUAAAAUUUCAAUAACUCAAUUGAGUGGUCAAAUGAUAUCGGAUUCAAGUGAUUUUUUUGUAAAGAUGAUCUUUAGAUGAAUAUCUAAAAAAUAAACGGUUUGGAUUAGUGAAAUACAAUUAAUGCGGAGUGGGCCCUAUAAGGAUGUCCCUCAAAUAAGUUUAUUUAAGGGAUAUCUCAAUAGAAACUCUAUGUAUAUAUAUACAUAGAGAGCUUCCCUUAGGAUACCCUAUAAAUUUUUUUUCAACAAUCCAAACCGUCUAUUUUUCAAGUCUUCAUUCAUAUUCCUUGCAAAAAAUCAGAAAAAUUAAAAAUCAUUAAGGCAUCUAAUCGCAAGCAACAAAAUAGACGAAUGCUUCAAGAAAAUACUAAAAUAACAAUCAUCUAAUUGACCGAUCAAAUAGUUUCAGAUUCAAGUGAUUUUUCGAGAGAUGAUAUUUGAGGGAAUAUCUAAAACUUAGACGGUUUGGAUCAUUGAAAACAAUGUGUAAUGGGCCCUACAAGGGUGUCCCUCAAAUAAGCUUAUUUCAAGGAUCCCUUAAUAUAAGCUCACUAUAUAUAUAUGGGCUGUUCAUCUUACAAAAAAAAACAUAAAAUAUAUGUACUGUUUGUUAGUGGUAUGCCCUUAAAGCCAACUAAGUAUAUGAUAAUUAAUGUUAAGGACAUCUUUUGUAAUAACUUAAUGGGAAAGACCAGUUGUUUUCAACUAUGAUAUUUGAUAUAUUAUCAUAACAGUAAAACAACUGUAGUCCUAGGAAGAUAUAAGUGAACAUGAGAACUAUGUAAUGAGAUUGUAUACAUCGAGACUUAUCAUGAUCUCUAAUUCUAAAUAUGUUCCUGGUCAUAGGAGUAUUAAUUGGGUGUUGAUAUUCUGCUAAGACCAGUACACAUAGUAUCUGAUCUUAAUGUAAAGAAUGACGAGGUCUCAAGUCAUUGAGUGUGGCGACACCAAGAUAUGUGUGUAGGUGCUUGUAAGAGAACAAGUACACUGAAUGCAAUCAAAUACAUGAGUUCUAUAAUGAAAGUCUUUACUCACAUGUCAAACUAUAACUCAUAGAUUGCAAUGGUGCAAACUAAUUCUUUGACCUAAGACAUCAUAGAUGUCUUGUGGCUAUGUUGUUUGUCUUUGAGGGCACUAUACAUUUGUGUUGUGGAAGACAUGACGUAAAGGUGUUUAUCAGGACUCUAAAUAAAGCCUGGGAAACAAAUAAUUAUACAAUAAAGGAUCUCUACUCUCAGCAAGAAUAUGAUUGAUCAAAUUUCUGCGCAGAGUAGUGGAUUUUUGAAAGAAGAAGUCUUUAAAUCUUACCAGGAUAAUCAUAUAAAGGAAUAAUUCACAUUAGGAUAUUCGACAUUAGAUUGUAUUAUCUAAUAAUCUGAAUAAGAAGUAUUGUAUAAGAGAAUGAUUCAAUUGCAUAGUCAUUCCAAUUUGAAUAAGUUCUUCCCUACACCCUAUUUAGCUCGGAUAACCAUGACAUGCUACUAGGCGUUAACCAUGAUUUUUGGAAGUCCUGAAAGGUUCAAUCAUAAUUGACCUUCACUAAGGAAGAAUUAAAUAGUGAAAUUUAAUUCACAAGUCAACUUAGAGAAGUUGAGUCUACCUUGCUGAAAGGAACCUACGGAUUGCUCACUGAAUGAGAUCAGAGGAACAAAUGAAGAGAAAAGCAACUAGGAGUCAAAAGUCAAAGUCAAAGUUAACAUGAUUGACUGAGUCAAAUAGUAAGACUAUAAGUGUAACUUAAUGGUUAAAUUAUAAUUCAUAAUUAAAAGUUAAUUAUGAAAUUAACUUUGACAUAAAGAAUUGGGUUUUAAAUAUAAUUUAAAAGAAGAAUGACAAAAUACCCAAAAGCCAAUUGGGCCAUUGGAUAAGUGUUGUAUGACAACACAAAUCCAAAAGACCCAAGUGAGGCCCAUCUUCCCAUUUGGCCGAAUUUUGGGGAGAGAAAUUCUCUCUCUCCCUUUGUAUGCUUUUUCCUAUAAAAGCCAAACUUGACUCAAAACCUAGUUAGGGUUUUUGGCAUUUCAACUUGGAGUUCUUGAUGUGUAGGAGAGACAUCCUCCCUCUCAUCUUUCUUAGCCAAAAAUGGGACCAACUAAGAGGUAAUCUAGCAUCUAAGGCCUCUUGGUUGAUCUUCUUUCUAUAUCUUGUCCAUUUUGGUGUGGUGAGGUAGAGGGCUUCUACUUUGGAGCCUCUUGGUUAAAGAGUCUACAUUCUAAGAGGAGAUUGAAGGCCUUUCCAACAAGGUGAUCAUUCUUGGUUCUCCAAGAAAGUCUACAGGGGUAAAAGCUUAACCUUUCUUCUCUUUUCUAUUUUGUGCUCAAAGAGACUAGAUCAUAAGAUACUUGGGUUAAAAUGAAAAAGGCUUAGCUCAACUAGAAUAAGCAUAAUCCAUUCGCCAUUAUGAAUGUUUAUGUGUCAUAUGUUGUGGCUAAAUUCAUUCCAAGAUUCAUAAGAUGCAAAAUGUUUCCUUCACCAUUGGAUUAGAUGACUUUAGCUCCUCUCUCCCUUAGCUUCAAGUCUCUCUAUUGACCAUCAUAAUCGCCACUACCCAAAUCGACUACUCUCCCUCUCAUUCCGACCAACAAAGUAUUCUCCCAUUCUCUCACAAUUUUGUCAUGAUUUCGUGAAUUUGUGGUCUUGAUUUCUCUCAACUAUCUCACUCUUCGUUCUAGAUGAUGACGCCUAUAAAUGGCAUCAGACCAAAAUGAGCCUAUAAAUGGGCUAAAAGCAGCCCAAGAAAAUUUAUAUACCGUUAAACUUAGACUUAAAAAAGGCCAAUCAUAUGGAUGUGGUAGGCCAAUUAUUGAACCUUACUAGCCAACUACUUGCGAUAUUAUCGAUUGUUGGCAAACCAACGCCGACUUUUCGGCGUCGUUACCUUUUCAUAUUAGGGUUUUGACAAAAGUAAUGUAAUCCUAUAAGUGAAAAAUUCAUAUUAGGGUUUUGAAAAAAGUAUCCAUACCCUGAUAAUAAGAAUUACGAGCACUGUAAUAGAUAAGGAAUCAAUUGCCCGACAAUUCCAACUUGAAUAGGUUUUUCAUCUUUUCUGAUUAGCUUGGGUAGCCAUGAUAUGUUGUUUUGUGGAAGUCUUGUAAGGUUCCAUAAUAAUUUUCCUUCGCUAAUAGGAAGAAUUAAAUGUUGGGGAUUAAUUCAUAAUCAACUCAGAGAAGUUGAGACAACCCACUGACUCGCUAAAAAGAACCUACGGAUCUGCAUAUCGAAAAAUGUAGUUUUAGGAAUAAAUGAAGAAGAAGGAGAAACUUGGAAAACAAAUGAAGGAGAUAAGACGUUGAAAGUCAACAGUCAAAGUCAACAUGUUUGACCAAAAUAGUUGACUAAGUCAAACUAUUUUAACUAAGGAUAUGACUUAAUGGUUAAGUCACAAAUUAUAAUUAAAAAUGUUAAUUGUGAAGUUAGUUUGAUAGUUGGACUCGAUUUGGGCUUUAAAGGUAUUUUGGGUCAAAGAGCAAAAUAUCCCAAUGACCCAUUGGGCCUAGGAAUAUGUGUUGUAUGACAAUACAAGUUAAAUGAGCCCAAAAGGAGCCCAAACACCACCUUGGCUGAAAUUCUUCAUCUUGGACUUGUUUGGUACGUCGGACUGUACUGACUAAUUUCUGUCGGAUAAUAUUAAUCCAUUCCGGAGAGUGCUGACUGUUUAUCCAUAAUAUUAUAAGGUGUUUGGUGCUGUUCCGGAUAAAUAGUCUGACUAAGUUAUAUUGUGUUGGUUCUGUUCCGGAUAACAUUGGAUCGACCUAUUUUUUAACAAAAAUUCUUUGACAAUUUAAGUGGAAAUAUAGACAAUAUUAUUUACAUAUAUAUAAUUAAGAAAAAAAAAAAAGAGAAUAUAUUGAAGCCCAACAAAAGCAGUCAAGAAGAGAAUCAACAGCCAGUAGUAGCAAUAUAGAAAAAACCAGAAAACAAACCAACAAAUCACCAAAAGUAGAAAAAAAAAAUUACAGCAAAAAAAAAAAAAAAAAAAAACAUAGCCUCAUUGUUCUAAUCGCUAACUUGAGAUGAUAAUUUGAUUAUUAAGUUGGAUACUUGGAGAAGAGGAAAUACAUAAAGAAAAAAAACUCAAGAAAAACUCAGCAGCAUUUAUUGAGUUGGAUACAUGGCCGCAUGAUGAUUAUUUGAUUAUUGAGUUGGGUACAAGGCCGCAUGAUGAUUAUUUGAUUAUUUGAUUAUUGAGUUGGAUACACAGCUGCAUGUAUUGUUCCAAUACAGUAAGAAAAAGAAAAGUCAAAAAGGAAAAACUCAUAACCUAAUUUCUACAAAGAUUUAAUACAAGAGUAAAUAUAUAAAGAAGGAGAAGAUGAAGAAAGAAGAAGAGAGAAGAAGCAUAUUGGGGGGAGAGAGAGAGAUAUAUAUAUAUAUAUAUAUAUAGAUACCUAGAGAAUAGUGAAGAGAAUAACCUUAGAGAAGAUAGCAGAGAAGAACCUUAGGGAGAAGUAGAUGAAAAUAGCGUCGUCGAAUUUUUCACGUGAACGUGUGUGUUCUUUUUCCCUACCUGUAUAAUUAAGCGUAUAUUAUCUAAACCAAGGUGUGUAAGUUUUAUUAGUUAGUCAGGUAAGGAAAGUAUUAAAAGCCCAACCCGUAUAAAAUAGUUAGGUAAUUAUAUAAUAUAAGUUGACACCAAACACCUGACAUGGACUAUUUACUCAUAUCCAGAGUCUAAUACGGUGUACCAAACAAGCCCCUUAUGUGUUGGCUUUAUAAGCCAUACUUAGGCUAUUCUCAAGUUAGGGUCUAAGCCUCCUAAGAAAUUGGGUUGUGGUGUUGAGAAGAAGGAGAAAUCUUAUCCUCCAUCUUAGCUAAAAUCGGUCCACCAAGAGGGAGUCUAGCACCUCUAACUUGUUGGUUGAUAUCUUCUUCAUCUCUCUUUACAUGUGGUGUGCUGAAAUAGAGGCCAUGUCCUUUGGUGCCUUUAUUGAAGAAUCUCUACAAGUUCAAGGAAGAAAGAAGGCCUUGCACGAGGUGUUCAAACUUGGUUUAACCAAGAUGAGCUUCAAGGGUAUUUUCUCAUCCUUCUUCCUGUUUAGUUUUGUGUAUAAAGAGAUUAGGCCUCAAAGAUACAUGGGUAAAAUUUGAAUAGACUUAGCCCAACGAGUUUUAAGUAAAUUACUUAUGCUUUUGAAUAGAUGAUUUAUAUGUUUUGUUGCUAAAAUUCAAUUGAAAGUUUUAAGAUACAUGUUUCCUUUUGGAACCACAACGUUUACAUGCCAAGAUUUUAUGCAUUAAAUAGUUUCCCAAUUAUAACCAAAACAACUCCUUUUUACAACAAACUACAUAUUUUGGUCACUAAGACAACAAAUACAUGGUUUAAACUACUUUUCUAAGCAGCGAAUUUUUUAACCAAAUUGAAAACCACAUUCACAACAAUUAAAAUACAGAUGAUCAACAACAUGUCUUUUAUUCCUUUUAGCAUAUUCACAAUAUAUGCAACUUGUAGCUGAGUAGAUUUAAACUAAUGAGUCAUUUGAUUGAUUGUCUUCCCUCCAUUACGAGUGUCUCUUGCUAUGGUAUCUUCCCUCACUUGUGUGUUCCCCCGUCUAAACCUCUUAAUGUCAACAUCAUCGCACCAUACAAAACUUUUGCAUUCAACACCUUCCUGCAUGAUACAAACACUUGGCAUAACCACAUCAUCCAUAUUAGCUUAUAUAUAUAUUUCAAAACCAAACCUCACAUAAGCUACUUAUUGUGUGUAGUUGAGCUCAUCCCCUUAUAUUUCUUGUACUUAAUGUUGACGUGAGUCUCCUAAUUAAUCAAGAAGAUUUACUUCCUUGAUUAAUUAAGGGAUUUACUUUCCUAUUUUUUAUAUAAGUGAUAAAUCAUUGUACAAUUAGGAGAUACUUUCCUAAUUCUUUACUAUAUUUAAUUCCUUGUAAAACCUUCAUAUGUAAACUCCUAUAUAUACCUCCUUAUGGAGAAUAAUAAAGAACAACCCAAAGUAUUCAAACCAUAUUCAUAUUUUAGCAUGGUAUUAGAGUCAGGUUCUCUUGUGGCCUGUGCUUGCGUUGUUCUUGAAAUUUAAGUGUUCUCUUCCCAUCCUCUUCAAGGGGGGAGGGGGAGUGAAAAUGAUAUGUUUACUGACAUGUCCCCAUUAUCUUAACGUAUUCCCAUGAAGAUACUGCAUAUUUCUUUACUCUGACGACCCCUUCUCUUCAAGGGGAGAGGGGGAGUGAAGAGACGUUGUUUUGUCUCUAAACCCUUAUCUCAAAUUUCCCAUAUUCAAAUCCAAAACCCUAAAUCAAAUUCCUCAUAAUUUUUUUCCCCAAAUCCAAAUCCCUCAAAUCUAAAGUCCUCAAAUCCUCUUAUCCAAAUUCCUGAACACAUACCAUCAAAUCUUAUACACAUACCUCUUAAAUCCAAUUCCUACAUCAAAUUCAUACAUCAAAUUUCUCACAUCACCUUCCUCACCUUCUCAUAUCACAUCUUACUUCUGCUGCGAUGUCAAGAACCCAUACGAUUCUCCAUCUUAUUGCAGACUCAUAGAAGCAUGCGGUCAACCCAGACUCCUUCUUCUAUCACCACCACCAAAGGUUCUACUCUUCAUACGUCCUCCAAGAUCAGAUAUUGCAUAUGAUGUGAGUGUGGAAGAGUAUUUCAUGACUCACUUACCAAGUUGGGCAUUCGUGACAUAUAUGCACCAACUUGAGGAGGAGUGUUGACGUGAGUCUCCUAAUUAAUCAAGGAUAUUUACUUCUUUGAUUAAUUAAGGGAUUUACUUUCCUAUUUUUUAUAUAAGUGAUAAAUCAUUGUACAAUUAGGAGAUACUUUCCUAAUUCUUUACUAUAUCUAAUUCCUUGUAAAACCUUCAUAUGUAAACUCCUAUAUAUAUAUAUAUCUCCUUAUGGAGAAUAAUAAAGAACAACCCAAAGUAUUCAAACCAUAUUCAUAUUUUAGCACUUAACAAUUGUUAGUAGAUUGUUUCUCUUUCUCGCUUACUCCCCUAGUUGUUCCCUUGAUGGUUUUGUGGGUUAACAAAUACUUUGUGUUAUUUACAUUAUUUUGGCUUUUAGCUUGUUCACCACAACUGUCUUUGUGUUUAUUUCUAUAUAUAUGGAGCAAAAUUUUAAUUUGCGAGUUUCUAUCCAUGAGCCUACCCCUGCCCACUCCCCUCUUGUGGGCGUUUACAAAGCUAAGCUCAUGUAAAGAUCUAAGUGUUUUAUCCUUGUGCAACAAAAAAUUGCAGCUACAGAUCUAACUUGAGUGAGAAAAAGAAAAAGGAGAAGGAAAGAAAGAAAAGUGGGGGAGAAGGAAAAACGAAAGAGGAGAGAAAAAAAAGUAGGAGAGAUAAAGUUGGGCUUGGGGAUUAGGUAUUGGGUUUGGGAAUUUGGUAUUGGGCUUGGGAAUUUGGUAUUGGGCUAGGGAGUUAGGUUUGGACUUCAAAAUUUAGAAAAUAAAAUAAAAGAAAUAUUAUAGUCGGUCCGGUUCAAUUCGAAUAAGUUUUUUAAGAUGAAAAUGAAUCUGAAAUCAGACCAAACCGGUUUGAUUCAGUUUUUUGAACAGAAGUCAAUCUUUUGUUCAAUACGGUUUUUCUUGGCUUGGUUCAACCCGGUUAAUCAGUUUUUCGGUUUCGAUCCUUGCCCUUUUGAUGAGGUAAAGGUAUUCGUUUGAUCUUUUGAUUAGGGCUAAACAAUUUCCUAAACAAUUCCAAAGAUAACUGGUAGUAAUAUAAUUAUCAAGAGGUAUCAAUUGCAAUAUAAACUCUGUAUCAUUAGUCAGCUGUAAAAACUUAUUCCAAAGAAGGUCUAGAUCUUUACCUAAGAGAAGAAAACAGUCCAAAAAUCAUGAAAACCAAACGUAAAUUUUGUGGGCCCUUCUGUAUUUGUUUUUAACGCACCCUCCAAUGGAUUGCAUAGUCUAACUGAAACUUAGAGGGAUAAUGCAGUCUUGGUACCACGUAGUAAUCUAGGAAAGUUGUUUUUAAUUUGCAUUGGCUGGCCAAAAGGUCAAUUUUCUGACCCUCUCAUUGUUAAGACCGACGGCACCUUUUAAGACACUCACAACCCUUAUUGAGCUUUCUCUUUCACUGAUACCACCUAGAGGCUUAGAUCUUGAAAGCAUCCAACUAAUCAAGUGUUAUUGAUUUCUUCUUGGUUUGUUUUUGGUGAGCUAAUUUGACUCACUCACUCUGUGUAUACUUCUUAUGGCUUUGAUUUUUUUGGGCCAGAUAUGGCUGUGAUUCCAAUAAGAAAAAUACAAAAUUUGAAAGCAUAGAUAUAAACCGAGAUAAGAACAAAUUUGGCAAGAAUUUUUGAUACACACUAUGGUUAGUGUAGGAAAUUACAGAUCGUGCAUCAACGAGGACUGCUAGCAGCGAAACUCGAAUACUUACACACAGUGCAAGGACCUUACCAACUGAACCAACCCUCAUUGAUGUCCUUUUAAGCCCUUAACAUUGAAUCAUAACCCUAAAUUCUAAAAUAUAUAACAUUGUUUUAAUCACGUAUAAACAUUAUUAAAAUAUAAAAUAUAUACGUAAAAUCCUAUUGGAUUCUCUCAAGAUGCUAUUUCGUAACCUAGAAAAGUUAGGAACCCAAUUUAAUAAUAAUUUGAUUGAAAUUUUAUUUUGUAUUCACCCAAUGACUAUUGUACUAUGCUGAUCCAGAAUCAGAUAUAAUAUACCCAAAAAAAAAUGGCAUUAAAAAAGAGAGGCAGUGAGAGUCUAGUUUGACUUCCCUAUGCUGGGCAUGCAGCAUGUAAAUGCAAACAAAUAAUUCAGAGACAACAAUACAAAGGAAUUGGAAUUGUUCUGCCGAGCCCGAAUUAUAAAUAGUAAGUGCCGAGAAAGAAAGAAACUGACAGAUGCUUCAAGUUGUCGACUUAUAUUUGGAGCAACCCAUGCAAGUGCUGGCUGACUCAUAACUCAUUAUCAUCCCACACCCACAUAUAUAUGUGUAUAUCCAUGGAAUAAUGGUUGUAAAUAUAUUUGGAAUAAAUGGUAAAAUAUAAUGUUUUCAAUAGUUGCCACAUCUGAGGAGCAAUAUUUGAGCGUGAGAGUUUUUUCUUUAAAUAAAUAAAACAUUAUUUUAUUCAAUAAUUAUGGUACAUGAAAUUUAAACUCGGAACUUGCUCUAGGUGUCAAUACUAGUUCUUUACAAAAAAAAGUGGUGUGAAUCUACCAGAGUUUGCACUCCAUAGCUGACGAUAUUUGGCAACUGAUGGGAAAUUCUCUCAAAUAUCAAACUCACAUUUAGAGAGAAUCGAAUAUUAGCGCGUUUUGUUCUUCAUAUUGGAACUUCACUAACUUGGUUUGAGGAAUCCCCAUAUUUUAUAGUUGAUCUCUUAUUUGAGGAUUGUAACUUGUAAUUUUUUCGGGUAUGUUCUGAUGGGGACAGGGGGCACUCUACUGGAGGUAAGGCUCCUGCUCCCGCUUUGCAGUUGAGCGGGUACGGUUAUUCAGUUACCCCGACGAUCGAGUCCAAUGGUGUAGAGACACUCACCUAAUUCCGGACGACAUAGCCUGAUUUUUGUACUUGUUACUCCUCUUUAUCAAAUAAAAUACUAUCGUUAUUCUCUUAAAAAAAGAAAAAGAAAGAAUUGAACAUGGUAGCAGAUCUUUUAACAAAGAAGGGUCAUUAAUUUAUAAUCAUUUAUGUAAUUGGUUUAGAAGUUUUCCUUUGGAUAUUAUCAAACAAAAUACAAGAGUUAUUAUAAUGGGAACACAUUAAAAGUUAGAACCCAAACCCUUCUUAUAUGUGGAUGUACAAAUAUAUAGUAUAUAUUUUGUUAAACAUUAGGUCAUCUAUGAGCUCUCUUGAUGUAGGGCUAGCGUUAUGCAUAGGAAUCACCUUCUAAUAUGCCUUGCUUUUAUAAGAAUGAAUAAUAAUAAUAAUAAAAAGUAACCAUUGGUGAAUUACUGUGAUAGAGUUUAGCAGUGACAGGAAUAUAAUACAAAUCCAUAAAGCAAGUUAAUUGUAUUUCUAAACAGUGAAAAGAUUAAGGAAAUGUGAUGUGUUGCAAUUUUUGUUAGAUACAAAGGGAUGGAACCCUCAAUUAGGGGUUAUCAUUAGGCCCGCAAGCCCGUGGGCCGAUGAGGGCUCGUCCUGCGGAUCGAGAAAAAGCCCAGCCCUUACCCGUUAUAGGCCAUUACCCGACCCGGCCUAUUGUUGAGUGGGCUAGGCUGGGCUUGGGCUUAGGUGUUUAAAGCCCGGCCUAGCCCAUAGGCUUGGCCUGUUUGAGCCCAAGAAAGCCCGGCCUAGCCCAUAAGCUUGGCCCGUUUGAGCCCAAGAAAGCCCGGCUCUGCCCGCCCAUAAAAGGUUGGCCCACGGGCUCACAUAUAUAUAUAUAAAUAAAUUUAUAUAAAAAAAUUCAAGUUAAAUGAAAGAUGGAGAAAAUCAUGAUCUAUUAUCAUUGUAAGAACUAAAAACAAAAAGAAGUAUGGGAUAAAAUAUGAGUUUAUUAAUAUGGCGGUUGUAUAACUAUAUCUUUAUAUUUAUGGGAAAAAAAAAAAAAGAACUAUGAAGUUAUGAACAAAGAAAAAAAUGGAGACGACAAAUGUAAAAUAGAGGGCUAGGUAAAAAAAGAACUAUAUAUUUAGCCAACUCUUAUUUUGUUUUUCUUCUUCUUUUUAUAUUUCAUAAAAUAGAGAGAGAGAGAGAGAGAGAGAGAGAGAGAGAGAGAGAGAAUGUUUAUCCUUUUUAUUCAAUUUUGUUAAACGGCCUUAAAAUCCACAUGUUUAGGUUGCAUUAAUUUAUCCUGCUUUAUGUUCUAACUUCUUUCUUUAAUAUAUUAGUGCCAAGGUGAAAAAUCAAUAUGAAUUCUUAUAAGGAUGCGAUUUUCUACAGCUACUGCGAUAAAUUUUCCUGCUAUGAUCCUCAAGAAGAACUAGCUCACAUGAUUAAACGUCACAAGCACGCACCUGAGGUGUAGGGGCUGAGGGCACCAGACAAUCGUAAGAGAUGCAGAUUAUGUGUGCACAAGAAUGGGUAUGACCAUGCAAAGGUCGUCACUGAUCAAAGUGCUUUGGACAAACAUAUGGACAAGGUCCAUCCAAUGUGGGAGGACUUGUACCCACAGUGCCAUAAAAAAAAUUGUCACAAAGUAUUUUUGAAUAACGAGGAGUAUGAGGCCCACAAAUAGGGGUCAUCAUUAGGCCCGCGAGCUCAUGGGAAGAUGGGGGCUCGACCUUUUGUUGAGUGGGCCGGGCUUGGGUUUAGGUGUCUAAAGCCUGGCCUGGCCCAGCCAGCCCAUAAAGCCCGGCCCAAGGGCUCACAUACAUAUAAAUAAAUAUAUAAAAAAAAACCCAAGUUAAAUGAAAGAUGGAGAAAAUCAUUAUCUAUUGUCAUUGUAAGAAAAAAAAAAAAACUAUGGGAUAAAAUAUGAGUUUAUUAAUAUGAUGGUUGUAUAACAAAGAAAAAAAUGGAGACAUAAACAUAUAGACAAAUGUAAAUAGAGAACUAUGAAAAAAAAUGGAAACAUAGAAACACACCAAAAACAUAGAAAAAAUAAAUAAAGAAUUGACAAAAAAAAUCCAUAUAAAAAAAAAAGACAAAAUAAAGUAAGCCCAUUUAGGCUCGCCCUGAUGACUUUUUCAACCCCGGCUCAUGGGAUGGGCUUGGGCUUUGAAUUUUCUAAAAAAAUCAGGCCUGACCCUGCCCGUUAUUCUCACUCCUCUUUGUAGCCCGGCAUAGCCCAACCCAAACCCAUUAAAUUUGGGUCGGGCUAGCCCGACCCGAGGCCUACCCUCAACCUAUUCUAAUCAAUUACCACUAAAUGGAGCUAUAUUUUAUAUAUUUAUUAAAUUUAAUUGUACUACUCCAACCACUUUUCAAACCAUCAACAUGUGUAGAAUUCUCAUGACGCAUCAAUAUACUCUCAAACAUACUAGGUGCAAUGAUGUGGUAUAUCACUAAUUAAUGCUGAUUAGCUAGUUUAAAGUAGGGUUUAAUUUCAUAUCACAUUAAUUCGUUUUUUCAUUUUUAAUACAUGUAAUAUUGGGAAGGGGAGAAUCGAACGUACGGAAAUAAAUAAUUUUAACCACUUAAACUACAAAUUCUUUUGUCACAUCCGUUAUUUAUACCAAAGAAAAGUUUAUUGAGGGAAUGUGCUAGGCCCUAGGGUAAAAAAAGGGAAAUACACAAGGAAUGGGGCCAUAUGAUAUUCUCCCACCCAAGACUCCGCACCAAAAGUUAAAUGUUCUAUCCACUUUUGGCUUUUCCUAUAAUUUCCUUGUCUCUUUGUCUUAAUGUUAGAAGAAAGUACCAAGUGGAUGGUCUAUGCCUUUGAAAGAAUCCAAAUACAAGUUUUGGAAGCACUAGCAAGGCUCUCCCUUGCAAUUCCCUCUAUUACCCACUAAGCAACAAGGAAGGUUGUUGUUUUGUUUUGUUAGGACAUGUUUGGAAGGGCAUUGUGUUGGAGAAUAGUACCAAAACCUGGCCAGCUCUUAUUCCCAUCCACCUCACAUGUUGACAAAAAUGAACUGAGAGAGAGAGAGAGGGAAACAAAGCAACAAAGCAAACAAUUAAGAUAGGGAGAAAAUCUAGAGAGAGAGAGAGAGGGAGGGCUGGCUCUGUAUUUCACUAAUUCCAUAUUCCUCUGAACACACUCAAAGGACACACAAAACAAAGCAAUGACGACAAAAGCAGCCUCUUGUAUUGUCGCCAACGCAGCCAUGGAAAAGUCCUUCAAAACAAGACCUUUAUUACUAUUUCAGUCACUUUGCAACAAAACUUCACAUCACAUGAAACCCUUUGGAGUUCUGGACUCGCUUUGAUGGAGUAGGAGGUCGAGCCAACCAAUUAAGGAAACUUCCGCAGGAACUUUGCUGGGUUUUCUGUCCAGUGAGGAAUUUCAAUUUCGUUUGAACUUGGUCAGUUAUUUUUCGGAGGAACUAGUAACUUUCUCAGGUAAUUCUUUGCCUCUGUGUCAUUAUUUUGAUUCCUCGGUUUUGAUGUGUGCUUGGAAAUUAGUACAAAAUCCCAGUUGCUCAUUUGUUGUGAUGUUGUUAAAGAGGUAGAUUGUUUUGUUUAUCUUUUGCUUUCUUUUGUGUGGCAUGAUUUUUCUUUAGGCUCUCUUUGGUUGGUGGAAAAGUAGACAUUUGAACUUGUUAAUUCCCAAAAUUUUUUAUUGCUGAGCUAUAAUGAAUUGGCUCCAUGUGUCUCAGCUAUAAUGAAUUUGUUAGUUUUGUUAACAAUGGAAUCAUUUGCAAGAACAAGAAUCAAAUAUUGUAUUUUUAAUCUUCUGCUCUUUUGCUCUGUUUCUCAGAAACCACAAGGUCAGUUGACCCAAUUCACAUCAAAUUUACUGGGAUCCCUGGGUAAUUUUGAUUGUGUGUUCUCUGAUCUUCUUGCCUGUUUCUUGACCUUGCUAUUUAUGCGUUAUUAGAUACCAAAAUAAGGUCUGUCUGGAUGUGGAGAAAUUUCAGUUGAAAUCGAAGCUCUUCAUAUUUGGGAAACCAAACCGGUAGAAAAUAAUAUUAAAAAAAGCAGACUUAAUUAAAUUUUUUUUUUCUCGGCUGCUUCCCUUCCGGUCUAAUUCUUUCUGUUUUGAAACAGUUCUGGCAAUCUGAUCUUCAGCGUCCCCUAAUUGUUUUUAUUGUUAAUUGAAAGAAUGGCGCAAGAGGACGGGUCCCCAGUAACUUCAUCACCCCUGCAGUUCUUUCCCUGGCUAUCUCCUGGGAUGGGAUCUCCAUACCCAACAUGGCUCAGGGAGCUAAAAUCUGAAGAGAGAGGUUUAUAUCUGAUCCAGCUUCUUUAUUCUUGUGCUAACCAUGUCGCUUCUGGUAGCAUUGAGAAUGCAAAUAUUUGGCUUGACCAUAUUUCUCAGCUAGCCUCUCCUGAUGGAGAUACAAUGCAGCGAAUAGCUGCUUAUUUCAAUGAGGCACUUGCAGACCGGAUGCUUAAAGCUUGGCCUGGUCUGUAUAAAGCCCUUAACUCAACGAAAAUAACAUCAGUCUCAGAAGAAAUUCUCGUUAAAAGGCUCUUCUGUGAUCUAUGUCCUUUCUUGAAGGUUGCGUACGUGGUUACAAAUCAGGCCAUAGUGGAAGCAAUGGAAGGAGAAAAGAUGGUUCAUAUUAUUGAUCUUCAUUCAUGUGAGCCUGCCCAAUGGAUUUAUCUGAUUCAGACAUUAAAUGCUCGACCUGAAGGCCCGCCUCAUUUGAGAAUUACGGGCAUUCACGAACAGAAAGAGGUAUUAGACCAAAUGUUCCAUCGCUUGACUGAAGAAGCAGGAAAUCUGAACAUCCCGUUUCAGUUCAAUCCUAUAGUUAGCAAGUUAGAGAACCUUGAUAUCGAAAGUUUGCGUGUCAAGACUGGAGAGGCUCUUGCAGUCUGCUCUGUAUUGCAGCUACAUUCUCUCUUGGCAGCUGAUGAUGAUCUUAGGAGAAAAUCACCAUUAGCAUCUAAGAACCUGCAGAAAGUCUUGCAUAUGAAUAAACUCACUUUAGGAGAGUGGCUGGAGAAAGAUCCAAUCAGUGCAUAUAACCUAAGUCCUGAUUCUGCAUUGUCCCCACUAUCAGGUGGUUCACCAAAGAUGGGGAGUUUUUUAACUUCUCUUUGGGGCCUUUCACCAAAGCUAAUGGUGAUCACCGAGCAAGAAUCAAACCACAAUGGCCAUACAUUAAUGGACAGGAUCAUGGAAGCAUUGAACUUUUAUGGAGCUCUUUUUGAUUGCUUGGAGUCUACAGUACCGAGAUCACCAAUGGAGCGACAAAAGGUUGAGAAGAUGCUUUUCGGAGAGGAAAUAAAAAACAUCAUAGCAUGUGAGGGAACCGAGAGAACAGAGAGGCAUGAGAAGCUUGAGAAGUGGAUUUUAAGGCUUGAGUUGGCUGGGUUUGGCAGGGUCCCUUUAAGCUACCACGGAAUGUUACAGGCUAGGAGGCAGUUGCAGGGCUAUGAAGGGUUUAAGAUUAAAGAAGAAAAUGGAUGUUUAGUUAUUUGUUGGCAUGACAGGCCGCUUUUUUCAAUAUCGGCCUGGAGGUUUAGGAGAUACGAGUGAUGUUGGUGGUCCAUGUGGGGAUUGAGUGCUUGUGUUUUUGGUUUUUUCUUUCUUAAUUUUCCUUUUCUUGUUUGUGUAAAGGAUUUUAUGCAUUUCUUCCUCUGCAACUGCAUAGUAUCUUCCUCAGAAGCUUGGGAGAAUUAUUCUCUGUUCUAAAACUUUAGUUAGUUGUUAAUUUGUAUCCUAUUUUAGUUUUCUUCCCACAUAAACGCUGAUGUUUCUGCCAUAUUUGGGUUUGAACCCUGUUCUACAGAUUCUUCAAAGUUAAACAUGACAUUACACUUCAAAGUUAUUUUCUGAUAUCGAAUUGCAUUCAUUACUGGUCUCAGUUGCAUGUGAGACGGCAGGACCUUUUUUCCUUUCCAGUAGUGUGCAGUGCUCGAAGUUUACAUCAGUUUGGUUGCUUAGACAACUGGUGGUAAGAAGAGAAACAGUACUUUUAAGUAGCCGAAUAUCACACUCAAUGCUAUGCAAGUUAUGCUAAAUCAACAGAGAAUAGACUGAUGUAAUCUUGGAAGGCAACGCAACUAAUAAAGAAAAAGCAACAAAUGUGGCAUGAUAUUAUCAGUAACAAAAAACCUAUUUGUACCACUUUUACUGACCACAUCUCUCGCCCACAUGAUGUGAUGCAAGUAGCAUUAACCUUUUCAGUAGUGCAACAGACACAUUGUAUUCGACGGCAGCAUCUCCAGUUUUUGCACUCAAGGAAACUGUCUUCACCAAUGCAUAGCCCCUUGCAUACCGGAAACCCCAGUACCUCCAACGAUUGGCAUCUCUCGGGUCCGUUGAAAAAAUGGAUUCCUACCUAGAAUGCCAAGGGCACCGCCAUAAUGCACACAGUCUAAGAAAGCAAAGUUCAAGGCCAUAAGCAGCGCAGAGCUGUGUUGAGAAGGAAAAGUAUAUAUGCCUUGAGCUGUACCCACAAGCUUUGAACUUGUUGAAUUAUAAGUCUCUAGCUGAUUAGAAUGAGUGAAAUAAGCUAUGAGCUUAAUUGGGUAUUCACUUUAGUUUUAUCAUUGACAAGUGUGAAGCUAAGAUUGUAAGGCAUACAAUGCCAUGUCUAAUGAUCCUAGUAGAUAGCUAGAUGUAUGGCUGAGAUCAUUUUGUGAUGUAAGGGGUCCAGCUAAGAGUGCUAACGGUAAUAUGCCUUGCUCUAUGCGUGUGAGGUGGUCAUGAUAUGAAGAAGUAAAAUUCCCCUGCUGUAUUCUGCAGAGCAGUGAGAGAACAUUUCAUUCUGCUCGUCACUUUCGUUUCUUUCUCUUUCUUUCUUCAUCAUCUUUCUCAUAUAUGCGUUAAGACUCCAUAGAAACCAGAAUCAUACAAGAAACACUAAUAUGGCCUUAGAGCCAAGUUCGAUCACUUGAAAGUUCUUAAGACUCUGAAAUCGAGGUAUAUCGAAGCUCACUCAAGAUUUGUUGAAGGUUGCUGGAGCUCGAUUUUGACCUGAAACAACUUGUUUUUGGUUUAUCUGAGCUCAUAAAUGGCUGGAUCUCGAAGUUCAGAAGUGAGAACUCCGAUCUUCUUCGGUGAGAACUAUGAAUUAUGGAGAAUCAUAAUGGUAACCAUAUUCAAAUCAUAUGGUUUAUGGAAUCUGGUGGAAAAGGGAAUUACGAUUCUUGAUUUGGAGAAGAAAAAAGAAAGCUGGGGAAGCUUUAGAAGAUGAGGUUGAUGAGAAAAUGGCUGCAAUCUUCAUGAAAGAUGCAAAAGCUCUGGGUAUCAUACACAAACGCAGUUUCCAAUCAAAUCUUCCUUCGUAUCGACAACGUAGACUCAGCUAAAAUGGCAUGGGAUCUGUUGUAUGGAGAAUAUCAUGGUGGUGACCAAGUUAGAUCAGUAAAACUUCAAAAUCUCAUACAUGAAUUUGAAUACACUAGAAUGCGUGAUAAUGAGCCUCUAUCUGAUUAUCUUACACAAUUGAAUGAGUUGAUUAAUAUGAUGAAAACAGUUGGUGAGAUUCUUUCAAAUGAGAGACUUGUUCAAAAGGUUUUGAUUAGUCUCAGUAAAGCAUAUGAUCCUAUAUGUCUUGAGAUUGAAAACACAAAGAGCCUAGAGACUGUAGAAUUGCAGGAAGUGAUUGCUAUUUUGAAAAGCCAAGAACAAUACGGCUGAGAAAGCAUUUGCCUUAUUCUCUGUGAGUCCAAAAGGGCAGAACAAAGGUGGUGCCUAAGAAGCAUGGAUACGCCAAUUUAGUGGCGUAUCCCGUAUCGGAUACUCGUUUGGAUACGAUACGCUUCGGAUACGGUCCGAUACGCAUUGGAUACGUAUCGCAGUCAACAGAUACGUUAGUUGACUAACGGAUACGAGUAUCCAACAUUCCAGACACGAGUAUCUGACUUUUCGGAUACGAACCUCCGGCUGAAGUUUGCCGUUGAGGGGCUGUUGAGGAGCCCCUGGGAGCUGCGUGUGAAGAGGUAGGGGAAAGAAGAAGAAGAAGAUGUCAGACUAGAGGGGGAGAGAGAGGGAAAGAAGAAGAAGAUGUUAGACUAACAUAAUUGUUAUUAUCUCAAGUGAUGACGUCGUUUGCUAAAACAAGAUUUGUAAUAUAUAUUUUCUUUUUCAUAGAUCUGUUUAUGGUUUUGGGUCUUAAGCAAUGGCAUCAAAAUGGGCUUUGGGUAAUGAUAUAUUUGGGUGAAAAAAGCUAUUCAUGCCUAAAAAUAUACAGAAUCAGAAAAGAAAGCCCAAAAUGCUACACUAUAUUUAUAAUUUAUUUAAAAUAUAUUUUAGGUUAUAUAUAUUUUUAAUAACCGUAUCCAUGUGUAUUCUAAUUUUUGGAAAUUUACCGUAUUCCCGUGUCAUGUCGUAUCGUAUCGCCGUAUCUGUAUUCGUGUCCGUGCGUGGUGCUCAAUAUGGUUCAUCCAAUUGGAAUCCUAAGGGUAAACAAUGGGAAUCAAAACCCAAGUUUCAAUAGAAUAGCUUUGCACAAAACUUGAACUCGUCACAGUCAAUGAGUCAAGAAGUUAUAAAACUAGUGUAAAGUGUGUUCCAAGUUUCAUUUUGGUGAGUGCAGAUAUAAGGGGAAGCCUAAGUGCUAUAACUGUGAUAGAUUUGGUCACAAGGCUUGAGAAUGUACUUCAAGUAAGAUAGUGCAAAAGGUAAACUGUGCUAGCCAAAUAGAGGUGACAGGGAACCUAUUCUAUGCAAAUAGUGCAAUAACUGAGGCAAAGAUAAAUGAAGAGUGGUACAUUGACAGUGGUUGUAACAAUCACAUGGCUGGAAAUGUGGAGGUCCUUGUUGAUAUAAGGACAAAUGUUGCAGAAAAGGUUCAAAUGCCAAUAGGUGCACUUGUGGAUGUAGCUGGUAUGAGUUCACUCGUUAUGGACACAAAUAGAGGCAGAAAAUUCAUCAGAGAAGUGAUGUAUCUUCUAGGUUUGAAUUAUGGGCGGUAUAUUACCUUUAUUACUAUCAUGCUUUUAUUUAUAUGAUAUGUAUGGUAAAAUUUGUCAUUCUAGUUCUAUUCUAGAAGAUAUAACAUAACCAAAACCUAUUGUCCUUCUUGAAUCAUAAAUAAUAUAACACACUAGUUACGUAGUUAUUUAUAAGGGUAUAUUAGUGAUUUACCCAUUGAAUUUGUACCUAACUUUCGAUUUGCCCCUAUUCUUUUUUCUAGAAAAUUAAGGAUAUGAACUUUUUUUUUUGGGGGGCCAAUUUCCCCCCUACCAUCUAAAUCUACAACAUUUCAUCCAAUUUGCCGUUAAAUAUAAGGGCAAAAUGGUCAUUUUGUAUGUGAAAAAAUAAAUAAAUAAUGAAAAAUAAAAUAAAAAACAGAUUAUUGAAAUAAACUCUCUUUCUCUCUAUGGUAAACUCAUCCCCUAAAUCACCGCCCUCUUUACUUCUCUGCAAUUCCGACACCGCAUACUACUUGGGCCAUUGUAUGACCUUUAAGCAACCAAUCCCAUUUGAGGCCUUAAUGAUUCAAAAACACUCUUGUGUAUUUUGGAACCAACACUUUCUCAAAACCAUCAGGCAAACCCAGAUCCCAUUUCAAAGGAUACAGAGAUUGGAGUGGUAAAGUUCUACUUUUUGUCAUCAUAAGCACUAUACAAAGCCUCUCCACAGUAUCACUCUCAUGGGUUUGGUGUAUACUCUAUUCUCGAGGGAUGGGUCUAGGUCUAGAGGCAAGGGCUGGGGGAUACGUCUCGGCUGGGGAGAGAACAAAAAGAAUAGGAGAAGNNNNNNNNNNNNNNNNNNNNNNNNNNNNNNNNNNNNNNNNNNNNNNNNNNNNNNNNNNNNNNNNNNNNNNNNNNNNNNNNNNNNNNNNNNNNNNNNNNNNAAAAAAAAAGUUAAUAUCCUUAAUUUUCUUUAAAAAAAGGAUAGGGGUAAAUCGAAAAAUAGGUAUAAGUUUUUGGGGAUAAAUCACUAGUAUACCCUUAUUUAUAAUUUGUCCAAAGAGAGAGAGAGAGAGCGCUUUAGUUGAGGGAUCUCUCAAAUAAGCUUAAUUGAGGGACACCAUUGUAGGGCCCACCAUGCAUUUUAUGUCAAUGAUUUGAACUGUCUAAUUUCUAGAUAUUCCAUCAAAAAUCAUCUCUGCAAAAAAUCACUUGAAUCCUAAAUCAUUUGACCACUCAAUUCGAUGGUUCUUAUUAUAUAUAAGGAAAUCCCAUUAUAUAUAUAUAUAUAUAUAUAUAAGGAAACACAUACACAUAUAUAUCCCGAUCUCUUGGACUACAGGGGUCCAAGAGAUUUGUGGUCACUCAUCGUUGGAUGUAAAUUCAACGGUUUACUCACUCUUGCACUCCUUUUAGGAAACUUUUUUGAACCAUUGGAUGUUACAUCCAACGGUAGGUGACCAUAGUCUCUUGGACCCCUGUGGUCCAAGAGAUCGGGGCUGUAUAUAUGUAUAUAUGGGGUGUUCUUCAAUAAGUAGGGAUAUUAAAUAAGGAAAUGCUGAAUUUUAGGGAAGUGUUUUCAUAGACUUCCAUUUAUGAUAGUGGCAUCUACUGUAAAUUCCUUAAAAAUUAUGGACAUACUAAUUGUAUGUGGUAUAUGGCUCCAACCAAAUCUCCUGGUCGUGAUGGGAUGCCUUCUUUAUUCUACAAAAAGAUUGGGAUGUUGUGGGGAGUGAUGUUUGCCAACUGUGUCUGAAUGUUCUAAAUGGUAGUGAUAGUUUUCUGGGGUUUAACUAUACGCUGAUUGCUCUCAUUCCUAAGAUUGCUUCACAGACACAAGUUACUGAAUUCUGUCCUAUUGAUCUCUGUAAUGUGCUCUAUAAGAUUAUCUCCAAGACAGUUGCCAACAGAUUGAAGAAGGGCUUGCCCCAUGUGAUCUCAGAGUUUCAUAGUGCUCUUAUUCCUGAUCGUAUGAUAUUGGAUAAUGUGCUAGCAGCAUUUGAAACUAUUCAUUAUUUGAAGCGGCUGGGAAAAGCAGGACGGGGAAAGCUUAUGUUGAAACUGGAUAUAGCAAAAGCUUAUGAUCGUGUUGAAUGGACCUUUCUAAACCGCAUGACGCAUACUAUGGAAUUUCCUGCUCGUUUUGUCAAUUUUAUUAUGGGACGUAUUACCACAGCUUCUUACUCAGUGUUACUUCAAGGGCGACCUUUUGGUAAGCUUAUCCUAUCCAAGGGUUUGUGCCAAAGGGAUCCAAUUUCACCCUACUUAUUUCUUAUCGUGGCUGAGGGAUUCUCUGCCAUUCUCCACCAAGCUGAGUUCAAUUUUAAGAUUAGGGGAGUCUCAAUUGCUGCUUCGACACCUUCUCUAAAUCAUUUAUUUUUUGUGGAUUAUAGUUUGUUGUUUUGUGAUUCAGAGCCUACUCAAGUUGAUAAGUUAAAGCGUAUAUUCUGCAUCUAUGAGGAUGCUUUCGGGUCAACAGAUUAAUCUGGAGAAAUCAGCCAUGUGUUAGUCCUUCUACGUCGCCGGCAGCACUGGCCCAAAGUCAAGCUAUAUUGGGUGUUCCUAUUGUCCCCGAAAAAUAUUUGGGACUCCCUACCAUUGCAGGAAAGAACAAAAAAAUCUGAUUUAUCGUACUCUUAAAGAUCACAUAUGGAAGAAGAUUACAGGUUGGGAAGGUCGAUUACUUUUGAAAGCUGGAAAGGAAGUGUUAGUUAAGGCAGUUUACGAAGCCAUGCCUAUUUAUUCUAUGAGCAUAUUCAGCUUACCGGUUGCCAUUUGCAAUGAGAUUGAAAGUAUUAUUGCUCUCUUUUGGUGGUCUAAAUGCACUGAGAGAGGAAUUUAUUGGAAAAAUUGGAAAGCUUUGUGUCGUCAUAAGUCGGAGGGCGGUUUGAGCUUCCGUAAGUUUGUCAGUUUUAAUAAAGCUCUAUGGGCAAAACAAGGAUGGCGCUUGCUUGAAUCUCCUAAUUCACUUGUAGCUCGUAUGCUGAAAGCAAGGUAUUUCCCUACUUCUAAUUUCUUGAAUGCCCAAGCUGGUUCGGCUCCUUCAUAUACUUGGCAAUCUAAUUUGUGGGAUAGAGAGCUUCCACAGGUGGUUUACGAUGGAGAAUUGGUGAUGGCCAAUUGGUACAAAUAUAUGGUGAUGUUUGCGUUCCUCACAGCCGCAAUUUUACUGUUCAAACCGUUCCUCAUAUCCCCCAAUAUCCAUCAUAAGAGAAUAAAUUUCAAUAUCCAUUUCUUCUAGCUACAACAAGGAGGUAGCGAAUUCCAGAAGAGUACCACAAUUCGGUGAAUCUGAUUUUAUUUCGGGUUAAAGAUUCAUGUGAAUUCAAUCCCACAUCAAUGUGAAUACAGAGUGUAAAAUCUUCUCUGCUUAGGCUGUACUGGAAAUACAUAUUCUCUUCAUAUCCUACAAAACCCAUCAUAACAGAAAAGAAAUUACAAUUCUUCUAGCCAGAUGAUUGUAGUAUCCCUGGCCUAAGUACAAUACAUGACUGUAUAGGAAAGAAAAAAAUAAUAAAUAACUAGCCUCUCCGCAUGAGCUUCCGUACCUGCGAGAGGUUUUUUUUUUUUAAAAAAAAAAAAAUUUUAUUUUAGAAUUAAAAAAUAUAAUGGGUAGUUGUGUUUCAUAAAAAUAGGAUUCAUUAUCUGAUUUUUCUUUUAAUUUUAAUUUUUUUUAAAAUAUGAAAAGUGUGAAGUUACCAUAUUAUCUUCAUUUAAUUAAUAAUUACAAUUCUUAAUGUUUGCAUUAACCAAGGGCAUUUUUUGGUAUUUUGAAUGUUUUACCAUUCUAUGCCCUUUACUUUAUAUAUAUAGAUCAAACAGGCUCCAUGACAGGACCCAUCCCGAAUUCCUCGAAACUCGAGACGAAUCCUGUGGAAAUUCCCGACAUCACCCCGAUGUCGGGCCUACUUCUAAACUAUAUCUUUUUUCCCAAAAAGGAAUAAGGGCAAAAUUUCGGCAAAGUCUCUCCUGUAAAUUGAACACUCACCAAAAUUCAACCUGUACAAAAUUCACAAUUUAUAUCCCAACAGGCAGCACGAGCAUGAAAAAUAGUCAAAAAUCCAUACCUUGAUUGCCAGAAUUGGUGGCCGGAGAACAAAGAACGAGCCGUCGAAAUUUCUGUCAAAACCAGCGCGAUUCCGGAGGAAUUCCGACGACUGGAGCAGCUGAAGAUAGCUGGGACCGACCGGGGUAGGGACAGGAGGCGGUCGCGGUUCGUUCUUGGUCGAUCCCGUGGUCGGCCGUGAGUUGUGGCGGCGUUAAUGGAGGAUGGAGGGUGUCGAGUGGAGGAAAAUCGCAAGGGAGGGGGGCUGCGCACGGGGGAAGAGAGAGAAGGAGAGAGAGAGAGAGAGAGAGAGAGAGAGAGAGAGAGAGAGAGAGAGAGAGAGAGAGAGAGAGAGAGAGAGAGAGAGAGAGAGAGAGAGAGAGAAAUUUCUUUUUUUAUAAAAAAAAAUCCCCUUUCAAAAUAAUUACGAUUGUGCCACUGAGUUUCUUUUGAUUGUAACUUCCUCAUUACAACUCCAAAUCGAGCCCACUACGUAUCUACGAACUCAUCUCGUCGAGCUCUACGCAGCGGUACAGCUGAAAUUCUCAAAUUUCUUGCCGGUCAAAAAGUCAACUUUAAACCCAAUAAAAUAUUCUAGGAGUAAAAUGGUCUUUUAUCUACAUAAAUUAAUAAUUACCAAUUUAUUUAGGACCGGGUCGUUACAAUCUACCCCCCUUAUAAAAAUUUCAUCGUCGAAAUUUCAUACUUGUCACUCGAAGGUGUAAGAGUACUGGGCCCGCAUCUACUACCCGGGUUUUCCAGUUUCAUCCUUCACAACCAUGUUUGCAGCCAAGCCAAUAGCUCUAUCUAAAUAAACAUAGGAAGAGAAGUCUCCUUCUCCUACUAAGAAUAUCCUUUAAUAGCUGCUGUAAUGCUUAAACUUAUUCUGGAAGCUAAAUACUUCCAUUCGUGAUUUGAUUUCCCUCUGGCCCUCCCAUUGAGAAGAGUCCGAGUUCUUUGACUUAUUGAUAUUUUCCUUCUUUCUUUAGAAUUGACAAACGACUUUGCCAACAUGAUUCUUUGAGAGGAAUAUAAAAAAGGAUCAUUUUUACCGAAUUGUAAUCAUCCUCUAGAUAGCGAUCUCCGCUACCCUCAUUUAUUUAAAUUCACCCCAUCUUCUAACCUUAACUUACUACGAUCCAACCAAACCAUUUCCUGAAAACGCACCCUGAAAUCCUCUUACAAACUUAAUUUUCGAUCUCAAACCAAACAAACCUGGUAGAUCCAUAAUAAGACCAUUCCAAGAUCACAUGAAUUUCCUUGAGGUCUUGUCGACUCACUAGCUAACACUCAUUACCCCAAAAAUCAUUACUUCCUAAUUGAGUUAACUACCAACCGUACUUAACUCAAACAGCAUUAACAACUCACUUAUUUCCAUGUAAUUUAUCCAAAGGGGUUUCUCUAAUAUUUUUCUCCCUUAUUUCCCUUUGUAAAAUAAGUUGACUUUUGAAAGUUCCCGACUAUCUUUAUAUCACCUCAUCAGAUUCAAUACUUUUAGCUUUUCACACUCACUUUCUUAGUUCUCUUCAAUAUGCUUUAACAUUGCCCCUAAAAGCAAUAACAUCCGAGCAGCCAGAACCUUACAAUAAUUCAUCCUAUUUCGUAAUGAACUUCUCUUGGAACUUAAGUCCACUCUUACCGACUACUUGUCAGUGUACAACCAUGUUCCUUCAUAAAAUCUAUACCCUCCAACACCCUUUUAUACUAUCCACUACCACAGAAGUUCAGUAGUAAGUAAGCAUAAAGAUCUCCACUUACUACUAUCCUCCCACUCUCCAUAUUCCUCUUAAAGUUCCCUUGCAAUUCUAAACAUAAAGUUCAUUGUGUUUUCCAUGGUUACAAAUUUACGAAGCAUCUAAAAUACCAUUUGUGACGUCCAUAGCGUCGCAAAUGUGCCAUUCUGGGAUGGAACCCAUCAUGAUGCCAAAAUUUAAGGAUGCGCACAAGGUGCGGGGUUCACAGAAAAUUGAACCUAGAGCUCGGAUACCAAACUGACAGGACCCGCCCAACCCAAGACGAAUCCUGUGGAAAUUUCCGACAUCAUCCCGAUGUUGGGCCCACUUCUAAAACUAUAUCCUUUUUUCCAAAAAGGAAUAAGGGCACGAGACUUUCUACCGAAAUUUCGGCAGAGUCUCCCCUGUAAAUUGAACACUCCCCGAAGGGAAGGGGGCUAGAGGAAAAUUGCAAGGGAGGGGGGCUGAGCGCGGGGGAAGAGAGAGAGAGAGAGAGAGAGAGAAAUUUCUGUUUCUAUAAAAAAAUCCCCUUUCAAAAUAAUUACGAUUGUGCCACUGAGUUUCUUUUGAUCGUAACUUCCUCGUUACAACUCCAAAUCGAGCCCACUACGUGUCUACGAACUCAUCUAGUCGAGCUCUACACAACGGUAUAGCUGAAAUUCUCAAAUUCCUUCCAGGUCAAAAAGUCAACUUUAAACCUAAUAAAAUAUUCUAAGAGUAAAAUGGUCUUUUAUCUACAUAAAAUAAUAAUUACCAAUUUAUUUAGGACCGGGUCGUUACACUCCAGGGCUAAUGUAAGAACAAAUUUCAUUAGUGUGACACAUAAACAUUGGACUCAACAAUGGCAUCUCCUGUACUAGCAUCAAACCAAACAGUAUGAUCUAAGACAUAACCGGGAUCCAACCUAAACUGCCCCUUGCCGCCAACAAUACAUUGUUCAGAACUAGAUUCCUCCCAAGAAACGCUAAUGUUACUCCCCUUGUAUUUGCCUUGCUAAAAAACAAGUGUCAUGAUGACAAUAAGUAAUGCAAUAUCAUGAGUAAAACCCUUGUGCUCUUCCAAUGGUCUUGGAUUUGGGGUCUUGCUCUUCAGCGCAGUGUAUUAUCAAUCAUCAUAGUACUGCCAAAUCUGGCACUUGAGCUUUUUGGCGGCCUGAUAAUUCUAACAUAGGUGGGGUUUUUGCCACUAUAGGAUGUCAUGGAAGAAAAAGUAGAGGUCAUGCCCUAAGUGCAAUACAUGAAUGUAUAAUUAGAAAGAUAAAUAACAAUAAUAACAACACCAACAAUAAAAAGCCGGUCCUUAGGCUAGCACCAGCCAAAGUUUACUGGAAGUGUGACACAAAAACAUUGUACUCAACAAUGGCGUCUCCUGUAGGAUUAAACCUAACUGUAUGGGCUAAGGCAUAGCCACGGGCAAACCUAAAUAGGCCCGUUCCUCCGAUGAUCGGCAUCUCUCUCACAUCGUUUAGAACUGAAUUCCGCCCAAGGAUGCUAAUGGUACUUCCCUUGUACUUUCCUUCCACAAACGCAAAAUUCAUAACCACAAGCAGUGCAAACUCAUGAUCACGUUGUGCAGCCACUAAGUACAGCCCUUGUGCCCUUCCAACGAUCUUUGAGGUAGGUUCUUGCUUUUCAGUCAGCGCAUCAUCAAUCAUCAUGGUGGCACCAAAGGUAGUAAUGGUACUGUUUAGUGGCCCAGCAAUUCUAACGGCACUAGGGUUUUUGCCACUAAGGAUGUCAUGGAAGAAAAAGUGGAGGUGGCUCUUUUUUUCGGUUUGCUGGGAUUUGAUGAUUUUCCUAACCUCAAUUCCAUCCAUGGAAUAGAAAAUGGUAAAGUAGAGGGUGAAGAGAGUGAAAUACUGAAAUGAAGACAUUUAGUCUCUCUAGGGUAUCUGUGUUCGUUGUUCUGUGUGUGUAUUGUGUUGGCGUGACUUGUGGAUAUUGACUUACUUUCCUUACACACCAAGAAUUCUUAUUAUAAUUGUAAUUGAUUUACUUUAAUUCCUGAUUUCCUACUGUAAAUAGAUUUAGGAAUUUAUUAUUUACUUGCCCAUUCAGGUUUCGUUGUAUUAUAAAUAUGACCUCAUACAAGGAGAAGAAUACACAAAAUUCCCACAAACAAAUAUUCUCUCAUAAUUUUCAUAUUUUAGCAUGGUAUUAGAGCGGCAAUCUUGGAAUUGUUGACUCUAGUUUCAAACCCCCGCAGCUGCUAUGGGGGUUGAUUUUUUCAACCCUCAUGGAGGUAGCACCACCAACCAUCGUUGAGUUGAGUGCCCAGAUGGCUCCGCUCCUACCGAUGUAGAUCUUUUGACGACCCCGACUCCUAAGACGACCCCGACCCCAACUCCGAUGAUGACCCCAACCCCGAAUUUGUCUCUGAUUCAGACUCCGAUCCUGAUUUCGACUCCAACUCCAGCCUCGACUCAGGCUCAGAUUCCAAUCCAAAUUCCUACUCAACCUAUAUCCUAUGCAUCUUCCGUUGCACAGAUUAUGACUUCUAGACUAACGACCUCGACACAUAGACCAGAUUGCGCAUAUUGUGGUGAUCCGAGACACACUUGUGAGACUUGUUUUAAAUCCCAUGGCUACCCCAAUUGGUGGGCUACUCUUAUAGAUCGAGGACAAUGCAAUAUGACCAGUAAUGGUACUGGUUAUGGAUUCCAUACUUCUGAUAAGAUUGAUUCCAGGAGUUGGAUAAUUGAUUCCGGUGCAACUGAUCAUAUGACGUUUGAUCCUGAUGAUUUUCUGAAUACCACACAACCUCGACGAACCUGUAUUGCAAAUGCCAAUGGUGUUACUUAUCCUGUGAUAGGGGCUGGCACUGUUGCACUCUCAUCCUCUCUCACACUGUCUAAUACUUUACUUGUUCCAUCUUUAUCCACUAAAUUAUUAUCAGUUAGUCAGCUUACUGAACAAUUGAAUUUUUGUGUACUCAUUUACCCGAAUUUUUGUUUGCUUCAGGAUAUUCACACUAAGGAGAUUCUUGGUCGUGGUACUAAGAGAGGGGGGCUAUAUUAUGUCGAUGACUUCAGUCCCGACGUGGCUAACAGUGUGACACAUCCCUUUGCUAGCAAACAAAGGCAAAUCUGGUUGUGGCACCGUCGAUUGGGACAUCCGUCUUUUAGUUAUAUGAAGCAUCUUAUACCAUAUUUAUUCUCAGGUUUCAAGGACUCCGACUUCACAUGUGAUACUUGUAUUUUGGCCAAGAGUCACCGUGUGUCCUACCCAUUGAGUACGAACAAGUGUACUACUCCAUUUACGUUAAUUCACUAUGAUGUCUGGGGACUUUCUCCUAUCACUGCCCUUUUGGUGUUCGAUGGUUUGUCACAUUCAUUGAUGAUUGUACACGGAUGACAUGGCUUUAUUUGCUGAAGAAUAAAAACGAAGUGUUUUCCUAUUUUCAGUCCUUCCACAAACAGAUGAAAACUCAGUUUAAUGCUCAAAUCCAGAUUAUUCGCUUAGACAAUGGUGGAGAAUUUGUCAAUCAUGACUUUCAGACUUACUUCCAACAACAUGGAAUUAUUCAUGAGACGACUUGUCCUCAGACAUCGCAACAAAAUGGUGUUGCUGAACGAAAGAAUCGACAUCUUCUUGAAACCGCCCGAGCACUUCUGAUUAGUGCUCAUGUUCCUCGUCAUCACUGAGAUGAUGCUAUUGUCACCACAAUUCAUCUGAUUAACCGCAUGUCUUCUGGUGUAUUGACCUUUAAAACUCCCUUACAGGUGCUUGCACAACACAGACCUCUGCCUUCUGUUUUGGUACUCACACCCUGAAUCUUUGGAUGUGUGGCUUUCGUUCAUCUCCACAAAAAUCAACGUAGCAAACUUGAUCCAUGUGCACUUCGUUGUGUUUUUGUGGGUUAUGCCACUCAUCAGAAAGGCUACCGCUGUUAUCACCCUCAUACCCAAUGAACCUAUGUCACUUUGGAUGUGACCUUUCUGGAAUCUGAGCUGUUCUUCCAUGACCCAUCAUCCAAUUAUAUGCUUCAGGGGGAGAUACAAAGUGAAGAGCAUAAUUGGAGCAACUUGGAAAACAAAGAAAUUCUCCUCUGUACAGAAAUGAUUGAUCAUCUCGAGUCUGGAGCACGAAAUUACUCUCUGUCGAAAAGCGACCAAUCACCCAUUCAUAGCGAUCAAUUGCCUGACCCACCUGAUCCAUGCGAAGAUAUUUCUAAUCCGAGUUUCACACCUAUAGACAAUACAUAACAACAAGAUGAAGACCUCCUCUAACUCAACAGUACCAACAGACCAAUCUCCUGAGAAUAUCCUUGAGGUAACUACUCCUACUAGACUUUUGCAUUUAGAUGAUAAAACUAUUGGAUAUCAAUUACUUUUCAAGCAAAAUCGUAGGAAGCCACCAAACCGUUAUUCACCUGAUAUUGGCAAGACAUCCAAGUAUCCAAUUGCAAAUCAUGUAUCCACUGAGAAGUUGUCUGAACCACUCAAGGCUUUUGUGCAUCAGUUGUCUGCUAUCCAUAUUCCAACCAAAUUCUCUGAAGCAUUGAAAGAUCCUAAGUGGGUCCAAGCUAUAAAAGAGGAGAUGAAAGCUCUUGAGAAAAAUCAGACUUGGACAUUGGAGACUAUACCUUGAGGAAAACAGACUAUCGGAUGUAGAUGGAUGUUUACUAUAAAACACAAUGCAGAUGGUUCUAUCGAGCGAUACAAGGCAAGACUUGUGGCAAAAGGGUACACACAGACCUAUGGUAUAGACUAUGAAGAAACCUUUGCUCCAGUUGCAAAGUUAAACACCGUCAGAGUCUUAUUGUCCCUUGCAGUUAAUUUGGAUUGGCCACUACACCAGUUUGAUGUAAAGAAUGCUUUUCUACAUGGUGAACUCACGGAGGAGGUGUACAUGGACAUUCCUCCUGGAUAUAAUAUUACUAAGACUGGAACAGUUUGCAGGUUACGAAAAGCAUUGUAUGGAUUGAAACAGUCACCACGUGCAUGGUUUGGACGGUUCACCAUGGCAAUGAAGAACAAUGGUUUCAAAAAGUGCAACUGAGAUCAUACUAUGUUCUUGAAACAUUGAAAAGGGAAGGUAACAGUAUUAAUAAUCUAUGUUGAUGAUAUGAUUAUUACUGGGAAUGAUAAACAGGAAAUAUCACAGCUACAAGACUAUCUGGCUACGGAGUUUGAGAUGAAGGAUCUAGAUGGACUCAAGAAUUUCUUGGGAAUCAAGGUGGCUCGAUCGCAGCAAGGCAUAUUUCUCUCUCAAAGGCAAUAUGUCUUAGAUUUGUUGACAGACACAGGAAUGCUAGAUUGUAAACCUGCGGACACUCGUAUUGUUCAGAAUCAUCAUCUUGGAGAAUAUCCAGAACAAGUUCCAACUAACAAAGAAAGAUACCAAAGGUUAGUGGGAAGAUUGAUCUAUUUGUCACAUACACGACCAGACAUUGCUUAUGCGGUGAGCGUUGUCAGUCAAUUUAUGCACUCUCCAAGUGAAGACCACAUGAAUGCAGUUCUUUGGAUACUUAGAUAUUUGAAGUCUGCACUUGGAAAAGGAUUUAUGUUCUCAAAACAUGGUCAUCUAAAUAUUGAUGGUUAUUCAGAUGCAGAUUGGGCAGGUAAUGUAACAGAUAGAAAUCCACAUCGGGUUACUUCACAUUCGUGGGAGGUAAUCUGGUGACAUGGAGAAGCAAGAAACAGAAUGUAGUAGCUUUAUCUAGUGCAGAAGCCGAGUUCAUAAGCAUGACUAAAGGGAUUUGUGAACUUCUUUGGUUAAGAAAGUUGCUUACUGGACUUGGGUAUAAACCUACAUCCACAAUGAAUCUCUUUUGUGACAACAAGGCUGCUAUAGCCAUUGCACAGAAUCCGGUUCAGCAUGAUCGUACUAAACAUGUUGAGGUGGAUCGACACUUCAUCAAACAGAAGCUUGAGGCUAAAGUGUUUCAGUUUCUUUUUGUGAAAUCCGAGGAUCAAUUGGCGGAUAUUUUGACAAAGGCGAUUUCCAGUAAAGCAUUCCACAAUUCACUAGAUCAGUUGGGCAUUGGCGACAUCUAUGCACCAACGUGAGGGGGGAGUGUUGGCGUGACUUGUGGAUAUUGACUUACUUUCCUUACACACCAAGAAUUCCUAUUAUAAUUGUAAUUGAUUUACUUUAAUUCUUGAUUACCUAUUGUAAAUAGAUUUAUGAAUUUAUUAUUUACUUGCCCAUUCAGGUUUCGUUGUAUUAUAAAUAUGACCUCCUACAAGGAGAAGAAUAGACAUAAAAUUCCCACAAACAAAUAUUCUCUCAUAGUUUUCAUAUUUUAGCAUAUUGGUGGUCUUAAAGAUUUUUCAGGCCAUUCUAAAGGAGUUCGGGCAAGGGAAAAAGUGGUAAAUAUAAAAGCAGAUGUUACCUUUACUCUUAAGUGUGAGCUGGUUGAUGCAUUUUCAAGCAAUUAACUGCAUUGUGUAGGCCUUCUUGGACAUUUUGUGAGAAAUUUAAUAUUAUAUUUAAUAUUAAUUUUCUAUUUGAAUGGAAAUUAAUAAAAUCCAUUGGGUUAAAGACAUCUUCACAUGGGGGGUGACAACUCUUCAAACCAAGGGAUGCAUUGUUUGGGGUGACAACUCUUCAGACCAAGGAACGCAUUGUUUGCAUUUUCAGAUUGAGAUACCUUUUUAGAAAGGGUAUUUCAUCAUCUAUAAAUAGAGCAAUCCUCCUGCAGUUUUAUUCAUUCAAUUAAUUCUCUAGAUACAUACUUUCAUAUAUAGAGAGCAUUAGAGUUUGCAUAAAGAGAGUUUCCUGCAUAAUUUUGGUUCACAGUUCCUUGUGAAUUGCAGUGCUUCUUUCAUAAGGAGGGGAGUCGUUGUAUCUUGGGAGGCGAACGCUAGUGAACCAUAAGCACCAGUGUGGGGCGUAAUUCGUCUUAAGGUCAGAGUGUCCAACACUUGCCUCGACUCAAUUAAGGUCCUUUUAAUUACAUACUACUGUUGUAAAAAUUUGUUUUGCUUGUAGUGUUUAUUUGUUUAUUUUAUAGCAAUUUAGCACUAUUAUUUCCUACACAUUUUCUAUUCGAGAGAUGGCUAGCUAGCUAGUGGGAAUGAGGGGUGUUGGGCUAAGAGCUAGUGUUGGCCUUUUUUGCUUUUCUUUUUUGAAUACGUGAAAGGCCUUUGCUUUUCAACAACACGAAAGCUUUCGUCCUCUUCAAGUAAGGGAUGAGAGUAACCAAUGUCAAACUUGGAAUGUGCAUCUGCCUUUUAGAUUUAGUCUUCUAUUGGAACACAUGAGUAAACACUUGCAUGCUCCACAUUAAUUGUUCUGAGGUGUUGGUUCAUCACACUACAGCAAAAAGAUAUUAUAUAUUAAGCUAGAAUGUAUCAAACAGAAACGAAAGUUCGAAAAAUAAGUUUUGGACAGAGACGAUAAGCUUGGUGUUUUGAUACAUAAGGUUACAUAUUGAUGGUCCCAACUGCAACAAUGAUAACAAUAACUGACUGCCCUCCAGAUUCCUUCAAUUUGUUUUGGUAGUUUAGGGGAUUUCAUUUAAUAUUACUGCAUCUAUUGUUGAAGAAUGUAAAGUCUUACAUCGGAAACUUGACAAAAUAAAAUAUCAUAUAUAAUGAAUAGUUUCACUACUAAUAGCAUUGAAGCCUUUUGUAAUAAGACUCCACACCUAUUAAGCAUUGGAAUAGAAAUAUCACUUUCUUUCUUUUCUGUUGAAUUCAUUUAAUUUCAAAGAAACAUGCAUUAUAGGCACGAACAGAGCCACCUUCAGGCCUGAGGUGGCCCAGGCCCCUCCAUUGUUUUCUAAGUUUCCACCAAUCAAGGCAAUGUAUUGUAAAAUAUUAAUUUUUUGAUUUCCUAAGGAAUUCUUUACAUUUGCAUGUCUUUAGUUUGAAAGUUGAGAGGUUAUUCCGUCUUUUUUGAAAAAGCUUUGGCUUUUUCCAAAAGUGAAAUUUUUUUUAUAGGUAAAAUCUAAAUUUACUAAAUAUUAUUAAUAGGAUCUUGCAUGUUCGAAGUUAAUGGCCCCCCAAUAAAUUCAUUUUCGGUAAUAAUGUGAAGUUAUAUUGGCUUUUCUUUGCUUAUUUUUCAUAUCUUUCUCUUUUGGACCUUAGUAGAUAUUGAUUUCUCUUUAGUAUAAAAAUUAAAAAGACUUGAUAAAAAUAAUUAAAAUGGCUACAGAGCUUAACGUACUUCAAAAUAAGUUUGAAUUUUUUUUUUUUCAGUAUAACUAUUACGAAUUAGUUUUUAACUUGUACCAUAAUAUACUCUUUUUUUUUUUCUGCAAACUAUAUGUUAUUUUCUUCUUGCUCUAGAUGUUUGGCACAUGUUAAUUUUUUGGCCCAUCCGAAGUUUGACUCCUAGCUCCUUCCCUGAUUAUAAGGAACAAAGCAUACCAUGAGAUGGGAAAAAGAAUCCCUCAGAGCCUGUGUUUGAUUGUAGGGGAUGUGAUUUUCCUUGUGGUUAAAAGAUUCAUAGCCAUUAAAUUCCACAUCAUUUUGAAUAGAGAGUCGAAAGUUUUCUCUGUUUAGGCAGUACUGAGACAUAAAAAUCCAUGUACUCCUCAUGUCCCCUGAUAUCCAUCAUAAGAGAAAAUAAAUUUCAAUAUCCAUUUCUUCUAGCCACAGGAUUGAGGUAGCCAAUUCCAGAAGGCCGCCAUGAAUCCGAUUUUAUUUCUGGCUAAAUGAUUCAUAUGAAUUGAAUUCCACAUCAAUGUGAAUACAGACUGAAAAAUCUUCUCUGCUUAGGCAGUACUGGAACAUAACAGAAACCCCAUCAUAACAGAAAAGAAAAUUGCAGUGUCCAAUUCUUCUAGCUAGAUGAUUGUUGUAUCCAUGGCCUAAGUACAAUACAUGACUCUAAUAGGAAACAUUAAAAAUAAAAAAUAAGAAGAAAUUUCAUGAUUGUGACACAUAAACAUUGUACUCAACAGUGGCAUCUCCUGUAUUAGCAUCAAACCAAACAGUAUGAGCUAAGACAUAACCGCGAGCGAACCUGAACUGCCCCGUGCCGCCAACAAUCGGCAUCUCUCUCACAUCGUUGAGAACUGGAUUCCUCCCAAGAAUGCUAAUUGUACUCCCCUUGUACUUGCCGUCCUCAAAAACAAGAGUCAUGACCAUAAGUAAUGCAAUAUCAUUUUGUGCAGCCAUGGAGUAAAAUCCUUGUGCUCUUCCAAUGAUCUUCGAUUUGGGGUCUUGCUCUUCAGUCAGUGCAUUAUCAAUCAUCAUAGUACUGCCAAAUCCGGCACUCGAGCCGUUAGGGGGCCCGAUAAUUCUAACAGAGGUGGGGUUUUUGCCACUAAGGAUAUCAUGGAAGAAAAAGUGGAGAUGGCUCACGUUUUCCGUUUUAUCGGAUCUGCCAAAUUGCCUAAUUAGAACUCCAUCAGUGGAAUGGAAAAGGGUAGAGCAGAAGACGAAGAGAGAGCAAUAGAGAAAUAAUGAAGACAUAUUAGUGUCUCCAGCGUUUCACAGUGUGUUUAUGAUAGUGGUAGAUUUGUGGUCAUUUUAAAAGAUUGGGCAAGGGAGCAAGGGGUAAAAUCUAGAUGUUGUUAACAUUACUCCAAAGUCCUUAAAUAAUGGUUGCUCUGGUGGUUGGAUUUUCAAGCAACCACUGCUUUCUGUUGUUCUAAGAAUAAUGGUUUCAGCUUACAUUCUUUUAAAGCAAGGAUGAUUGAAACCAAUGCUUGGGAAACAAAUUUCUCUUGCAAUUUGCAUUUGCGCUUUAGUCUAUUAUAACGUCAGCCGACCAAAAAGAAAGCUACCAUAUGUCGUACGCAACAUGAAACUUUGAAAUGUAAUUUCAUGACAGACAUGAGUUUGGUGGUUUGUUAAGGUUAUGUGAGCCUUAAGUUAUGUCACUUAUAGGAUGACGACAACGGAAACAAUUAAUGAUAACAACAAUUUACUUUUUCCUUUAUCCAAAAUUAUACUUCAAGUUCGGACAAAAGUCAGAAUUUUUAAAUUGUCCCAUCACUGACAUGACCAUCGCCGCCUUCACCCCCGCCACCACCAUUAACAGAUUUACCAACUACCACUACAUGUUGACUGAGGAGUGGAAAUAGGGAUUCUUUGAGUUCUUUGGCUUGGUAUGAAGUUCCAAACUUGUCCUUGAUUGAAGGUCCAAGAAGUAUGUGCCUGUCUAGAAUUCACAUCAAAUCACCACAAAAUCUUAUAUUCUUAUUCCAACAAAGUCUCAUAAAAAAUUGUAACACAAAAUUUUUCUAGUUCAUCCCAUCAAACACCCAUUAAACAAACAAAAGCAUAGAAGUUUUUUAGUUUCAUGAAUUUACAUUCACAUCCAUAAUUUCUGAUAUUGCGCUACUUCUUGUCUUCAAAGUUCAAAACAAAAGGUUGUACGAAGGGAAUGUAAAGGUGGGAGCUGAAUCGGUUUUCAGUUCUAACAGUAAGUGUUAUAGGCUAUUUGUGUUUGACCACCAAAUUUAGUAGCCAUCAUGUUAAUUUGUGACACAUCUUGUUCUCCUGUUGUCAUUUGAGUUACAACUUAUCCUCUAUAUAAUUUUACAAUUCUGGAAAGGAAAAUUUUGGCUCUUUAUUUGGGUCAAUUGUUGUUCAGUCAAAAAUGAUUUUAUUUGGUUUAACUACUAUUGACACUUUAUUUCACCAGAACAGUAAAACCUCUUUUUUAUUUUAUUUUUUAUUUUCCUACUAAAAUGCAAACUUGUAGAUAUUGUUUCUUUUCAUUUAACACAAAAAAUUUCAUAGAAAUUCUCGGUUACUAAGAGCCCAUUUGGUAUCCUAUUUGGAUCCAUUUUUUCAAACUCAAAAAUAACCAUAAUUCAUGUUUGGUAAAGCCCAAUCUUAAAAACAAAAAAAAUGAGGUUUUACGGUUAUUUUUUUUCGCUCUCUUGUCUCUCUCUGCUUCACACCUACUGGUCUCCCUAAUCUCUCUCUCUCUCCUCCCUCUUUAUUGUUUUUUUUGUUUUUUGUUUUUGUUAAUUUCAAUUUGGGAAUAUAGGGUCAUUUUUUAUUUUCUAAUUUUAAUUCGAAUUUUUUUUAUUUUAAAAAUAGUUUGGAGUUCAAUAACAAGUUUUUAGAUCUUAAAAUCAAUAUUUAAAAACUCAUGUUUUUUUUUAAAUAUCAUGAUUUUUUCUAAAUUUUUUAGUAGUGCUAUUAAAAAAGAAAAGAAAAAAGGAAACAAUCUAAACUCAAGUGAUGCAACAUAUGACUUCCAAUACCAUUUACAAUAUAUUUUUCUUUGGCUUUUCAGUUUGUAGUAAUAAAUUUGAAGUAGUUUGUUGCUCAUUGUUUAAGUUAAAUUGAGCAUUGAUAUCUGCUUCGGACCUCAAGCGUCUGGAAAAAGUCUCCUAAGGAAGGAAGCAUUUUCCUCGCUUAGCCCAAAAAAGAAGAAGAAAAAAAAAAAGACAGAACAUUUUCCUCGAUUACAUUUGAUAAAUACUUUCCAUUUAACAUUCUGUCACAAUUUUCUGGUUAUCAUGCAUAUCCUUCUGCAUUUCAAAUUAUGGUGGAUUGGGCUACCAGCCUAUUAUGGAUCUGCUCUGCAGGUAUGGUAGGAAGAGCCUCUAACUGAGAGAGAUCAAAAUCUAGGAUAUGUUGGAAGAUGCACAACCUCAACUAUCUUCAAAGAUUUGAGCAAACCUAAUUUAUUUUAUAAUUUAUUUACAAUUGAUUUGGGACAUUUCAUUUGAUAUUCUAGGAGAGUUGUCAAAUGGCUGAGGAUUGGAAAUAUACAAAGAUAUAUGUUAAACAAAAUAUAUGCUACCAUCAGUAUAAAGAGCCAAAAAUGAAAAAGAAAGGAAAAACGAAAAUCUUCUUACAUCAUAGCUCGAAACCAUUGGUUCCCUUCAAUUGUUGUUGUUGCUGCACCACUAAAAUCGAAGGAUUGCUGUCGAAAUCUGAUGAAACAAGCAGGUCCCCGAUGACCCCUAAUUCAGGGAACUCACUCCACUCUGAGAAACCUAAUGUCUGAGGGGAAUCCAAGCCAUUCCUCCUCCCAACUAUGAUAAGCUCAAACUCAUUCAUUAUAGACCGAAGGAUUCGAGUUGUUUGAACUGCAUCUUUCGCCGUCUCUUCGAUGUAUUUAACAUGCGCAUUGGCCACACUUUUCUGCUUAAAUUCCUUCAACACCUCAUUAUCGAGAACUUUUUCCCAAUCAUUCAUAGUUUUACCAUCCUCAGCAUCUAAUCGUACCACAGUGAGGCUAAAGCUCCCGGGGUCUUUGGUCACCCGUUUUGCAAUUGUCAAGGCCUCCCUAUCGUCACGACCACCUAAGAAGACCAUGGCAAUGCGAUACAACGAUGACGAAUGUCUCAAAUGACCACGAUGGACAAUAAUUCCAAUGGAGCAAGGGGCCCUUUCUAGGACACUACUAUUUAGUGCCCUCCUAGUAUUGUCAUCAGACUCUAUGCCGCCAUCAAAAGUGAAUUUUCGAUGAAAUGGGAGUAAGAUAAUGGAUGUAAGUUUGUCAAGAGCGAGUGUGUGUGGAAAAUGAUAGAGAGAAUAUGAUGAUGGGGAGAAUAUGUUUUUGUGGAAAAUGAUGGAGAGAAUAUGAUGAUGGGGAGAAUAUGUUUUCUCAUUGUGUUUUUGGUUACAGGAUUACACACGUAUAUAUGUAUAAGCUAGGGACCACCACCUUGACUUUAACCCCUAAUUAUAGGAAAACUAUAAUUACAAGCAACCACCACCUUGACUUUAACCCCUAAUUAUAGAAGAACUAUAAUUACAAGCAACAAGAUCAAAUCCCCUAAAUUAAGGAAAUCCCAUAAAUCAAGGAAAUCCCCUAAAUCAAUCACAGCUAGCAGCCACCAAGCUAUACUUCCAAUACUCCCCCUCAAGCUGGAUCAAGGGGAUUAAUUGAUCCAAGCUUGGAGAGCAAGCGUUGAAACUGAGUGGAAGCAAGAGACUUGGUGAAAACAUCAGCAAGUUGAUCAUGGCUCCGAGUGAAUGUGGUUUGAAUUACCUUGGACUGAACCUGUUCACGAACAUAGUGACAGUCAACUUCAAUGUGUUUGGUCCGUUCAUGGAACACGGGAUUGGAGGCAAUAUGCAUAGCUGCCUGAUUGUCACAAAAAAGAGACAUAGGUUUGUUGCUCAAAAAACCCAAGUCUGAGAUAAGGCUCUUGAGCCAAAUGAGUUCACAUGCAGUGGAAGCCAUUGCUCUAUACUCAGCUUCGGCACUUGAGCGAGCAAUUACAUUUUGCUUUUUUGCUCUUCCAUGUCACGAUGUUUCCUCCAACAAAUGUGCAGUAGCCUGUAGUGGAUUUUCUAUCAAUAGCAUUCCCUGCCCAGUCAGCAUCGGUGUAUGCCAUGAUUUGAGUAUGACCAUUGUUUUUCAUGAUAAUUCCACGACCAAUGGAGCCCUUGAGGUAUCUUAGAAUUCUUUUAACAACAUUUAAAUGAGCCUCAGUGGGUGCAUGCAUGAAUUGACUUACAAGACUGACGGCGUAAGUUAUAUCCGGUCUAGUAAUGGUGAGAUAUAUAAGCUUACCCACCAGUCUUUGGUAGUAACUUAUAUCGCUGAGAGGCUCUCCUUCCAAGUCCAACUUCAAUUUGCUAUCAAGAGGUGUACGGGCCGGUUUGCAAUCUAUCAUCUUCACUUCUUGAAGCAAGUCAAUCACAUACUUCCGUUGACUUAAAAACAGUCCCUUGGAAGAAGUAGCCAUUUCAAUCCCAAGGAAGUAUUUUAACACUCCUAAGUCUUUAAUGGCAAAUUUCUGAUGAAGAGAAUGCUUAAGAGUGUUAAUCUCAUCAAUAUAUGAUGAUAUCAUCAACAUAGAUUAGAACAACUAAUUUGCCAACUGAUCCAGUUCGAACAAACAAGGAUGAAUCAGCAUGACUUCUCUUGAAACCAAACUUUUCAAGUACAGAGCUCAGCUUGGCAUACCAGGCCCGUGGAGAUUGUUUCAAUCCAUAAAUGGAUUUGUGAAGCUUGCAAACCAUACUUGAAUUCUGUGCUUGUGGAUGACCAGGAGGUAAUUGCAUGUAAACUUCCUCUUCAAGAUCUCCAUGCAAAAAAGCAUUUUUUACAUCCAUUUGGUACAACGGCCACUCAUGAUUAACUGCAACAGAUAACAAAACCCUCACUGUACUCAUCUUAGCCACAGGAGCAAAUGUCUCCUUAUAAUCAACUCCAAAUGUUUGAGUAAAACCGCGAGCCACCAACCUUGCCUUGUGUCUUUCAAUGGAACCAUCAGAAUUAAAUUUGGUUUUGUAGAUCCACCUACUGCCUACCACCUUCUUUCCCUUUGGAAGCUGGACUACACUCCAGGUUUUAUUUUCAUCCAAAGCCUUGAGUUCUUCUUCCAUGGCUAGCCUCCAAACAUCUUGAAGAUUGGCUUCUUGAAAAUUCCUUGGUUCACUUUCAUUUGACAAUUUACUGAGAAAAGCUGCAUGGGAGUGAGAGACUUUGGAGUAAUUUACAAACUUGUGAAUUGGGUACCUGACAUUGAACUUGUGAAUUGGGUACCUGACAUUGAACGUUACAUAAUCUUGUAGCCUUGAUGGUGGAUGUCUAUCUCGAGUUGGAUAGGUUCAGCUCCACUCUCUUCUAUAGAUGAUGUGUCAUUGUCAUGAGGAACAACUUGUGCUUCAGAGGCUUCAGUUUCAUCUCCUUCAGAGGCUUCAGUUUCAUCUCCAAUAAUCACGUUGUCAAUAUUGGUUGCAUGAGAGUCACUGUUGUGAGGUACUGAAUGAACACAAUCACUUGUUUCGGCUGGAUUUGGUAAUGGAAAGAAAUCCAGUAAGUGCUCCCCCUGACGAUUUUGAUCUGAUGGUUUGUUGAAAUACGGUUUGAUCUCAUCAAACCUUACAUCUCUUGAGACAAAUAGCUUCCUGGAACAUGGAUUGUAACAUUUGUAACCUUUUUGAGUGGAGGAGUAACCCAUGAAAACACACUUAAUUGCCUUGGGAUCUAGCUUGUCUCGGUGAUGGGAUUGGAUAUGAGCAUAACAAGUACAUCCAAAAAUUCUCAGAUGGGACAGGUUAAUUUUUUUGUUUUGCAUGACCUCAUAUGGUGAUUUUGAAUCCAGAACCCGACUAGGCAGUCUGUUGAUGAGGUAGGUAGCUGCAAGAACUCCUUGAGACCAAAACCUCUUAGGCACAUUCAUUUGUAACAUUAGAGCCCUGGUUUUCUCAAGUAGAUCCCUAUUCUUCCUUUCGGCAAUUCCAUUUUGCUGAGGAGUACCUACACAACUUGUUUGAUGUAUAAUGCCAUGUGUGCUCAAAUAGUUAGUCAUAUUUUUGGAUGUAUAUUCAGUGCCAUUAUCAGACCUUAGUAUGUGAAUUUGAGACGAAAAAUGGUUCAUGACAAGAUUAUGAAAAUUCUUGAAAGCAUCCAUGACUUCACUUUUGAAUUUUAUGAGGUACAACCAAGUGACUCUUGAAAAAUCAUCAACAAAGGUAACGUAGUACCUAUAACCAUCAAAAGACUCUAGAGGUGUAGGUCCCCAAACAUCGGAGUGCACCAUCUCAAAAAGUUUGCUAGCUCUAGAUAUGGAAGAAUUAAAUGGAAGUCUAGUAAAUUUUGACAAAUGACAGAUUUCACAUACAAGUGAGGAUUUGCAUAAUCUAGGGAACAAAGUAGACAAAACAAAUUCUGAGGGAUGUGCUAGACGUUGGUGCCACAACUGAUGUUCUAGAUUUGAACUGACUUGGAACCCUUUUGGAACAUUAAGGUUCUUUGAAAAAUAGUACAGCCCAUUUAGGUAGUGACCUUCACCAAUCAGCUUCUUGGUGGCUAGAUCCUGAAAAACAACAUUGUGAGGGGAGAAAAUAGCACGACAGUUGAGAGAAUUUGUAAUCCUUCCUACGGACAGCAAUUGAAAAGGAAAGGAUGGAACAUAUAAUGCUGUGGACUCAACAUUAUUUGAAAUUAGUUUAACUUUCCCUCUACCUAGAACGGGUACACCUCUACCAUUUGCUAUAGAAACUAGUGAUGGUGUAGUGUAGCUUUCAAAAUUGUAUAGCUUUGAAUAUUGAUUUGUCAUGUGAUCAGUGGCACCUGAGUCUAUAAUCCAAAAAUCAUGAGAAUGACUAACAUUUAGAGCAGUUGAAAGAGCACAUAUAAUACCUGGAACAUCUCCUUGAGGUACACGAUUAGACUCAGCUAAGAGUCCUGCAAACUGCCCAAGGAGAGCAGUUUGAUUUCCAGCAGUCAAUACUUCGCCUGUGCUUCCUUUUUUGGUUUGAAGAUAGGCAGAGAAUUCAUUUAUCAAGUUAGCCGGAUUGGCUGUGAAGUUUGUCAGCCCAUCAAUUGAUGUAGCAGCAGCAGUAGCAUGGUUUUUGUUUGUAUGUGAUCUGGUUUGUGAGCCCUUGUAGUCUCUUGAAGGCUUGUUCUCAAACUUUGGCUUCAACUCAGGGUGUAAUAUCCAGCAUCGAUCUAUUAGAUGUCCAAUAUUAUUGCAGUGUAAGCACUUCAGAUCUGGCCUUUUUCCCUUGUACACUCUAUCUCCAGAUGACUUGUGGUUUGUCACAAACGCUCUAGCCUCAGACACACUAGAUUUGAUGUCAACAUUCAUGACUUUCCUACGUACUUCUUCUCGCUGGAUAGUAGUGCAAACACUUGCAAAUGAUGGAAGUUCGGGGUUCAUGAGAAUAUGGCUUCUAAGAUCUUCAUAUUCAGACCCCAAACUUGCAAGCAAAUGGAAAAUUUUGUCUUCCUCAGACCUCUUUAACAGUAUGGCAGCAUCGAUAGUAUGUGGUCGAUACAUAUUUAGUUCGUUCCACAUAUUUUUCAAGCAACCGAGAUGAUGAACAAAGGAUUUAUCACCUUGUUGGAGACUUGCAAGAUUCCUCUUAAGUUGGAACACUCGAGCUGCAUUGUUUUGAUUGCCAUACAUAUCUUUGACUGCCUUCCAAAGAGAAAGAGAGGAUUCUGAAAAACUGAAGAUUUCAGACAGCUUAGGAUCCAUGGAGUUAAGGAGCCACGACAUGACCAGUUGGUCUUUGCACAGCCAUGCUUCAUACUCCGGAGACAAAUCUUCAGGUGCCUCAAUGGUUCCAUUAACAAAUCCGAGUUUGGAUCUUCCUCCAAGGGCAAGAGUUACUGCUCUAGACCAUGGAAGAUAGUUAAACUCAUUUAACAACACAGAGCACAGUCGCUGGUUUGGGUUGACUUCAACUUCUGGAAAACUAGAAGGAGGUACUGUGAAGCUUUUAGCUUCAGAGCCAAAAGGAUUAUCUUCUGCCAUUAUUGAAUAGAAUGUACAGAAGAAAGAAAGGUAAAAAUGGAGACAGGCCGGUUAAGGUUCCUGCUCUGAUACCAUGUGGAAAAUGAUAGAGAGAAUAUGAUGAUGGGGAGAAUAUGUUUUUGUGGAAAAUGAUGGAGAGAAUAUGAUGAUGGGGAGAAUAUGUUUUCUCAUUGUGUUUUUGGUUACAGGAUUACACACGUAUAUAUGUGUUGAACGGAAAAUUUUCACAAAAAAAACAAUUAGCCAAGAGUUUGACUUGGUUUAGAAUUGAAUUUGUUUUGUCCCUGCAAUCUUAUCAAGAAAAACAUUUAAAAAUAAAAUAGAUGUAUUUCAGUGGUUUUGAAACAACAAGAGAUAAGUAUCUCAGUUGAGAAGUGGUCAUCAGCUGGAAUUAAAACUCAUCAUAAGAUAGCCUCUAUAAGAGGCAUGACACGAGAGGAGAACAGGAGGAGAAAAAAAAAAGAAAGGCAGAGAAGAUAACAGCAGGAGAACAGAAAAAAAAAGCAGAAAGGAGAACAGUCAUAGCAAGAAGAAAAAAUUAACAAGCAGACUUGAGAAAGGAAAGAGCCAUUUCAAGGUAAAAAGAUUAGUUUCAUGGCACAAUUUUCUGAUUUUUUUUUGCUCAAGAUUUCAGGUUCCAUUCAACUCAAGGGUCCCUGGCCAUGAUGAUUGAAAUCAUCAUAACCAAGGUUAAGAAUUUCUCCGAGGCUUGGCUCCGCUCAAAUAACUCCAGCAGUGUUUUCAAGUUUGCCUUCCACGAUGAUUUCAAUCAUCAUGUUUUAUGGCAUACUCUAGUCCAUCAUGCACCACCAAGUAAGCUCUUCCAUGAGCAAAGGGUUUGCUGCCUGCAAGCCAACGAAAAAAGCCAACAAACAGCCAUGGAAGAAUAGCCAAUGACGUGGGGGUCAUUAUGAAAUCAAAAGCUGAGGGGAAGGCAGCCAUGAGGUUGCAAAGAAAAAAAAGGAGAGUGCACGGCAGUGUUGAAGAAAAAAAAAGGGCAGAGUCGUGAGGCUGUGGAAGAAAAAAAUAGCUUCUGAAACAAGGACAUGGACAAUGGUACAGCAACAGCAAACACAAAAAAAAAAAAGAGCUGGCAAGGCAUGUACCACAAGUUCUCUCUUGGGUUUCUGAAGCAAAAUGACAGGUGGUUUCCUCCACCAAACUCCAAAGCCUUCAAGCUGGCAGCACAGUCUCUGCAUACAAAAGAGAAGACAAGAGGUCAGAGGCAUGGAAACAGACAAAAGAAAAAAAAUAAGAGGAUGAUGCAUGGGGAUGCUACCACGUGGAGGACAAAACAAGAGAAUGAAUUCUCUCUAAUUGGCAGCAGAGGUCAAGCAAAGUCUAUGGUUUGAUAAAAAGAGUUCUUUGCCUUAGUUUACUGUGGUGCGAAUGUAUCUAUUUAAAAAAGAGACGCAUAAUCCUAUUCGGAAAAGGGCCUGUUCUUCUUGUGCUUUUUGUGUUUAGUUGCAAAGAGACAAAACAAAAGGAAGGCAGCCAGAAGAAAAAAAUUUAAAAAGGGGGCUGUGUCGCACAGCCCCUCCCUCUCUUGAAUGAUUCUCUUGGUCUACUUUGACUGAAAAUUGAGUAAAGGAAAAGAGAUUGGCAAUAGGGAAAUGAUUGCAACAGUAGACAAAAAGAAAAGAAAAAUAGGUAACCUAGAUUUGUCUUUGGUUUCUGAAGCAAGAAGACAAAUUGCUCUCAAAGCUCUCAAUGUGGCCCACGGCAAGGCACCUCCUUAAUCUUGCAUAUCCAAAGAGAGAAGUCAGCCGCAUGGAAACAAAAAAAACUGAAAUAGAAGAAGAGAAAGAAAAGGAAGAUUAUGGGUUUGGGGGUUACCGUGUGAAAUCUUAGAAGGAAAGAAACAAUUUGUUGCUUCUUUUGAUGAUGCAGCAGAUGUCUUGGGGAAGUCUACGGGCUGGUCUGGAAAAGCAAAUAUAUCAGAAGCUAUCGCUUUGUUUGCUGGUUCCUUCAAGUUGUGGUGCACAUAUACCUUUUUAAAAGAAAUCCUUGUGGACUAAUCCUACUCGGAAAAGGUUCUUCUUGUGCUUCUUGUCUUCAAAUCCAACAAAGAAUGAUAUGACUUAUCCAUACUUCACUGGAUGAUCCAGCAAUUCCAAAUCAACAAGGAGUUUAAUCCAUACUUCACUUGGACAAGGAUUUUUAUCCUUUGGGUGUCUUAAUCAAAUUGAAAGACACCUGUUAAUGGCACCAAUACGUAAGGGAUCCAGCUAGAGCAAAGCAAGGCCUUUCGUUUACUAUGUUUUGCUGAAUGUAAACAGAAGAAAAGAAAGAAUAAAAGUGUGUGGAGGGGAACCCACCACUUGUGAAUUCAAAAGGAAGAGGACUUCUUCCUCUUGAUAGCAAACAGAGAAAAGAAAAAAAAAUUAACGAAGGCAUUCGCUCAAAUACCCAGUCAUGGUACCGACUGCUUUUGUCCUCCAAUGACAACAAGACAAGUUAAUUGUCUUUUAAAUGAAAGCUGCAUACAUAUCUGCAGUAGAAAAAAAUUAUAUCUGCUGUUUACACAUCAACAGAAAAAAGCCUGCGAAGGUGAGCCCCUCCACGUGAAAGCUAAAGAAAAAAAUCAGCCAUGCUGAAAAAGCAAAACAAAAUGAAGAGUUAAGUGUGCUGGUGAACCCACCACUUGCGAAUUCAAAGGAAGAGGACUUCUUCCUCUUUGAGUUGCAGCAGAGGAAGGAAGAAAAAGAAGUCUUGGACUUCACGGACUUGCAUGUCCAAAGUGAAUCCAAGAUUAUGAAAGAGGGAUGGGCUGCAACUCUACAUGCAGCAAAACAAGGAAUUUGAAUUAUGAGUCCAAAUUCUAUUGCAUGAAGCUUAUGAUAAAAAAUGGUGUCGCUGUGGGGCUGGCGAUGUACAACACAUUGCGCAAGACCAAUUCAAGAUGGCUGGGUCUCUCUACGAUGCCUUCAAGCAUCCAAAUGCCAAGCGAGUUUGUCAUGAUGAUUGCAAUCAUCAUGUGGCUUUGCUGCUCAAAUGCUCCCAUCCCAGGAUGUCUUUAGCAAUACAUGGCAACAACAACGAAAGGACAAUAAACUGUGGUUGAGCAAGUUGGUUUUCAUUUGAUAAUCUGAGUAAGUAAACUUGCUGAAGAUACCAGUGGCUGCACAUGCAAGAGUUUAGCGACGAAGAAAGCAUAAAAGCUCAAGGCAAACCAGAAGCGCCUCACGCUUUGCUUACAAGUCCACUUAAAAAGGACCAAUGAUUUGCUCCAGGUUUCAUCCUCAACUAUCAUUGUGCAAGUCCUACUUGGACCAAGACUCAUGAAGUCUUUCAAGUCCCUCACGUCACUUUUGGUGACUGCAACAAAUGAAAAACAAAGUGCCCAGGCACUUGUGCUCCUUUGCAUUCCAAGGGACGAAGGGUUGGUUUCACUACUUGUAACACCAAGCUAAGCAAGUGUACAAAAGUGUCAACAAAGGUUCACGAGAACUGAUAGUUAGAAGGCUCAAUAAAAUGCUUAUGGCAUUCAGGUAUAUUUGUCCCAGUGCUCAAAUGCAAGAUGGCUACCAAACAUACUCACAAAAUCCCAACAAGAAAUAUGGGAAUCAAUCACUGUGGCAAAGAAGCUACGUCAAGCGACUCAACCAUGCUACGACCGUGACUCUAAUCUAAAUAAAUGAUUGGUCAUGUUUCGAGCUUCAAGCUCACUCUCAAAAGUUACCGAAUGGGCAUCAAUAUGGAUUAACGGGUUUGUCAAUCACAAGAGCCCAUUAAUCUCAAGUCCUCCAAAUCAUGUAUGGAUACAAAUGCAUGUGCCAAUGAUCAAAUUAAAUUAGUGGGUUCAUCAAAAUUACCCAUUAGUUUUCUUUGAUAUUGACAAUAAAAAAAUGGUACAAAACCAUUCCAUUAUUUCUCAUGGGUCAUCUACCCGUGCAAAUUCCAAUGAGAUUAAUUUCAAAUCUCUCAAACACAAAUUUUCAAUUAGUGGGCUACACUUACCCAUUAAUUUCUAAUUCUUCUCAUGGGUCAUCUACCCAUGCAAAUUCCAAUGAGAUUAAUUUCAAAUCUCUCAAACACAAAUUUUCAAUUAGUGGGCUACACUUACCCAUUAAUUUCUAAUUCUUCUCAUGGGUCAUCUUCCCAUGAAAAUUCAAAUGAGAUUAAAUUCAAAUUUCUCAAACACAAAUUCUCAAUUAGUGGGCCACACUUACCCAUUAAUUUCCAAAUUCCGAACUACGUUGGUUUGAUCCCUUUGAAAGGGUACGUAGGCAAUCUAGAGAUUCGAUCUAGAUGCAACCAUCCCAAAUGCAAUCCCAUAUCGAAUCCCUGGUUUAUUCAGCUAAAUUCACUCAAACACUUCUCAAUACAAUUCAAAUCAAAUUUCCCUCGCAAUGAGUCAUUUAUUCAUUGCGAUUCCUUGAACUACGAGUGGCUUGAUUCCCGCAAGGGAUACGUAGGCAUCCUGAGGUUGGACUUGGGAGCAGUUGCAAAAUCAAACACACACGUUCUGUUUCUUUAUGAUGGAAUCAAAGGGUGUUCCCUUGAAGCAAGGGAUUGUAAUUAAGAGACUUGCGUCUCGAAUGGGUCGAACCUAAAAAUAAUAAAACCCCGUUAUUUAAUUAGUGGUGGUGAAAUUAUAUUAGGAGGAUCACAUUUUCCUUCAACAAUAUGUAUAAGCUAGGGACCACCACCUUGACUUUAACCCCUAAUUAUAGGAAAACUAUAAUUACAAGCAACCACCACCUUGACUUUAACCCCUAAUUAUAGAAGAACUAUAAUUACAAGCAACAAGAUCAAAUCCCCUAAAUUAAGGAAAUCCCAUAAAUCAAGGAAAUCCCCUAAAUCAAUCACAGCUAGCAGCCACCAAGCUAUACUUCCAAUAGUGUGCAUAUAUCCUCAUGCAUUAUGUUGGAUGGUGAGAUUGCUGUAAAUAUGUUUGCUGAUACAGCGCCUUGAUUGUUGAGUUGAUACUGGUUGAAGGGGCCGAUGACUUUUUCGCUAAAGUGAACGUUAAAUGUAACCUUUUCAUGAAUGUGGUGGGCAAUGAAAACAGGGGAGGCUCUGCCAACAAGCUCAAUAAGGUGAAGGGCAUUGACAGAAAUUGGACUCCCUCCAGUUGGACAUGAAACAUCAAGAAGGUUGAUGACAGGAGCAACAUCGUAUUGUGAGUGAAUACAUGCAAGUAUUCGGAGCUCAGCAUUCGGUUUCAUAUCGAUGAUGUUCCUUUUCUGGUAGCCUGCAUAUUUCCUCGAAGGAUCAUACAAGUAGUUAACCAUGCUAGGCACCAGUAUUGCUAUAAUCAGAACACUAACGAGCAGCACCGCGAAAGUUUGAUCAUCAAUAGUCUACAAGUGGGGGGUGGAGGAAAGGAAAACAAAGAUUAGUUAUAUAUGUUUUCCAUGCGCAUCGUAAUUCGAAUGUGUCUGAAUGUUUGUGCUUGUACCAGAUAGAACAAGGGAAAAGAAUAAUAUUUUUAAGGCUUAAUUAACUUGUUACCUUAUAGUCAUGGAAUAAGGAGUAUGAUGCCAACUCAACUACGCCCUUGGAGCUCAUUACGAAACCAAUUGCAAGAGCAUCAUUGAAGGGCAUCUUGCAAAUCAAAGAUGGUACAAAACUGGCCAUUACUUUGGACAAAAAAGUUACCACCAGAAGGACAAUGUCCAGCGUUAACAAUUUACGAUCAUCUCCGAUGGACGAAAGGUCAGCCUUCAUUGCGCAUAUAGUCACAAAUAGUGGCGUGAAAACUCCAGAGAAAAACCAAUCAAACUUUUUCACUAUAGCAGCGCCUAAUGGUGGUCCAUCUGGAACUGCCAAACCCAAAAUGAAAGGACCUAAAAGCACAGUUUGGUCAAACAUAUCAGAAAGAACGCCAGACAACAGAACCAUUAGAAAGAUGGCAUAUAUGUACACAUCCUUAACAGGCCUGCCUGCUGGUGUAUGUUUCACAAUCCAAAACAGGGCAGGACGAAUGAUGAACACUACCGCAAGAAUAUAGGCAAUAAGUGAGAAAAUGUCCCCGUAAAUUUUGUAUAUUGGUUGUCCGGUUCCCAUGGAAACUCUGAUAAAGCUAGCAGUACUUGUUGCAAUCACAUUGAUCAUGUCACUGACCAGGCCGGAAGAUAGUCCCAACCGGCCUAGUUCCGAAUUUAGGAGUUUGAGGUCCUGAAGAAGGCUAGAAACAACUGCAAAUGAAGUCAGAGAAUGCGUCGCUGCCACAAAAAAAACCUUGUCAUCUUCUUCUUCCUUGAAGACAUAUGCGCAAGCAAAGGCGGUUAACAAGCCACAUAUUAUGGGCACUACAAGUGACAAAAUACCAAUUGUUAAAGCUUUGUGUCCUGUUUUCUUUAUCAUGCCUACAUCCAUUUUCACCCCUGUUAGAAACAUGAAAAAAGCGUAACCAAACACCGAUGCCGUGCCAAUCGCAUCUUGACUGAGGAGUGGAAACAAGGAUUCUUUGCCAGACUUGUCUUUGAUUGAAGGUCCAAGCAGUAUGCCAGUCUAGAAUUCAAAUAACACCUCUUGUUAUUUCCAUCAAACACAUAACAAAGAAAGAAAAUUCCCACAAAAGCUUUGCAGUUUCAUAACUUUAUACUACUUGGUUAUGAAUUAAAUCCACAUCCAGAUAAAUGGGAUCAUUUUAUAUUUCACUAUCAUGUGAUCAAAUAAAAGAAUAAACAAUUAAGAAACUUUAACAGGACAGAAGUAUUAGAGAUGGAACAUACAACAAUUUGUGAGAUGACCUUUGGGAGCUUGAAAGGUUUGAAGAAAAGGUGAUGGUGACUUGGGUGAUGACAAAAAUAACAACAAUCUGGAGCUCCAAAAGAGGCACUAAAUGACUGGCACGAACUAGCGGCACCGGAGAUUUAAAGACAUCAUCCCAGUUGCCACCAAAUUCCAUAUUGGGUGGUGAGCUGAAGCAAACAUUGAAGAAAGUUUCAUUGACCUUGUGCAGUGCGAUGACAUCUUCCUCCAAAGUUGAAAUAUUUUUGUUGGCCAUCAUUACAUAUAAUUAACUAAAAGUUUUUUGCAGAAGAUAAUUCAAAGGCAUGCACAUAAGGGACAUGGGAAAGAAAGAAAGCAAGGUUGUAUGAGGGCAAUAUGCGUGCAGAAAUGUAAAGGGAGAUAAAAAGAUGUUACAGUUCUAACAGCAUUGGUUUAUGACAAAGCACUCGAACUAUGUCAUACACACUUUCACCACCUACUUUACUAGCAACCGCGUUAAUUAAUCACACUCAUCUAACCACAUUAACAAUGGAACUCAUCUUUGCUGGAUGAUUUUCCAUUUGUUACAUCCAUACCACUUAUUAUUAUUUUAAGUUUACAAGUGUAAUUGAUAUGAAGAUGUGUAAUACCAUAUUUUUAUACCACAUUGUGUAUCACUUGUCUAAUAGAGCAGGAGCCCACCAAUACAAUGGAACCCACCUCUAUUAGAGAUGUGGUACAAUAGUUAGUAAAAUAUAAGGCAUUUUCCAAUUCAAUUCCUCCUAAUCCAAUUCCGAAUUAGUAAACAUGCCAUAAGAGCAACUCCACCGUUGCGCCCGGGCUGGGGCAAGGGGAGGCUCAAGACGAAAAAUGGAAUUCCACUAGGUCACUUUUGCCCGGGCUGGGUGUGGGGCCCACAAGCCUAGGCUGGCCCUCAGGCAAAACCAGCCUUUGCACAAGCUUGGGUUUGCUGACAUCAGAAACCCAAAAAAAAAUAAAAAAUUUAAAAAUCUAUAAAAAAAUUUAAAAACAUACUAAAAUUUUCAGAAUUUUUUUUAAAUAAAUACUUAGUCAUAUUUUUCACUUCCCACACCAAAACAACAUACAAAUUCUUCUCCAGUGCUCUAAGAGAAUAAGAGAGGCAUGAGGUGAAAGGUUUAUAUGGGUGGGUUGUUGGAGUCCAGAUCUUCUGUCCUUUUUUUCCUAUACAACCCUGUCCCCUAUCUAAUUCUUUGACACCUCUCUAUUCACUUAACUCUUUAUUUUUAUUUUUAAUCAAACUUAACUCUUAAUACACAGCUUCAGCUUUUAAUAAAUUAAGCAUAAAAAAUUUGAAAAUUAAACAAAUAGAAAAAACCAACAUCCACCAAUGUAAACUCCCACCCACCCAAGGACGGACCCACAGUGGGGUUAAUGGGGUCAAAUGACCUUAUGGACUCCAUGAAAGCAAAGUAGAAGGUCCCUUUGAAUUGGUGUGUGACCCCAUGAAUGGCUGAAGGAGGAGUUGCAGAUACUGAGGAAGAAGAAGAGGAAAUCUGUUUUUUUUUUUUAAAAAAAAAAAAAAAAUAGGCAGGCCAAAACGGCAUCGUUUUGGCCCAGCUUCUAAUUUUUUUUAAAAAAUAGGCAGGCCAAAACGGCGUCGUUUUGGACCAGUCCAGCUAUUUUUUUUAAAAAUGCGCUGGCCAAAACAGCGUCCUUUUGGACCAGCAGCUCAUUUUGUCCAGGUUUAAAAAAAAAAAAAAAAGAACAAUUGUAUAAUCUACACAGACCCUCCUUCCGAGUUUUCAACUCCAAAACCUCCAUUUUCUAAACCCUCAAACCUAAAUCCCAAAUCUCCACCCCCAACAAACCUUUAACUCUCUUCCCCACUAAGUGUUUAAGCCCCAACUCCUCCAUUGCCGCCGUUGCCAGUAGCUCCGUAGCUUUCAAUGUUAUUUUAAUCUUUAAAAACAAAUUGAACUUUUACACUAUAACCUUGCGACAUAAAAUUCCUGGGUCCGUCCCUGCACCUACCCAGCACCGUCAGCCAACCCACCUCGCCGGCGGUGGCACAUUCUCCACCUUGCCGGCAGCGAUACCUUCUUCACCUCGUUGGCGACAAUACCUCCACCUCGUCAGCGAUAACACCGUCUCCACCUAGAUGGCGAGAACACCGCCUCCUCCUACCUCUCUUUCUCUUUCGUUCUUGAAGAUAAUCUCAUAACUGGAUCUAAUUCAGCGAAGCUCAUCAUUCAAUCCCUUACAAGUGAAGUGAUGGAUCUAUAACAGGUAUUUUGCAUACAAAAAUCUCAAACAAAACCACCCCAAAAGAAUACAGAUUUUGCACAAAGGGAUGGAUGCCUCUUGUCUGUUGGGCCCAAUGCUCAUCCAGAUUGAACACUUUCUUCAAGAAAUGGAAAAACAGAUAGAGGGAGAGAAGAGACUUUGAGGAGGAGCGAGGUGGAGAUGGUACUGCCGUCGGCGAAGUGGGAUGGCUGAUGGUGUUGGGUGCCGUCGGUUUGGAUGGGGACGGGGACGUUGGUGGUUUCUGGUGUUGGUUUGUUUUUGUUUAGUUUUCAUUAAAAAAAAAAAAAAUUUCCUCGGCAAAGUUAUGAAGAAUGUGUCAAAUUUCAAGUGUCCCCUCACUUUUCUUUUCCUUGUGCAUUAAGAAGGUAUCUCGCAGAAAUUCAUUAAUAUAAAACUGGUAGCAAAAAUAUCCUUAAAAUCCAAGUUAAUUAUUUGAAAAUUCCUUCGCAAGUUUCAGAGGAAAUUGGGUUGGUGGAGAAGUGUGUUGUUACUGCCUGCCUUUUGUUUCCCAGCAUAUUUUGAUAUUCAUAGUGAAAUUUUAUAUAUAUAUAUAUAUAUAUAUAUAUAUAUAUAUAUAUAUAUACUCUAAGUCUGCAGCUCAUCCAAUCCAAGUGGCAGGUUUAGGUUUUCUGAGUUGUAAGUUUUCAGUCAGUUCUAUUCCUACUUCUAGUUCUUUCAGUUUACCUGUCCUUCUCUCUCUUGGUGUCUGAACAGUAAGACCCGUUCCAAACAGUAAGUCCCAGGGAGGCCUGAGCGGUUGUGGCAUUAGUAGGAGGGCGAGAGAUUUACUAGGUAUCCUGUUUAAUUAGAAGUCAGCCUUAGAAGUUUAUGUUUACUUUCUUCCUUAGAACUCCAACCCCAGAACCUUGAGAAACAUGAGUAGCUUAUUCAGAACCAACUCUUAUAAUUCUAGCAGCUCUAGAGUCAGUAUUGGCAAAGUCCUAGAGAUAGUUAAUGAAGAACAACUAGAAUAUAAGUCUAAUAAUGAACUAGAUUUUCGAGAUUGGAAUAUACCUAAGGUCCCUAGUCAAAAUAUUUAUAAGAAAAAAUAGUCGCUCUCUAGUUUCAAUACAACCACCCAUGUAAAAACAGUUGAACAAAUCUAUGCUUUAAGUCAAGAACAUGAGACUUGUCAAUUACUUAAUCUUGAGUCAAUUAGAAAACAUAAAAAUGAUGGAAACAAUUUUCUUCACAUUGGUCUAGUCCAAGUUGCAGUUAAGCCGUUAACUAGAUUAGGAUUAAAAGCUUCAAUCCUUCUCUACUUACGUGAUGCCAGGUUCACUAAUUUCAGCGACAGUACGCUAGGAAUUAUUGAAUCCAGCCUUGCUAAUGGUCCUAUUCAUUUUGAUUGUUACCCUGAUUUUACAGUAAGCCUGAGUGAUCCCAAUAUAUUAAAAACCCUAACAUUAAAUAUAAAAACUGAUGACUAUGAUCUCCUGCCCAGCACACAACCUUUAGCUUUAGUUUACAUAAUCUAUUACAAAGUCACAUGUACUAAUAUGAAUUUCCAAGCCCUGAGUAAAAGUCCAAAAAACCAAACUUUGUUAAUCCAAAGUCAUACACCUGAUGCUACUGUUCGAGUCCCUCAUUCAAUUAAAUGGUCAGAUGUAUCCCUUCCAGUAGAUUGGACCUUAACCGCUGAGAGUCAACCAGUUCCAAUCCAGCGUAGUUUAAACAAUUUAGACUAUAUCCAAUAAUAUCUUGAUGGCACUGUCAAAAUUAAUUUUAGUCAUCAACCUCCACAAAAGUCAACAGUCCAGUUACAGCAGUUACCCAUACCAAGUCAAUCCCAAAGACAUGUUCCUGCUAGACAUUCCUUUGCUGCCUCUUCCUCUACUCCAGAACGAGACCUAGAGUUAGAAAAAGCAUUGAUUGACUUAAAACUAGAAUCCUUAAGAAAAACUUCCCAAGUCACUCAUCCCGUUUAUAGAAAAAACUCCUGUCUCAGAAGACAAUAAGUCUGAGUCCUCCGAGUCACCCACUCAAUCUGAUUUCAUAGUCAAAAACUCCCCAGUUGACAACCAAUUAAGAACUCUAAAUAAAUUUUUUUUAAUUAACUGGAAAAGAUUAGAAAAUCAUUUACAUGCUCCUGAGAAUCAAAUUAGGCAAAAUAAUUAUCACACAGUCAUCCCUGACAGAGUCAAAAGACAACAAAUUUUUAAUGAUUGGAAAGAUUAUAUGCGAUCUGCUAAAAUUGAAAUUUUUUAUCUUGAUUACGUAGAAAGCUGACAUAUGCCCAAUGAGUUAAAAACUUUAACCCAAGAAAAAUGGGAAAAGAUGGAUCACACUGAGAUUCUCGCUAGUCACCCCCUGUUGAAACAAUCAUUAUUAACCAUAACAAAACAAAACUAGUAGCAACCCUUUCAAAGUCCCUGAUCUGGAAAAUAAGAUGUUAGUCGAGGAAAAAAAUUAUACCAACCAAAGUCUAGUUGUCGUAGGGAAACAAUUAGAUAAGAUAGAAACAAAAAUCUAUACGUUACUCCCCAAUGAAGUCAAAACUAAAAAUGAGAAACCUUUAGUUACAUUCCAAGGUUUAAAGUCAAGUCCAACUUUCAAAACAAAAGAAACAAUGACAAAAAUUGAAAAAAUGUUAGAAGAAUUAACACCAGUCAAAAGAAAAGACAAGGAAAAGAUUGAAACUAGUAUUAGAGUUCUAGGAUUCUUCCAGUUACCCCUUACUUCAGAUAAAUCCUCUGAAUCUGAGUCAGCCUCCAGCAUGGAAACAGAAAUUAGUAAUAUUUCAAAAAUUGAAAAUGCAUUUAGAAGUCUUGAGUUAGAAAAUAAUCCAAAAGUAAAGCGAUUAACAAACAGAGUCAGCCCCACUAGUCUCACAAAAAAUUGGUAUCCAAGGCCAACACAUCUGGAUAUUCAAUAUGAAGAAAGAAAUUCACAAAUCAAUUUUCAGUUUCCUUUGAUAAAUUAUACGAAUGGAACAUUGAUGGUCUCUCUGAGCAAGAAAUCUUAAAUAAACUUCAACAUAUGUCCAUGGUUGCCAAUAGUUAUAUCACCAAUCACAGUUUCAGGCAAUCUAAAAUUGUGCCUUUAUUAGAAACUGGUUUCACUGGAACUCUUCGUUCCUGGUGGGAUAAACAUUUAACUAAUGAGUCUAAACAACAAAUAAUUCAUGCAGUCAAACUCAAUGAAGAUGGUCUCCCUAUUUUUGAUGAACAAAUAGGUCAAGGCAUAGAAGAUGGAGUCAACACUUUAUUAUAUACAAUAGUUGAACAUUUCAUUGGAACACCUACUAAUACUACUACUAGAAUACACGAUCAACUUAGUAACCUAUGAUGCCCUAAAUUGUCUGAUUUUAGAUGGUAUAAAGAUGUGUUUAUUUCCCGAGUUAUGUUGAGAGAUGAUAGUAAUCAGUCAUUUUGGAAAGAAAAAUUUGUUAAUGGUCUUCCUAAUUUAUUUGCCCAUAAGAUUCGCACGACACUUAGUAAUGAACAAGGUCAUAUCGAUUGGGAUAGUUUAACACAUGGUAAUAUCAUUAGCACAAUUAAUCAAGUUGGUAUGAGAAUGUGUGUUGAUAUGAAAAUCGGUAAACAAAUCCAGUCAGAAAGAAAUUCUGCUAAUUAUGAGUUAGGAAAUUUUUGUGAACAAUACGGGCUAAUAUCAGCUCCCCCGUCUAGAAAGGAUAAGUCUAGUCAUCACAAACAACAGUUUAGUAAGAGUCGCCAUUAUUCUUGUCAAAAACAGUCAUUCCAACAUAAUAAUGACAAUAAUGAAUUUUAUAGUAAAAAGAAAUUUUCCCCUAAGAAAAAUUGGAAAAAGAGUCACGGAAAAGAUAAGAAUAGUCGCUUUAAGAAAAGUAAAAUGUUAUAAAUGUGAAAAGUUUGGUCACUACGCUAAUAAUUGCAAAAUAAAAGACACAAUCAAACCAUUGAAAAUCACAGACGAAGAAAAAGACAAACUAAUUAAAGUCCUUGAGCUUAGAAGUUCCGAGUCUAGUGAACAUGAUACCAUCGACAGUAAUACUGAGACUCCUGAAUUUGAUUACUCAGAUUCUCAAUCCAGCUCUCCCAAAAUACAAUUUGGUUGCCAAGACAAUUGUUGUAAGUCUUAGUCAGUUAAUGUCCUCACUAAACAAGAAGAACAAGAAGAGUUAUUAAUUGAUUUAAUUAGCAAAGUAAAAAAUUUUGAGUUAAAAUCCGAAUAUCUGAAAAAGUUAAGAAAGGUCAUCAGUCAAAAAGAACCAAGACAGUCUACCUCUCAAAAGAUAAGUUUGAACACAACUUUAGAAAAAUUUAAUAAAAAGAAGGAAGUUACGCUACAAGAUUUGCAAUCAGAAGUAAAGAUAGUCAAGAAGGAAAUUUUAGAACUUAGGCAAAUAAGUCAAAAGUUACAGGUUGAAAAUUAUGAGAUAAAACAAAAUUUGAGUCACCUCCUGGAAAAAGAUGAUGCAUCCAAAGGUUUGCCUGAGAGUCCAACAAAUUCAGAGGACAAGUCCCAUGAACCUCCUAACCAAGAAUAAUCAACUGUCAAUUUAAUUAAACAAGUCAUAUAUAUAUAUAUAUAUUUUCUUUAAAGUUGAUAAAUCAAGAAAAUGUGCUACAAAAACUUGGGCAUGGCAUGCAUAUAUGCUUGAGCUGGAUGUUCAGGGAAAUAUUUAGGUUUAGCUUUUAAAUAUUCUAAAACCAUCUUUUAGAAAAGUGUAGUAGGAUCGCCUUUGCUUGAAGAAAUAUUUGACAUACUUGAGUUGGGUUAGUAUUAUCAAUAAGGAGAAUACGUCAAGUAUCCCCUCACUUUUAUUUUCCUUGUUAUAGAGGGCUAGUAUUUAUACCAGCCUUCCUCGUUAGUUAAGGUUAAGGAGGUAUAUACUCUCGCUUAUCAUUCUUUAUUAUUGAGUGGUAAUUUAUUAAUAAAUUUGGUAACUCAUAUCCUUAAAAUCCAUGUUAAUUAUUUGAAAAUUCCUUCACAUGUGUUAAUGUGCAUUAGGAAAUAUUGACCAAUACGGUGUGGCAGCCCAAAUUCAAUCCAUAUUAUCGUACAUUAGAGUAGUUCCGAGUAUUGGAUCUUCAAAAUGCAAAAAGAAAUCCUUGAAUUUUUUUUUUUUUGGUAAAAAGAUUCCUUGAAAUUGGGUUGGUAGAGAGAGAGAUGUGUGUUGUUACGUGCUACCUAGGUUUGCUUUUAAAUAUUCUAAAACCAUCUUUGUAAACAUGGCAUCACCUUCUCUUGAAGUAAUGCUCGUUAUACAUCUUCUCCUUGUCUCUUUUUAUAUAUAGCUAACACAAACUCAUCCUUAACCUCUUCUACAUAGCGAAUGUGACAUACUCAUUCACUUCCUCUGAGUUCUCAGUUCAUAUAUUGUCCCUUUUGUGGUUAUAAUUAAUUAUAUCAUUCAAGCUUCUCGCAACAGUUCACCAGUGUUUGCUAAAACAUUGCAUUGGAGAGCUAGGUAAGUCUUGAAAUAGUUGUUUGCCUUCACACUUUAGCACAACACAAGUGGUUCGCUUGACACUUUACUGGAAAACUUAUGUAUUUUUGGGGAUUAAGAGCCUGUUUACUUUCUUUGGUUCCAUGUCUAUAAGUUUCCUUGCUUUUCUUCUUCUAAACCUACUUAGCUUUAUUUUGUCCUAUUUCUGUAUUAUUUAUCAUUUCACAGCACAAAUAUAUAUCUUUGUUUCAUCUUUAUAUUUCUGGCUUUAUGUCUGCAGUCUUGCAAUAAUGAGCAUUCAGAUUGCGGAUAGUGCUGUAAAUUGCUGCUAACUCGAGGUUGGUUUUCCUUAGAAAAUUUUAAUUUUCUUUAUCGACUACCUCUUGGCACACACUCACACCUUCAUUAAUUUAAGUUUCUUCUUCUUCAUUGUUUUUUUACUGUGAUGGAAUCUUUUAGAGUAAACAUACAUUAGUUUAUGUAUUAAAAACAAGAAAACAAAUGAAAAACCAAAGAAUGUAGUUGUUUAGCAAAAUUACUUAACCAAGAGUAUUUGAAGGGUUUUUAAUAAUGUUUCUGUGGUCUCUUCCUUUAUAUAUAUAAAGAUUUCAUUUUAUGUUACUACACCCAAUUUAUAUUAGAUUGCUUUCUUAAGUUAGGAAAGUAUUGAAGUUAGCUCAAGGGGUGAGAGAAUGCAAGGUAAUGACAAAGAAUUAGGAUACGUGUAGGUUCAAUACCUUCUAAAUAGCUAGAACAAGAAAUAGUGAUAAAAAAGAAACGGUGUUUUUCUAGAAUUUUGAAUACUUCACCCAAAAAAAUGUGUUGAUUUUAUGUUAGUAUAUAUCCGCGUUUUUUCAAUUUCAACAAGUUAUGCCAUUUUUUGAUAUGGUUACACAUAGGGUCCACUUAAAUGUCAAUGUGGCACAAAUAGGGACCAUUUUUUUUUAAAAUUAAAUGAAGUAGAAUAAAAUAUUAAUAAAACAUGUGAAAUUCAAUUUAAGAUUAAGAAAAGAUUCUUAAACGAAAAACAAAAUAUUAAAAAACUAACAAACACUUAUGGUCUGCUUGAUAAUGAUUUCAGUUUUUUGUUUUUAUUACUUUUCACUUUUCAAUUUUUAAAAACUAAAACUACAAAACUUGUUUGGUAACCAAUUUUAGUUUUAAAAAUGAAAUUGAAAAUUGUUUAAAAGUUGUUUGAUAACUUAUUUCAGUUUUAUUUGGAACUUAAAAAUGAAAUUUUUUUGGGGUCAAAUUGUGAAUAUGAGAUCAUAUAUAAUGAAAGUCCAUGUUCCAAUAUGAUCCUAGUCGGGAGGUCCCAAAUAAGAAGUUUGGUAACUUAAGUGCAAUGCAUGUGUCGUGAUGUUAAUUGGUAAAAGAGAAAGAAGCACCAAAAAAAUAAAAAUAAAAUAAAACUAAAACGAAACACUAAAAACUAUCAUUAUCUCUCUUAUUGAAUUACCGGUAAAUUAGAGCGAAAAUUAGUCAAGUGAGCAACGUCUUCAAGGACAAAGCACUGGUCAUGAGCUUGUUGUCGAUUUGAACUUUGUGAUCAGAUUUGCCUGCUUUCCAGUGAACCAAAUGGAACUAUGAGGGAGUAAUUGGAUUUGAAAUCGGAUAUCGGUGGUUUUAAAACGAUGGACUUGACUGGAAUAUGAGUGGGGUAGUAUUUGUCACAAAAAGAGGUGUCGUUUUAAUUUUAUAAAUACUCACAAGUGCACAAAUCAAAUGUAAUAUAGAUGUGUAAGAAUGAGAUCGUACCCACAAGGAUUGCAUGAAAAAAAUAGAGAACUAACCCAAAUAAAUUAAGGGAGAUUCACUAUUAUACCCACUAUAGGGCCCAAAUUAUAAAAAUACUAUAUAUAAAAAUGGACUUUAGAAACACACCCAAAGCCCAUUUACAACAUAACAAAGAGGCUUUUAACUUUUUAUAAAUUACAAAACUGUCAUCUAUUUUUAAAACAAGCCAAACCCCAAAAGCUCCUAAAAAACCCCAAAACACUCAAUAGGGCAUCAAAGUAAUUUAAUAAUCAAAAUUUUAUUAAAGAGAGCAAGCUGUUAUUUUUUGGGGUUUUUUUUGUUUAUAGAAAUUAAAUGGUGAAGGGUUUAUUUAUAUUUUUUAUGCUAAGAUUGGGUGUAUGACUAAAUAUCUCUUAAAUUAAUUCAAUUACUCACCUAGUACCUUCCGAGGUUGAUUUGUUGGUUUUUUUUUUCAUAAAAAAAAAUAUAAAAAAAUAUACAGAAAUUCUAAGGCAUUAGAAUCCACACCACUAUUCCAUAAAAUUCUAAUUAUUUACCUAUCAAUUUCCAAUUUCCAUGGAGUAGCGAUCUAGAAAUCAAUCUACUACUUUCUCAUGAUAUAUCAAUUAAGCAUGCAAUUUAAUAAAUCUUUUGUAAAUUCCCUUUCCUUUUUUGGUAGAACUUCUAAGCAUCACAUGUAAAUAAAGGUAUUUAACUACAAAGGAUCAAAGUUUCCUAAGCAUACCCUAGGUGAAAAAGGUUUUUUGAAUGACAAGAGAUCAAAGAAAUUUGUAUAGUAAAUAUAAAACCAAAGACAUAUUAAUAAAUCAACCCAAUUUUAACUACCACAAAUACAUGAUAGAAGUGGUGAAAAUAAAGCAAAUCUAUUAAUCACGUGAAGCCAACAUUAUUAACAUCAAAGAAUAUAAUUUAUAAAUUAAAAGAUAAAAACAGGAAAUUAAUUUUAUAAUGGUAUUUCACCAUUAACAUAAUUUAACUAGAAUAAAUAAAAAAAUAAACUACAUAAUAAGAGAUAAAAACUAAAGUAAAGAAAAAUUAAAGUAGAGAGAAAAAGGAGAAAAAGUGUAUCAUAAACCCCUUCGUUCCUUGCCUCUCGGCUCCUCAAGAUUCUCUCCAAUUCUUCUACAUUUUCUAUCCUGUUUCUGCUCUCCUGUUUGUUGUCCAAUUUCAAUUUUCUUCCACUUUGGGUUUGGAUUUGGAUGCAUCACACGGGUUGCUCUCCAUCCUUUUUCUUUGUCUUCGGGCUUUGGACGUAGUCAAUAUCCACCUUAUCUUCUAUCUUCUUCUUGCAACACAUUCUUUAUUCCUCCUCAUUUGCUAUUGGUGGUAGACUCUCAAUAUCUAAAAAGAACCGCACACUAAACACAAAAACCAAGACUGUAAACAAUCAAUACAAAUAAUCUAAAAGAUUAAAAUAAAAUAAAAUAAAACAGUAAUAAAUAUAAAUUUAAGGAUAAAACUUAUAUUAAUUUUGUGCUCAUCAUGUUGGAACUAGGAUGCUCGGUUCGGUAACCGAACCUAGGGGCACAAACCAACCACUGAACCGAUGGUGGUCCAAAUUCUACAAUCGGUUUGCCGACUGUCGUUCGAAGUCAACCACUGUCUGUGCGGUAGCAUCCAAGAGAGAGAGAGAGAGAGAGAGAGAGAGAGAGCAGAUAUGUGCGUCAGCUGCAUCAAAUGAAGAAGAGAUGGUGUGCGAUGGCUGCGAAGAGAGGACAAGAAGGAUGGCCUCGAAUUGAAGAGGAGUGCGGCCGCAGCUGCGAAGAGAGGAGAAAUGGGGAAGAAGAAUAUAGGAGAGAGAAAAUGAGGUGGAGAAGAAGAUAAGAUACAAAAGGAGAAGGAGAAGAAAAUACGGAGGGAAUAAAGUGGUGGGACUGUUUGGGAAUGAUUUUGGAGGACUAAAAGCACUUUAUAUGACCACGUUUGGUAGAAAAUGUUAGAAGUGCUUUUAGGUCGUGAAAGCGCUUUCUAGAGAAGCAUCUACUAUGUAUUUCUUCAGGAAGCACUCCCAAGUAAUUUCCCAAGAAGAUUUUUGCAUUUCUUAUGAAAAUUUCAACAUCUUUAUAAUGAAAGCGCUUUUGUAAGAAACUCUUAUGAUCAAAAGUGCUUCCUAGAGAAGAAGUCCCAAACAAGUGGUAGAAGCCCUCCUCUCCAACAAGCAGGUUAAGGGUUUGAGUCCCUUUUGGAGCAUAAUUUGAAAUAUUCUUCACAACUGAUAGAGUUCAAUUUGUUGGCCGAAACAAAAAAUUAAGUGAAAAGUCAUGAACCAAAUGGUUUGGUUUGGUGGGUUUGGCGAUCUAUAGAUCUAAAAUUCUAACCCUAUGUGAGAUGGGAUAUGGGGGUGACGACUACAGUGAGAUAUAGGGUGAGGGGCCGCGGUUGGAAGUUAGAUUGGGGGAAGGGGUGAGCUGUCUCUUAGGGGCUUUAGGUUGCUUCGCAUGUGCCUUGUUGUACACUCACAUACCUGUAUGGAUUAAUCGCGAACCCGAUAAUAGGGUCCCUAAGAUUUAAGGACUAGGUCAGUAUUAUUUCGACUAAUAUUCUUGUUUGAAAUAUAAGUAAAGCUUCAGCAGAAGAACUAUUGAUUGAUCACGUAUAGUAAAUUCACCCUCUAUGCGUACUUUUCCUAGUGUCUCUACGUAAAUGACUAAAGAACAAUCAUCCUCCUAAUUAACCAAACAUAAGAUGCCCCAGUUUUUGUUUUAUGGAUUAUCAUUACUCAAUUAACAAUCCUAUGGCUAUGAACUAUAUUGACUAUGAAGAUAAAAGAGCAAGGUCUCAUAAAUCUACUUAACUUUUACUUUCUCUCUAUUUCAUAUUCAUUGGCCUAUUGUUUAAGCAUAUAAUUGUUGAUAGGAAUAUUUCUAGCCAUAAUGACCUUGCCAUUAAUUUAAUUUAAUUACUAAGUAAAUAUAUAUAGGUAAUAUCCAUAAAAGAUUACAUAAAAUUAUUAGGUUUUAUGGGAUAUUUCCCACACAACAUAUAGUGGAACAAUAUUAUAGGUGGCCCUUUGAGCUAGGCUGAACUCAUUUUUUAAGCUAGUUUAAGCUCAAAUUUAGCCCGAGUUAAUAUAGUAUAACAUGCCCUAAGAAUGCAUAUCCCUAAAAGAUUGGUCGUUCAUGUGAGGAAAGAAAAUCAAUGAACAUUUUAAAGUACACCAAUAUAAUAAUUGGAACAUCUUUCCAUUUAAUUAUAAGAUUAUAAACAUUUAGGACCAAACUUUAAUGAAACAAACGCAAGGUAUCUUAUAAAAAGAUGUGAGCUCCUAAUGAGAUUUGUUAGCUCGGCACACCAAAUCAUAAGCUUGGGUCAUUUUAACAAGGGGAGAAUUGCACUUAGACUCCCCGACGUUUGGUAUAAUUACAGUCAGAUCUCACAUGUUUUAUAUAUUACGAUCACACCCCUUGUGUUAGUUAACUUUGACAUAAACUGGUAGUUGACUGGAUUUUAACAAAUGAAAUGUCUGUUCUAACCUUUCUACAUAAAUAUCAACAAAAUACCUUAAAAUCAAUUUUAAAAUAAACAAAAAGGUUAAAGCUUAAAAAUUAAAAUUAAAAACUCCCAAAACUUGAGUCUUACCUGACCCCUCCGCAUCCCCCACCUAGUAACCACCCCAUACCAUGCCACCCCCUCAUACUUACCGGUGACAUGUCUUCUCUCUCUCUCUCUCUCUCUCUCUCUCUCUGUGCACAUAUUAGUGUCCCACUCCCUCUCUAAUAUGAGAGGAUGACUGAUAUCUCCAUAGCAGGAGCUGUAAUGGUUGGGUGUCUUGAGAAAUUUUUUGGUGAGGAAGGAGGAAGAGUGUUUAUAGAUUAUGAGUUACAAUUGCUAUGAGAUUUGUUUGGUUGGGUUUUUGAUUGGUUUACCUUUGACUUUUUCAUAAUUAAAAUUGUAGGUGUUGAACCGGUUGCAUUUUUUGUUUGAGAUUUUGUUGGUCUCUAACGGCUUUAUAUCAAAGGCAACAAAAAAUGGAAGAAAUUGUUGAAGAACCAGUGCCACUAAUUGGGAGACAACUCAACUAUCUAAUUUACUAUGAUUCCAACAUAGAAAGUCUAAAAGAUGCUCUUAAAAAGCUUGACGACAAGAAAAAUGAUGUGCAAAGAUCUGUGGAUGCUGCAAAAAGGAAUGGUGCAACCAUCAAAGAUCAAGUUCAGAGCUGGCUGGAGGAUGUAAGCAAAACAUUUCGUGAAGCACAAGAACUUGAAACUAGAGUCAACAUGCAAAGGCGGUGUUUGUAUGGAUUGUGCCCAAGUUUGAAAUUGCGGUAUUCUCUGAGUAGGAAAGCGAAGAAGAUUGCUCAGGCAGUGUUUAUACUUGAUCUCAAACUAGAUGGAGGACUGAGUAAUAAUGUUGCCAAUCCUGCACCUUUGGAAAAGCUAGGGUCAAUAAUCUCUGGAGAUGGUUUUAAGAGUUUUGAAUCCAGAAAAGCAGUCAUGAAUGAUGUGCUUAUAGCUUUGAGGAAUGAAAAGUCAAGAAUAAUUGGGGUAUGCGGGAUGGGAGGUGUGGGUAAAACCACAAUGGUGAGAGAAAUCAGAGAAAUCAUCAACAGAUUAGAAGGAACGAAUAGGCUGUUUGAUAAGGUUGUGUUGGCAACUAUAUCUGCAACUGUAAACAUUACGAGAAUUCAAACUGAAAUUGCAGACUCACUGGAUAUGGAAUUCGUCAAGGAAAGUGAAUCUAUAAGAGCACAAAGGCUACAUGAGACAAUCAAGUACAGUAAUAGAAUCUUAAUUAUAUUAGAUGAUGUAUGGUCAGAGCUUAAAUUAGAGGAUGUAGGAAUCCCUUUUGGUGUUUAUGAAAGGUGCAAAAUUUUGUUGACAUCUCAAAAUGAAGAAGUUUGUAAAAUAAUGGGGUGUAAAGAUGACAUUUUUAGAGUCCAAGCCUUAAAUAAAGAAGAAGCAUGGGAGCUUUUCAGGGCGACUGUAGGUGAAUCCUUGGACAAUAAUCCUGAUUUGUCUCAUGCUGCAAAGUUGAUUGUUGAUGAAUGCAAAGGUUUACCCAUUGCUAUCAUAACUGUUGGGAAAGCUCUUCUAUCAAGUAACGGCAAGCAUGAAUGGACUACUGCCUUGGAAGAACUAAAAAACUCUACCUCAGUAAAUAUCCCUGGAAUGGAACCCAAGGUUUAUUCUUGCAUAAAAUUGAGUUAUGAUAAAUUGGAGAGUGAUGAAGUCAAGUCAUGCUUUUUACUUUGUUGCUUAUUUCCUGAAGAUUAUGAUGUUCCAAUUGAGUAUUUGGUGAGGUAUGGGUCGGGUCGAGCAACUUUCAGAAACACCAACACAAUCGAAGAUGUAAGAAACAAAGUGCAUUAUUUCAUUGGACAACUAAAAAGAAGGUAUUUGUUGCUGGAUAGUGAAAAGGAAGAAUGUAUCAAAAUGCACGACAUAGUUCGUGAUGUUGCUAUAUCAAUUGCCUCAAAAGAUCCUCACAGAUUUAUGGUAAGAUCAUUUGAUGCUGAAGGUGGAGGUAGAGGAUGGCCAGGAGUACAAAAAGUUACAAACCAAGAACAUUGCAAUGCAAUUUCGUUCCUCGAUGUUACGUUAGAUGAAGAUAUUUCUGAUGGUUUGGAGUGCCCAAAACUUGAGCUUCUACAAUUGAAAAAUUCCUCCUGUAGUUUUGAAUAUUCCAACCACUUUAAAAGGUUGAGAGAACUUAAGGUUUUAGCUGUCUUGGGAAUGGAUAUGUCAGGUUACUUGGCCUCGAAAAGAUCACUACCGCUUGGAGAACCCAAGUACCUUCAUACCUUGUGUCUAGAGGAUUGCGAAUUGGGAGACAUAUCCCAUGUUAUUGGAGAAUUGGAGAAUUUGGAGAUCCUCAGCUUUGCUCGCUCUCAAAUCAAGAAGUUGCCUAAAGAAAUAGGACUUCUUCAUCAGUUAAGGAUGCUGGAUGCAACAGACUGUAAAGCACUUGAAGAAAUUCCUCAUGGUGUCUUAUCCAACUUGAGGAGAUUAGAAGAGUUGUACAUGGCAGAAAGCUUUCUCUAUUGGGAGCCAGCAACAGGAAGCAAGGAUGAAACCAACAUGGCAAGCCUUGAUGAGGUGAUGUCUCUUUAUGAUCAUUUAAAUGUCUUAGCCAUAAAAAUCCAUGAUGUUCAGAUGUUGAGGAAUGUUGAGUUUUUUUUAAAAAGCCAGCCUAUAAGAUUUCAUGUGUCAAUCAAUAUUAGUUGGUCAUACCUAAAAAAGAGUUUCAAGAACCGAAUGCCUGGUUAUCUGUUCGAAAAUAGUUUGAUGCUUCGUGGUGAUGUAAAGGAACAUUUGGAGAUUGGAGCAGUUAGAUACUUCUUGAAGCAAUCUGAAAACUUAAGCCUACACCACACAUACAAUUUAAAGUAUGUCAUCGAGGAGUUAGAUGAUCAAGGGGACUUUCAACACUUGAAAGUGUUAUUAAUCAUGAAUGAUUUUGACAUAGAGUAUCUUAUGAAUGGAAUAUAUUGGCCUCGCCGUCGUCAACCUGCCUUCCCCAUCUUAGAGUCGGUUACCUUCAAGAAUGUUCACAAACUAAAAGUUAUGUGUCGUGGCAAACUGCCAGACAAGCACUCCUUCAUGAACCUAAGGUCCAUUGCAAUUGACAGUUGUCAUAAGUUAAAAUAUGUAUUUUCACUAUCCGUAGCACAAAACUUGGUACAACUCCAAAGCUUAACGGUUAAAAUCUGUGCUGAAGUGGAAGAGAUCAUAUCAAAGGAGAGAAUGGAAGAUGAUAAUGCAUCUCGCAUAUUCCCAGGAUUAACUAUUUUGAAACUUUCUUUUCUACAAAUUCUUCAUCGUUUCUACAUGGGAAACCAACAGGACUCCACCAAUGAGGUAUGUCUAUACACCUUUAAUGCUUGAAUGGUAUAUACUUGUUACUCUUUGGAAUAUGCUGCUUUUGUUUUGCUUGAUACUGUCGUUCUAGGUCUCGAAGUUGAUUUGGGUUGACCUUAAUCAUUUUUGGUCUGUUGGAAAUUUUAGAUGCGUUUCAAAUUUUUGCAACUAUUUUAUAGAUAUUCAAGAAAAAAAUUAUCUCUGAAAAAAGUCACUUGAAUCGGAUAUCAUUUUACCGCACAAUUAAAAUAUUGUGAUUUUAUUGGUAAUCUUGAGUGGUGGGUAAAAUGUUUACUGGUAAAUAGUAAUUGAGGGAAAUAGUGGGUAGGAAAAGGAUUUCUCAAAAUUUAUGACAGAGGAUGUGGGAAUAUAAUUAAGGCAAUUUGCAAAUAAGACAAAUGGUGGAAGUUCAUUACUUAUGUAUUUCUUUCUUUUUGGCUCAUGUGUAAGUUCAUUAUUUAUGUAGAAUUAAUUAAUGUACAGAUUAUAAAGCCUAAUGAUGAAAGUGUGAACAAGACGAAAGAGACUAGGAAUGACCAACAACAUGAUCAAGUUGCUGGGUCGACCUCAUCUGAAUCGGAAGAAGCACAAGUGGGAGCAAGUUGUAAUGCACUAUUUCCUUCAAAUUGCGUUUCAUGGUUACCAAAACUAGAGCAACUAGUGUUGGAGGUUUUGAGAAGCGAGGUAGUCAAUGUGGUAUUUGAUUUAGCAGGGCAUGACUCAGCUUUUUCUCAAUUACAGACAUUUCGAGUGUGGCAAUUAAGAGAGGUUGAGCAUUUGUGGAAGAACGUUCAACCUAGAUUCCAAGGUUUUCAAAAUAUAAGAUCUUUGAUAAUUAAAUAUUGUUACAGUCUAAAAUAUCUAUGCCCCUAUGAAAUUUACAAGAUCCUUGUGAAUCUCCAAGAAGUUGGAAUAGAAGCAUGUUCGGAUAUGGAAACUAUAGUACUGGCAGCAGCUUCCACAAAGGACAAUAUCAAUGAAGAAGGGAAAGAGACAGGUGGCAGUGGCGCGAUGAAUUUGUUUCCCAAACUACUCAAUAGCUUCUGUCUAGAGAAGUUGUCAAGCCUCGAGAGAUUUUGCCCUGAUGCCUAUUCUUUUGCGUGGUCCUCCUCCACAAGAACUAUGAAGGUGUCAAAGUGUCCCAAAUUAAAGACAUUGGGUUUUGCACCAGUAAGCAAAAAUCUGCCUGCAGUAGUUGCCGAGAAUUUGAGUGAUGAUCAUGUAAGAGGUAGAGAAGAAUCAGGUGGUGCAUCAUCAUCAUCAUCAUCAACUAGAUCUGGAUGUGCCCCACUAGUCUGCUUACAAAGUCGUCCAUCUACUCGCAACUUUACUCAAAUAUUGCCCCGCCCUGUAAAUAGAGAGGUGCGUCAUUAUUCUAAACUAUGCAGUAUAAUUAGUCUUAAGUACAGAUGUCAUUGAAAUUUUUUUUUUUUUUUUUAAAAGCAAAGUUAAAUGGGCUUGGCCCAAACACGGGCCAUGACAAUUGUAAACACUUGUUAAUUUUCAUUUGGUAAUUGAUCACCAUUAAAUAUUAAUAUAGAAUGUGAUAAUAUACAAUAAUUAAACUGAUUAGUUAAACAAUAAACAAUAUUGGUAACUUCUUUUUAUAUGAAUACUUACCAAACUUGCUUAGUUAAACAAGAAACAAUCCAUUUUUCUUUUUUAAACAACAUUCUUGAUUUCUAGAAUGUGAUAAUAUCCCAUAUAUGUUUAUGAUUGAAACACUAACAAAUUAAUAUACAAUUACUUUUCUACCAUUUUUCCAGGUAACGCCCACAAAUCUUCAAACCUCAAGUGCUACCCACAAUCUAGAAGAUCUCCUUGUACACAAGUGCGAUUUAUUGGAAGUGAUAUUUUUGGUUCAGGAAACCCCUUCUACUCAAGCAUUUGAUAAGCUGAGGGAGUUGAAGUUGUCGCAUUUACCAAUGCUGAGCCACAUAUGGGAAAAGGGUUUACAAGUUAGCUCAGGCUUUGGAAACUUGAGAUUACUAGAUGUACGGGGCUGUCACAAUUUGAGAUACUUGUUUUCACCACACAUAGCCAAACUUCUUACUUGCCUGAAGACAAUAAAUGUUUACCAUUGUAGUGCAAUGGAGAAAAUUGCUGGAGAGGCAGAUGGAGAAGGAGAAAGUGUUGAGGAUGAAUUGACAUUUCCGAACGUGAAAUAUAUCAAACUUGUGGAUUUACCCAAACUUGAAUCUUUCUGCUCUCAAGUUUAUACUUUGAAGUGGCCAGCUUUGGAGAAAGUCGAAGUUGAUGAGUGUCCAAAAUUAAAAGCCUUUGCUCCUGAGCCUAUAAAUGUAUAAGCAGCUGGCAUGUGUAUAUGAAGCGUCCACAUGGAAAGAAAAGAAGGUAUGUUUUCAAUUCAACCAAGCACUUACCAUGAUCGGUCACUGUAAAAUUAGUAGAAGAUAUAUAUAGCUUAAUAUAUUUUUAUGAAUUGGUGUUGCUUUUAAUUUUUCUUUGCCUUAUCUUUCUUAUGUCAUUAGUCCAUCUCCGCGUGUUUAAGCUAUAUAUGGCUCGUUAAAAUUCUUCUAAGGAUGAUAUCAUUUUUUGAAGUAAUACUUAUUAACCAUUAAUAUUUUUCCAUUACAUGCAUAUUUUCUAUUUUAAUCAUAGAUAAUAAUUUUUUAUUCUUUAUUUUGCAUAAUCUUUGAGAAGAAUAUCAUCAGAAGCCAAGAAGCUAGGGACAAGACUACAUGAUAUGUUGCGGUGCACAUCUACAAGAUACCAUGAUAUACCAAUUUCGUUUUUAUCAGACACCGUCGUCUUCAUCACUGAUUAUGCAUGUUCCAUGUUAAUGUUCUUCAAAUCCUGCCAUUGCAUCAAAACAUCACAUAAUUUAGCUAUUAUAUUUGCUCUUUAGUUGUAUUGAUUAAAAUGGAUAUAUUUGGAGCUUCCUUUCAUGUGUAAUUAUUGGAUAUUUGGCUCAACUGCUGGCAUUUGAAUCAUUGUAUAUUAUUGUUUGAUUUGGACCAAGUGGAUUUAUAAACCAAAGUUCUUAAUAGAAAGAUCCGUGUAAUAUACAUGAUUGAAUAAUUGGGCCUUCAUUUUCAUGUAAUAGGGUUUAUUUAGGCUUUUGGAUUGCUUUAAGGUUUCAAUUUAUGUUCGGUUGUGGAAAUUUAUCUAAUAAAGUUUUUCAUUGAUAAAAAUAAAUUAAAAAUUAAAAAUUAAACUUAAUUACAAUCAACGCUACCCCACCUUAAUAUUUUGUAAACAAAUGUUUUAAUCCUUCAUUUUUUUUGUAAGCACGUUUUUGGAGUAGAAGUGCAGGGGCCAGCCUUGAGAAUUUUUAGUCCCAAGGAGAUGUUGAAAAUAGACCAUUUGUAUAUAAUACUUCACACGAGAAAAUUCGUUUGAUUUUAUUCACGCGUGUAUAGAAUAUUUAAAAAAAUAUACCUUUUAUAACUAUGAAAAAAAAAGUUUGGACUUCAAACAAAAAUAUCAUUUAGUUUUUAUACACAAGAAAUAAUUGAGGACAAAAAAAUAAUGGUUGCAGACAAAAAAAAAAAAAAAAUCAAAGACUGAAGAAAAUAUUAGGGGUGGCAUUUUAAACCGAAAAACCGCAAAAACCAACCAAUAUUUUACCGCAAUAAAACCGCAAUCGCGGUAAACCGAACCGCAAUCGCGGUAUUAAGAACCGAACCGCAUUUACGGUUGCGGUUGCGGUAUUUGAUUUUCAAAAUUUGCGGUUACCGCAAACCGCAAAGUAUAGCCGCACGGCUAUAUUCUAUGAAUAAUUAAGUAAAAUUGUAAACCCUUCUCUUCUCUUGAAUUGGUGGAAAGGGAACCAAACAAGAUAUCCUAUUCUUUCACAAGUUCCCAAGGAUAUCUUUGCAAUUCCAAGUUCUACGGUUGCUAGUGAAAAUGCUUUUAGCCUAGGCAAGAGGAUUGUGGAUCCUUUUAGAAGCUCUUUGCAUCCUAAAAUGGUAGAGGCAUUAGUGUGUACUAGUGAUUGGCUUAGAGCGGACGAAUUUUCCUUUUACAAGGAACCAACAGAUGAUGAGGUUGAAUUCUACAAGGAAAUGGAAGAUAUGACAACUUGUAAGUAAUUAGUUUAUUUAUGCUAAUGUUAUUUAUGCUUCUUCUUAUAAUAAAAUGUACUAAACUAUGUUGUUUUAUUUGUAGAUAGCAUUGGUGCUCAAACAACACAAAGGGGUUCUUCAAAUCCACUCACCACUAACACUUGAGUUUGUAACAUUGGUGUAUUGCAUUUUUCCUUUUAGUUUGUAACUUUAAUUAACUGUGAAUUGGAAUUUUCUUUUUGGUUGUAACUUUAAUUCAUUUUGCUUUUGGUUUGUAAAUUUAAAGGAUUUGGAAUUGGAAUGCUUGAGAAGUUUAACUUUAAUUGGAAUGUUUGGAAUUGUAACUUUAAUUUUCUUAGGUUGUGAAUGCUUGAGAAUUGGAAUCGAUUGUGAAUUUAUAUAUGCUUGAGAAAUUGAGGUUGUGUAUUUAUUUAUUUAGGUUGUAAAUUUAUAUUUUUGUGAAUGCUUGAGAAUUUGCGGUUUUAAACCGCAAAUUUGCGGUAACCGACCGCAUUUUUGCGGUUUACCGCAAUGCGGUAAACCGCAAAACGCGGUCGGUUUGCGGUUUCAAAAAUCACCAAACCGCAAAUAGUCGGUCGGUUUGCGGUUUGAGUAAAAAUUCGCGGUUACCGAACCGCAACCACCCCUAGAAAAUAUAACCCUGCACUCGCACGCCAAUACUGCUGGAGGAAAGUUACACUAAAGUUAGCUACGCCCACGCUUACAAAACUAUGAUCAGAUUUAAAAAAAUAAUAAUUGGGCCAUCUCAUGGGUCGCGGCCCAGGGCGGUCUCACUCCUACCUUGGCUAAGGGCUUUGUUACGCUUCCGUUACAAAGCUAAACAACUGAUAUAAAUCAGUUCUGCAUUGUAAUAGCUUUCAUAAUUGAAAUCCAGUAGAAGUAAAUACAAAACCGAUUCUCUUUCUUUCUCUCCAGUCUUCUUCUUUCUUAGUUCACAGCUUUAUUUUUCUACAACGGUUAUCAUAAAUGUGUUUCAUAAAGUUCUAUUCCUCUAGAAAAGAUCCAUCGAUAUUGAUGAAACAACAAUACUGACAUUAUGCAUAUAAAAUGAACUAGUGAACCUACGUGACAUUAAUUUACUGUAGAAUUUUACCUUUUCUUUCUACUUUUUUUUCAAUCACUUAACAUAUUUUAAAAGUUAAAAUCUCCUGCCAUUGGGGUCUAGCUCAGUGAAAAAAGGCAUCGAUUUGCAAACUAGAGGUUUCAGAUUCGAUUCCCCAUAUUAUCAUAAUUGUGUGUCAUUCCUUAGGAAGAAGGAGGGGGAGAGAGGAAUAUUAUAUUAGGUUGUCUUAAGAUUGCCUACAAGGCCGUACCUGAGAUUUUGAGGGCCCUAUGCGAAACUUAAAUUGGGGCCUCGCAUAAUCUAAUACGAAAAUACUAUAAAAAUUUGCCAUAACUUAAUGUCAUAAACAAUUUUUUUUUUAUAACUAAAAUUCACCAUCAAUAAAUAUGCAAUGACAAUCAGAAAUCAAAUUCAUAAAAAUUUAAAUAUUUUCAUCAAUUGUAGCAUGUGAUUCUCUAACAAUGAAUCUAUCAAGAACUCCUCUUUGAGAUUGAGUCAAUUCCUCGAUUUUUCUUUUUCUAAGCCGUUUUGUAUAUCCAGAAACGUAUUUUCUAGUAUGUGGCAUGUUUAGAUUACAAAGAAAAAUUUCAAAACCCUAUAACCUGGAAGAAAACCCCAACAAGAAAUAGAUAAAUAUUUCUACAAACUAUAUUCUCAUACAACCAAUCAUCAACAUGAUAAUAAUUUAAUAAAAUAAGUCAUGUAAUAUAUAGAAUAGAUUGAAAUUUAGAUACAUACCUGAAUUUGAAUUGAGAUUUGAAUAUGACUAUUCGAUUUUGAGUGGUCUAUGAAUUCAAGAAUUAAGGUUUUCUCUUUUUGGUGUUCAAAUUCCUGAAAUUGAAAGAAUAACAAAAAUUGUUAAAGGAUUGAAAAAAGAACCAAAGAAAAAUUGAUGAACAAUGAUUAUUACUAAACAGAAAAUCAGAGUUUAAGAGAAAGAAGAAGCCAUGAAGCUUUUUUCGUGGUGUUUUGAAUGAAGAAAGUACUUUUCUUGGAAGAGAAAACCUUUUUUAUUUUAUUUUUAAGAAGGGGGAUAUAUCAUAUAUAUUCCUCCUUUGGUGUGGUUAAGUUAAGCUUCCAUGUUGCCUGUUUGUUAAAGGCUUUAUGUUAUUUUAUUUUAUUUAAAUUUUAUAAUUAUGUAAAGUUUGAAUGCAAAAAUAAUAUCACAAAAGGCUAGGCAGUCGAACGACAUCAAGGAGCAUUGAACUCGGGCCCUUUUGCCAAAGAGAGAUGCGCUCCAUCCAACCCUCCUGAACACGCUGUUGUGCAAAUAUCCAGACGCUAUACUAUAUAUACGAUUCAUAUAAUAUUAAUAUAUAUAUAUAUAAUAUAAAUAAUUUUUUUUUUUGGGGCCCUUAAGAAUCGGGGGCCCUGUGCGGUGGCGCCACUUGCACCACCCCAGGGCUGCCCCUGAUUGCCUACGUGAAUCCAACAUCCAAUAAUUUUGCAAUGUGGGUAAGAUGGUUGUGGCUAGGGAGUCCAUAUUUUCUAAGCUUUGGGCCGACGCCACAAAGUUUGAAACCACUGUGAAGCUGGUCUACUACAAAGAAUAUUUGAUUUUAAAACAACUGUGCAUGUUAAACUUUUGUGUACUUUUGCAGUAAACUAUGUUUAUAAUUUCUAAACUCAUAUAACAUUCAAUUUGAAUUAAGAAAUCAUCUUGUAUAGGCAUAACAAGUACUUGUUUUCUACAUUAAUAGAUUGAACAGGAGGUGACAUAAUGCAAAGUCAAAAGCAUCUUGCUGGUUAACCUGUGAGUGUUGCCUAGCAGUUGCUGCUCACGAUCCAACGGCCUAUGAUUCAAAAUGAAUUCCAGGUACUUUGUGCAUUGAAAGCUCUUUGAGUUAAAGGUGAUUGCCAUUUAGGGGUGGGCAUCGAGAUCGGAAAACCGGAACAUCAAGCUGCACUAGAUGGAAAAAACUAGAAAAAAAAUCAUGUUGACUAAAAAGUCAACAAAUCGACAUCGAACCGAAUCGAACUGGUUCAAACCAGUUUCAAUGUCAGUUUCACACCUUGCAAAACCGGAUCGGACAGGACCAAAUAGGCUGCGUAUUUAUUUUUUUAAUUUUUUAAAGUCCAAUGCUAAAUUUCUAAUCCCAUAACUAAUAUUUCCCCAAGCCCAAAUUCAAAGCACCUUUUCUAGGCUUAAUCAUCUCUCUUUGUAUGAAAUUGGAUUAUUUAGGAAUUUGUAAGCCCAAAAAAUAUCAAUUUUGUUGGAAUUUGUAGAAAAAAAUAAAUUCUGGUAUGAAACUAGAAAAAUUGGAAACUGCUUCGAAAUCGGUUUAAACCAGACCGACUGGUUUCAUAAAUUUUUUUCACCAAAAUCAGACUGAACCACACUAGUUAAAUAGUCCCGGUUCCAGUGUGAGGUAAAAAUCGGACCAGACUGUACCCACCCCACACACACAAACAUUACACUACCACAGUGUCAUGAAGGUUCGAAUAUGAAACCACUAGUCUGCGAGUCAAAACCCUUUUCUACUGAACUGGACCCGUUAGCAAAAAACUAAAGUAUUUAUAAAAAAAAAAAAUAUGUAAGUACAUUUAUAAUAUUAGUAUUAUAUGCAAAUUUACUAGAUAACAUAUUGUCGAUUGACUUGAGUCAAUCUCUUUUUUUUUUUGGCCAAGCAAUAUAAAUAUCAUUGCUAUAUGUCGAAAGGCUUGAUUACAAUAGUCACAAAGGCAAUCAAUCACUUGAUCCCAUAUUCAAACCCAAACAAGGACCCAAUACUAAUUUCAAUGGGGUACAAAAGAUAAUCACGGCUAUGGUACACCCCCUGUUAAUGGGGUACAAAAAAUAAGCACGAAUACUCCCCCAAUCAUAACCCUAAGGAAUCAAAUCUAUUAGCAAACCAAUGUCACAUGAAUUUACUCUAGCGACUUUUUCACGAAAAAUUGAAAAAGGGCUUAAGACACAGGUUGAGUCACAUCUCAUUUAGCCGUUGCAAUUACACCAUCACAAUUGGUUUUUAUUUUUAUUUUUUCAAACCAUCACAAUUGCUGCCAUAUUAUAACCAUGGAAUAAUGUAUCAAAAUUUACUCUUUAUUUUUAUUUAAUAUCUAAAAUCACAAUUAUGGAAAGGAAAAAAGUGUUUAUUUGGGUAAAAUUGUUGUUUGGUUGAAAAUUAUAAUUUUUGUUUUUUUACCCUCAAAAUAGAACGGCAAAAAGUCAUUUCUAAUCCUUGUAGUUUGCCGGUUUUACCACUUGAGUACUUAUAGUUUCAAUUUUUACAAUUUUAUCCUUAUAGUUUUCAAUUUUGUCAAUUUAAACAUUGUAAUUUUCAAGUCAAAGCAAUUCAAUAGCACAUUUCAAUUUCUAUCAUAAUUCUUCUCAAUUAUGUUAAGUUAUGAUCACGUGUCACUCACAUAGAGGGGUAUUUUGGUCAACUCGAGCCAAAUUCCUCCAAAAUUCCUUCCAAUUUGCCCAAAUUUCAACCUAGAGAAGUAAAUUUGUUUGACACUAAGGCCCAAAAUCGCGCUAAAGUGAUGGGAAGAGCUCAAGGUUGUGUUUUAUUGUUAGAUGGCUCAAGUGAACCUCAAUGUGAGGGGCACAUAAAGAAAUUUGGAAGAAUUUGAUAAAAAUUAAAAUGCGUCCUUGAUUGCUAAAAAUUGAAAUUACAAGGAUAAAAUUAACAAAAUUGAAAAUUUAGGGACCAAAAUAGUUCAAAUUGGGUAAUUUCAGUUUGUGACUUGCUGACCUUUUAUUUAUGGUUUUGUUUUGUUUUUGUUUUUUCUGAUUACCUGUGAGAAGCAAAUACAUGCACCAGCCUUUAUGUUUCUCCUUCCUCUAACACUGUAGAGAUUUGGUUUUUCGGUUUUUACAAGUUUUGGGCGAAUCAAAUGAAUAUAACAUCUUCUUCGUUUAUCUAACAUCAGUCUUUUUGUUUUCAGAAUAUUUUUAUGAGAUUGAUUAUGAAAGCUAAGAUUGCUUUGAUGGCCUUGGUGAAGGUCUCUUAGUUUGUGGUUGAAUUUAUUUAACAACUAUUAAAAUUUGAAGUUAACUUUCUGUGAACUCUAUGGUAACCCCUGUUGCACCGAUAUGCCAAAAUUUGGGGGUAUUUUGGGGGUAUGUAUAUAUAUCCGAUACAAUACCGAUGCAACACGGCAGCAAUGCAUAUCCGAUAUGCCACUUGGCGUAUCGUAGACUUUUUUGGCAUGUUGACUUUACGAUACGGCUUCAAGACUCCAUUGAUACGGUCACUAUUAUACGCUCUUGAUAUGGUUGCAAUACGUUAAGGGGUAAAUGCAAAAAUAUUUUGAACAUUUGUGGGUGAUUUUGAAAGUUAUUGAAUAUUUAGGGUUAAAAUGUAAACUUAAAACUUAAAAUUUUAAAAACCCUACCUCUGUUGAGAAGCUAGGUCAUUUGCGCGAUUCAGAUGGCAACCAAAAAAAGAAAGAAGAAGAAGUCAUCGCCAUCUCAGAUUCAUUUGGUUGGUUUUCUUACACAGGUCAAGGUUUCCUUCUUAUUCUUUUCAUAAGCUGCUAUGUUGUUAAUUAGAUAAUGGGUAUAUGGGUAAUAUAAUAUUAGGGUGGGGAUGGCUGUACAUAUUCUUUAAUAAGCUGCUGUGUGUUUUGUUUAAUUUGUGCUUUUUUAUGGAGAUUUGAAUUAAGUUAUGUGUUUUGUUAAUGUUUUGAAUUUAUUAUGGAUAAAAUAUCAAGUAAUUUAUUUAUAUUAUUUUAAUCGCCGUAUCAGUGUUGUGUCCAUAUCUAGUUUUGAAGAUUUACUAUAUCAGGGUAUUAAAUUGUAUCGUAUCGUCAUAACCGUAUCUAUAUCGGUGCAACAUAGCACAAUAUUAAUAUGUUGAAUGUGUAGUGUUUUGAAAAUUUACCUAAAUCUACAAUGAUUGUAACAAUGAAACACAUUCCUUUUCCUUUAUUUCUCUACUUUUUAAAAAAAGACAUUCUUUUUCUUAUAUUUUUAUACUUUAUUUUUUCUGCUAAAAUUUGUUUCUAGAACACCUGAACGUUCUUCGGCAUUUGCCCUGUUGUAAUUAUGGUUUUGAUUGUUUCCUUUUUUUUUUUUUUUGAUGAAAAAAAGGGGGCAAAAACCCCAGAAGACAACCUACACCAGCAAAUCAGUAGGAACAAGCCUAGAUCUAGUAAUUCCUAACAAAUCAUCAAUCAAACUAGGCCCAAUCCAAGCUGGAGCAUCAACAAAAAUAUAAAAACCCAGGUCUAAGUUAUAGCUCCAGGUCGCCAAGCAAUCAGCAACACUGUUUUUCUCUCUGUAAACGUGAUAAACACUGCAGCAGUUGAUCUUAUGCAUCAGCUCCCAGCAACUAGCAACUAAGGCAGCAAGAGGAUGAACAUCAAUAAGGCCCUGCUUCUGGAUCAACUGGACAGCAAGUGCUGAAUCCAUUUCAACAGAAAGGUUAUUAAUCUCUUUGUCCAUAGCAAGCUUCAACCCAAAAAAUAAUCCCCAUAUUUCUGCCUCAAGAAUUUGCCCCUUCCCCAAGUUCACAGCAAAGCCACUGAUCCAAUCUCCAGAGGAAUUUCUAAUAACACCUCCAGCACCAAUAUGACCAGAGCCAUUCCUCCUAGACCCAUCAACAUUUAACUUGAACUGGCCAGACAUAGGAGGUUCCCACUUUAGAUCAACCUGGACUUUAUGAUUAUGCUUACUCAAGACAUGAGAAGCCUUAAACCACUCAUGGACAGCACGAACAAUAAGCUGUUUAGGAUCAGAAGACACAUCUUCAUCCCCUUGAAAAACUUGGUGAUUUCUCCAUUUCCACACAUACCAACAAGUAAAGAUGAACACCAGACUCCAGGGGCUAUUACUACACCAAACUGCCUGGGAGAGAAGAUUAGUCUGAAACCAAGGCAGAAAAUCCAUUUGAAAGAAUGGCCCUGAUGACGAGGCAUUAAAACAGUAUUCCAUAUAUCUCUAGCCUUAUAGCAAUCACGAAGAAUAUGUAAUGUAGUUUCAAUAGGCCACUCACAAACACCACAAGAAGCAUCAAGAGUCAACUGUCUUCUAACUCUUUGCUCAUUAGAUAGAAUUUUACCUUGCGCAGUAAGCCAAGCAAAGAUCUUUAAUUUAGGAGGUAUCUUUAGUUUCCACAAAGAACUGAAACUAUAAUCAGGCCAUGAGGGACCCUUAAAGAACAUAUUGUAAGCGGUUUUAACAGAGAAGACUCCAUUGGCAGUUCCUUUCCAAAUCUGGCAAUCCUGCAAAUUACUAGCAAAACCCACAGGAUAAUUAACAACAUGUUGAACAAGAUCUUCCGUUAAAGCUCUUCGUAAUUUAUCCAGAUCCCACCACUCAUCUUUAAAAAAAUUGGAGACAGAGCAAUCUAUAUCCUCAAUAUGCAAGACCCCAUCAUGCUUCAACAAAGGCUCAUCAAUAAGCCAACUGUCUUUCCAAAAUUUAGUAGUAUCCCCCUUACCAACCCUCCAACCUAUACCUUGCCUUAACAACUCCACCCCAUACAUAACACCCUUCCAAGUGGUAGAGCAAUCCUGUCGAAACAUCAAGGAAGAAUCUAAGACAGAUUUCCCUUUAAGAUAUUUAGACUUAUAGAUCUUAGCCUAUAAGCCCUUGUCGUUUUUAUGUAAUCUCCACCCAACUUUAGCCAAAAGGGCUUUAUUCAUGGCAGUAGUUUUUUUAAAACCUAAACCCCCCUUGUGCUUAGGACGACAAGCUAAAUCCCAUUGACAGAGGUGGAUCUUAAGCUUUUUCUCACUGCCACCCCAAAAGAAGUUACGAUUUAAUUUGUCCAGCUCUUGCCCAACACUAACAGGCAACUUGGAGGUCUGCAUAGCAUAGAUUGGAACAGCAGAAGUGACAGCUUGUAUAAGAGUUGCUCUACCAGCCAGAGAAAGAAACUUUGACUUCCAAGAAGCAAGCCGCUUAUGCACUUUAUCAAUUAAACAGCCAUAGGUUAAUUUAGUAAUUCUAGAAUGCAACAUAGGCAUGCCCAGAUACUUACCAAGGUCCUCAGUAAGAGGGGAGCCACAAAUCAAACUUACCUCCUUAGCUGUCUCCUUCCUAGUAUUAGGAGAGCAGAAAACAACAGAUUUAUCAUAAUUCACUGUUUGCCCAGAAGCAUUGCAAAACCUCUCCAGACAACUCUUUAGCACCCUGGCUUGAGUAGAAUUAGCUUCAGCAAAGAGAACCAGAUCAUCUACAAAAAAUAAGUGAGAAACAGCUGGGCCAGAUUGAGAAGAUUUAACAGGUUUCCACACUCCUUUCUUAACAGAAUCCCCAAUAAGAUGAGAAAGUUUCUCAAUACACAUCACAAAGAGAUAAGGAGAUAAAGGGUCUCCUUGUCUAAUGCCAUUCUUAGGAAGAAACUGAUCAGUAAGCUCACCAUUCAUGCAGAUUUGAUACCUCACAGUAGAAAUACAACUCAAAAUCAAUUUAGUGAUAGAACCAGGUAACCCUAACUCCACCAACACAUGCUCAACAAACUUCCAAUUUAAUCUGUCGUAAGCUUUAGACAAAUCAAUUUUCCAGGCCAUAAAGCCUUUCUUUCCCUUAGACAGAUUAAAUUUAUGUAUCAACUCCUGAGCAAUAAGGAUGUUGUCUGUGAUUUGCCUACCAGGCACAAAACUUACCUGGUUAGGGCUAAUGAUAUGAGGCAGAAUAUGUCUUAAUCUAGCAACCAAAACUUUGGAAAUAACUUUAUAAAGGGUAGAGCAAAGGCUUAUGGGUCGAAAAUGCACCAUAGUCUGCGGGCUGUCAACUUUAGGGACCAAGGUGAUUAGAGUAUAGUUAAGCUUCUCUAGGAUUCGACACUCCUUAAAAGCAUUCACCACCAUUUGAAAAAUAUCAUCAGCACAUUGAUUCCACUGACUCUGAUAAAAGCAAGCAGGGAACCCAUCUACACCGGGGGCUUUAAGCCCACCAAUAUUAAAAAGACUAGUCUUAACCUCAGUCAUAUUAAUUGGUUGAACCAAACCAUGCAGAUCAACCACAUCAACAGGGGGGAAAAGGUUAGGGAGAUCAAUCACAUAGUCACCAAGAGAAGUAGUAGAAAAGAGCUUGGAAAAAUGAUCCACAGCCAAGAUUUUUAAACUGUUAGCCUCUUCAAUCCAACUACCAUUAGCAUUCUUCAACCUUUCAAUCUUAUUUCUUCUCCUUCUUAUGAUAGUAGUAGUGUGGAAGAACUUGGUGUUUCUAUCACCAUCUUGUAGCCAAGUAAUUCUCGAUUUUUGUUGCCAAAACACAGCUUCUUGCUGAAGAACAUUAUUAAAAUCAUCAAUCAAAGAGGUUUCUAAAUUACUAAGAAACCUAUUAGGCCCCUUGCAUAAAGCUCUCUGGAUACCAGCAAUUCGAGCCAACAACCAACUUUUUCUUUGGCGCAGCUGUCCAAAAACAUUGAUAUUCCAAUGUUUAAGACGCUCAAUUAAGGCAAAAGUCUUCUCCAUAGCUGUACCAUCAUCAGAACCCCAAGCUUCAGAAAUAAAAUCAUUAAACUUUUCGUGAUGAAGCCACAUCGCUUCAAAUCUAAAGGGCCUUAAGGCAGGGGAGGCUGAAAAACACGAAGUAAGACAGAUCUUAACAGGGUUAUGAUCCGACAUGGUUCUUGGUAGGUGUCUCACAGUGGCCUCAGCAAACAACCCCCUCCACUCCAAAUUACAUAUAGCUCGAUCAAGCCUUUCAAAGACUCUCUUAUUAUUCCAAGUAAAUUUAGGGCCCGAGAAACCCAAAUCAACCAUAGUAUUGCAAUCAAACCAGCUUCUAAAACCUUUCAAUCUACAAGCAGGAACUCCUCCUAGCUUAUCAUUCACAUUCAACAUUUCAUUAAAAUCACCAGCAAUUAACCAAGGCAAAUGUUGACAAUCAGCGAUAAAACUUAGAUACUCCCAUAGCUUUGCUCUUUUAAUACCACAAGGGCUAGCAUACACAGCUGUAAACAACCAAGGAGACUGGCUAGGCCAAGCCACAGAAGCAGAAAUAGAUUGGUUUGAAGUCCCCAAAAUAUCAACAUGAACUUUAGUGGCAUCCCAAAGCAACCAAAGACCACCAGAAAAACCAGUAGCAUCCACAAUUUCAAAAUUAGAAAAACCAAGGGAUUGAGCAAUAGAAGUAGCUUUACCACCGCUUAUACGAGGCUCACAUAUGAACAAGAUGUCCAUAUGAUGAGAAUGGAUCAAAUCCAUCAUAUUAGUCUUGAAUUUUGUGCUAGCAGCACCUCGAACAUUCCAGCAGACAAUAUUCAUAAAAGUAAGUAGAAAGGGAAGAGGACCCCAAGGGCUAAACCCUUUAUUAAAUACCAACAGUCAUACCUCCACCAUCGUUGAAGGUAUUGCCUGCCAAGUUCUCACCACAUAGAAUAGCUUGACCUUCCAAAAGAUCCAUUUUAUCAGCUUGACACAAGCUAUCAGAAACAUUAGAGUUCAACGUAUCCUUAUCACCCUCAGAAUCAGUGCUCCCCACACUACUAGCAGCUUUCUCACUUAUAUUAGGCGGUUGAUGACCAAAGAUGUAGACACCUUUCUCAUGGUGACUCUUUUGAUCAGUGACCCAACUAGUGAUUUGAUCAUUAACAGGGCUAGAACAAUCAACUUUCUUUCCCUGAACAACCAUCUUACCAAUACGAGUUACCUUUCCUGAAGACACUUUUGAAGGACCAUCACCUUUCCUGAAACUCAUAUCACCAGGGGCUUUCCCCUCAAAAGGCUUAUUGGAGAUAUCAUUCAAAGCACUUCUAAACACAGGCGUAGCAUUCUUGGUUUUAGUCCAUACUUUCUUGCCAUGCUCCACAUCAGGAAGAAAUGAGCUAUUAAAAUUGGACUUGUCUUGCUCAACAAACACAUCACUAGCCGCCUCAUCUCUCCAAAAUUGUCACUAAGGUUCCUAAGCGCAUCAAAACGUGAGCCCUUAACCUUUGCACCAAAACCCUUCCCACUAGAGGCUUUAAAAUCAAGCUUAGGUCGCUGCGAGAUUGAACAUUCAUCCAUGGACCUCUUAAACCAGAAUCAGCCAAAGGAUCAUUCACACUAACCCCAACAGCACUAGUUUUCAUUUUAUCUGAAUCAUCACCAAUUGUACUCUCAGUGUUCACAUCUGCAGGCACCUUAACUCUCAACUCACAAUUUUCUCGUUUAUACCCAUAUCUUCCACAAUGGUAACAAAUAUCAGGCAAACCUUCGUACUCAAUGUUGUACCAAUUUUGAUUGAUUUGUACAAAAGCCUCCAAGGGUUUAGUUAAAUCUAACUCCACACACAACCUAGCAAACUUACCACGAUUCUGGGCCGUGGUCAGCGAAUCAAUUUUUAAUAAUUUGCCCAGCAUAUUACCAAUCCGUUUCAAGGACCAAACGUCAAAGCACUCGAGUUGAAUAGCCGAAACCCUGAGCCAGGCUGCCAUACGGGUAAUAUGAGCAGUGGCUGGGCAAAAACCCGGUCUCCAUUUCUGCAUUACCAGAUAUUGUCCCGCUACGAUCCAAGGACCACUAGUCAGAACAAAGUUUAGAUCCUCUUCAAGAUCAAAUUUCACCACAUAGUAAUCAUUAACCAAAUCAAUCAACUUCCAUGCCCCUUUCAAACUCCAUUUCUGCUGUAAUCUAGCAUGAAUAUAAUUAUAGGUAUGAGAUUUACCUAACAAUUUGAUAAUCAGAGCAUUUCUCCAAGGCUUACAAAAGCGAUCCAUAGCCCGAUUAGAGAAUUGAAUACUUGGCCCACGUUCUCCAUGAGAAAUUAGAACAUCUUCUUCAUCAUUUAAAUCAUCAUAAUCAGCAUCAAGGGAACUGAUAUCAAUUCCCACAUUUUUCUCCAACCUGACCUUGUUCAUCAAUUUGUCACGAAAGCUUUCAGCUCCAAAAGUUGAAUUCGGCACAGGACCAUGUUCAGAUUCAGACAUCACAUGCUCCAUCAUAGAGGGAUUCGGCUGAUCAUCCAUAUUGCACACAGUGGCGCACUCAUCUCCAACCCGAACUCGCUUCAUUGAACGGUAGGUUUUAAGGAAAACCCCUGGCGAUCCUUCCUCCAUAAUCAAAGAGGGUGUACCCCAAGUAGAACCAGCAACAGAUGAUUAAGAACAAAACAUGGAAGCCACCGUGGCCUCCAGUACGACGGAGUCAAAAACGAAAUCGCAGAUCUGAAAAACUCAGAAAACUUGACCGCGCGUGGGGCGCGUACCAAAAAGGGUCUUUUGAUAAGCUAUUAUUAUCGUAUUUUUGAUUGUUUCCUUUAUAAACAUAAAGAUGGAGGGCAGUUUUGCUGAUGAGCUUUACUCAGGAAGUUUACGCUAUCAAAAGUACAAUUGGAUCCUACGUCCAAUGCGAACAGUGAACAAAGUAAUUUACAUGGUAUUUAAAUGGUUAAAAGUACUUUGUUUUUCCGUAAAUGCAUAGUGAUAGGCUCUGUUUGGGAUUGCUUUUUCUGGUCAAAAAUCUGCUUCACUUUAAAGUUAAGUAGUUUAAGGUGUUUGGUAAAAAUACAAAAUUCUGAUUAUUUUAAAAGAAGUGGCCUUUUAACAGCAGCUUUUAAAAGCAAGCUCUGGGUUGCUUUUCAAAGCUGCUUUCAAACUAAACAGAGAUGAACCUCUAAUGCAUUUUUUUAAUUCCCAAAAUACCAUCAUUCAUUUUUAAAAAUGACACCACAUCCACUUCCACAUCCAACUCCACCACAUUCGCUACCUUCACAACCACCGCCACUGCCACCACCACCACCACCACCACAUCCUUCUCCUGCUCAUCCUACACCACUAACACCACAACCACCACCUCCUCCAUCUCCAUCUCCUUCACCACCUUCACAGCCAACACCACAACCACCACCAUGCUGCCACUACCACCGCCACCACCACCUCCACAACUGCCAUCCCCACCACCACUACCACAACCACCAACUCCACCUUUAUUACCACCACCACCUCCACUGCAUCACCACUACCAUCACAUGAUUAGUACAUACCACUUUUAACAUAAUGUCUAUUUUAGUCAUUAUUCACAGUUACAACAAUUUUAUAUUAAAAUUUACCAAACGGUUUUGACACUGCUUUUUGUACUAACAGCACUUUAAAAAUAUUGUUUAUCAAAAAUGGAGCUGCUUUACUUUACAGCUAAUUAUUUUCAAAGCACAGCAGAACCAACUUUUUUUCAAAGUGACAACAAUCCCAAAUUGGGCCUUAACUGGUGAACCCACUUUGUUUUUAUAUUUUUUUUAUUGAAAAAAAAUUAUUUAUUAGAGCCUAAACAACAUGGGUAAAUGGGAUAAUUUUAUAAACAAAUAAACAAUUAAGAAAUUUUAACAAGAUAGAAGAGUAUUAGAGAUGGAACAUACACCAAUUUGUGAGAUGACGAAAAUAACAAAAAUCUGGAGCUCCAAAAUUAAUCACACUCAUCUAGCAACCGCGUUAAUUAAUGACACUCAUCUAACCAAAUUAACAAUGGAACUCAUCUUUGCUGGUACCACAUUGUGUACCACCUUUCUAAUAGAGGUGGAGCCCACCAAUACAAUAAAGCCUAUCUGUCACAUCUCGGAAUCGGCUCCGCCGUAGCACGAUAUUGUCCGCUUUGGACCCUCUUCUUUGCCCUCAUGGUUUUAUUUUCGGGAACUCACAAGCAACUUCCCAGUAGGUCAUCCAUCCUGGGAUUGCUCUAGCCACAACUCACUUAACUUUGGAGUUCACAUGACUCCGAAGCCAGUGAGCUCCCAAAAGGCCUUGUGCUAGAUAGAGGCGAGCAUGUACAUAUAAGACACAUCCCCUCUCCGUUGGUCGAUAUGGAAUGUUACCCUAUCUCUAUUAAAGAGGUGGCAUACAAUUUGGUAUGCCUAACAUUUUCCUAUUAAGAUAGAUAUACUAUUUAUGAAAGUAAACAAAAAAAAAACAAGAUAUCCACAUCAUCCCAUAGUUAGUAAAAUAUAGGGUAAACUGCCAAAUUGCCUCUUGAACUUGUACAUAACUAUCAAUUUGCCCCCUGACCUUUUUUUUUAGUAAAUUAAGGGCUCAAAUUAAAUUUUAUUCUCAAUGUUACCCCUGCCAUCUAAAUCAUCAAUAUUUCAUUCAAUUUGCCAUUAAGUAUGAGGGCAAAUUGGUCAUUUCAUAUGUUAAAAAUAAUUAAAUACUUUUAAAUAAAAUAAAAUGACAUAAAUAAUAUUUUAUAAACAAAGAAGUGGGACCCACCCACCCUACCCCCUUCACCUCCACCUCCCCUUCUGCCCCCUCUCUUUCUCUGUGACCCAAGACCUAUUCGUGCCUUCCCCAGCAUAUCCACCUUCGCUAGCACUUUGCACCCACCAACGCUGCAACCUAAGAUCCAUUGUUACAAUAUUCAUGGGUCUGUGUGAUGAGACCAGUCUCUACCCUAACUACAGCCCAGCCCAUGGGCCAGCCAACUUCACCAUUGCAAUAAGAACUCUCUAGAAUUCCCCAUCUAGAAGGAAUACCCCAGAAUACUGGGUAUAUCCGUUAGAUAGCUAGCAACGUGGCACUAUUCCUAUUCUUGUCCUUAUUUGAUAUCAUUUUGUAUUAAAGGACCAGAGGUCCCAGACUAUAGCAGACAAGAAUAUACAAAUUACUCAUUUACGCCCUUUUCAACUUCUGUCCUUUUCCUUUUACGUAUCCACCUUCUGUGUUCCAUCAUUCUGGUAUCAGAGCCCACCAUGGGUUCUGGGAAAGCUACCGAACACGAGCCGAGCUCGGCCACCAUCUCCAUGGACGUUCGCCAUGACCACCUAGAAACCCAACUCCAGGAUACCCAAGACACCAUCACCACCCUCCUUUCUACCCAAGAAGCUCACCAAACCUGCAUUUCCUCUCUCCGUAAGUCAGUCGGCAGCCUCACCACCGCCCAAACCAACCUUCAGUCCUCCAUCAAAAACCAGUUUGGUCAGCUGCAGCAAACCUUUUUCAACGAGCUCCGCCACCACCGCCCUCACCCACACCUCUCACCUUCCUUCAACACCCACCGCCAAGUCUCCACCUUUAGCUCCCCUUGACCACAUCAUCAAAAUCCACCCCCUUGUCUCCCCUUGUCUCCACUUUUACAAAGCAUGUCUCAUCUUCCACCAUUUCUCCCUCAUUUCCAAACUUCACCCGGCCAUACACACCCUCUCUUCCACAACGACGCUCUUCAUCUCCCUCCUUCUCCCCAUUAUCACCUUCCCCUUCGCAACCUGUUUUUCAUUCUCCUACUCCAUUUACCAUCGCACCGCACUCUGUUUUUCCCACCCACACUUCCCUUCUGCCCACCCCAAACUUUUCCCAUGGAUCUUUGAGGCCACUUAAAUUUGAUCUCGAACGCUUUUUCGAGGAUGACCCGCACGGAUGGAUCACUUCUGCGGAGCACUUCCUCACGUAUUAUGGGUGCCCGACGAAGAUAAAGUUACUGUCGCUGCUGUUCACCUCUCCGGCGACGCUUCUUUAUGGAUGCGUUCGUUCGAACAACGCUUUCCAAAAGAUUGGACCCUUUUUACCAGAUCCUUGCUUCAGCACUUUGGCUCGACAGAUAUUUGCGAUUUUGAAGCCUCCCUCUCUUCAGAGACGGACCCACAGUAGGGUCAAUGGGGUCAAACGACACCAUGGACUCCAUGGAAGCAAGGUAGAAGGUGGCUUUGAAAUAGGGUAUGACCCCAUGAGAGAGGGGAUUUGCAGACAAGAGGAAGAAGAAGAUGAACAGGGCUCUGUUCUGUUUGAAAGAAGCUGGUCAAAACGGCGUCGUUUUGGGCCAGCUUCUAAUUUUUUUUUUUAAAACAGACUGGCCAAAACGGCGUCGUUUUGGACCAGACACGCGAAUUUUUUUUUAAAACUCGCUGGCCAAAACGGCGUCGUUUUGGACCAGCGAAUUUUUUUUAAAAACCCUCUGGCCAAAACGCCGUCGUUUUGGACCAGCGAAUUUUUUUUUAAAAGACCUGGCCAAAACGACGUCGUUUUGGUCCAGGUGUUAUAAAAAAAAAAAAACACAGAUCAGUUUCCCUUCUUCUUCCUCCCGAAUUUUCAUUCCAAAACACCUAUUUUCUAAACCCUAAAACCUAAAUCCCCAAUCUCCACCCCCCACAAACCUUUAACCCUCUUCCCCACCAAGCCUUGAAGCCCCAAAAAAAAAAUUGAACUUUUACACUAUGACCCCACGACACAAAAUUCCUAGGUCCGUCCCUGCUCUCAUGUCCAGCAAAUUGGAUCUUUAGCUGACUAUCUUACCCUCUUUAACAAGCUCGCUUGCAGUGCCUCGGAAUGGUCUGAUACUCAGCCCAAAGGUGUUUUUAUCGGCGGCCUCCGAGAGGAGCUCCGCUUUGAUGUCCAAACUCUUCAGCCCAACACCCUGUCUGAAGCUAAACAUUUAUCUCAACUUUUCAAUUCUAAAUUACAGACCCGACGUACCUCUGCCUGAACCUUUUACCCCCGUACCUCUCCCAACCCCCAACCACACUCCCACAACUCUCCUUCACCUCUGCCACCUUUACCUUCACCCCAGCCCUUACCCCUUUCUUCCCGCCUCUUCUCGCUCCAAGGGCCUCUGUUUUACUUGCGAUGAGAAAUACAGACCCGGUCAUCGUUGUCUCAUGCCCAUGUUCGCUCUCAUUAAGGCCACCGUUCCGGAUGAUGACUCCUCAGUAUUUCAUGAUUGUCACCAGGAGUUGGCCCUUCCGGAGCAGGUGUCCGUGGAUCAUCCCACCGACUUUACAGUCUAUUCCAUCCAAGGCCCUGAUUAUCCCCACACAAUGCGUUUACAGGGAACCAUCAAUAAUGUUCCCAUCCACAUUUUCAUAGAUUUCGGAGCAACAUUCAAUUUCCUCAACCCAAGCCUUGCUACACGUUUAGGCUUACCACUUGAUCACUUUGCCCCCAAAACCCUGUACACAGCCACAUGGGAACAAUUACUCACGCAAGGCACCAUUCAAAACCUCUCUAUCCAGAUUCAAGAUUACACUCUUACUUCUAAUUUCAAGUUAUUACCCGUUGCUGGUUGUGAUCUACUAUUGGGCGCCGAAUGGCUCGAGACAUUGGGUCUUAUUGAAUGGGACUUUAAGAAUAAGAUUAUGCGUUUCCACAUUGGUGAGCACUCUUAUUGCUUGACAGGUAUCUACCGUUCUCCCACCACUGCAAUUGAUGCCAAGCUCAUGGCUCAAACUCUCUUGGCUGAACAAGAGGGCUUCUUGGCACAGCUUAUCCCGUGCUUACCAGACCAUGGAGACGCCAAAGCCACUGCACCACCUCCGGCUCUUCACCACCUUUUGGAUACCUUCUCUGACAUGUUCAACACCCCUGCCUCAUUACCGUCACCUCGCCAUAUUGACCACCUGUUAGUAUGAAAAUUGUAUUGUCAUUUCCUAUACUCUAGCAUAGGUUGGCAAUUAGUGUGUGAAUAUGUUUUACUGGAAGCUUUGGCGCAACACAUUCAUUCUGGAUCUUUGAAGCAUGACUUAACCGAUAUGAGAAACUGAUUUCAGGUAAAUCAUGACAUAAUCAUGCAUUCAUUAUAGGAUUCCUAGUUGGAGUUAUUUUUACUCAAGCACUUUUAUGUUAGCCCUACUUUUAAUAGGAUUAGAUUUUAUCUCUUGAAAUUGCUUUCCUAGUUGGACUCUAUUUUGAUUCAAGUUAAAAUCUUAUCUUUGUUUGGUCCAAUUAAUUUAUUUUAGGAGAUAUUGGUUCUCCCUAAAAUAGUGGCUAUUUGGCAUCAAUCACUCAGAGUCCAUAUGGGAUCAAAAUAUGAUAUUCAUGAUUGAAUAGAACUUGUGGUCUGCUGUUUGGCGUGAUUACUUAGAACCAUAUAGGAAGUUUGGCUCUGUCAUUCAGUAGGCAUCUAAAUCUUAUAUUGUUGAUGGGAAGUUUGCAUGGGCUGAUGAAUUGAGGUAGGAUUCUAUGAGAAUCAAAUAUGAUUAAUGGCAAGAGAUUGAGGACGUGGCUUUGUGCUCUUCUCUUGCAAAAAGGAGAUUGUGGUUUGUAUAAGGAUAUGACGUGCUUCUUUGUUUUUGCAACUUUCCCAUAUUUUGUUUGAGCAUCUAAAAUUCUUAAGAAAGCUAUUGUGCAUAUUUUUGAGAUAAAUCAUCAAGUGUUCCAUGUUUUGCUUGGUGAUUUAUCAAACACUUUAAUCAUUCAUAUUGCAUUCAUAUGCAUGUCGGUGACUCAUACGAUUGAGGGCACCAAGACCGUAGUGGCGGUUUUCCUCCGGCGAGCUUGAAGCAAUCGUGGCCAGUAUUGCGUUCAACAUAAGGAGUGUCGAAGAUCAUCCCGUGACAGAAGUUGAGUUACGAAGAAUCGGUAAAUAUUAUCUAGAAUGAGUCUAGGAUAAGUGUGUGAGUACUUCUUGUAAUCAUCGUUCUAUAGUGGAUUUGAGUUGGACUGAGAAGUCCCGUGGAUUUUCCCCAGAGGUGGGGUUUUACCACGUAAAAUAAUUCUCUACGUGUUCUUUUAUUUUAAGCUUUGCACAUCUCAGGACACAUCUCAGGAUUGAUAACUCAUAUCAAUCCUGCUUCAAAGGUUGAUCAGUAUUUAUUUCAAAAAUUCGAAUUAGCUUGUUUAACCUUCUCCAGGCAUAUAUAGAUAUCCUACAGGCAUUCUCACCACCGUAUUCCCUUACUUCUGGGUGCUGUCCCGGUCAACGUCCGGCCUUAUUGAUACUCGCAUCUCCAAAAAUUAGAGAUUGAAAGCCUCAUCCACAAAAUGCUUGCAGUGGGCAUCAUUCGACCAAGUGCAAGCCCUUACUCCUCACCAGUUUUUUUGAUUAAAAAAAAAGGAUGGCUUUUGGAGUCUAUGCGUCGAUUAUCGUGCCUUAAAUGAUGUCACCAUCAAAGACCGAUUUCCCAUACCUAUCAUAGAUGAACUCCUCGAUGAACUCCAAGGGGCCUCAGUCUUCUCCAAGCUUGAUCUUCGCUCCGGAUAUCAUAAAAUUCGUAUGCACACCGACGACAUUCACAAAACUGCAUUCCGCACCAUUCGGUUUGUCAAAUGCCCAUUCCACCUUUCAAUCCUUGAUGAAUGAUUUAUUUCGCCCUUACUUACGCCUUUUUGUUCUCGUCUUUUUUGGCGACAUAUUAAUCUAUAGUGAAUCCUUCCAAGAUCAUAUCACUCACUUACAAACUGUUUUUGAGAUUCUCAGAACUCAUCACCUCUUUGUGAAGAAAUCCAAGUGUGUUUUUGCCCAACCACAGAUCGAGUACCUUGGCCAUACCAUUUCCUGCCAAGGCAUUGCAGUGGAUCAAACAAAAAUUGAUUGCAUUCAAACAUGGUCCAAGCCGUCUUCCCCAAAGUCUCUGCACGGCUUUCUCAGACUCGCAGGCUACUAUCGUAAGUUCGUGAGGAACUUUGGUUUCAUUGCUCGCCCACUAACACAGCUACUCAAAAAAGACAAUUUUGUGUGGAACCAUGAAGCUGACGCUGCCUUUGCUGCCCUGAAAAAUGCAUUAUCUUCUACGCCUGUGCUUCAGCUGCCCGAUUUCUCCAAACAGUUUACAGUAGAAUGUUAAAAAUACCUGUAGGAUAUCUAUAUAUGCCUGGAGAAGGUUAGAUUGGGACUUGCCACUGACAGAUUCAAUCCAUAUGGGGUUCUAAACCAACACCACAGCACUUGGCCGAUUUUCGUAUUCCCAUAUAUUUUGCCGCCUUGGAAAUGCAUGAAAAAAGAAUACAGGAUGAUGACUGUUUUGAUAACUAAGGAUCUUGGCAGGUCAAUCUAUGUUUACUUAAGGCCGCUGGUUGAUGAACUGAAGGAUUUAUGGACAAACGGUGUGUGCACGUACAAUAAAUCAACUGGGAAUAUGUUUACUUUGCGGGCAGCAAUUAUGUGGAUUGUGAAUGAUUUUUCCGCAUAUGCAACGGUUGUUGGGUGGAGCACAAAGGGUUAUAUGGCAUGCCUUAUAUGCAAGGAAGAUGUAACUUCUGGUUGGUACGCUGAAAAAGUUUGUUGCCUUGGUCUUCGAAGGUAGUUGCCAUGGGACUACAAGUGGCGGGAAAAGGAUAAAAAGUUCGACGGGAACACAGAGCAUCACCUCUCACCUAGAGAAUGGUCCGGUGAUGAGAUCUUGGAACAACUGAACCGUUUGAAUUUUGCUCCAUUCGGGAAAACGGUUUGCCGGACCAGACCUUCUACACAUAUGAACUAGACGCAUAAGCCUAUGUUUUUUGAGCUCCCAUAUUGGUCGAAACUAAAAUUGAGACACAAUCUAGAUGUGAUACAUGUUGAGAAAAAUGUAUUUGACAUAUUGGUGGGCAUGAUUCUAGAUAUCGAGGGCAAGACAAAGGACACAAUCAAAGCUCGUCUUGAUUUGGAAGAAUGGGCAUAAAAAAGGGUUUAUGGAUGAAUAGGGACAGUGAUAAAACUAGAAGGGAUCUUGCAUUUUUUUCCAUGAAACCGAAUGGGAAAAAAGAGUUUCUAAUGUUUGUAUCAUUUGUAAAGUUUUUCGAUGGGUAUGCUUCUAAUAUCGCACGUUGCGUGAAUGUUGAGGGGGGUAAAUUUGUUGGACUUAAGAGCCAUGACUGCCAUGUGUUUAUGCAACGCCUACUUCCUGUGGGUAUUCGACGCCUACUGAACAAUUGUGAUGAGAUAAUGGCAUACUUAGAUGAGCAUGAAGAGAUGACGAGGCGAGAACAUCCAUUACAUUUGUAUGCCAAGAAACACCGUGAAUUGUUCACAAUGGUUUUUGGAUUAUGUAAGUUAUAAGUGUUUUGUAUUUGACUAAUAUAUAUUGUAGUAUUUAAUUUUGUCAAACUAGCAUGUGAAUGGUUUUGUAUAAUAUUAGGUGAAUAAGUUGAAAUCAUCGAAUUCCCCUACUUACAGUGCUGAGUUAUAUAACUUGGCUUUCGACCCGAUUCGCGCUGAAUUGUUCUCGGGUUGCUAUGUUAACACCGUCAAGUUUUUGGGGACUGCACAAGCUGACAAGUUGUGUACGCAAAACAGCGGUGUCCAUGUCCCGGGUGGAGGCGAAAGUACAAACAUUGAUUUCUCGGGCAAACUCACAACUAUCGUGCAAUUGCUUUACAAAGACCGAUACCAAGUCAUCAUGUUUAAGUGUCGAUGGUUUGAUACUAACCCAAAUAGGCAGGUAAGUGUUAAAAUUGACCAUGACUUACUAUCUGUGAACAUUAACAGACCUUGGUAUGAUGAUGACCCUUACAUUUUGGCAAACAUGGCAAAAUAGGUUGUGUAUCUAGAUGACCCUAAAGCCAGGAGCAGUUGGAAAGUUGUUCAACAGAUGGAUCAAAGGAACAUGUACGCUAUACUAGAACUAGACCCAAUUGACAACGACAUCGACAAUGUCGCUGACCAACGGUUAGAAUCUUCCAUAGACAAUGAUGCGGAAACACUUCGAGAUACAAAUGUUAUACAAGAACCGUUUCAGAUAGAAUGAGUGUCUUCAAUCGAAAUACCAAUUCAGUCAAUUACGAUUGACCUCGGUGAUCUUCCGCGAUAUGAUGUUGCAGUGGGUCCGAACAACGAAAGUGAUGUGGAAGAGGAUUGGGAGACCGAAACUGAUGAUAGCAACGAUAACAAAGGUUAUUAUGGUUUAGAUGAUAAAUAAUGCAAUUUAUUAGCGACUUCUCAUGUAAAACAUAGUAAAUGAUAUUUUUUGUAAUUUAAAUAUGUUAUCAUUUUAUAAAGUUAAAUAAUACUAUGUUCGGUGCACAAAUAAGAGUUCAAGUACUUUGGAUUUAUUUAUGUGGGAGAAAUGGUAAUUUUUCAUUGAUUUUUUAAAAUUUUGUAAAACAACCUACCACUAAUACAUCCUAAAUAAUAAUAUAAAAAAUAGUAAAUUUGGCUUUUAGGAUUCAAUAUGGAAAUAGUUUUUAAUUGGAUUGAAUUUGGAAAGGUAUCCAAAUGGUUGUAAUGGAUGUAGGAAUUAAUUUGGAAAUAUUUUUUUAAAUUUAACAAUAAAUUCAGAUUUAGGUAAUCGGUUUAUUUAAUAAAAUACCUACAUAAAUUUUAAUGUACUUAGGAUUAGGAUUUAGGUAUUAUAUGUCAUCCAAUAUACCUACCAUUUGAAUAAUAUACCUACUACAAAAUAUGUAUAGUUAAAUUAUUGUAAGUAAUUAUGGUUUAUAUGUAUAGCUAUAUAUACAUAUUAUUUAUGAAGGAACAUAUAUUAUAUGUAUUACGAGAAUGCAGUCCCGAUCUCUUGGAUCACAGGAGUCCAAGAGAUUGUGGUCACCCACCGUUGGAUAUUAAUCCAAUGGUUCAAAAAAGUUUUUUAAAAGGAGUGCAAGAGUGAGUAAACCGUUGAAUUUACAUCUAACGGUGAGUGACCACAAAUCUCUUGGACCCCUGAAGUCCAAGAGAUCAGGACUGUAUGAGAAUGUUUUCAUUUGUUGAGUCCAAGCAACCGAAUGUUUUCAUUCGUUGAGUCCAAGCAACGCCACAAUAAUGGAAAGGCAAUAUAUUAGGGAUUGUUUAGGAAAAAUCGUUGGAUAACAAAAUGGCCAGGGUCUUGUAAAUAAUUAAUAACAAAUGGGCAACUUUUAUCCGUCAUGGCAUCCAUUUUUAACGACACUAAAAAAAAUGUAGAUGAAUUUUUGUAUCGACUAUUAGAGUUACAAGGGCCGAUUGCAUAACGACACUAAAAAAAAAUUACGAUUGCAUAACGACACAAAAAAAAUUAUGUUACUUGCCAUUUGAAGGUGGUCAGGAUGCAAAACAAUGUAGAUUUCAUGCUACAAUUAUUUCAGAAUGCUUGUAGAUUGUUGAAAAAAAAAAAAAUUUAAACCUUGUGAGGCGCACUACAUAUUCGUCGUGCAAAGGUUUGGGCAACAAAUAAGAAACUAUACGUCGUGCAAGUUGCAAUAAUUAUGGCUAUUAAAUAAUUAAAAACGCCUCACCAAGCCCUAAACCCUAAACUUUUAGUUUUGCCGGAACUUAUUCGUCUAGCAAUAUCUCUUUGAGCGACGACGUGUGUCUUACGUCAUGCAAGUUUCAAUAAUUUUGGCGUAAAAAAUAUUACCUUACGCGACGCGUUAGUUUUGUCAUUGUGCAAAUUCUAUUUGAGCCACGAAAAUUGCUAAUUUUAGUACCUUGCGCGAUGCGUGUUUAUUUUUCGUCGCACAAGGGUGCGAAAAUUUGCCGCCCCACUUCUGAAAAAAAAAAAAAAUGGUGCUUGUUUUAAAAUGAACUGGGAUAUGUGCGAAUAUUGAGCUGCACGUAAAGUAGAUGAGACACAGUAUUUAACGAGGUUCGGCUAUGCCUACGUCCUCGGAGAGCAACAGCAGUAACUUUUCACUAUAUGAAAUAAUAGGGCUACAACUUUAGUGUUUACAAUAUGUAUGGCUCACUCAAUUUUCUCUCUUGGAGAAUUUCUCUCUUGCUCUCUUUCCUCUCAACUCACUCACCCUCAUUCUUCCUUCUCUUCCUCUUCUCUAUGUGUAAACUUCUCUUGAUGGAGGUAUCUAUUUAUAGGCAUAAGACAUUGGUUGUUCACCUCACAAUAUAAUUGGUAGACAACAUCAUUAAUAUUCUUCAAUCAACAACAUCAUUAAUAUUCUUCAAUCAACAACAUCAUUAAUAUUCUUCAAUCAAUUGGGUAGUGGUUUGGUUUGGUGGGUGUGUGGUUAGGUUUAGUGUGUGUUAGUUGGCUAUGUGGGCUUCACCUAUUCUUCUUUACUUAUUCUUCUUUACAACACUCCCCCUUGGAGACCACAUGUCCCUAGAUUGGUUGCCUCAUUAAAACCUUGCUUGGAGAAAAACCCAGUGAGGUAGAAAACUGAUGGAAUGAAGAAAAAAGAGUACAGCAAUCUGUAUAGCAUACUUCUGGAUGCUCCCCCUGAUUAAUAUCUCCCCCUGAUGUCUUCAUGACUAUCUUUUGGAGUGAGAAUCUUUCAGAGUGAGUGGAGGAUAUAGCCAUUAAUAAUUCUCGUAGUUGAGUAAGUAAAUAUAUUUCCAGUGAGCUAUCUCUAUGUAAAUCAUAGAAAUUUUCAGGGUCCGCGUUUCUAACAAAACUUGGGCUAUUUGUAAGUUCUCUUGAAAGAAUAUGCCCGUACAUGGUGUUAUGCGGAGAUAGCAUCAAAUAUACCUCACAUCAUUCCAAAAUGAUGGUGAUGGAGCUGAGCCCUAUCUGGAAAAUAUGAUGUCCGGUCCAAUAUACUUCCGAAAAAUCAUUAAAGUGUCCAACGGAUAAUACUCAUAAAAAUGCUUCAAUACUUUCUUAGUAUAAGCAAGAAUCUCGUUGGCAUAAUGCUCGAUCCUUAAGUCGAGACAAAUAUUUUGUGAAUUCUGCAGAAGCUUUAAUGUGUUGCAAUCACAUUAUAAUCAAUGUACUCACUGAGGUAAUUUAUGCAUAUUAAUAUUGAGUACAAAUUUUGUGCUUCAAGCACAUGUCCUUUAGGGACUUGCUUUAUGCAAUUGUCAAUCUUCUCAACGGAUUUUGUCUAAAAGGGAUUAAACUUUAUGACACAUUAUAUAGCUUUAACCCAGCUAUUUAUACAUCUUUAGGGAAUCGCUUCUGGCGAUAUGCUCCGUGCAUUUAAUAACCCCUAAAGAUAAUAUGUUGGUCUCCGUAAUUGUGUAAUAAGGGGGGGCACAAUUGAAUCUGUAAAUAUGGAGAAAACCCAACAUUCCUUGUUUCUGCUAGAAAACAGUGUGUCAUACAAAGUAGGUAUAUUCCCUUUUAUUCCGAACACCCAAGUAUAAAUUCAGUAUUAACAAAUUUUGGGGUUCGUAUUUUGGGUUUGUUCUUUCACGUUCAUUCUCAUUUAUAAUGGAAUUACCUCGUUCCAUUUUGGCCAAUGAUAUUGUCGACAUUUAAUAAUUGAACGUGGUUCCAAUCAACACGGCCCAUUGAUGAUUCGAGUAGCUACUCCAAAACUAAAAAUUGUCAUUCAUCAAUUCAUAAUCUCACAAUUCUCAUGUGCAUGCGCAUGCAUCAAUUAUAAGCAUUUCUUUUGCUUUUGGGUACCCAAGCCACUUCAUGGGGCUUUUAUUAUGUGAGAAUGUGGAUUAUAACCUCCAUUGGAGCGUUAUUUUACAUAGGGCGUGGAAAAUCUCCAUUUAGGGAGUUGGAACAUUUAGAACCCAUAUAUCUGUCAUGCUGCAGGCAUGCCACAGAUUAAUACAUACAUGUCAAUUAAUUUCUGGGACUUUAACCCAUAUUAUGGGACUUUAACCCAUAUAAUUUGCUACGCAUUAGGCGUGCAUAAUAUCAAUAUUGACAUGUCAAAGGAUUGUCCUUUCGGGACUUCAAUCCAUAUCAUUUGCUACGCAACAGGCGUGCACCCAUAUAUCUGUCAUGCUGCAGGCAUGCCACAGAUUAAUACAUACAUGUCAAUUAAUUUCUGGGACUUUAACCCAUAUUAUGGGACUUUAACCCAUGUAAUUUGCUACGCAUUAGGUGUGCAUAAUAUCAAUAUUGACAUGUCAAAGGAUUGUCCUUUCGGGACUCCAAUCCAUAUCAUUUGCUACGCAAUAGGCGUGCAUCAUAUUGAUCACUGCUAUACCCAUAUUCUGUUCUUAUGGGACUUUAAUCUGCGCAGUGUAUUAUCAAUGUAUCCAUCUUACAAUCUGUAAAAUUUGCAUUAAUAAUUCAUGGAUACAUACAAGCUAUUCUUUUGGAAUGGACUUAUCUUCAUAUUUGGUUACCUUUCAAGAUAAAAUAUCAAAUAAGUAUAUAAGCAAAAAAUAACACAAGUAUUGCUUACAUCCUUAGGUGGGAGAAACUUUUCUCAAGUAUCAUUCAAGCUCGUAUCGGCCCAGUAAAUAUAAUGUAGCGCUUGAUGAUCUAGUUAUUUCCUGUAAGAGCAAAAAUCACAACUCUUUUGCCUCUGUUAAAACAAAUAAACCUCAUAGUUAGGAUCACUUCAUGGAUUCAUUCUUCAGAUGUUCAUUCUAAAGAAAUAAAAUCUCUUAUGAACAAAGAGUUAUAAAAAGAAAAAAAAAUGCAAAAAUAAUGUGAUAUUGAUUGCAAGAGAAGGUAAGCAAUCAAGGAAGGAAGCUGGUGGGAGCAGACAACAAGCUCAGCAAUCAAGGAAGGAAGCUGGUGGGAGCAAACGACAAGCUCUCAUUUCUUCUAGUUUAGAAGAACUUCCGGAGAUUAGAGCAUAAGGUUGCCUUCACAGUUCCCUGAUGUGGCGGGAACGUGAUCAGGGAUAGUCUCGCUUCCUGAAUGGAUGAUCAGAGAUAGUCUUGCUUCUCGGGCAUAUUAAGUGCUCAAUCCUUAGGUGGGAGAAACUUUUCUCAAGUAUCAUUCAAGCUCGUAUCGGCCCAGUAAAUAUAAUGUAGCGCUUGAUGAUCUAGUUAUAUCCUGUAAGAGCAAAAAUCACAACUCUUUUGCCUCUGUUAAAACAAAUAAACCUCAUAGUUAGGAUCACUUCAUGGAUUCAUUCUUCAGAUGUUCAUUCUAAAGAAAUAAAAUCUCUUAUGAACAAAGAGUUAUAAAAAGAGAAAAAAUGCAAAAAUAAUGUGAUAUUGAUUGCAAGAGAAGGUAAGCAAUCAAGGAAGGAAGCUGGUGGGAGCAGACAACAAGCUCAGCAAUCAAGGAAGGAAGCUGGUGGGAGCAAACGACAAGCUCUCAUUUCUUCUAGUUUAGAAGAACUUCCGGAGAUUAGAGCAUAAGGUUGCCUUCACAGUUCCCUGAUGUGGCGGGAACGUGAUCAGGGAUAGUCUCGCUUCCUGAAUGGAUGAUCAGAGAUAGUCUUGCUUCUCGGGCAUAUUAAGUGCUCACUGAUAAGAAAAACAAGUAGAUAUCGCAUCACUAGGUAUGGAGAAAACUGGAUGUCUUCUGCACAGAAAAUUUCGUUAGUAACACAUUUAUACACAAAUACAAUGAAUAGGUAGAACCGGUGAAUUUCAAAUUAACCAUAAGAAAAUUGCGAGAUUCUCGGGGUACUUUUGAAAAAGUAGCUCCGUGAAAUCCGUAAAGCAAGAUCGGCUUUUGAUGAAAAUAAAACUUUGAAAACGCCGAAAGUGCCGACAAACUUUUAAUGGAGGCCACGUGAAGUUUUGGAAUCUGGGAAAGAAAAAGAUAAUAUGGGGAUCUGAGAUAAUAUUGGGAUCCUGGAAACUGUAGCCAUAUUUCCUCCUAUAGAUAUUGCCUUUGCAAAACUUGAUUGGAGCAACUGCGUUUCAACUUGCUCCUUUCCUGUUAUAAUAAUUGCGCACAUUCUUAAAAUUUGCACCUGUGGUUUUUACGUCUUUUCAAAAUGACAGUUUGGAACCUUGUGCCUUAUAGGUUCAAAUAACCACAUCGACUCUCCCAAAUUUCAUAUUUCAACGUAUGGGAGCCCGGAACUUUUGGCCUGGGCUAAACACAAACUCAGAAUUUAUUUGCCCUUUUCAAAAUGGACAUGAAAUAUGAAUUGAGUAAAAGCCACGCUAAUAUCUCAUAUAUUUGGGUUCAUGAGCUUCCGGCCCAGAUAUAACAAAAUAUGUGGGGAGCCUCAAUUCAUCAUUCUCUUAUGUCAAAGAGAUAUGUGGCGUACCACAAUUUGCAAUAAUACCUCAAGGGUUGUCCAUUUAAUUGUUGGAACUUCAGGUUCUCAACACUGUUAGAUUUUGAACUUCUGGCCAAAAUCACAUAUUCUCAUGGUAUGGACAUUCAAUCCCCUUAGAUUUUGAACUUCGGGCCAAAAUCACAUAUUCUCAUGGUAUGGAUAUUUUUACAAUUUUCUGUACAUAUUUCUGGACUUCAAGCCCUUACAUAAUUGUCCAUAUUUUGAGGAACUUCUGGCAUCUCAUUUAAUUGCUCAUCCAUGAGUUUAAGGAACUGCAGGUUCCAGUACAUUUGCCAGUACAAUUAUCAUCCAUGUGUACGGCAUUAUGAACCAAUACGGUACUGUUACAUCAUUAAGGAACCCCAGGUCCUUAUUUACAUGUCAGGGAUCAAGGACCCUCAAGUCCAAUUACAUGUUUAUAAAUAUAGUACCGGAGAGACUGCCAGCUCUCAUAUUAACAUCAUCAUCAAGGAUCUUCAAGUCCUGAUGUAAUUGUAUGAUGAGGAUCAAGGAACUUCUGGUCCUGAUCUGCAUACUGUAAAAAACUCAUCAUACAGCACAUUUAAUCCAUAAAAUAAAUUGCUGGUAAAUAAAUUACUGGUAUGGACGAUAAACCCGCACCACACUUUAAAUAAAUGUAAAUGUGCGGUAAAUUAAAUUCAUAAAGUAAAGGUGCUUGUAUGGGCAUUAAUUCUGCUCCAUACAUUUAAAUAAAAGUAAAGGCGUGGACGAUAAACCCGCACCACCCUUUUAAAUAAAUACUGUUGUAUGGGUAAUAAACCUACACCAUACAGUAAAUAAAAUAAAUGUGCGGUAAAGUAAAUUUCAUAAAUUAAAUUGCUUGCUGUAUGGACGUUAAUCCCACACCAUACUUUAAAUAAAAUUAAAUGUGCGGUAAAGUAAAUUGUGCUUGUAUGGGCACUAAUUCUGCUCCAUACAUUUAAAUAAAAGUAAAGGCGUGGACGAUAAACCCACACCACCCUUUUAAAUAAAUACUGUUGUAUGGGUAAUAAACCUACACCAUACAGUAAAUAUAAUAUAUUAUAUUACUUUAAGUAAAAGUAAAUUUGCGGUAAAGUAAAGGCAAUUAUUGGUGGGUUCUCAUCAACACCACGAUCAAAUAGUAUAACAGAUAAUAUUAUUAUCGUUUGUGGAAGGCAUCAUGCUUGUCUCUCAAAUCAAAUGCUUUCCACCUGUAAUCUGCACACAGUUGGUUUGCUCGUAUAUCUCUCUUGCAGACCACAGCUCCUCCACUACUUUUCUUCCUUACAUCAACAUAAGGGUUAGUAGUAUAGAUAAUAGUACAACACAAAAAUUAUACCUGAGAGCUUCUCGUGCUGAUAACGUGUUAUAAAAUGAACUGGGAUAUGUGCGAAUAUUGAGCUGCACGUAAAGUAGAUGAGACACAGUAUUUAACGAGGUUCGGCUAUGCCUAUGUCCUCGGAGAGCAACAGCAGUAACUUUUCACUAUAUGAAAUAAUAGGGCUACAACUUUAGUGUUUACAAUAUGUAUGGCUCACUCAAUUUUCUCUCUUGGAGAAUUUCUCUCUUGCUCUCUUUCCUCUCAACUCACUCACCCUCAUUCUUCCUUCUCUUCCUCUUCUCUAUGUGUAAACUUCUCUUGAUGGAGGUAUCUAUUUAUAGGCAUAAGACAUUGGUUGUUCACCUCACAAUAUAAUUGGUAGACAACAUCAUUAAUAUUCUUCAAUCAACAACAUCAUUAAUAUUCUUCAAUCAAUUGGGUAGUGGUUUGGUUUGGUGGGUGUGUGGUUAGGUUUAGUGGGUGUUAGUUGGCUAUGUGGGCUUCACCUAUUCUUCUUUACAACAGCGCUGUUUUUUUUAUUUUUCAAUUUUCCCCUCUCCGACCCUCUCUUCUCCUUCGAUUCCUCUCAUCCCUCUCUUGGAUCCCUCUCAGACCCUUUGUCCUUGGACCACUCUCAGACCCUCUCCCGUUGGACCCCUCCCAGACCCUCUCUAAUUCGACCCCUCUCAGAGCCUCUGUCCUUCGACCCCUCUCACACCCGACGGCCAAGCCAUUCCUGCAGACGACGGCCUAGCCCCCCAUACCCCUCGCAGACCUUAGAUCUCGCCACCGCUAGAGAGUAGAAGGUCAGCCUUCGAGCUUCGCGCCUGCGUCAACGGUCUCUCUCUCUCUCUCUGUGUGCAAACCCCCUCAGGUAAAAUUCCCGAAUUUUGUUUGUGCCAAUUUUUCAUUCAAUUAUUUUUCUAUAUGGUGGGUUUUUAACUUUAUGUAGUUUGGGUUGGAUUGAUGAAGAUCAGGGUUUACUGGCAGGUUUGAUUUUCAUGUGUUUGUUGAAUUAUUUGUUGAACUAUUUGGGUUUCCUGGAUCUACUAACUACUGCUUUGUGUAUGUUGAACUAUUUGUCCAAAAAUUGCCAUUUAUUUAUGUCUUGUAGUUCAAUCAUGUGUUUAGCAAAGCAAUAGGUUAUCAGAGCAGGGCAGCCUAUCAUUUUCUGUGAUUUGAGGGCUAUAUUGGUAAAUGGGUGAUGCCUCUCAUUUUCUGUUAUUUUCUUGUAGUCUCCAACUCUGUGUUUCCCUUGGCAGUUUGCUCUUCAUUGUGAAUUAUUCACAGGUUUGAGUGUUCUAGUGGUCACUCUGAGUUUUUCAGAGGUUCGAAUGUUCAUUUAUCCUUUUUGUUUUUUGUUUAAUUUAUGUAUGAGAGUAGUAGUAGGUAGUAGGGUUCCUUUUUGUUUUUCGGAAUCUUUGAUGUACAAGCAGACGUAUAUAUGCAAUUAGACCGUAGAAUUUUCCUAUGUAUUGAGAUUGGUUUUAAAUAAAGACGUAUGCAAUUAGGUGGUAUAUCUGUUUGGAUGCUUAGUCUGGCUUUAUUUUGAUUUUAUUUUUUGGUUCAUGGUUUUAUAUCUGUUGAAAUGUAAUAGUUUGUGUUUUCGAAAUCUCUAUCGCUUGUAUAAAAGUAAAAAAUAAUAAUUAAUAUUUACUUGUUUCUAUUCAAUCAUGUGUUGAAUCGUGCAGAUCUCGAACCUUAUUAGAAGUCGUAAUUUGAUGACGACUACACAGAGUUCGCUUCCCCCGGCUCAGACGUCAGCUGCCACUGCUCUAGCGCAGAUAGACCACUUGCUGGUUGGUCCCGGAGUCUCUCAUGCACCGGCAUCAUUAGCGUCAUUAGUGGUGCAACAUGUUAGGGCCAGGCGUCGUCACUGCCACGCUAGCACCACCGACACUACAUCGACAGACGUUACUGAUGCGUCGGGGUCACAGCCAGGUACAGAUUUCCUUCAACUCCAGCUGUUUUGGACAAAUAUUUUAUAGUUGAAUUUGUUAUUUAACGUUAAUGUAAUAUUUCUUUGCAGCCAAGAAGAAUACCCGGAGGCCGUGUCGGCAGUUGAAGACGACGUAGGUCACCCGGGUGACCAAUAGUCGUAUCAACAUCGGAUACGACGAGUGGCAUUGGGUUGCACUGACGGCGGAGUUGCAUAGCUCAUUGGCCCACGACUUUGGUCAUGUCGUUCGGACCUAUUGCCCGAUGUAAUGGAAGUCUUGGAAGGUCAUGCCUGCCGAGAUCCAGAUGGAGGUGCGCGGACAGUUGUCGGUAUUUAACCUACCUUUUAAUUCUUUUUCCUUCAAACUUUAUAUAUUUCUAUUACUUAAUGUAUGUAAUUAAUUAAUUGCAGACGAACUACAACUUAGAGGACCUCGAUGACGAGUCAGACUCUUUGCUGAGAGGUACAAGCAGUGGAAGAGCGACUUGCACCACCAUUUUCAGGCGUUUGAUGAUUCUCAGGUCGUUCUUCAGGAGGGUUGCCCGAAGGAGCUUGAGGGGCGGGAGGAUAGUUAGGCGUGGCUCUGCCCUCAUUUUCAGGCGCCCGAUUAUGUGGUAUUUUAAUAUUAAUUUCAAAAUUAUUACAUGUUUCUUACUCAUGUUUAUUUAAUUUUUUAUAUUUCAUUACAAUUUCAACUAAUACGUUUAUUUUUUUUAUAACAAAAUAAAGCCAAAGUCAAUAAGGGCAAUAGGAACAAGAAGACUCUUAUCCACCAUUUAGGUUUCAGGCCCUUCUGAUAUAGGAUGGAUACACGGCGGCAGAUAAUAAUAAAAUAGUUUAUAUUCAAUUCUUAAUAAUAUGUCAUAAUAUUAAUUUAUUUUUUCGUACUAACAUCAAUUCAGGGGGGGUCCAAAUUCCUGGAGAUCGACGUCUUUGGCGACAUAUAUGUUCGACCUGGGAAUGAGUUGGUCGAGUCCCUUCAUGUAAGUAUUCUUUAAUUUUAAUUAUUAUCUUACGCAUUCAAGUUUCAGGGUUAUUAUAUGAAUGUUUUAAUUUAUAUUUUAUGUUAUGUUAAAUAGACGACGAUGGUGGAGAGGAGCCAGUUGGUUCUUUAGGAGUCUGCCUCCCAACUUCCUCCCGAUACUCUGAUCGAGUCUGUGGAUCCUUCACAGGAUGCUGGAUUUCAGAUCUUGACGGAGACGUUGGAUCAGACUCUCGGGAGAAGGCCGGGGACAUAUUGUUGAGGGAUGGGGAAUGACCAGCGGAGGGAACCUAGACCCCGUUCAUCGUCGCAAUCAAACAGUCAAGUGACUGCUUUGAUAGCAAAGGUGGCCGAGCUUCAGGGUUAGAUGUUUGUGCUUUUGGAGUCCCUUGCGCGGUCCGACAUUCCAGUCCCGCAUUUUGAUCCCUCGUCGACCUCCGAGCCCGUCCAUCCCGAGUAUGCCCACCAGACCUCCGAGCCGCAUAUGCCUGACAACCAAGUAGAUUUUGGAACAUUAUUUGAUUAGUUUGUUAUUUUCAUAAUUAUAUUUUAAACAUUUCUCUUGUAGUAAUUCUCGUCAUUACAUUUUUUUUUUAUCACAAUUUCAUUUUAUUACAACAACAACAAAAAACCAAAUUUAUUUUUUUACAAAAUAAAAAAAACAUCAAAUUAAAUUUAAAUAAUAUAUAUUUUAAUUUUGCGUCGGGCAAAUUCACAUUUUACAAAAUAACAAAACAUAAAACUACAUUUUAAAUAAAUAUAUUUUAUUCUUGCAUGACGAAGAUAUUCAUCUCGCAAAAAUGAUAUGCGCAAUGACGACAAUUUCAUCGAGCAACAUAUUUUUUCGCGCAAAUGUUGGAGACACGAAUAAUGCAACGAAUUAAGAUCAUCACGCAAAUAGUUGCGACACGAACUGUGCAAUGAACAUUAAACGUCGCUCAAAGGUUUGUGAGACGAACAUGCUUUCGUUGCGCAAAGGUUUGUGAGACGAACAAUUGUGUCGUCCCCAAACCUUUUGUGCAAUGAAGGUUAACCGUCGCUCAGUUUUGCGCGACCAAUGCAAAAACUUGGUCGCACUCUUUCUUCAUGCUCUUUGCGCGACGAAUUUUCUGUCGCGCUGAAUUUUUUGCGACUAAAAGUAACUUUGCGCGACAAAAUUCUCUUCGUCGCCCAAAUCAUAAAAUGUAGUAGUGAUGAUUUUUUCAUCUCACAAUUGCAAUUUUCUUAUAGGAGAAUGUGAAAAUAUAAAUGAAGAGAGAGAAAAUAGAGUGGUGAAUUUAAUUCAAAUUAAUUUCAGUUUAUAAUAAUUAAAAAAAAACAAUUAGUUUAGAUUUAAUCUCAUCCAUUGAUAGUGGGUUAAUCUAAAGGUGUGAAAUUUGUGUCAAAACUUGGUGAAAAAUAUAGUGCCACGGAUCUGCCCGUAUAUAUAUAUAUAUAUAUAUUCUUUGAAGUUGAUAAAUCAAGGAAAUGUGCUAAAAAAACUUGGGCAUGGUAUGUGUAAUAACCCAAACCAAAAUAUCUAAAAAUUAGGAUUUCUUUAUUCCACCCAAAAGACGAUUUUGCCCUCGCAUAUUUUAAUGGGGAAAAAUUUGACUUUUUAAUCAAGAAAGAAUUUGGCAAUUCCGCUUGCUCCGUUGCGUAGAGCACGGCGAAAUGAGUCCGUAGACAUGGAGUAGACCCGAAUCGGAGUUGUAACAAAGAAAAUACGAUCAAAAUACCGUGAAGGGCAAAAUGGUAAUUUGAUCAAAAAGUCAGAUUUUUAUCCCUCUCCUUCUUCUCUCUCCUCAUUUCUCUCUCCUCUCUCUCUCUCCCCCCGUUUCGACCCAGCCUCGACCUCCGCUCACUUUCAUCGUCGCCACGGCCGCCACACUUGGAGCCGAUCUCCGCCGUUGGUACCAAACGAACCAGCACUCGACCUCCGUCAUUUCCUGACCCAUCGUCGCCGUUUCCGUGGGCGGAGCUCCCCGGAAUCUGCCAUGUUUGCCGGAUUUUUAGUUUGAACUUUGAGCUCUUCGUUCUCCUUCAAUUCUCCAACAAAUCGAUCGAGUAAGGUAUGGUUUCUCAGCUAUUUUUCGUGUUCUAGCUGAUGGAUGUUUGGGUCUCGAUCGAGUUUAGCUCUAGAGUGUUCGAUUUGCGACUUGAAAAUCGGUAGAAACUUUGGCCGCCGUGAUCGGCCGUUUCUGGUCACUUUUUGGGGUAUGUCCAAGAACAAAAGUGACUCCAAAUGGGGUGUUUUACCUAGGAUAGGAGUUUGGAGUCUUGGUUCCGAGAUUUUUCGGCCACCCGAAAUCGCUUUGGACACCUAAAUCUGCCCGCGCGUUCUGGGUCGUGUGGGCGAGGGUGGUGACGUAAUUCUGUGCAGUUUUGUGAUCCUCGUGUAGUCACGAGCGCAUAGGAUUUCACGGAUCUCGAUUCGGAGUCCGUUUGAGCCCCGAACGGAUUUUCCAUAUCGCGCGAUCCUUGGGUGCAGUGUCGUCCAAUCUUUGGAUCGCGCUGAAUUUUGGAUAUGUCGGUCUACGUGAUUUCAGGAUCAUGUAGGAUUCGACGGAUUGCGAAUCGGAGUCCCGGAUACUCCGAAAUCGCGAACCCUGGGGCUAGGGUUUGGAUUUUAAGCGAUAACGCGAUUUUGGCCAAUCCGACCGUCUGUUUCGGACCAAAUUUGCGAAACAUGGUUCCUUCUUUGUUAGGAAACUUCAGAGAAGCCCAGAUUGGCCAUCGGAGACCGUGGACCCGCGGGGUCCCGGAUCGGCCUGUCUGGUGGUUUAUCGCUUAGUGAGGCUUCGGGUCUCUUAAAGUCGUUCUAAGUGUCUGAAAAGCUAAUGUGGGCAUAGGAGUAACUUGAAAUGAGUGCACGUAUUUCUAGGAGCCGGGGGCAGGGUGUUUAAUUUAAAUUCUUUUUAUUCAGCAGUUUAUUAAUUUACUAUUCAUGGUUAAUCAGGCACCAGAGGUCCAAUUGACCCACAGGAGGGACCUUCGAAGGGUCCAGCUAGCUCGGACCAACAGUGAGUGGACUUUUCUUUCUUAAACGGUUUUAUGAUUAUAUUUUCUAUUUGAUUUUGAAUAAGUGUUAUAGCAUGAAUUUUAUUGUGAAAUAUCUUUAUUUUUAUAAAAUUUAGCCGAGCAAACAGAUUUGAGGUUCUUGAUACAGAAAUAGUAAUUUAGCUCACAUUUACCAGAAUACAGUGGAUUAUCAGAAUUUAUCAGAGAUAGUUAUUUUAGAACCACCGUGUACCCAUUAUCUUUGGUGAUUACUACAGUCGGACCGAUGUCUACGGACAUCCAGUCUGAUUUCAGUUACGUCAGUGCACUUGACUUUGCCUCACGAGUUUCGGGGACGCUCGGACCGUGAGUUCCAGGAUUUGCGGCUCGGCAGACUUGGUGUCCCAAGACCUGCCAGGAUUGCGGCUCGGCUGACUCUAUGUCCCCGAGACCUGCUAGGAUUGCGGAUCAGGCUGACUACGGUCCCCUGCAUCCUGCCAGAGCGGCUCGAGUCGACUUGGUGUCAUCGAGACCUGCCGGCGGAUUAGGCUGAUCAUAGUCCCCUGAUUUUGCCAGUUUGCGGCUCGGGUAGCCUGCGUGACGCCCGAGACCUGCCAGGGGAAUUGACGGAUAUGACAGGGGUACAAUUAGGUGGUAGUUUCAAAGGAUUUUAAGCUCUUUUAUACAGUUACGACUUUCAGUUGUUUUAUACCAGUUCUGUGAUAUUCAUGCAUUUCUAUCUUUAUAUAUUUGGUCAGUUAUGCGAAUAUAUUCAUCAGUAUAUUUAUUCAUGUUUAUUGAGUACUUUAUAUUGAAAUAUAGCUAAAUUAUCGAUGUAUAUCCCUAGUAUUUCAAAACGGGGGUUAUUAUGUUCUAAAUUGUUUUUAAGAACCUUAUUUUUGUCCACUCACAAUUUUAACCUUGUUUUUCGCCCCCAGGCCAUAGAAGUACGAAGGAAACCACUCGGGCCAUCUUCCCAGCUUCUGCCACACCACCAAAGUGUAGGAUUUCAUUGUAAAUUUCUUAAAAUUAUGUAAAUGUGUAGAAAUGCUCUGAUAUCUAAUUGAACAUGAAAAACUGGACUUGAGAUCUGUUGUUUGAGAUAGUCUGGCAGUUGGUGUGAUAUUUGAGCUUGUUUGACAGGUGGAAGAUUUUGGGAUUGGUCAAAUUACAGGGGAGACUCUGCCGAAUUUUUGGCAGAAGUCUAAGGGAAAUUUUAAAAGAAGUUGAAACGAGAAGGGUAAAAAGGUCAUUUGUGCCUGACAUUCGCCAGGUGUCGGACACGCACAGGAUUCGGCUCGGAUUCCAAAGCGGAAAUUGGGUCGGGUCCUGUCAGUAUGCAUAUAUACUUGAGCUGGAUAUUCAGGGAAAUAUUUAGGUAGAGCUUUUAAUUAUUCUAAAACCAUCCUUUUGAAAAGGGUAGCAGGAUCUCCUUUGCUUUAAGAAAUAUUUGACACUGAGUUGGUUAGUUUUCUGUCUAUAUAGAACCUAAAAGUGAUAUUUCCUUGUUAGAGUCAUCAAUGAGGAGAAUACGUCAAGUAGCCCCUCACUUUUAUUUUCCUUGUUAUAGAGGGGUAAUAUUUAUACCAGCCUUCCUCGUUAGUUAGGGUUAAGGAGGUAUACACUCUCGUUAUCAUUCUUUAUUGUUGAGCGGCAAUUCAUUAAUAAAUUUGGUAACUGUAUCCUUAUUAGUCCUGAUCUCUUGGACCACAGGGGUCCAAGAAAUUUGUGGUCACUAACCGUUGGAUGUAAAUUCAACGGUUCACUCACUCUUGUACUCAUUUUAAUAAACUUUUUUAAACCAUUAGAUUAAUAUCCAACGGUGGGUGACCACAAUCUCUUGGACUCCUGUGGUCCAAGAGAUCGGGACUGUAUCCUUAUUAGUCCUGAUCUCUUGGACCACAGGGGUCCAAGAAAUUUGUGGUCACUAACCGUUGGAUAUAAAUUCAACGGUUCACUCACUCUUGUACUCAUUUUAAUAAACUUUUUUAAACCAUUAGAUUAAUAUCCAAUGGUGGGUGACCACAAUCUCUUGGACUCCUGUGGUCCAAGAGAUCGGGACUGUAUCCACAUUAAUUAUUUGAAAAUUCAAUCACAUGUGUAAAUGUGUUUUAGGCCAGUUAAUCAAUAUAGUGUGGCAGCCCGAGUUCGAUUCAUAUUAAUAUACAAUAGAGGAUCUUCAAAAUGCAAAAAAAAAUCCUUGAAAUUUUUUAUUUUUGAUAAAAAGAUUCCUUGAAAUUGGGUUGGUAGGGAGGAAUGUGUGUUGUUACGUGCUACCUAGGUUUGCUUUUAAAUAUUCUAAAACCAUCUUUUUAAACAUGGCAUCACCUUCUCUUGAAGUAAUGCUCGUUAUACAUUUUCUCCUUGUCUCUUUUUAUAUAUAGCUAAAACAAACUCAUCAUUUAGCUCUUCUACAUAGCGAAUGUGACAUACUCAUUCACUUCCUCUGAGUUCUCAGUUCAUAUAUUGUCCCUUUUGUGGUUAUAAUUAAUUAAAUCAUUCAAAUUUCUCGCAACAGUUCACCAGUGUUUGCUAAAACAUUGCAUUGGAGAGCUAGGUAAGUCUUGAAAUAGUUGUUUGCCUUCACACUUUAGCACAACACAAGUGGUUCGCUUGAAGCUUUACUCGGAAAACUCAUGUUCGCGACCUUUGUAAUAUUCUUUAUGUAUUUUUGGGGAUUAAGAGCCUGUUUAUUUUCUUUGGUUCCAUCUCUAUAAGUUGUCUUGCUUUUCUUCUUCUAAACCUACUUAGCUUUAUUUUGUCCUAUUUCUGUAUUAUUUAUCCUCUCACAGCACAAACAUAUAUAUCUUUGUUUCAUCUUUAUAUUUCUGGCUUUUUGUCUGCAGUCUUGCAAGGUAGUUGUUGCAUGGCGUUAGUGAAAUAAUGAGCAUUCGGAUUGCGGAUAGUGCUGUAAAUUGCUGCUAUAACUCGAGGUUGGUUUUCCUUAUAAAAUUUUAAUUUUCUUUAUCGACUACCUCUUGGCACAUACUCACACCUUCAUAAUUUAAGUUUCUUCUUCUUCUUUGUUUUUUCACUGUGAUGGAACCUUUUAGAGUAAACAUACAUGAGUUUGUGUAUUAAAAAACAAGAAAACAAAUGAAAAACCAUGUGAAAUUCAGUUUAAGAUUAAGAAAAGAUUCUUAAACCAAAAUCAAAAUAUUUAAAAACUAACAAACAUUUAUGGUCCCCCUUGAUAAUGAUUUCAGGUUUUGUUUUUAUUAGUUUUCACUUUUCAAUUUUUAAAAACUAAAACUACAAAACUUGUUUGGUAACCAAUUUUAGUUUUAAAAAUGAAAUUGAAAAUUGUUUAAAAGUUGUCUGAUAACUUAUUUCAGUUUUAUUUGGAACUUGGAAAUUAAAUUUUUUUGAGGUCAAAUUGUGAAUAUGAGAUCAUAUAUAAUGAAAGUCCAUGUUCCAAAUAUGAUCCUAGUCGGGAGGUCCCAAAUACGAAGUUUGGUAACUUAAGUGCAAUGCAUGUGUGGUGAUGUUAAUUGGUAAAAGAGAAAGAAGCACAAAAAAAAAAGAAAAAAAAAAAGAACUAAAACUAAACACUAACAGCUAUCAUUAUCUCUCUUAUUGAAUUACAAUUAGUCAAGUGAGCAACGUCUUGGUCAUGAGCUUGUUGUCGAUUUGAACUUUGUGAUCAAAUUUGCCCGGUUUGUAGUGAACCGAAUGGAACUAUGCGGGAGUAAUUGGAUUUGAAACUCGGAUAUCGGAGGUUUUUAAAUGAUGGAUUCAACUGGAAUAUGAGUGGGGUAGUGUUUGUCACAAAAAGAGGUAUCAUUUUAAAUUUAUAAAUACUCACAAGUGCACAAUCGAAUGUAAUGUAGACAUGUAAGAACGAGAUCGUACCCCAAAGGUUUGCAUGAAAAAAAUAGAAAACUAACCCAAUCAAAUUAAUUCAAUUACUCACCUAGUUUCCAAGGUUGAUUUGUUUGUUUUUUAUUUUCCGUCCAAAAAAAUUAAAAAAUAUAGGGAAAUGAUAAUAAACCAAGGUAUUAGAAUCCACACCACUAUUCCAUAAAACUCUAAUUAUUUACCUAUCAAUUUCCCGAUAUCUUGGACCACAGGAGUCCAAGAGAUUGUGGUCACCCACCGUUGGAUGUUAAUCUAAUGGUUCAAAAAAAUUUCUUAAAAGGAGUGCAAGAGUGAGUGAACCGUUGAAUUUACAUCCAACGGUGAGUGACCACAAAUUUCUUGGACCCCUGUAGUCCAAAAGAUCAGGACUGUCAAUUUCCAUGGAGUAGCAAUGUAGAAACCAAUCUACUGUUUUCUCAAGAUAUAUCAAUUAAGCAUGCAAUUUAAUAAAUCUUUUGUAAAUCCCCUUCAUUGGUACAAAUUCUAAGCAUCACAUGUAAAUAAAAUUAUUUAACUACAAAGGAUCAAAGUUUCCUAAGCAUCCUAAGUGAAAAAAGUUAUUUGAAUGACAAGAGAUCAAAGAAAAUUGUAUAGUAGAACAAUAAAACCAAGGAUGUAUUAAUAAAUUAACCCAGUUCUUAACUACCACAAAUACACGAUAGAAGUGGUCAAAAUAAAGUUAAUCUGUUAAUCACGUGAAGCCAAAAUUAUUAACAUUGAAGAAUAUAAUUUGUAAAUUAAAAGAUAAAAACAAGAAAUUAAUUUUAUAAUGGUAUUUCAUCAUUAACAUAAUUUAACUAGACACAAAUAAAAAAAUAAACUACAUAAUAAGAGAUAAAAACUAAAAUAGAGAAAAAUUAAAGUAGAGAGAAAAAAAGGAGAAAAGCUUCGUCAUAAACCCCUUCGUUCCUUGCCACUCCACUCCUCAAGAUUCUCUCCAAUUCUAUUACAUUUGCUAUCCUCUUUAUUCUCUCCUGUUUGGUGCCCACUUUCUGCACUACUCUAUCUAUCCACACAUUUUCUAUAUCUCUGCACACACUCUAUUUAUAGCUAUAUAUCAACCCAAGCAUCACAUUCCUUCUUUGCAUUCUUUAAUUCCUUUUUGUCAGAAUGUGUGGCUGGCUGCACAAGGUGGCAGCACCUUCCUUCUUUCUUUCUAUUCAUUGGCAGCACAACAUUAUGGUAGUCCAAUUUCAAUUUCUCUUCCUCUUUGGCUUUGGCUUUGGAUGCAUCAGAUGGGUUGCUCUCCAUGUUUUUUCUUUGUCUCCGGGCUUUGGCCGCAGCCAAUCUCCUUCUUAUCUUCUAUCUUCUUUUUGCAACAUAUUCUUUAUUCCUCCUCAUUUGCUAUUGGUGGUAGACUCUUAAUAUCUAAAAAGAACCGCACAUUAAAUACAAAAACCAAGAUUGUAAACAAUCAAUACAAAUAAUCUAAUAGAUUCAAAUAAAAUAAAAGAAAACAGCAAUAAAUAUAAAUUUAAGGAUAAAACUUGUAUUAAUUUUGUGCUCAUCAUGUCGGAACUAGGGUGUUCAGUUUGGUAUACCACUGAAUCGACGGUGGUCGAAAUUCUACAAUCGGAACCACAACCAACGCCAUCAGUAAGCUCUUGCAUUUCUUAUGAAAAUUUCAACAUCUUUAUAAUAAAAGCGUUUUUGCGAGAAGCUCUUAUGAGUAGAAGUGUUUCCUAGAGAAGAAGUCCCAAACAAGUGGUAGAAGCGCUUCUUUCCAACAAGCAGGUUAAGGGAUUGAGUCCCCUUUGGUACAUAAUUUGAAACAUUCUUUACAACCGGUUCAGUUCGAUUUGUUGACCGAAACCAAAAAUUAAGUGAAAAAUCAUGAACCAACCAGUUUGGUUUGGUCAGUUUGGCGAUCUAUAGAUCUAAAAUUCUAACCCUGUGUGAGAUGGGAUAUGGGGGUGACGGCUACGAUGAGAUAGAGGGUGAGGGGCCACGGUUGGAAGUUAGAUUGGGGGAAGGGGUGUUUGGCAUGAUCGCCUAGUGGGAUGGGGGUGCCCCUUGAGGUGGGCAAUGUCCCUUUAGAAGAUAGAGACGGAAAAAAAAAAGGUUUUGUUUGUUUUUUUUAUAUUUUAUUUGUUUUUAAAAUAUUUUUUCUUAUUUUAAAAUUCUUCUUUAAAAAAAGAAGCAAGGGAGCCGACCCCCUGUUUGGCAUGCCUCACUAAGCCUCACUGGACUGGACUGGGUUAAAUAGUCCUUAAAACCUAUGUUUGGUAAGGGAAGGGAUUAAGUUAAAUGAGAUUAUAUAGUCCAAUGGGAAAAAAAACGUUGGACUCGCUUGUUUAAUAUAGCGAGCCCAAAACUGGGUUCGCAAAAUAGCGAGGAUGCUAUUUUGAACACACAGUCCGGCUGAAUACCACCUCUACCAUCAAACACACGAGCCCGAAACAUCAAACAUACCACCAUCACCACGAUGCCACAACCAUCAGACCACCACCAUCAAACACAUAACCAGCCACCACAUACCCAAUCGAACCAUCACCAUCACCCAAUUAGUCAAUCAAACCAUCAUCACCAGCCACCACAUACCCAGUUAAACCACCAGCACUACCCAAUCGAACCACCACAACCAUUAAUUAGUGGAACUAGAGAGAGAGAGAGAGAGAGAGAGAGAGAGAGAGAGAGAGAGAGAGGGUGAGUUGAUGGUUGAAUUGGGUAUGUCUAGUCAUCACAAAUGACAGUUUAGAAACUGGUUUCACCGGAACUCUUCGUUCCUGGUGGGAUAAACAUUUAACUAAUGAGUCUAAACAACAAAUAAUUCAUGCAGUCAAACUCAAUGAAAAUGGUCUCCCUAUUUUUGAUGAACAAAUAGGUCAAGGCAUAGAAGAUGGAGUCAACACUUUAUUAUAUACAAUAGUCGAACAUUUCAUUGGAACACCUAGUAAUACUACUACUAGAAUACACGAUCAACUUAGUAACCUACGAUGCCCUAAAUUGUCUGAUUUUAGAUGGUAUAAAGAUGUGUUUAUUUCUCGAGUUAUGUUGAGAGAUGAUAGUAAUCAGUCAUUUUGGAAAGAAAAAUUUGUUAAUGGUCUUCCUAAUUUAUUUGCCCAUAAGAUCGAUUCGCACGACACUUAGUAAUGAACAAGGUCAUAUCGAUUGGGAUAGUUUAACACAUGGUAAUAUCAUUAGCACAAUUAAUCAAGUUGGUAUGAGAAUGUGUGUUGAUAUGAAAAUCGGUAAACAAAUCUAGUCCGAAAGAAAUUCUGCUAAAUAUGAGUUAGGAAAUUUUUGUGAACAAUACGGGCUAAUAUCAGCUCCCCUGUCUAGAAAGGAUAAGUCUAGUCAUCACAAAUGACAGUUUAGUAAGAGUCACCACUAUUCUUGUCAAAAACAGUCAUUCAAGCAUAAUAAUGACAAUAAUGAAUUUUAUAGUAAAAAGAAAUUUUCCCCUAAGAAAAAUUGGAAAAAGAGUCACGGAAAAGAUAAGAAUAGUCGCUUUAAGAAAAGUACCAACAAAAGAAAAGUAAAAUGUUAUAAAUGUCAAAAGUUUGGUCACUACGCUAAUAAUUGCAAAAUAAAAGACACAAUCAAACAAUUGAAAAUCACGGACGAGGAAAAAGACAAACUAAUUAAAGUCCAGCUUAGAAGUUCCAAGUCUAGUGAACAUGAUACCAUAGACAGUAAUACUGAGACUCCUGAAUUUGAUUCCUCAGAUUCUCAAUCCAGCUCUCCCAAAAUACAAUUUGGUUGCCAAGACAAUUGUUGUAAGUCUAAGUCAGUUAAUGUCCUCACUAAACAAGAAGAACAAGAAGAGUUAUUAAUUGAUUUAAUUAGCAAAGUAGAAAAUCCUGAGUUAAAAUUCGAAUAUCUGAAAAAGUUAAGAAAGGUCAUCAAUCAAGAAGAAUCAAGACAGUCUACCUCUCAAAAGAUAAGUUUGAACACAACUUUAGAAAAAUUUCAUAAAAAGAAGGAAGUUAAGCUACAAGAUUUGCAAUCAGAAGUAAAGGUAGUCAAGAAGGAAAUUUUAGAACUUAGGCAAAUAAGUCAAAAGUUACAGGUUGAAAAUUAUAAAAUAAAACAAAAUUUGAGUCACCUCCUGGAAAAAGAUGAUGCAUCCAAAGGUUUGCCUGAGAGUCCAACAAAUUCAGAGGACAAGUCCCAUGAACCUCCUAACCAAGAAUCAACUGUCAAUUUAAUUAAACAAGUCAUAUAUAUAUAUAUAUAUAUAUAUAUAUAUUUAUUUUCUUUAAAGUUGAUAAAUCAAGAAAAUGUGCUACAAAAACUUGGGCAUGGCAUGCAAUAUGCUUGAGCUGGAUGUUCAGGGAAAUAUUUAGGUUUAGUUUUUAAAUAUUCUAAAACCAUCUUUUAGAAAAGUGUAGUAGGAUCGCCUUUGCUUGAAGAAAUAUUUGACAUACUUGAGUUGGGUUAGUAUUAUCAAUAAGGAGAAUACGUCAAGUAUCCCCUCACUUUUAUUUUCCUUGUUAUAGAGGGCUAGUAUUUAUACCAGCCUUCCUCGUUAGUUAAGGUUAAGGAGGUAUAUACUCUCGCUUAUCAUUCUUAAUUAUUGAGUGGUAAUUUAUUAAUAAAUUUGGUAACUCAUAUCCUUAAAAUCCAUGUUAAUUAUUUGAAAAUUCCUUCACAUGUGUUAAUGUGCAUUAGGAAAUAUUGACCAAUACGGUGUGGCAGCCCAAAUUCAAUCCAUAUUAUCGUACAUUAGAGUAGUUCCGAGUAUUGGAUCUUCAAAAUGCAAAAAGAAAUCCUUGAAAUUUUUUUUUUUUUGGUAAAAAGAUUCCUUGAAAUUGGGUUGGUAGAGAGAGAGAUGUGUGUUGUUACGUGCUACCUAGGUUUGCUUUUAAAUAUUCUAAAACCAUCUUUGUAAACAUGGUAUCACCUUCUCUUGAAGUAAUGCUCGUUAUACAUCUUCUCCUUGUCUCUUUUUAUAUAUAGCUAACACAAACUCAUCCUUUACCUCUUCUACAUAGCGAAUGUGACAUACUCAUUCACUUCCUCUGAGUUCUCAGUUCAUAUAUUGUCCCUUUUGUGGUUAUACUUAAUUAUAUCAUUCAAGCUUCUCGCAACAGUUCACCAGUGUUUGCUAAAACAUUGAAUUGGAGAGCUAGGUAAGUCUUGAAAUAGUUGUUUGCCUUCACACUUUAGCACAACACAAGUGGUUCGCUUGACACUUUACUGGAAAACUUAUGUAUUUUUGGGGAUUAAGAGCCGGUUUACUUUCUUUGGUUCCAUGUCUAUAAGUUUUCUUGCUUUUCUUCUUCUAAACCUACUUAGCUUUAUUUUGUCCUAUUUCUGUAUUAUUUAUCAUCUCACAGCACAAAUAUAUAUCUUUGUUUCAUCUUUAUAUUUCUGGCUUUAUGUCUGCAGUCUUGCAAUAAUGAGCAUUCAGAUUGCGGAUAGUGCUGUAAAUUGCUGCUAACUCGAGGUUGGUUUUCCUUAGAAAAUUUUAAUUUUCUUUAUUGACUACCUCUUGGCACACACUCACACCUUCAUUAAUUUAAGUUUCUUCUUCUUCAUUGUUUUUUUACUGUGAUGGAAUCUUUUAGAGUAAACAUACAUUAGUUUUAUGUAUUAAAAACAAGAAAACAAAUGAAAAACCAAAGAAUGUAGUUGUUUAACAAAAUUACUUAACCAAGAGUAUUUGAAGGGUUUUUAAUGUUUCUGUGGUCUCUUCCUUUUUAUAUAUAGAGAUUUCAUUUUAUGAUACUACACCCAAUUUAUAUUAGAUUGCUUUCUUAAGUUAGGAAACUAUUGAAGUUAGCUCAAGGGGUGAGAGAAUGCAAGGUAAUGACAAAGAAUUAGGAUACGCAUUUUCAAUUUCAACAAGUUAUGCCAUUUUUUGAUAUGGUUACACAUAGGGUCCACUUAAAUGUCAAUGUGGCACAAAUAGGGACCACUUUUUUUUUUUUUUUUAAUUAAAUGAAGUAGAAUAAAAUAUUAAUAAAACAUGUGAAAUUCAAUUUAAGAUUAAGAAAAGAUUCUUAAACGAAAAACAAAAUAUUAAAAAACUAACAAACACUUAUGGUCUGCUUGAUAAUGAUUUCAGUUUUUUGUUUUUAUUACUUAUCACUUUUCAAUUUUUAAAAACUAAAACUACAAAACUUGUUUGGUAACCAAUUUUAGUUUUAAAAAUGAAAUUGAAAAUUGUUUAAAAGUUGUUUGAUAACUUAUUUCAGUUUUAUUUGGAACUUGGAAAUGAAAUUUUUUUGGGGUCAAAUUGUGAAUAUGAGAUCAUAUAUAAUGAAAGUCCAUGUUCCAAUAUGAUCCUAGUCGGGAGGUCCCAAAUAAGAAGUUUGGUAACUUAAGUGCAAUGCAUGUGUCGUGAUGUUAAUUGGUAAAAGAGAAAGAAGCACCACCAAAAAAAUAAAAAAAAACUAAAACUAAACACUAAAAACUAUCAUUAUCUCUCUUAUUGAAUUACCGGUAAAUUAGAGAGAAAAUUAGUCAAGUGAGCAACGUCUUCGAGGACAAAGCACUGGUCAUGAGCCUGUUGUCGAUUUGAACUUUGUGAUCAAAUUUGCCUGCUUUCUAGUGAACCGAAUGGAACUAUGAGGGAGUAAUUGGAUUUGAAACUCGGAUAUCGAAGGUUUUAAAAUGAUGGACUUGACUGGAAUGUGAGUGGUGUAGUGUUUGUUACAAAAAGAGGUGUCGUUUUAAUUUUAUAAAUACUCACAAGUGCACAAAUCAAAUGUAAUAUAGAUGUGUAAGAAUGAGAUCGUACCGACAAGGAUUGCAUGAAAAAAAUAGAGAACUAACCCAAAUAAAUUAAGGGAGAUUCACUAUUAUACCCACUAUAGGACCCAAAUUAUAAAAAUACCCUAUAUGAAAUGGACUUUAGAAACACACUCAAAGCCCAUUUACAACAUAACAAAGAGGCUUUUAACUUUUUAUAAAUUACAAAACUGUCAUCUAUUUUUAAAACAAGCCAAACCCCAAAAGCUCAUAAAAAAUCCCAAAACACUCAAUAGGGCAUCAAAAUAAUUUAAUAAUAAAAAUUAUAUUAAAGAGAGCAAGCUGUUAUUUUUUGGGUUUUUUUUUUGUUUAUAGAAAUUAAAUGGUGAAGGGUUUAUUUAUAUUUUUUAUGCUAAGAUUGGGUAUAUGACUAAAUAUCUCUUAAAUUAAUUCAAUUACUCACCUAGUACCUUCCGAGGUUGAUUUGUUGGUUUUUUUUUUUCAUAAAAAAACAUAAAAAAAUAUACGGAAAUGAUAAUAAACUAAGGUAUUAGAAUCCACACCACUAUUCCAUAAAACUCUAAUUAUUUACCUAUCAAUUUCCAUGGAGUAGCGAUCUAGAAAUCAAUCUACUACUUUCUCAAGAUAUAUCAAUUAAGCAUGCAAUUUAAUAAAUCUUUUGUAAAUUCCCUUUCCUUUUUUGGUAGAAAUUCUAAGCAUCACAUGUAAAUAAAGGUAUUUAACUACAAAGGAUCAAAGUUUCCUAAGCAUACCCUAGGUGAAAAAGGUUUUUUGAAUGACAAGAGAUCAAAGAAAUUUUGUAUAGUAAAUAUAAAACCAAAGACGUACAUAUUAAUAAAUAGGGAAGAAAAAGAUGGGAGAGAGAAAAUGAGGAGGAUAAGAAGAAGAUAAGAUAGAAAAGGAGGAGAAGAAAGAUCGGCUAGAGAAGAAAAUAUGGAGAGGGAAUAAGAGAGGAUGCGGCAGCUUGACAAAGAGAUAGUGGCUAGAGAAAAUUAGGAGAGAAAGAAGUGUUAUGGGUUCACAGAAAAGUGGUGGGUCUGUUUGGGAGUGUUUUUGGGAGGGCUAAAGCGCUUUAUGACAAAUAGAAAGGCUUGUGAUAGCAUUUGGCAGAAAAUGUUAAAAGUGGUUCUAGGUCGUGGAAGUGUUUUCUGGAAUAAUAAAAGUGGUUUUCCAGGAAACUUUUGCAGGAAACUCUUGCAUUUCUUAUGAAAAUUUCAACAUCUUUAUAAUAAAAGUGCUUUUGCGAGAAGCUCUUAUAAGUAGAAGUGUUUCCUAGAGAAAAAGUCCCAAACAAGUGGUAGAAGCGCUUCUUUCCAACAAGCAGGUUAAGGGUUUGAGUCCCCUUUGGAACAUAAUUUGAAACAUUCUUUACAACCGGUUCAGUUUGAUUUGUUGACCGAAACCAAAAAUUAAGUGAAAAAUCAUGAACCAACCGGUUUGGUUUGGUCGGUUUGGCGAUCUAUAGAUCUAAAAUUCUAACCCCGUGUGAGAUGGGAUAUGGGGGUGACGGCUACGAUGAGAUAGAGGGUGAGGGGCCACGGUUGGAAGUUAGAUUGGGGGAAGGGGUGUUUGGCAUGAUCGCCUAGUGGGAUGGGGGUGCCCCUUGAGGUGGGCAAUGUCCCUUUAGAAGAUAGAGACGGAAAAAAAAAGGUUUUGUUUGUUUUUUUAUAUUUUAUUUGUUUUUAAAAUAUUUUUUCUUAUUUUAAAAUUCUUCUUUAAAAAAAGAAGCAAGGGAGCCGACCCUUGGGGGCUUUAGGUUGCUUUGCAUGUGCCUUGUUGUACACUCACAUACCUGUAUGGAUUAAUUGCGAACCCAAUAAUACACAACCUACUCAUAAGACAAAUAGGGUGCCUAAAAUUUAAGGACUAGUCUGUAUUAUUUCGACUUAAUAUUCUUGUUUGAAAUAUACAUAAAACUUCCACAAAAGAACUAUUGAUUGAUUGUAUUUAGUAAAUUCAUCCUCUAUCGAGCACAUGCAUACUUUUUCUGAUGUCUCUACAUGAAUGAUUAGAGAACAAUCAUCAUCCUAAUUAACUAAACAUAAGAUGCUCCAGUUUUUUUUUAUGGAUUAUCAAUAUUCAAUUAACAAUCCUUUGGCUAUGAAGAUAAGAGAGCAAGGUCUCAUGAAUCUAAUUAACUUUUUUACUUUCCCUCUAUUCAUAUUCAUUGGACUAUUGUUUAAGCUUAUAAUUGUUGAUAGGAAUAUUUCUAUCCAUAAUGAUCUUGCCAUUAAUUUAAUUUAAUUACUAAGUAAAUAUAGGUAAUAUCCAUAAAAGAUUACAUAAAAUGAUUAGGUUUUAUGGGAUAUUUCCUACAUUAUAUAUAGUGGAACAAUAUUAUAGGGGGGCCUUUGAGCUCGGCUGAACUCAUUUUUUAAGCAAGUUUAAGCUCAAAUUUAGCCCGAAUUAACAUAGUAUAAUAUGCCCUAAGAAUGCAUAUCCCUAAAAGAUUGGUCAUCGCUGUGAGGAAAGAAAAUCAAUGAACAUUUGAAUUACACCAAUAUAAUAAUUGGAACAUCAAAUCUAACGGUGUUAAUUCUAAUUCAGAAGUAAAAAAAAAAAAAACCAAAUAUUAAAAUUAAAAAUUAAAAAAAACCAAAUCAGGAAAAGACCCAAAUCCUAAGCUUAUGAAUCUCAAUUUGAAGCGUCAAAAAGAUCGGCAGUGGGAGGACUCAGACCCAAAACUUAAAAAUAAAAAUUUCAAACUCCCGAAACUUUAGUCUUACGCAACCCCUUCGCAUCCCCCACCCAGUAACCACCUCAGACCAUACCAACCCCUCGUACUCACUGGUGACAUGUCUUCUUCUCUGUCUCUCUCUGUCUCUCUCUCUCUAGAGUUGCAGAUAUCAAUGUCCCACUCCCUAGCUAAUAUGAGAGGAUGGCUGAUAUCUCUCCAUAGCAGGAUCGAAUCUAUAGUCCUCAAAUUUGGUAUCCCCUAUAUCCUUUCCCUAUUUGCUUGACACGUGUUCCAUUAUUUACCUCCAAAUCUAACGGUGUUAAGACUAAUUCAAAAGUAAAAAUAAAAACUUAAAAAAAAUAACAAGGAAAGGACCCAAAUCCUAAGCUUAUGAAUCUCAAUUUGAAGACCAAAAAGAUCGAAAGUGGGAGGAUUGAGACCACGUUUGUUUGGCAAACGUAUUUGUCAAAGUAGGAAUUGAGAAAGAGAAGUAAGAGAGAUAUAUAUACGGGGCGGUGGGUGUGGCUGUAAUGGUUAGGUGUCUUGAGAAAUUUUUUGGUGGGGAAGAAGGAAGAGUGCUUAUAGAUUAUGAGUUAGAAUUGCUAUGAGAUUUAUUCGGUUGGGAUUUUGAUUGGUUUACCUUUGACUUUUUCAUAAUUAAAAUUGUAGGUGUUGAACCGCUUGCAUUUUUCGUUUGAGAAUUUCCUUGGCACUAAUUGGGAGACAACUCAACUAUCUAACGAUAACAAAAAAUGGAAGAGUUGUGUAUUUCAAUUGCAUCUAAAAUGGUAGAAGAACCUGUGGCACUAAUUGGGAGACAACUCAACUAUCUGAUUUACUAUGAUUCCAACUUAGAAAGUCUAAAAGAUGCGCUUAAAAAGCUUGAUGACAAGAAAAAUGAUGUGCAAAGAUCUGUGGAUGCUGCAAAAAGGAAUGGUGCAACCAUCAAAUAUCAAGUUCAGAGCUGGUUGAAGGUUGUAAGCAAAGUAUUUGAUGAAGCGAAAGAACUUGAAACCAAAGUCAACAUGCAAAGGCGGUGUUUGUAUGGAUUGUGCCCAAGUUUGAAAUCGCGGUAUUCUCUGAGCAGGAAAGCCAAGAAGAUUGCUCAGCAUGUCCUUGAUCUCAAACUAGACGAAGGACUGAGUAAUAAUGUUGCCAAUCCUGCACCUCUGCAACAACUAGGGUCCAUAAUCUCUAGUGAAGGUUUUAAGGGUUUUGAAUCCAGAAAAGCAGUCAUGAAUGAUGUGCUUAGUGCUUUGAAGAAUGAAAAGACAAGAAUAAUUGGGAUUUGCGGGAUGGGAGGUGUGGGUAAAACCACAAUGCUGAGAGAAAUCAACAAGAGAUUAGAAGGAACAAGUCUAUUUGAUGAUGUUGUGAUGGCAACUGUCUCCGCAACUGUUAACAUUAGGACAAUUCAAGCUGAAAUUGCAGCGCCACUAGGUAUGAAAUUGGACGAGGGACCUGAAUCUAUAAGAGCACAAAGGCUAUAUGAGAGAAUCAAGGAUAAAAGAAUCCUAAUUAUAUUAGAUGAUGUAUGGACAGAGCUUAAUUUACAGGAUGUAGGAAUCCCUUUUGGUGUUGGACCUACAACUAAUCAAGUUCAUGAAGGGUGCAAAAUUUUGUUGACAUCUCGAAAUGAAGAAGUUUGUAAAGUAAUGGGGUGUAAAAAAGAUGACAUUUUUAGAGUCCAAGAAUUAAAUAAAGAAGAAUCAUGGGAGCUUUUCAGGGCGACUGUAGGUGAAUCCUUGGACAAUAAUCCUGAUUUGUCUCAUGUUGCAAAAUUGAUUGUUGAUGAAUGCAAAGGUUUACCCAUUGCUAUCAUAACUGUUGGGAAAGCGCUUCUACCAAGUAAUGGCAAGCAUGAAUGGAAUACUGUCUUGCAAGAACUGAAAAAUUCCCUCCCUGAAAACAUCCCUGGAAUGGAACCUGAGGUAUAUUCUUGCAUAAAAUUGAGUUAUGAUAAAUUGGAUAGUGAUGAAGUCAAGUCAUGCUUUUUACUUUGUUGCUUAUUUCCAGAAGAUUAUGAUGUUCCGAUUGAGUAUUUGGUGAGGUAUGGGUUGGGUCAAGCAAUUUUUAGAGACACUAACACAGUCGAAGAUGUAAGAAACAAAGUGCAUUCUUUCGUUGGACAACUAAAAAGAAGGUAUUUGUUGCUAGAUAGUCACAAGAAAGAAUGUAUCAAAAUGCAUGACGUAGUUCGUGAUGUUGCCACAUCAAUUGCCACAAAAUAUCCUCACAGAUAUAUUGUAAGAUCAUUUGAUGCUAUAGGUGGAGGUGGAGCAUGGCCAGGAGUACAAAAAGUUACAAACCAAGAACAUUGCAGUGCAAUUUCGUUAAUUGGUGCUAAAUUACAUGGAGAUAUUACUGAUGGUUUGGAGUGCCCAAAACUUGAGCUUUUACAACUGAAAAAUUCCUCCUGGAGUUCAGAGUUAUCCAACUACUUUAAAAGGUUGAGAGAACUCAAGGUUUUAGCUUUCAUGGAGAUGGAUAUGUCAUAUUACUUGGCCUCGAAAGGAUCUCUACCCCUUGGAGAUCCCAAGUACCUUCACACCUUGUGUCUAGAGAAUUGCAAAUUGGGAGACAUAUCUUAUGUUAUUGGAAGAUUGGAGAGUUUGGAGAUACUCAGCUUUGCUCACUCUGAAAUCAGUAAGUUGCCCAUAGAAAUCGGACAUCUUCAACGGUUAAGGAUGCUAGAUGCAACAGAUUGUACAGGACUUGAAGAAAUUCCUUAUGGUAUCUUAUCCAACUUAAGGAGAUUAGAAGAGUUGUACAUGGCAGAAAGCUUUCUUAAUUGGGGGCUAGCAACAGGAAGCAAGGAUGAAACGAGUAUGGCAAGCCUUAAUGAGGUGAUGUCUCUGUCUGAUCAUUUAAAUGUUGUAGCCAUAAAAAUCCCUGAUGUUCAGAUGUUGCGAAAUAAUGAGUUUCUUUUAAAAAGUGACCGUACAAGAUUUCAU
RNAcentral lists this long non-coding RNA (293527 nucleotides) under Prunus persica (peach). RNAcentral's name for it is "long non-coding RNA (PPER_LNC001779)". Lineage: Eukaryota; Viridiplantae; Streptophyta; Magnoliopsida; Rosales; Rosaceae. The record is from RNAcentral.